RNAcentral lists this long non-coding RNA (277303 nucleotides) under Gossypium barbadense (sea-island cotton). Its description in RNAcentral is "long non-coding RNA (GBAR_LNC013895)". The stretch from base 180297 to 180383 matches the Rfam family "MIR7486 microRNA precursor family". Lineage: Eukaryota; Viridiplantae; Streptophyta; Magnoliopsida; Malvales; Malvaceae. The record is from RNAcentral.
CUAACUGCUUGUAUAUAUUUAAAAGAACACUUCUACAGGCUUUGGAAAACUAUCAUCCACAUUGAGUAAUUUGGAGAUCCUUGACUUAAGUUUCAAUUACUUGAAUGAUAGCAUUUUGUUAUCUUUGAGUGAGCUUUCCUCUCUCCGGUAUUUAGACCUAUCAUACAACCAAUUUGAAGGAUCAAGUCAUCCAAGAGGUAAAUUAAAUUUGGUCUGGUGUAAGUUUUUAUUUGUAUAGUAGAGUUUGAGGAUGGUCUUCUAGGCUUGGUACCUAGUUUUCCAUUCUUUUUAUCCGUUGUAAUUCCACUUUUGCUUUAGUAAAAUUUUCAUAUAGCUAAGAAAGAAAAAAACAAUUAACAAGUAAUUAUGUAUAUAUAUCAGGUUUUCAAUUGCUUUCAAGACUCAAUAACUUGGAAACUCUUGAUUUAAGUUGGAAUUCUUUGAAGAAUAGCAUUUUGUUCCAUAUGAGAAAUCUUUCAUCCUUGAAGACUUUAAGAUUGAGACGUAAUCAGUUGAAAGGAAGGCUGGAUCAUAUUCAAGGUAGACUGAUUUUACCUGUUUCUUUUCAACUUUAAAAAUCAAUAUGUAUAUUCAAGUUUGAUUUCAUCAUACGAUCAAUAUAUAACUAAUCAAUACUUGGGAUUGAAUUUUAGGGUUGAAUAAUUUGACAAACUUGAAAUACUUGGAUUUAAGUGACAACAGCAUUGAAAGCAUCUCAAACCAAGGUAUAAGUACAGUAUUUAUAUGUCAAUUCAUAUUAAAGGUAGACUGGUUUUAUAUGUUUCUUUUUUACUUUAAAACCAAUUUUUGUUUAAGGGACAGUUAAUGUUGCAAUAUUUCAAAAUAGAGUAAAUUAAGUAGGAAGGUAUCUCAAACAAAGUAUUUAUAUGUUGAAUCAAUUAAGUUUUACUUGUAAAAUGUAGCUUAUCAAUUCAUGGGAAAGCUUGUAAAUUGGCUCUUCCUUCUCAAACAAACAUUUUUCCUAGCUAUUUAUAUAUUGAAUGAUAUUAACUAUACUAAUUAUUUUCUUCCAAUGAUAGAUGGAACACAAUGGAGGCUAACAAACUUAGAGGAACUUGAUUUAAGUAAUAAUCUCUUUCGGAACAACACAAUUUCCUUUCCUCAGGGGCUUUCAAGCCUAAAGUACAACAACAGUUUGCAAGGCUCAUUAGAUACUAAAGGUACUAAAGCUAUAACUUUGUUUUUCUUGAUAAUUCUUUCUAGAACCUUUUAAAAUUAAUUGUUUCAAAUUUGAGCAUUCAGAUUUCACGUUUGAGGUUUUUCAUCUUCACUUCAAGUUUUAGAUAUACUUUUUUUUUAUUUCAUUAAAAUAUUAAGUAGAAAUUAAAAUUAUUAACAUAAUGAUUUUUUGAAUUGGACAUGGAUAUGUAUAGGAUUGAGAAAUUUAACAAAUUUGAAGAAACUCGAUUUACGUUGGAAUCAAAUUGAAAGCUUUCAAUCCUUUAAAGGUAUGCAUUUAUAUUUAACCAAUUACCUAAAUUCUUACAUAUAAUUAAAUUUUAUGCCAAUUCAUUUUAGUGAUGAAAUUAUAUAAAUCUUUUGUAGAUGGUGGUUCAAAAUUGGAGUUGACCCACUUGGAAGAGCUUAAUUUAGAUGCAAAUCUCUUCAAUACUAGUGUAUUUGCAUCCCUUAACAAGCUUUCAAAUUUGAAAUCUUUGAGCAUAAAGUUACAAUGAAUUGAAAGGAUCAAUAGAUACGAAAGGUAAAAAUAUUAGUUUUUUAACAAGAAUAUAAUAAUGUUUUAAGAGAAUAUAAUGAAGUUGAUUUGUUAAUUUUGUUUUCCUAGAUUUGGAUGCAUUUAUCAAGUUAAGGGAACUAUAUUUGAGCGACUAAUGAAUUGAAAGAUUUGGUGAUCCACCAAGGUAUCAUUUAAUUAAACUUCUUUUUUUUUCUAAUUUAGAAAUUUAGUUUUUAUCUCAGAUAUUAUAAUAACGGUUAUUGUCAUAAAUAUUAAUAAAGUUAUAUCAUAUCAUACUUGAAAGUAAAAUAUGAGUUUGGUGAAACAUUUUCUAAAUCCUCCAUUAUAAUGUGUUUCAACUUUAGUUUGAAAUUAAAAUUCUUUAAAAUUUUCUUAAUUUUAAAAUAUUAAUGUUUAUAAUUAUUUUGUUUGUAAAAAUAUAUUUUUUAAAAUAAUUUUUUUAAUUUUUAUGAGAUAAAAAAUAAUUAUAACAAUAAAAACAAUGAUAUUACAAAUAAAUAAAAACAUAUAUUUAUGAGAAAAUAUGUAAUAUAACUAUAUUUUAAUUUCAUAUUUUUUUAAUAGUAUAAAACAUAAAAAUACAUAUUAGAGUUACAUAAAUCACAUUUUUUUUGCCAAAAAUAAAUAAAUAUGAAUUUUGAAUAAUUUAAAAAAAUCUUCAAUUUUAUGAAAUUUAAACAUACAUUUAGAGGUGCUUAAACUUCCAUCGCAAACUUUUUAUAAAUUUCAAAAUGCACAUGAUAUUAACAUAUGUCUACAUACUCUUUAUAAAUUUGUAAUUUAAUUCUUAUACUUUUAUUUUUAGGAAUUUAGUCCCUCUAUUUUAAAAAAAAAAUUCAAAAUCCAAGUUCAAUAGUUAAAAUUGUUAAUUUUUUUUAAAAAUAAUUAGUUGGUGUGACAUUUUGAAAUAAAAAAACUUUGGUAGCAAUGUAACUAAAAAAUGACAUAAUGAAAAUGGAUUUAAUAAAACAAUUUUAACAGUAUUAAUAAUUAGACUUGAAUUUUGAAAUUGAGUAAAAUAAAUGGCAUAAAACAUAAAAAUACACGUUAGAGUUAAUUAAAUGGCAUUUUUUGGCCAAAAAUAAAUAAAUGUCAAUUUUGAAUAAUUUAAAAAAAACUUCAAUUUUAUGAAAUUUAAACAUACAUUUUGAGGUGCUUAAAAAUUUUUUUCCAAACUUUUUAUAAAUUUCAAAAUGCACAUGUUAUUAACUUUUUGGUUUAAAAAAUGUGAUAGGUCUACGUACUCUUUACGAAUUUGUAAUUUAAUUCUUGUAUUUCUAUUUUCGUCAAUUUCCCUCUAUUUUUUAAAAUUUAAAAUCCAAGUUCAAUUGUUAACAUUGUUAUUUUUUUAAAUUAAUUUAUUGGUGUUGACAUUUUGAAAUAAAAAAACCUUGGUAGCAAUGUAACUAAAAGAUGACGUAAUGAACAUGGAUUUAAUAAAAUAAUUUCAAUAGUAUUAAUAGUUAGACCUGAAUUUUGAAAAUUUAUUUUUGUAAAGAGAAAAAUAUGCACAUUAGAUUUAAAUAAAAAUAAUAUUUUUUUAGUUUAAAAUUUUCUAUUUUAUAAUAGAACCAUGAUUUAAAUAAAUGAAAUUUUGAAGAGUUGCCAAAAAAAACUAUGUAGGUGAAAUUUAAAUAGAGAAUUUGAGAAGCUGAAAGUCUCUUUCGGAAUUUAUAAAUUUUAAAAUUCAAAAGGAUGUAUUUUGACAAUUUUAGGGCAAUGAUUUAGUGCUUUAAAAUUUUGAUUUAAUAUGGAGAAUUUAAUUAAAAAUUUAUUUAUUAGAUUGUAAAAUAUUUCUUAACAUUUAUAAUUGAGUACAAAGUAAAUUAAGUUUAAGGGAAAAUAUUAGGUACUAUUAAUGAAACUCUUUUCUUUUAUCAAAUUUUUUUUAAAAAAAUCUGGUUUUUAAAAAAAAUCGGGGUGGUACUAUUAAUGAAAUUCUAAACUUGAUAAGUAGGAUUGAGAUAAUAACAAAUAUAUUAUAUGGUAUAAUAAAAUAUUAAAAAAAGAAAUAUUUAAAAGAAAUAGGUUACUGGCCAUUUUUUAACUUCACUUGUAGAGUUAAAAAACUCCAUUACUAGUACCAAAUACUAAUAUUAAGGAAUUAAAUGCUAAAUUAAUUUCAAACAUAUUUAAAUCUGAUAUGAAUCAAGAAAAAAUUUAUUUUGAAAUUAUAUUUUAUCUUAGAAUGCUAAAAAAGGAUUAGUUUAAUUAAUAAAAUGAAUAAAUAGUUAUGUUAAGAUUUGGACAUUCUCUAUUAAAAUUUUAUUUUAUUGAUGAAAACAAAUAUUUAUAUAUUUCUUUCACUUACAGAAAAUAAGGGAUUGAGAAAUUUGAAAGUUUUGUUUCUUUAUCACGCUUUCACCGAUGGAAGCAUUCCAUUACAAAAUUUAGUGGAGUCUUUCUCAUCAGUUAAAGCCUUUCAUCUACAAUACAAUUAUCUGAACAUGACUCUGGCUACUCAAGGUAAGUGAAAGUCAUUAUGUUCUUUUCCAAAACAGCUUACGUUUAUUAACAUCUAAUACCUCUUCCCAUCCUAUAGAAUUAAAUGUGUCGAGCAAUGUGGAGGAAUUAUAUUUUGACGGAUCUACUCUCAACACCAACAUUUUGCAAAGCAUUGGAGUAUUCGCUUCUCUUAAAACAUUGUCUUUACAUGAUUGUGGACUUAUCGGUCCCUUACCUAAUCAUGGUAAAUAAAUUUAUGGGUCAAAUUGACUUCUUUAUGAGCCUUCUGGGAUAUAAUAUCUCCUAUUCUGUUUAAUAGAUCAAAUUUAAUUAAAAUUUCUUCAAUGAAUUUAUAAAUUUUUCAGGAUGGUGUGAUCUAAGGAACCUUGAAGUGUUGGAUGUGAGUGGGAAUGCACUUGAGGGGAUGCUUCCUCAUUGUUUCAGUAACUUGACAUCUCUUCGUGAGUUACAUAUUUCAGCAAACCGUUUUCAAAUUCCACUAUCAUUCGCACCAUUUGCAAACCUUUCAAACCUCAAAGUCCUUUCCGGUGAUGAAAACAAGAUGGUAAUGGAACCUUCCUUUUAUACCUCAGUCCCAAAGUUUCAAUUGACCAGCAUCAGUUUGUCAAAGUGCAUUACAUCUCAACAACUCAAUCUUGAACUUCCUACCUUCCUUUACUACCAAUAUGACUUGAGAUAUGUGGAUCUUUCUCAUAACAAUUUCAGCGGAACAGUCCCAACUUGGUUGUUAGAAAACAACACAAAGUUAGAAGUUCUCAUCUUGAUGGGUAAUUCCUUUACUGGUCCUCUCUCAUUUUCGUCAGCUCUUAUUUCUAAUGUAUCUUCAAUUGACAUAUCUGAAAACAAAUUACAAGGUCAAAUUCCGACUAGUAUAUGUUCAACUUUUCCACAUUUGUGGCGGUUAUUCUUAUCCAAGAAUGCUUUUGAAGGUAAUAUCCCACUUUGUUUAAGUGUCAUGAAGGACUUAUCAUUUUUAGAUCUAUCAAACAAUCAAUUGUAUGGAAAAGUACCAGAAGAGUUGAUCGCGAAAGGCUCACUGACCAUUUUGAGACUAUCAAAUAACAAGCUCAGUGGAAAUGUAGUUCCUGUGGUUCUCAACUCAAAUGGGGUGCAGAAUUUAUAUUUGGAUGGAAACAAUUUUUCAGGAGAGAUGACAAAUGUUGAUUUGUCUACUUUUGAGUUUCCAAAUUCAAUAAGGGAAAUUGAUCUUAGUAACAACAAGUUGCAUGGAAAGCUCCCAAGAUGGAUAGGGAAUGCAUCGUUUUUGGAGAGAUUAGCUUUGUCCAACAGCGGUUUCGAGGGUUCUAUUCCAAUGGAAUUUUGCAAGUUGAAUAGGUUGGAAUUUUUGGAUCUUUCCCAAAAUCAUUUAUCUGGAUCUAUACCGUCAUGUUUUAAUCCACCAAACAUAGAGCAUGUCCACCUCCACGAGAAUAGACUGAGAGGUCCACUAUCACUUGCUUUUUAUAAUAGCUCCUCUCUAGUGACUUUAGAUCUUAGAGGAAACAAUUUGACAGGUAAUAUUCCAAAAUGGAUUGACACAUUUUCUUCUUUGAGUGUUCUUCUCUUGAAAGAUAAUCAUUUUCACGGUAAAGUUCCAAUUCAGUUAUGCAAGUUGCAUUCUUUAAGCAUCAUAGAUCUUUCUCAAAAUAUGUUUUCUGGUCCUAUACCUUCUUGUUUGGGAAAUUUAUCUCUUCCAAUGCAAACGAAGAAGAUUCUAGACAUUGGGAUCUAUAGGCAAUCUACAGAAGAGGAUGAAUCAACACGCAUUAUGAUAGCAAAUCUGGGACUGGAUUCUUACUACCCUUACAGCUACUUUGAAGAAGUAAUAGAGUUCACAACAAAGAGUGGGUUCUAUUCGUACAAGGGCGACAUCCUUUCAUAUAUGACUGGGAUUGAUUUAUCUUGCAACAACUUAACUGGUCAUAUCCCACCAGAAUUAGGGAACUUGAGUGAAAUCCAUUCUUUAAACCUUUCACACAAUAAGUUGACCGGAGUUAUACCCUCGUCAUUCUCAAAACUUCAUCAAAUUGAGAGUUUGGACCUUUCUUACAACAACUUGAGUGGUGAAAUCCCCAAUCAAUUGGUAGAGUUGAACUCUUUGGAGGUUUUCAGCGUGGCAUUUAACAACUUUUCAGGUAGUAUUCCCGAACCAAAAGCUCAAUUUGGGACCUUUAUUGAAAAUAGUUAUGAGGGAAAUCCGUUUCUUUGUGGAGUUAUAUUGCAUAAAAGUUGUUCCAAAACCGAUUCACCAUCAACGAUAUCAACUGUAUCAGAAGAUAAAUGAGAAGAUGGUUUGAUAGAUACUUAUGAUUUUUGUGUGAGCUUUUUGGUUUCUUAUGUAGUUGUGUUGUUGACAAUUUUUGUUGUCCUCUACAUAAAUCCAUAUUGGCGAAGAGCUUGGUUUUCUCUAGUUGGGAAAUGCAUUACCACCUGUCACUACUCAAAUGUGGGCAAUUCUUACUUAUCACAUUUUCAAGCGAUGUGUUUAGCUACUCAAAUUGCGAUUUGAUUUCCACACCUAAAUGUUUAAUUAUGCUAAGUUGAGCGAUAAUGAAUAUUUUGUUGAUUUUUGCAUUUUGAAUAAAAGCUCUUUUACCUUAUGGUUUUAUCAUUUUCAACCAACUAUUUCUUUUUUCUUCUAUGAAAUUUAAUGUAAAAUCAUAAUCCAUUAUUAUGUAUAUGUAAUAUCUCUUUAAAUUAAAUUAAAUUAAAUUAACUGCCAAGCGUUCACUAGUGCAUACUAAAAAGGAAAUCUAAUGUAAAAUUAAAUAACAUACUAGAAAAUUGAAUCUAAAACUGGAAUAUUUUAAAACCUCACAAAUAAUGCAAUUCUUUAUUCCUCUUUUCCUCUCAAGUUAUUUUGUAUCAUGUUAUAUUUUACAUAAUUAUUCGUAUCAUUGAAUUUUAAAAAAAAUUUAAUAUUUUGAUAUCAUGUUCAUAUUAUGCUUUAAUUCACAAUAUAUUUUGUAUAAUAUGUUAUAACAAUUCAAUUUAAAAAACAAGCAAUUAUCUUAUUUUUGCAUACCGUAAUAUACAUUUACAUGUUAAUAAUUCUUUGUACAUAAAUUUUGACAUGUUCGUAUAUUCGAGUCAUUAUAAUUUUAUUAUUUGUAAUAUGACAUGUUUUACUUACCCUUAAUAUUGUGUCAUGAUAAUUAUAACUCGAUUGGCAGUGUACCAAAUAUUUUUCUAAUAAAAAAUAGUAUUUUAUUCUAUUUACCAAAUCUUUAUCAACUUUAUAUUCUCACCAACAAAACAUACAUUCAAAGUUCAAAUAAGUUCCACACCCAUUUAUGCUCAUCAUCAGAAAGCUGAAAUAUUCCACUCUAAUUAACAUUAUGAUUCUGUAAACAACAAAAAAGUGUGAUCUUUUUUUAAAGCUCUUUUUUUUCUUUAAUGAAAUGGGAUUGGUAAAAAAUCCGCACAUGUGUCGUGUGUGAAGAAGGUCAGGUUGUCUAUUCAUUCUCUAAUAAGUAGCUAAUUAUAGUUGAUCCUACAAAAUCAAAAUUAAUUCAGGUAUCUAUAUAUUCUGAAGACUGGACAGACCUUAGAAGCUCCUUCAAAUUUGCAAGAACAUGUCGUGGUCCUAAACUCUUUACACCGAUGAAAUUCAAAAGUUGCUCUAUAUCCUGCAAUCACAGUAAAGAUUAUGCAAGCUUUUCAGAACGAAUAACAUAACAAGCAAAAGGCAAUCAAAAUACUGUGAUCUCGAUAAUGUUCUUUGCCGAAAAGGAACAUAAACAUAACCUGAAAACAUCAGUGAAGGCUCAUCAGAUUUGCUUAGCAACCUUACAUACACAUGUAAAAAGCUUUGCUUUUGGAUGUAAGGUGUGACUAUCAUCACAGUCUUUCCUAAUUAGCUGAUAACCCUAUAUCUAACAUUAAUCAUGGCUAAGCAAAUUAACAUACAUAAUGUAAAGGAAUUUGACUAUAAGAUCCAACAUAAAACUUAAUAAAAGAUAAUCAACAUAGAAAGUUAAAAGGCAAUGCAAACUUAUUACAAUGAUGCAAGUGGAUCAAAAGAAAGCACUCUAUAAGGAAUUUGCAUUUAAGGCAUUGUAAACAGAAAAAAAAAAUAAAACUUUUUGGAAAGUAUUUUCAAAGAGGAGACAAACAGGGUAGAAAAAAUGUUUGGUCCUUCCUUUUUCUAUUUCUACUGUGGUGAAAAAGCCUUUUUGGGUUAAAAGUGUUUUUACACUGCAGAAGUGUUUUUCCACUGCAGAAGUGACGAAGAACACAUAGCUUUUGUAGUCAAAAACCUACUGCUUUUGGCUUUUGCAUUUCGAAGUGAAAAUUAUAAAAAUACUCUUAGAUUAAUUUAUAUUUUAUAUAUUAUUAUAUUAAUUGUUUAAAUCUUAUUUAUUAUUAUAUUUAAUUUUUUUCAAAAUAUUUUAUAUAUCAUCAAUUUUAUAAAUAAUUUAAAUUAAUUACUUAAAAGGUAUUUAAAAGUUAUAUUUCAUGUAUCAUUAUAUUAAAUUAUUUAAAUAUCAUAUAACUUGACUAAUUUUUUUCUUUCUACCAUCAUGUCUAAAAAAGACAUUUUAACUUUCAACUGCAAUUUUUGGCAGCAAUGAACAACACUAAAAACUAACAAACACACUUUUCCGCACCACAUUUCAACAACACUUUUUUCUAAACGCACUUUUGAACUAGUCCUUAGUCUAUCAUGCAUCAACUCUUCAUUUUUCUUUAACUACCCAUGUCCGACUUCGAACAUGGAUAUGGAGAUAUGACCAAGUCACAGUGACAUAGUUUUUAGUUAUGGGGAAUGGGAUUCGAGUGCUGGACCUCCUUUUAGAUGCAUGGUGGGACUUCAUCACAUUUUUCAAAUUUGUUGAUAAUCCUUCACCUAAUCUGCCGGUGAAGUUUAUAGAUAGUCUUAAGUGUCUAUCACAAGAACCUAGAUAUUGUAAAUCCAAUAUCUUCCAAACAAUUCAACCAUGAUAUUAAUGAUGAUGGAAGCAAGAUUAUCCACUAUCAAUGACAUAAAAUGAGCUGUAAAUGCUGACGAACAAACAUGCACUGUUUUUCCAACCUGUGGAUUGAAGAGCAUUGACAAGCUAACUUUGCAGACCAUUUGAAUCCAAUACUAUACAUAAAAAUGCCAAAGGAGAAUAAUUCAUCUUGGAAAAAGAAUUACUAAUAUGCAAAAGCUUACCUUGUUUAACAAGAAAACAGCAUAUGCUGCUCUUGUCGUGUCUUGACCUUCUAAAAACAGCGGAAAUUCUGCCAGCUUUACAUUUGCUGAAAGUGUUGUAUCCAAUGACAAAUCAGAAGAUGCAGGGUCUAUUGAAGACGCAUGGUCAUUAAUAUAUGAGCGAGAACCACCCAAGCGCAGAGGAUAACGCAAGGGAACUUGUAAAUAGGAUGCAAUUAGUGAAACAGCCUGCAAAUGAUGAAAUAACAGGAAACAAGAAACAAUAAUAGGUAUGAUUAAAAUUAUAGCCUCAGCAUGAGAAACAAACAAUCAAGAUGCAACCCACUAUACCAUAUUACCAUCCUAGCAAUUAAAAAUUACUACAGCAUCUUCAAGCAACAAGGGAUUGUAGGUGGUAGGUCAAAAAACUUGAUAUCCACAGCUUGAUAUUAUCAGAAAAAACAAAUUCAGUAAUAAAUGAUAACUUCACAGAAGAAAUAGAACGCACAUGUGCAACAUAUCCCAAGGCAGUUGCAGAUCUCUGAACCUCCUUUUUGUCAGUGAAAAAACUCAUCUUUGUAAAAGGAAGCAAGGUGAGAUUCAGACCUAAAAUUGUCAACGAUCCUUGAUUGACGGGCUUUGAUGCAGAAGGAUUCCCUAUUGAAGACAGGAACAAAGGAACUUCAUAUCAGUACAUCACCAGACACCACCUCUUUGUGAAAGUCAAAAGAAAAUUCAAAAAAAUAUCAUCAUGAAAGUAAGAGAUAUGUAAAAAGCUCAUAAUAUUCAAGAGCAAAAAAAAAUUGUUUUGAUAUGAGGAGAAUUGAAUAGUAGAUUGCUAAAAGAGGAAUAACUGAAUACAACCAUUAUAACCAAAAGAAGAGUCAAGUGAUAGGUAAUGGUACUCCCUAAGCUGUUUAGGAAUCAUAAAAGACUUGUCCAGUCGACAAAAAUAACUCAUUUUAUUCUCCCCUAGUAAAACAUCAUAUUGGACCAACCAUAUUUGAUAUCAAAGGAUAUGCAUAUCCAGGCAUGCCAUUUAUAGAUAUUCCCAGUGUUACAAGAAGGAAUUGUUCAAGAGAAAGAAGCUGCUAUUGUUGGUAAAGUUUUCCUCAAACCAUUUUGAACAUCCAAAAUCUCAAGAACAAAAAAGAAAACGUAGGAGGAAAUAUAACAAGCAUCACAACGGGUUCUCGAUGAUAUAAGUGAGAGGAUAAAUGUUAAUUAAGAUUAUAAAAAUAAACCACAAACUAAACAGGAAAGACAUGGAUUUCAAAACGAGGAGACUGGCUGCUAAUUAAAACCAUAUGCGGCGUUGUCUAGGGCGCAAGGCACAUUCUAGGUGCUAACCUUUAUAUUGCCUCAAGCACAAGGCACAAAAGGAAGCGCUAGCCUGAGUGCAGUAAAGCGCAAUACGUAUAUGUGAGAGUUUUUGCAAGUCUGUGUGUCUAUAACAUAAAAGUUUUAAGAUAUAUGGUAAACUCUAAAGUGUGGUCUGGUUUAUCCACAAAACUUGCAAAAUUUUUAUAGGUGAAUACUUAAAUAUUGAGAAUUAUAGAGUUUGAUAUUAUCCCUUUCUUAUUAGUAAAGGUGUAUCAAAUGAAAACAGUAGAAAAUAAAAUAAAAUAUUGAGAAAUUCAACAAGGCAGGCUUUUUCUAAUGCCCAUUGCCUUACAAAAAAAGUGUGCCUAGGUGCACCAGGCAUACGCUUGAUCAAAUGGACCUCACCUGGAAGGGUCCAAGGCGUUUUGUUGUAUAAAACUAAGGCGUAGGCACGCCUAGGCGCAUGCCUUGACAACACUGACCAUAUGUUGGCUUUAUUGCAAAGCAUUAGCAAUCCAAAACUACUAGCACAUUACCUAAUCUACUACUGCUAGAAUAGGACUCAAGUUCUUGCUCCUGUGCAGGUCCAACCAAGAUCUUUACAGGAUACAAUAAUGAAACUUGUGAUAUCAUAUAUUGUUGCCUUGCUCGAAGCUUCCUUUGCACAUUUUUAAGUUUAACACAACCCCUUUCUUCAGUGAGUAAUCUAUUUGCUUCCUGUGAUAAAAACAACAUAUAAUCAAUCAUGCCACGCAUGCAAGACUACCAACCAACUAUCUAAUAAAAGAGACAAAGAAGUAGGAGAGCAAGAAGGGGAUAACCCUUGACUAUGCAAAGGAAUUCAUAGAAUGAGAAUCAUCUCAUCUAAGCCCCUCAACCACCUUCACAGGGGGUGGAGGUGCAAAGAGAGAGGUCUUAUUGAUCCGAGAGGAGAAUAUAUAACAUCUAAAGCUGAAUAAGAAGAAACCUUCAAAUAUAUCAUAAAUUCAGAAUUCAUGAUAAUAUAAAAAUGAAAUUCCAAAGCUAAUUUAAGCUAGAAUAAAAAUGCUUCACCUGUAAUCGCUUCCUUGCUACAGAAAGAGAGGUACCAGCAACCAACAAUGAUCUUACUUCAGUACUCAGCAUUUCCUCCUGUUUUUUAGCAUCCUCUGUUGCAACUUUGCAACGAGUUGACAUGUUUGCCAUAACUACUUUCCUUGCCUCUAGUCUCUCACGCAUUUCCUCAAGCUCGUUCAGUUUAUUCAAAGACUCAUUUUUUACCUGCACAGCAUGUUCCCACCCAUUAAUCAGUGGGCCAAUUAAUUAGGUCACAGAAGACAAAACUAAAUUAUCACUCACCAGGUCCCCUUGAAGUGUCAUAUGGCUUUAACAAUUCAACGUGCAAUAUCUAGUAAAAGUGAAAUAAACAUAGAAGAAUGCAAAUGCAAUUCUUAAACGCCUUUAAAUGGACAACAUGAAACAGUUUAAGAGCCCUAUAAAACAGAAAAGUGGAAAAAAAAUCUGAAAAGGAAAAAAAAUGAAUUGAAACAAUAAAUCCAUCUGGUACAAACAGCAACAAAUCUCGAAAUAAGCCUUGGCUUUAGCCCAUUAAAGCCCGGGCAUCCGGCCGAAUAAACAGUGACUGCCAUGUCAACUUUUUGAGACGGUAGAAAAGAGCUCAAAAAUCUCAAUUUCCAAAAUUAAGGACAUAAGAAGGAAAACAAUGUACUUAUUCUUACAGUAGAAGAGCAAAAUGAAACUAAAUGAAGGAUAAGGGAACUGAUGCGAAUUGACAUUGUUAUUUUUGGGACUAAAAAGAAUACGCAGAUUGAAUAUUUAAGAUUUUGUAAGGGAAAAGUUCCAUUCACCAACACAAUUAUCAUCGCCCUUUAUCCCAGUAAAGCUUAAUUGACAAUUUUUCUGUCUCGUGUUCUUGCUAAAGCAUUUGAGCAACCCAACAGAAAUCAUUAUAUGUCAAACUGAAAUGAUUGGCUUUAUCAAUUUCACAACCUAUACUGCCCAACCUAGUAAGUAAUUUAGGUGCAGACACCAGAAAUCUAUUUUCUUUGCACUCUACAACCAAAUAGCCUACCACUUAUCAAUCAAACACAGCUGAAAACUUCAGUGAGGAAACAUUAUGUAAACUGAAAAAACUAUAACUUCAACUUGAUUCAUAGCUCGGUAAGUUCAGGGAACUUGGACUUCUACCACCAUGAUCCAGUUCGAUGUGAAACAGUGAUCCAUAUCACGCAUAUCAGUUCCCGCAACAAGAGGUAAAACAGCAAAUUAGGUAAACAAUGAUCCAACUAUAUUUCAGAAUAGCAACAUUGAGCAUGAAAGCUAAAAUUAUAGCAUAUUAUGGGUCCUUGCUCCCUACAACUACAUAUAAAAUUACUAAACAAUAUUACUACAUUAAGGAUCCAGAAAAACUUGGUUUCAAUUGUUGAUCACUUGAUCCAACUAUUUUAGAAAGUUUAUUCUUCUUUUUCCUUUCCCUUAUUUUCUAAAUCAGGAAAAACAGUAGCAUAUAAACUGGAUUACUACUCCAAUUAAGUUUCUAAAAUUUCAGCAAUAUCCCUUUAACCUUUUCACUCAAGUCACUACCCCCCCCCCCCAAUUAACAAAUAUAUUCCCAGUUUCCCUUUCACUUCAAACCCCCCCCCUUUUUUUUUUCUCUACCCAAAUUCAGCUUACGUUCAAAAACCCAAAAUUGGUUUGCUAAAAAAACAUAAUUUUCAAACCCAAAGGUAACCUAAUUUUAAUCAGAAAAAAAAAAGAAGCAUUACCUGAAUUAGUGAAUGGAGUUUCUCUUGAAGACUUUAUUUUAAAAUUAUCUUAUACUAUUUGCUUUAAAUCGAUUUUUAUUAGUUAUUUGAAACUCGUUUUCAUGUACUAUUUAUUUUUUUAUCACUUAUUUAAAUUGUUUUACAUAUCUAUUUUUUAAACCCUAUUUUAUUAUAUUUUACUUAUUUUAACUUUUUUACAUAUUUCAUUAUAAAUAUUAUUAAUUAUCUAUAUUGAGUUUUUCAUUUAUGUAUUACUUAUUUAGAUAAAUAUAUACUAUUUUGUGUAUUACUUAUUUUGAUUUUCUUCUUAUACAAUAUUACUUUAAAAUUCAUUUAGAUAUUAUUAUUUCACAUAGUAUUUAUUUUUAUCUUCAUUUUUGAUCUAUUUCAAACUCAUAUAUAUUGUUUAUUUUGAAAUUUUAUGCACAUGAUUUAUUGUUUAUAUUGAUGAUUUUAAAUUUCCUUUCUUGUAUUUUUAUUUAUUUAUUUUAAAACUUGUUAUACUUUAUUUGUGUUAAUUUGCUUAGUUUUUCUUUCAAAAUUAACUUAUAAUUCAUUAGCUUUUAAUGUUAGUAUUUGCAUAAUAUGUGAUAUAAGAUUAUUGCUCUCAUGUAUUGCUUAUCUGUAUAUAUUGAUUAUUUGUCAUUCAUUAGUAUAUAUUUUGUUUUACGAAUUAUCACUUCUCGCGUUGUACAUUAUCAUUUCCAUCGCGUUUUAUUUGCUCAAAAAUUAUGUUUAAUAUGGCUUAAGUUUUGAAAUCAUUUUAUCCAAAAGCUUCCAAUAUAGCAUAACACUCGGUGUUUGGGAUUUUUGAAAAGAUCGUACUCUAACUUACGAGGUCUCGAUUUUUUGAUAAUUUCAAAUAUACGAACCUUUUUAAAAAAAAAAACAAGACACAUUUACUUAAAAAUUAUCUCAAGAAUCAAAAAAAGAUCGUGUCCCAACUUACCGGAUAUGAUUUAUUAUCUGAAACCGAUAUGAUCAAGAUUUUUAAAAAUAAAUAAAUUUUGGUGUUUAUUCUCGUUUCGGGAUUUAAGAUAUUGUGUCCUAACUCACGGGAUAUAAUUUUUUUCUCGAUUAACGAGAAAUACACCCUUCUUUAAAUUUUAACAAAAUGGUCAUUUUUUUAAAUUUCUUUUCGAAAUUUUAAUUUUUCGACAUUAAGACAUUAAUUAAUCGAUUAGGUACUAAUUUUGGGCAUGACGGGGUGCUAAUCCUUCCUCGCAUGUAACUGACUCUCGAACCCGUUUUUCUUAAAUUCCAUUGACCAAAAUCAUUGUUUUAAUAAAAUCAAAAUGUUUUAUCAAAACGAUUGAAUUGCAAGGUGAUCCAAUCACACAUAAAAAAAAUGUCGGUAGCGACUCCCUUUUUUUCAUUUUCAAAAUAAAAGUCAACACUAUUUUUGUUUUCAAAAAGUGGUUUCGACAAAAUUGUUUAAAUCUUACUUAUUAUUAUAUUUAAUUGUUUUUCAAAAUAUUUUAUAUAUCAUCAAUUUUACAAAUAAUUUAUAUUAAUUACUUAAAAGGUAUUUAAAAGUUAUAUUUCAUGUAUCAUUAUAUUAAAUUAUUUAAAUAUCAUAUAACUUGACUAAUUUUUUAAUUUCUACUAUCAUGUUUAAAAAGAACAUUUUAACUUUCAACUGCGAUUUUUAGUAGCAAUGAACAACACUAAAAACUAACAAACACACUUUUCAGCACCCCUUUUCAACAACACUUUUUUCUUAAAGUACUUUUGAACUAGUCCUUAGUCUAUCAUGCAUCGACUCUUCAUUUUUCUUUAACUACCCAUGUCCGACUUCAAACAUGGAUAUGGAGAUAUGACCAAGUCAGAGUGACAUAGUUUUUAGUUAUGGGGAAAAGGAUUCGAGUGUUGGACCUCCUUUUAGAUGCAUAGUGGGACUUUCAUCACAUUUUUCAAAUUUGUUGAUAAUCCUUCAUCUAAUCUGCCGGUGAAGUUUAUAGAUGGUCCUAAGUGUCUAUCACAAGAACCUAGAUAUUGUAAAUCCAAUAUCUUCCAAACAAUUCAACCAUGAUAUUAUUAAUAAUGAUGAAAGCAAGAUUAUCCACUAUCAAUGACAUAAAAUGAGCUGUAAAUGCUGACGAACAAACAUGCACUGUUUUUCCAACCUGUGGAUUGAAGAGCAUUGACAAGCUAACUUUGCAGACCAUUUGAAUCCAAUAAUAUACAUAAAAAUGCCAAAGGAGAAUAAUUCAUCUUGGAAAAAGAAUUACUAAUAUGCAAAAGCUUACCUUGUUUAACAAGAACACAGCAUAUACUGCUCUUGUCGUGUCUUGACCUUCUAAAAACAGCGGAAAUUCUGCCGGCUUUACAUUUGCUGAAACUGUUGUAUCCAAUGACAAAUCAGAAGAUGCAGGGUCUAUUGAAGCUGCAUGGUCAUUAAUAUAUGAGCGAGAACCACCCAAGCGCAGAAGAUAGCGCAAGGGAACUUGUAAAUAGGAUGCAAUUAGUGAAACAGCCUGCAAAUGAUGAAAUAGCAGGACAUUAGAAACAAUAAUAGGUAUGAUAAAAUUAUAGCCUAAGCAUGAGAAACAAACAAUCAAGAUGCAGCCCACUAUACCAUAUUACCAUCCUAGCAAUACCUGCAAAACUUUCAUCAAAACGGUAAUAACACUUUUGGACAAUGUGUCCUAUUUUACCACACAACUGGCAUUGGGGCCGAUUGUUUGAAAAACCACCCUCACGGCCUCAUCCUCGAUGGAAACCUCUAUUGCAUUGAAAACCACCUCUAUGUGCCUGUUUGUUCCCUUGAUAGCCACUGUUAUAAUCAUAACACUUGGUCCGAUCACCCUCAUCACAAUCUUGUUUACUAGCUAUGUUAGCUUGUUCGAGAACACUAUUCAAGAACUCAAGUUCUCGAGCUUCACAAUCAAGCAGCAUCUCAAUCAACAGACCAAGCGACACAGCAGUAGCUGAAGCUACUACCCGUACUGAUUCACACUCAACUGGCAACCUUGCAAGAAUGAUGCUAACCAUUUCUUGAUUUGAAAUCAAACAACUCGUUGCAACCAACAUAUCACACAUGGACUUGAUCUUAGACAAAUAUUCUUUAACAAACAGAUGACCCUUUUUCUGUGAAUACAACACAUGAUGCAUACUGGACAAUUUUACCGUCGACUUAGUCGCAAGCCUUUUUUUCAAUAGUUUCCCAAAUAUAAUAACUAGUACGAGCACUAGUAAGAUAGGCUAGAAUUUCAUCACUAUCAGUUGAAAGUAACCAAGAAGCCAAUAGCUUAUCUUGUUGCACAUGUAAAACAGAAUCAGAAUCUUCUACUAAUCUCCCAUAUUUAUCCACUACAAACUGUGCUAGUACACUAAUAGCACCCAAAACAAACUCAUGCAGACCGUAUCAUUCAAGGAUCAACAUAAUUUGGAGCUUCCAUAAAACAAAAUUAUACUCACCAAGCUUUAUUGUAUCGUGCUUAGGAAAUUGUUGAAGACAUCUACAACUGUUGAGGUGGGUUUUCUUUAAACAUACUCAUUCCAACAAAAAAAAAAUCUACGUUAGUAUGAUUAAUUAGAAAGUGAUUAAUUCAUUAUUUAGUUAGAAGUGAUGGCCUUAAGAAAAAAAAUGACAUUAUUUUAUUUGGCAUUGUUAAAAGUGUUAGUUACUGAAAUAAUUAAUGAGAUUAUAAAAGUGAAAGAAUCAAAUUAUGUCAAAAGUAAAGUAGAGGGUUUUAAUCCUAAAUUUGGGUAUAAUAAAGGGACUAACACCAAAUAAUUAUAAAAUUUUCAAAUAUUUUAAAAUUAAUUUUAAAUAUUAAUUAAAUACAAAUUAUAAAAAAAUAAAAUAAAAAUCCCCAGCGCAGUGAGGGACAUAUUCGAUAUCAAUAAUUAUAAAAUCUGUAGUUGUAAUAUUUAAUUGAUAUAAUAUAUAAAAUUUGAGGGUUAAAUUUGUUAUUAUACAAUUUUUUUAACUGCCGUGUCACUUUGCAAUUUUUUAUUUUAAGGAGUCAUCAAAAUAACUAAACUAUGUAAUGUGAGUGCUUAAAUUACAAAAUUUUUACUUUAAUGUGAGUGCUUAAAUUACAAAAUUUUUACUUUAAGUGUUUAAAUUUUUAAAAAAAAUUAUAAUUAAAUAACAAUCUAUAUGUAGUUUGCCCAAAAAUUUUAUAACCCAAACUACACAAUUUUAUGGCCAUCUCCCACUUUUGAUAUCUCUUUGGCCAUUAGUUAAGAUGGGAGGGGAAUGACUUAUUCAAGAUUAGUGUCAACAUUAGAUUUAAAACCUACGGAAGUCAUGUUUCAAUUUUUUUAUAUAAUAAUAUAACAUUUAAAAUUAUAUUAUAUCUAUAAAAGAACUCAUUGGAUUAGGGUUUUUUUUUUUAAUUAACUUUCCAUUUGUUAUUAGAAAACAAAACUAAAAAUGCAUCAAACAGGGCUCUGAUAAAAAAUUAAAAAAAAACCAAAAUGUUUAGGUUUGGUAUCGUUUUACUUUUACUUUAAAAUCAGUCUAAUCUGUAUCAUGCUCACACCAAACAUAUGAAGAAAAAAAAAAGUGAAAUAGUAAGGAUAUUAUUAAUUUCAUUCCAAGACAAAUUUUAGCAUACCCAAUUAGGUCCUUGGGUUAAUCUUAUGUUUUUUGUUUAGGCAUUCAGCAUUCUUGGCGUUUAGUUUAGUUAGAAUUUUAAAUUAUGAUAGAUCUGAAACUUUGGUAUUUUUGUGCAAAACUCAACCUCAAAGCUUUAUUUGUUGUCUAAAUUAUUUUAUUGAAGCCUAGGAAUUGUUGUUAUUGUUUCGGCUAAUUGACCUUAAAGCAUCAAAUGCCUUUUUUUGGAUGGUCAUAUUCCUUCCAAGGGCUGAAUUACUAAAAGCCCAUGAAGUAUCCUUCUUUUUCUUAAGUGAGCCUCUGUUUCAAUGCCGCCAAAAUUUUCUUUAUCCACAUGGAAGCUGACCUGCCAUGAUGAUGUGGUAAAAAAAUGAACAAUUUGUAUUUUUUGAAAAAUAUAACACUUAAGAACUUUCUUUCUUCUUGCCUCCCAAUUCUCACCACCAAUUCCUUAGCCCAAAUCAGUUUUGGCCUCCGACAUUGAUCAUAACAAAAGUAAACUUUCUAUUAGAAAUAAUUUCUUUUAUGUACAAAUUAAAGGGUAAGAUAUUGUUUGGGUACAAAAAAAGCAUAUGAGCUUACUUUAGAAAAGUGACAACGUUGGGCUCUUUUAGUAUUCUAUCCUCCCACCAACUUUGUCCAAUGUUUUUUGCCUUAUCACCAGACAGUAAAAGGGCCUUUGACCUUUUCAGGCUAAGCGCUGCCUGGUGCAUGUAGGGGGAAAAGGCCUUCUAAUUGAAGUUCUCUUUAAUAUCUCUUUAAUUGUUUCUUAAUUGUAACAAAGGGAUAAUAUCGAACUCUCUAUUUCUCAAUAUUUGAGUAUUCAACACCAGGCAUGGGAUCAUAUGGAAAUAUGCAUAUGGUUGACAAAAGAAAGAAAAUUUGGAAAUGUUUAUUUAAGUAGUAACUGCUGGUUUUCUUGGAUGCUUUCUUGUUAAUGACUACUGUUUGGGCAUGUUUAUUUAAGAAUUGCCCCCAAGUAGUUUCUUGAAUCAUCUAAAAUUGGAAAAAAUAGUCUUAUGGUAACUCAUUAAAGUAUUUGAAAGUAUGCACAAGCUAAUAACAUUUUAGAAAUUAAAAUUGAAGAUCGGUUUUUAGGGUAUCAUGUCCAUAUUAAGCAUCAUCUUUCCAGAUUACUGUUCUCUCUCUCUCUCCCUCUCUGUGUGAUAUAUUUCUCAAGUGAAAGGUAACCUUCUUCACUUGAUUUUGACUUAAUUUUGCAGUCACCACGAUUGUAUAAUGUGUACAAGCAAAUGGGAAUUGUAAAAUCUUUUCAGAAUAUUCUGGACAAUGUUUUCAUUCCACUAUUUGAAGUUACAGUUGAUCCGAAUUCUCAUCCUCAACUACACGUGUUCCUAAAAAUGGUGAGUUCUAUGUUCAUCGGAGAACAUACUGUGCUAUAAUAAGAGAUUUCGGAAAAUAUAGUUAAAAAAUGCUUCUUUAUUGGAAUGACCUGCAUUAUAGCAAGCUGAAUAAAUGAUGCCUUAACUUUAUUCAUUGUGUUCUCAUAAUUCUUUAAAACCAUUCGAAAAUUCUAUUGAGCCACAUUAUAUGGUUAAUUUUUGGGUCUGUACUGCAUACUGAACAUGUGUACAUCCUUGCGAUUUUAGAUGGAUGGAGUUGGACAGCAAAGCAAUUGAAAAAAACCCAAUUUAUGGUUUCUAAAUGUUAGAUCAUUUAUGGUUUCUAGUUUCAAUUUAAAAAAAAAAAAUCCAAAUCAGCCAACUAAUGAAAUUUUCAACGAUGUUAGUUAUUUUAACUAAUCCAUAACAUGUUUGCUUCUUCUUCUUUUUUUUAGCCUAGCAGCAAUGUUAGCCUCUGGACUAGUUACCGCCCUCCUUUUUCCCCUCCCUAUUAACCCUUUUUAUUUUUCUUCUCAUUCACUCCAUGAGUCUUCGUUCUUUUCAGUUUACAGAUUUAUUUUGUGAGUAUUUUUGUUGUCUUUACAAGUUGUAAUGGACAGUUGACAAUGGCUAUCAUCAUUGAAACACCACCGACCACCAACACUUUCUUUUAGAAAGUGGGUACCUCUUCGUUGACUACUUAAUUUGUUUAUAUUUUGAGAGUUUCAAAAUAAUAAAUGAUUUCAUGACUCGGUUUAGACUCAUGUUUUUUUUCCAUUGUUCAAUAAGUUUUUACUUUUAAAAGUUUUUUUCUACUCUUAUAGUAAGCUUUUUAGUCUUGCUUUUGCGAGUAAUUUUAGGGUUGGUUUUGUCGCCAUCCCCUCUAGUUUGGUGGAUGCUCAGUUCUUUUGCUGAUUUAUGCCCGCCGCUUUGGACCAUCCGGGGUUGAUUUUCUUACUAUAUUAAGUGCUUGUAAUCACUUCUGAUAUGUUGUGCUUGAGUUGUGAUAGAGCUGAUUUCAACAUGCCAUAAUGUUCUAUUAAUGUUGAAGCUAAAGCUUUUGUUAUAUUGAUGGAGCUUGUCCUUUAGCGAGUACAACAAGUGUUUGUUAUUUCCUCCCCCCCCCCGAAUUGUAUGGUAUUAUUCAUUGAAUAAAUUAAUGAAGUUGUCUUAAAAAAAACUAAUCCAUAACAUUAACAUUAAUAAGAGAACAAAAUAUAUCAAAUUAAAAAAGAAAAACUGAAUCUUUAAUUCAAUUGAGAAAUUAUAGGGAUUAAAACUAUAAAUUGAUCUAUAAUAAUUUCUCAGGCAUUAAUUGUAAGAUUAAUUCCAUAACCUAAAUUAUUGUAGGGGCUAUAUAAGCUCAAGGUUGACGCAAAAGUCAAUAGUCAGCGUCUGAAAGUUAAUGCAAUUAAUUAUGUCAUUGUUGAUAUAUUUAACGCAAAUAUAUUAUCAUAUGUGUAAUGUCAUACCAUCUUAUUAUUUCCAUAUGUUACUAAAAAUCUAGUUAACGGACUAAGGAUUGUCAUUUGUAUCAAGACUGAAAUUUUAAAUUUUGAAAAAUAUAGGUACUUAGAAUAAUCCAAUUAGAGAGUAUGGACUAAAUCAACAAUUAUACGCAUAAUAUAGGACUAGUAAUUGGUUUUAAUUAAAUUGAUUUAACUCUAUUGUUUGGAUCACAACUAAAAUUUUAAAAUUCAAAAUGUAUAGGGAUUAAAAUUGAUCAAAUUGAAGUAAAUAGACUAAAUUUACAACUUUCACAAAGAACAGUGACCAACAGCAGAAUUUAACCAAAUAAGCUCACCAAAGUCAAUAGUCAAUCUUUGAAAAGUAAUGCAAUUAAUUAUGUCAUUGUAGGAACGCUUUCCUGACAUAAAAUUCCACCAACUAAGCCUUUUGCGUAAAUAUUAGCUAUGAAAAUUCAACCAUUGAUAUUAAAUUCAAGACCCCACAAAUGACAGACAUAUAUGUUGGAAAAAUCUUUGUGUGAACAUUUCUUUCGGUCAUACUCAUGUCGUAUAAGUUAGAGGAGCACAAGUCUAGAUUCAUCCAAUUUUUGAGGAAUUAAUUAAUUAUAUAUUAGUUUAAAAUUAUAGUGAAUUAGUGAGACGCCAUAGGUCUUGCUUGCAUAUAAAUAAGAAGCUUAGGCUUCUUCAGAUUAUUUACAUAUAAAAGUUUAAAAAGUAACAUAUAGCUAAGAGAGAAGAGGAAAACAGAAAGAUGAUGAUGAUAAUGAUGGAGUGGAAAUGGUUAUGGUUUAUAAGGAUGGCAGUAAUGUUGUUGGUGUUAGAAGGGUGCAGGUGGUGUACUGCUGAUGCUUGUUUGGAGCAUGAGUCGCCUUCUUGCAUCUCAAACCUUUCUUCAAUUAUGAUAAUCAAUUGAAAAGUUGGAUUGAGGUGAAGGGUUCAGAUUGUUGUAAAUGGAAAAGAGUUGAGUGCAACACCAUCACUAGGAGAGUCAUACAACUCUCCCUUAAUCAUACAUCAUCCAAUAUAUAAAUGAAUUAAUGAAUUUACCUUUCAAAAGAGAAAAAAAGAAUUCAUAAAUUUUGAAAUACAAAAUGAACGUGUUUUGAUAUUUUUAGGGCAAUGGUUUAGUGGUUCAAAAUUUUGAUUUAAUAUGGUGAAUUUAAUUAUAAUUUUUUAUAUAUUAGAUAGUAGAAUAUAUUUUACCAUUUAUAAUUAAGUACAAUUAAGUUUAGGUUAAAAUAUUUUAUUAAAUUUUUGUACUUUUCACAAAUUUUAAAUUUAAUCUGUUUACUUUUAUUCUAGAAUUUAAUCUCUCUGCAUGUAAAGGAGGUUAUUAUGGCAAGGGGAAUUACCAUGGCAGAGGUAGCCGAGGCUGACGAAGAGAUGCUGGAUAUGCUGAAGAAAGAUAGAUGGCUGAGAAACAGAAAAACUUUAGGAACAAUAUUCAGUGUUAGAAGUAUGGGGAUGUGAAGGCAGAUUGUUGGAAAAGGGGAAACAAGCAAAUUUUGCGGAAGAUGAUGAAGAGAUUUAAAUUAUUUAUGAGCUGUCUAGAUGACACUAUAGCUUCAACUAACAUUUGGUUUCAAGGGCGUAUAUCUCAUGAUGAAGAGAUCGUCUCUCUUCUUUUUUCUCAUAACAUAUUACACGCCAUGAUAAUAAAUAUUGAUAUGCCUAUAAAUUUGAGUUUCUAUUAUUUGUAGUCAUGAUUUGGUUCACUCCAUAAGUUACAUAAAUUUAUUAUAAUAAUUCAAUUAAUUUUAGAUUAAUUUUACAUUUUUGCCCGAACUUUAGUUUUUAAUAAUUCAAUCAUCCCACCAUUAUAUUCAAUUAAAAGUGUAAUACGAUUUUGCGUCAUCCAACCAUUAUUCUUAGUGUAAUUUUUGGUAGUGAGCAUAGAAGGACAGCGAGAACAAAGAAAGAAUGUAUCCAAUAACCCACUCCCCUUAUAGUCAAUGCUUAAAAUGAAUAAGAAAAUAGAAAACAAACGUGGCAAUGCCAGCUAAUUUGUUAUUACUAUUCACCGUAUAACUAAGGACAUUACGCACCGUUUUAAUUAAAACAAACUCACCGUUUAAGACCGUUACUUCUAUGCAUCGUUUUAAUCAUAUGCGUCAGUUCGAACAAAUAGGUGAACAUGAAAGCUUUUCGCAAAGUUUAGAUGUGUGCUUAAAACUCAAACUUUGUGUUCUGUAAAAAUAUUGAUUUUGUUGUAAUUGUAGGUUGAACUUUGUGAGUCCAAUUACUUUCUUUGGCAUCGGAUAUUUCGUGGAACUUUCGUAUGAGAUAUUUACUUCAUAAAUAGAAGAUUACAAAAUUUGGAUAUUAAUAUAUUUUUCAUGAUUUAAUUUUCUUUUCCUUUUUUGGGCUAAAAUAAUUAAUAACGAAAACACGUCUUUUGCUAGCACCUAUAAAUGCCUUAAAAAUGUAAAUUAAUAUUCCACAAUAAUUAUUAAGAUGAAAAGAAUUUUAUAAUCUAAACUUACGAUUUCAUGUGAAUUUAAUGUUUAGUUAUAGUUUUAAUUACAAAGUUAAAUUGGUAUCUUUGUUAUUGCAAUAAUUAAAAAAAGAUGAGUCCAAAUGACGUUGAUUUUCUGUUUUUUAAAAGUGAAUGCAAGAUGGGACGGCUGGAAUUUUUUUUAUUAAACAGUAAGUAUGAAACAGUUAUGGUAAUUGCUUGCUCCAUCUCACUCCACUCCACUAUAUAAAAUUAUCAUUUCAUUCUUUUAUAUAUAGAAAAAAAUUAAAUAUUUUAUGAAAAUAAUCAUGUUUAAAUUUCCAAGAAUAAAAGCAAACUGAAGACUUAAAAUUUCCAUUAAUAAAACCAAAAUCAAAGAAGUAAAUUUCCCAUGAAUAAAACAAAAAAUGAAGAUCUAAAUUUUCCAUUAAUAAAGCCAAGUCAAGACUAAGUUUGUAUAAGUGUAAGAAGGGUAUAAAUGAAACUCACAAGAAAGCCACAUGAAGAAUUUUAUAACCCCAAACUACACGAUUUUAUGUCCACCUCUCACUUUUCAUAUUUUUUUGGCCAUUCGUUUUUCAAGAUUAACAUCAGCAUUCUUGUGGUCCGUUCAUCCUUUUCUAAUGAAUUUCCACCAAGAGUUUUAUUUUUCAAAAUGUUAAAUUAACUCAUGAUAUUAAUUAAAUCAAGAAAUUUUAUAAUAAUAGAGAUGAAAAAACUAAAUUUUCAAAAUCAAAACCUAAAAUGUGCAAGAAUAAAAGCAAACUGAAGACUUAAAAUCUCCAUUAAAAAAAUCAAAAUCAAAGAAGUAAAAUUUCCAUGAAUAAAACGAAAAAUGAAGACCUAAAAUUUCCAUUAAUAAAUCCAAGUCAAGACUAAGUUUGUAUAAGCGUAAGAAGGGUAUAAAUGAAACUCACAAGAAAGCCACAUUAAGAAUUUUAUAACCCCAACUACACGAUUUUAUGUCCACCUCUCACUUUUCAGUUUUUUUGGUCAUUAGUUAUUCUAAGAUUUAACAUCAACAUUUGAUUUCAAAUCAACGUUAAACCAUGUUUAAACUCUUUUUCUUAUAUAAUAAUUAUAUUAUAUUUAAAAUUGAAAAAACUAACCAGCCAAAUAUAUAUUAAUUAAUUAAUAGAAUUUUUUUUGCUCAUCGAUUAAAAUAAAUCAAGAAAGACGUUGGAACCACCAACCUCUCUUUAAGAACAACAGGAAUACAAGAACCUAUGCACAACAAGUACUAAAAUGUAUUAAGUAAAUUCAUCACCAGGCCUUAAAAAAAGAAGAUCUCGAUAUACCUGCUUUUGCCAAAGCAUCUGCCAUACCAUUACUUUGCCAGUGAAUAAUUCUGAACUGAAACUUAGCCAAUUGAGUGAUAUUAAUUAUAGAAAUGGUUCUUCUUGCAACCAUAGAUGAAACACCACUGAGACUAACAAACUUGGAGAAACUUGAUUAAAUCAAACUUAUGCAAAUUUCUUGAAUAUUUAAGUUAAGAGUUAACGUCAAAGUCAAGAGUUGAUAAGGAUUUUGUGGUCCAUUCAUAUCUUUAUUACAAUAUAUAUAUAUUCAAGAAAUUUGCAGCAAGUUGGAGUUUUGCAAUAAGGAAUUUCCACCAAGAGUUUUGGAAUAAGGAAUUUCCUCCAAGAAUUUUGCAGGAAUCAUAUCUCUAACAAAAGAAAGACCUUCAUUUGACUAAAUUUUUUAGUAUUUAUUUUAACUUCCAUUUUAUUAAAAAAAAACAGAGGUAAAAAAUAUGCCGAACAGGGUCUUUAGGUUACUUUUCUUAGAACUAUAUUAUGUUAUAGUACCGUAUAAGUUAGAGGAGCACAAGUUUAGAUUCAUCCAAUUUUUGAGGAAUUAAUUAAAUAUAUAUUAUUUUAAUAUUAUAGUAUACAGAGGCAAUGUUAGAAAAAAAUUUUGUGGAGUCGAAAUUAAAUUAUAGUUUUAAAAGCAUAUAUCUUUAUAAUUUUUAAAGAAUUAAAUCAAAUUUUUAUCAAUUUUAGGGGGUCAAUGUGCAAUUUUAUCUUUACUAAUUUAAAAUUUUAAAACAUUUAAAGGACCUAAAUAGGAAUUUUUCUAUUUUAGAGGCGUCUGAGACGCCUGUCUAGCUAUGCCCCUGAUAGUGAAUUAGUGGGAUGCCAUAGGUCCUGCUUGUAUAUAAAUAAGAAGGUUAGGCUUCUUCAGAUUAUAUACAUAUAGAAGUUAAAAAUUAACAGACAACUGAGAGAGAAGAGAAAACAGAAAGAUGAUGAUGAUGAUGAUGAUGAUGGAGUGGAAAUGGUUAUGGUUUAUUAGGAUGGCAGUAAUGUUGUUGGUGUUCGAAGGAUGCAGGUGGUGUACUAUUGAUGCUUGUUUGGAGCACGAGAGGAUUGCUCUCUUGCAUCUCAAACCUUUCUUCAAUUCUCGUGAUGAAUUGAAAAGUUGGGUUGAGGUGAAGGGUUCAGAUUGCUGUAAAUGGGAAAGAGUUGAGUGCAACACCACCACUAGGAGACUCAUACAACUUUCCCUUAAUUAUACACAAUGGGAAUUCAACGUGGAAUAUUGGUAUCUCAAUGCCUCUAUGUUUCUUCCCUUCGAGGAAUUGAGGAGUCUUUAUUUGUCAGAUAAUGCCAUAGCUGGUUGCAUUGAAAAUGAAGGUCGUGCCUUUAAUUUUCCCUCAGUUACAUCUUUUAUUAUUACACUAUUCUCACCCUUGUUAAUUUGCAAUUACUUAUAAUUUAUUUUAUUUUAUUGAAGAAAGGUCACUAAAUGUUUGUGUAUAUAUUUAAAAGAACACUCUUACAGGUUUUGGAAAGCUAUCAUCCACAUUGAGUAAUUUGGAGAUUCUUGACUUAAGUUACAAUUACUUGAAUGAUAGCAUUUUGUUAUCUUUGAGUGAGCUUUCAUCUCUCCGAUAUUUGGAUCUAUCAUACAACCGAUUUGAAAGAUCAAGUCAUCCAAGAGGUAAAUUAAGUUUAGUCUGGUGUUAGUUUUUAUUUGUAUUGGGGAGUUUGACAGUGGUUUUCCAUUGUUUUAUUCCCUCUAACUUAGUUUUUGCUUUUAUGGUUGAGAGGAAAAAGAAACAAACAAGUACUUACUCAAAUUAACUAAACAAUGGAUUAUUUUUUUUAUGUUUUGCAGUAACUAAUUCUAUGGUAUAUAAAUCAGGUUUUCAGUGGCUUUCAAGGCUCACUAAAUUGGAAACUCUUCAUCUAAGUGGGAAUUCUUUGAAGAAUAGCAUUUUUUUACAGAUGAGAAAUCUUUCAUCUUUGAAGACUUUAAGUUUGGGUGACAAUCAGUUGGGAGGAAAACUGCUUCAUAUUCAAGGUAGACUGAUUUUACACUUUUCUUGUUAACUUUAAAAUAAAUUCAGUAUGUGAUUUGAUUUUAUCAUAUCAUGAAUAUAACUGAUCAAUAUUUGAGAUUGAAUUUCAGAAUUGAAUCAUUUGGCAAACUUGAAGUACUUGGAUUUAAGUAGGAACAGAAUUGAAAGCAUCUCAAACAAAGGUAUAAGUAAUAAUUUGUGCAUGACUUUCCUGACAGACUUCAAAUGUAUUUUCUUUGUUUUUUUCCUUUUCAUAUGGUUGAGAGGAAAAAAGAUCCUUAUAAUCUUAAAGAGUUGAUAUUGAGAGUUGGUCAUGAGAGAAUGGGUCCUUAAAAUCCUUAAGACCAGGGAGUUUGUGUCCACAGUUGAGUAUUCCAUUUGAAAACUGAAAAUUAAAUAUUCUAUUGCUUUAUUUCUUUUAAAAGAAAGAUUGAGUUUGGAUCUCCGACUGCUUUAUUUUUUUCAAAGAAAGAAAUAUGUUUAUACUUUUGCGCAGAAGAUAUGAAGAAGUCUUAUUUUGUUCUCGCUUUUGUGCAAGUGAAACUUAGUUAUCUCAAAUAUAUAUAUAUAUAUAUAUAUUGUAGUUAUCAGUUCACUACACAAUAGCAUGUAAACCAGUUCCCCCUUUUCAAAUUUAUGAGUGGGAGUUGUCCAUGAUUUUCUUUGUGAUUUUCUUUUCACGUUUUAGGAUUUUCAUCUUCACUUCAAGUUUUAGAUUUACUUUUUUUCAUUUUUAUUUCAUUAACUUAAAAAAGGAAUGCUGGAUCAUAUUCAAGGUAGAUUGAUUUUACAUGUUUCUUUUUAACUUAAAAAAUCAAUAUAUGUUCAAGUUUAAGUGACAACAACAUUGAAAGCAUCUCAAACCAAGGUAUAAGUAUUUGUGCGUAGUAACUUUCUUGACUGACUAUUAUUCCAAAAGGCAAUGACAGACUUCAAAUGUAUUUUCUUUAGUGAAUUUUUAUUGCAAAAAUGGAGUAUUAUUAUUUAUUUAAGUUUUGUAGUAACUAAUUAUAUAAUAUAUAAAUGAGGUUUUCAAUGGCUCAUUAAAUUGGAAAUUAUUGAUAUAAGUUGGAAUUAUUUGAAGAAUAGCAUUCUUUAAAAUAAAUUCAUGUUGAAGGAAAAGUUGUUGCAAUAAGUCAUUUGAUUUUAUCAUAUCAUGAAUAUAUAUAACUAAUCAAUAUUUGGGAUUGAAUUUCAAAAUUGAGUAAUUUAAGUAGGAAGGUAUCUCAAACAAAGUAUUUAUAUAUUGAAUCAAUUCAUCGGAAAGCUUGUAAAUUGGCUCUUCCUUCUCAAACAAACAUUUUUCCUAACUAUUUAUAUAUUGAAUGAUGUUAACUAUACUAAUUACUUUCUUCCAAUGAUAGAUGGAACACAAUUGAGGCUAACAAACUUAGAGGAACUUGAUUUGAGUGGUAAUCUCUUUCGGAACAACACAAUUUCCUUUCCUCAAGGGCUUUCAAGCCUAAAGUCUUUGACUUUGUACAACAACCAUUUGCAAGGCUCAUUAGAUACUAAAGGUACUAAAGCUAUAACUUUGUUUUUCUUGAUAAUUCUUUCUAGAACCUUUUAAAAUUAAUUGUUUCAAUUUUGAACAUUCACAUUUCACGUUUGAGGAUUUUCAUCUUCACUUCAAGUUUUAGAUUUACUUUUUUUUUCAUUUUUAUUUCAUUAAAAUAUUAAGUAGAAAUUAAAAUUAUUAACAUAAUGAUUUUUUGAAUUGGACGUGGAUAUGUAUAGGAUUGAGCAAUUUAACAAAUUUGAAGAAACUCGAUUUAAGUGUGAAUCAGAUUGAAAGCUUUCAAUCCUUUAAAGGUAUGCAUUUAUAUUUAACCAAUUACCUAAAUUCUUACAUAUAAUUAAAUUUUAUGCCAAUUCAUUUCAGUGAUGAAAUUAUAUAAAUCUUUUGUAGAUGGUGGUAGAAAAUUGGAGUUGACCCACUUGGAAGAGCUUUAUUUAGAUUACAAUCAGUUCAAUACUAGUGUAUUUGCAUCCCUUAACAAGCUUUCAAAUUUGAAAUCUUUGAGCAUAUGGGACAAUGGAUUGAAAGGAUCAAUAGAUAUGAAAGGUAAAUAUAUUAGUUUUUUUAACUAGAAUAUAAUCAUGUUUGAAGAGAAUAUAAUGAAGUUGAUUUGUUGUUUUUGUUUUCCUAGAUUUGGAAGCAUUUAUCAACUUAAGGGAACUAGAUAUGAACUAUAAUGAAUUGAAAGAUUUGGUGAUCCACCAAGGUAUCAUUUAAUUAAACUUCCUUUUUUUUUUAAUUUAGAAAUUUAGUUUUGAUCUCAUAUAUUAUAAUAACGGUUAUUGUCAUAAAUAUUAAUAAAGUUAUAUCAUAUCAUACUUGAAAGUAAAAGUUUGGUGAAACAUUUUCUAAAUCAUCCAUUAUAAUGUGUUUGGACUUUGGUUUGAAACUAAAAUUCUUUAAAAUUUUCAUCAUUUUAAAAUAUUAAUGUUUAUAAUUAUUUUGUUUGUAUAAAUAUAUUUUUUAAAAUAAUUUAUUGAAUUUUUAUGAGAUAAAAAAUAAUUAUAACAAUAAAAAAUGAUAUUAUAAAUAAAUAAAAACAUAUAUUUAUGAGAAAAUAUGUAAUAUAACUAUAUUUUAAUUUCAUAUAUUUUUAAUAGUAUAAAACAUAAAAAUACAUAUUAGCGUUAAAUAAAUGGCAUUUUUUGGCAAAAAUAAAUAAAUGUCAAUUUUGAAUAAUUUAAAAAAAAUCUUUAAUUUUGUGAAAUUUAAACAUACAUUGAGAGGUGCUUAAACUUCCAUUGCAAUCUUUUUAUAAAUUUCAAAGUGCAUAUGUUUUUAACUUUUUGGUUUAAAAAAAUAUGAUAGGUCUACGUACUCUUUACUAAUUUGUAAUUUAAUUCUUAUACUUUUAUUUUCAAGAAUUUAAUCCCUGUUUUUUUAUAAAAAAAUCAAAAUCCUAGUUCAAUUGUUAAAAUUGUUAAAAUUUUAAAAUAGUUUGUUGGUGUGACAUUUUGAAAUAAAAAAAAACUUAGUAGUAAUGUAACUAAAAAAUGACGUAAUGAACAUGGAUUUAAUAAAAUAAUUUUAACAAUAUUAAUAAAAUAAUUUUGAAUUUUGAAUUUUAACUUAACUCUAUUUUUGGGCCAAGAUUUAAUGCUUUAAAAUUUUCAUUUAAUCCGCUGAGUUUACUUAUAAUUCUUUUGAGUUUUAUUUAUUGGUGAGUAAAAUACCUAUUUGAUUUUUUUAUAUACUAUUGGCAUCUUUAAAGGUAAUAUAAUAAUUUUAGUGUAGACGUGUUUUAUUUUAUAAAUAUUAUUUAUAGUGUAGACAUGUGAAUUUUGAAUAAUUUAAAAAUAUCUUCAAUUUUAUGAAAUUUAAACAUACAUUUAGUGUAGACAUGUUUUAUUUUAUAAAUAUUAUUUAUAGUGUUGUUGAUUGGAGUUUGAAAAUUAUACAACUUAGCUAUAUCAGUUAAUUACUUAUAUUAAAAAAUAAUAUAAGAAAAUACUAAAAAGAAAAAAAAUAGUAUAAUUAAUAAAAUGGAUGAAGAGUUAUAUUAAAGUUUCAACAUCUUCUCUCUAUCAAAAUUUAUCUCGGAUAAAUCAUGAAUAAUCUAACUCAUAAAAAAAUAUAUAUAUAUUUAUAUACUUCAUUUCAUUCACAGAAAAUAAAGCAUUCCACUUAAUAGAGGCUUUCUAUAAUGCCGUUAUCUAAUACCUCUUGACAUUGCUUAGAUUCAAAUGUGUCGAGCAGUUUGGAGGAAAUAUAUCUUGACUAUUCUACUCUCAACACCAACAUUUUGCAAAGCAUUGGAGUAUUCGCUUCUCUUAAAAUAUUGUCUUUAUCUAAUUGUGGACUUAUUGGUCCCUUACCUAAUCAAGGUAAACAAUUUUAUGGCUCAAUUUGAUUUCUUUAUGAACUUUCUGUAAUAUAUUAUCUCCUAUUCUGUUUUAUAAAGCAAAAUUUAAUUGAAACUUCUUCCAUGAAUUUAUUUAUAAAAUUUUCAGGAUGGUGUGAUCUAAGGAACCUUGAAGUGUUGGAUGUGAGUAGAAAUGCACUUGAGGGGAUGCUUCCUCAUUGUUUUAGUAACUUGACAUCUCUUCGUGAGUUAGAUAUUUCAAGAAACCAUUUUCAAAUUCCGCUGUCAUUUGCACCAUUUGCAAACCUUUCAAACCUCAAAGCCCUUUUGAUUAAUGAAAACAAGAUGGUAAUGGAACCUUCCUUUUAUACCUCAAUCCCAAAGUUCCAAUUGGAAGUCAUCAGUUUGUCAAAGUGCAUAACAUCUCAACAACUCAGUCUUAAACUUUGUACCUUCCUUUACUACCAAUAUGACUUGAGAUAUGUGGAUCUUUCGCAUAACAAUCUCAGUGGAACUGUACCAACUUGGUUGCUAGAAAACAACACAAAGUUAGAAGAUCUCAUCUUGAAGGGUAAUUCAUUUACAGGUCCUCUCUCACUUUCGUCGGCUCUUAUUUCUAAUGUAUCUACAAUUGACAUAUCUGAAAACAAAUUACAAGGUCAAAUUCCAACUGGUAUAUGUUCAACUUUUCCACAUUUGAGGCAGUUAUUCUUAUCCAAGAAUGCUUUUGAAGGUAAUAUCCCACUUUGUUUAAGUGGCAUGAAGGACUUAUCAUUUUUAGAUCUAUCAGACAAUCAUUUGUAUGGAAAAGUACCAGAAGAGUUGAUCACGAAAGGCUUACUAAUCAUUUUGAGACUAUCAAAUAACAACCUCAGUGGAAAUGUAGUUCCUGUGAUUCUCAGCGCAAAUGGGGUGCAGCAUUUAUAUUUGGAUGGAAAUAAUUUUUCAGGAGAGAUGACAAAUGUUGAUGUGUCUACUUUUGAGUUUCCAAAUUCACUAAGCGAAAUUGAUCUCAGUAACAACACUUUGCAUGGAAAGCUCCCAAGAUGGAUAGGGAAUGCAUCAUUUUUGGGGAGAUUAGAUUUGUCCAACAAUGGUUUUGAAGGUUCUAUUCCAAUGGAAUUUUGCAAGUUGAAUAGGUUGGAAUUUUUGGAUCUUUCUCAAAAUAAUUUAUCUGGCUCUAUACCGUCAUGUUUUAAUCCACCAUACAUACAGCAUGUCCACCUCCACGGGAAUAGACUGAGAGGCCCACUAUCACUUGCUUUUUAUAAUAGCUCUUCAAUAGUGACUUUAGAUCUUGGAGGAAACAAUUUGACGGGUAGUAUUCCAAAAUGGAUUUACACGCUUUCUUCUUUGAGUUUUUUUCUCUUGAAAGAUAAUCAUUUUCAUGGUAAAGUUCCUAUUGAGUUAUGCAAGUUGCAUUCUUUAAGCAUCAUAGAUCUUUCUCAAAAUAUGUUUUCUGGUCCUAUACCUUCUUGUUUGGGAAAUUUAUCUCUUCCAAUGCAAAGGAAGAAGAUUCUAGAACCUGGUUUCUAUGGGCCACCUAUAGAAGAGGAUGAAACAACACGCAGUACGAAACUAAAUUUGGGAAUGUAUUCUUACUAUCCUAAUAGCUACUUCGAAGAAGUAAUAGAGUUCACAACAAAGAGUGGGUUCUAUUCAUACAAGGGCUACAUCCUUUCAUAUAUGAAUGGGAUUGAUUUAUCUUGCAACAACUUAACUGGUCAUAUCCCACCAGAAUUAGGGAACUUGAGUGAAAUCCAUUCUUUAAACCUUUCACACAAUAAGUUGACCGGAGUUAUACCCUCGUCACUCUCAAAACUACAUCAAAUUGAGAGUUUGGACCUUUCUUACAACAACUUAAGUGGUGAAAUCCCCAAUCAAUUGGUAGAGUUAAACUCUUUGGAGGUUUUCAGCGUGGCAUUUAACAACUUGUCAGGUAGUAUUCCCGAACCAAAAGCUCAAUUUGGGACCUUUAUUGAAAAUAGUUAUCAGGGAAAUCCGUUUCUUUGUGGAGUUAUAUUGCAUAAAAGUUGUUCCAAAACCGAUUCACCAUCAACGAUAUCAAUUGUAUCAGAAGAUAAAGGAGAAGAUGGUUUGAUAGAUACUUAUGAUUUUUGUGUGAGCUUUUUGGUUUCUUAUGUAGUUGUGUUGUUGACAAUUUUUGUUGUCCUCUACAUAAAUCCAUACUGGCGAAGAGCUUGGUUUUCUCUUGUUGGGAAAUGCAUUACCACCUGUCGCUACUCAAAUGUGGGCAAUUUUCUUACUUAUCACAUUUUCAAGCGAUGUGUUUAGCUACUCAAAUUGUGAUUUGAUUUCCACACCUAAAUGUUUAAUUAUGCUAAGUUGAGCGAUAAUGAAUAUUUUGUUGAUUUUUGCAUUUUGAAUAAAAGCUCUUUUAUCUUAUGGUUUUAUCAUUUUCAACCAUCUAUUUCUUUUUUCUUCUAUGAAAUUUAAUAUAAAAUCAUAAUCCAUUAUUAUGUAUAUGCAAUAUCUCUUUAAAUUAAAUUAAAUUAAAUUAACUGCCAAGCGUUCACUAGUGCAUACUAAAAAGGAAAUCUAAUGUAAAAUUAAAUCAAACAUACUACAGAAUUGAAUCUAAAACUGGAAUAUUUUAAAACCUCACAAACAAUGCAAUUCUUUAUUCCUCUUUUCCUCUCAAGUUAUUUUGUAUCAUGUUAUAUUUUACAUAAUUAAUCGUAUCAUCAAAUUUUAAAAAAAUUUUAAUAUUUUGAUAUCAUGUUCAUAUUAUGCUUUAAUUCACAAUGUAUUUUGUAUAAUAUGUUAUAACAAUUCAAUUUAAAAAACAAACAAUUAUCUUAUUUUUGCAUACCGUAAUAUACAUUUACAUGUUAAUAAUUCUUUGUACAUAAAUUUUGACAUGUUCGUAUAUUCGAGUCAUUAUAAUUUUAUUAUUUGUAAUAUGACAUGUUUUACUUACCCUUAAUAUUGUGUCAUGAUAAUUAUAACUCGAUUGGCAGUGUACCAAAUAUUUUUCUAAUAAAAAAUAGUAUUUUAUUCUAUUUACCAAAUCUUUAUCAACUUUAUUUUCUCACCAACAAAACAUACAUUCAAAGUUCAAAUAAGUUCCACACCCAUUUUUUUACUGCAAUACUCAAGAAUAUGCUCAUCAUCAGAAAUCUGAAAUAUUCCACUCUAAUUAACAUUAUGAUUCUGUAAACAACAAAAAAGUGUGAUACUUUUUUAAAGCUCUUUUUUUUUCUUUAAUGAAAUGGGAUUGGUAAAAAAUCCGCACAUGUGUCGUGUGUGAAGGUGGUCAGGUUGUCUAUUCAUACUGUAAUAAGUAGCUAAUUAUAGUUGAUCCUACAAAAUCAAAAUUAAUUCAGGUAUCUAUAUAUUCUGAAGACUGGACAGACCUUAGAAGCUCCUUCAAAUUUGCAAGAACAUGUCGUGGUCCUAAACUCUUUACACCGAUGAAAUUCAAAAGUUGCUCUAUAUCCUGCAAUCACAGUAAAGAUUAUGCAAGCUUUUCAGAACGAAUAACAUAACAAGCAAAAGGCAAUCAAAAUACUGUGAUCUCGAUAAUGUUCUUUGCCGAAAAGGAACAUAAACAUAACCUGAAAACAUCAGUGAAGGCUCAUCAGAUUUGCUUAGCAACCUUACAUACACAUGUAAAAAGCUUUGCUUUUGGAUGUAUGGUGUGACUAUCAUCACAGUCUUUCCUAAUUAGCUGAUAACCCUAUAUCUAACAUUUAUCAGGGCUAAGCAAAUUAACAUACAUAAUGUAAAGGAAUUUGACCAUAAGAUCCAACAGAAAACUUAAUAAAAGAUAAUCAACAUAGAAAGUUAAAAGGCAAUGCAAACUUAUUACAAUGAUGCAAGUGGAUCAAAAGAAAGCACUCUAUAAGGAAUUUGUAUUUAAGGCAUUGUAAACAGAAAAAAAAUAAUAAAACUUUUCGGAAAGUAUUUUCAAAGAGGAGACAAAAACAGGGUAGAAAAAAUGUUUGGUCCUUCCUUUUUCUAUUUCUACUGUGGUGAAAAAGCCUUUUUGGGUUAAAAGUGUUUUUACACUGCAGAAGUGUUUUUCCACUGCAGAAGUGAUGAAGAACACAUAGCUUUGUAGUCAAAAACCUACUGCUUUUGGCUUUUGCAUUUCGAAGUGAAAAUUAUAAAAAUACUCUUAGAUUAAUUUAUAUUUUAUAUAUUAUUAUAUUAAAUUGUUAAAUCUUAUUUAUUAUUAUAUUUAAUUUUUUUCAAAAUAUUUUAUACAUCAUCAAUUUUACAAAUAAUUUAUAUUAAUUACUUUUAAAAGUUAUAUUUCAUGUAUCAUUAUAUUAAAUUAUUUAAAUAUCAUAUAACAUCACUAAUUUUCUACUUUCUACCAUCAUGUCUAAAAUAGACAUUUUAACUUUCAACCGCAAUUUUUGGCAGCAAUGAACAACACUAAAAACUAACAAACACACUUUUCCGCACCACAUUUCAAAAACACUUUUUUCUAAACGCACUUUUGAACUAGUCCUUAGUCUAUCAUGCAUCAACUCUUCAUUUUUCUUUAACUACCCAUGUCCGACUUCGAACAUGGAUAUGGAGAUAUGACCAAGUCACAGUGACAUAGUUUUUAGUUAUGGGGAAUGGGAUUCGAGUGCUGGACCUCCUUCUAGAUGCAUGGUGGGACUUCAUCACAUUUUUCAAAUUUGUUGAUAAUCCUUCACCUAAUCUGCCGGUGAAGUUUAUAGAUAGUUGUUGACACCAUUUUUUUGAUGAAAACGGGAUCGACUUGGAUUUUGAAAAAAGAAUGAAAACGGGAGUCGCCACCAAUCCUUUUUGACGAGGUGUGAUCGGGUCACCUCAAAAUGUGGUUGUUUUUAAUAAAUGAUUUAAUUUUAUUAAAACAACGAUUUUGGUCUACGAAAUUCAGAAAAAUGAGUUCGGGAGUCGGUUACACACGAGGAAGGAUUAGCACCCUCGAUACGCCCAAAAUUGGUACCUAGUUGAUUAAUUAGUGUCUUAGUGUCGAAAAUUGAAAAUUUGAAGAGUUUUAAAAAUACGAUCCUUAAAAGAAAUUCUGAUAACGUGAAUUGAAAUAUAAGAUUCUCUUGUUCCGAAGGAAUAUCACAUCCAGCACGUUAGGACACGAUACUCUAAACCAUCGAAACCAAGAUCAUCUUAUAGUUUAAUGAAACCACACUUUGAAGCUUUAAGAGGAUAUUUGGCUAUUUAGUCGAACGAGAAAUCGAAACCCAGCACGUUAGGGCACGUUUUCUCGAUUUUCCAAACGCGAAAUAUCGCCUUAUUUAGAAAAAUUUUCCUUUUGAUGUUUGGUGUUAAUGCUUGACAAAACAAUAACGAAUACGACAAGGUGAGCAAAGUAAAGUGAGUAACAACAAUACAAUAGGCAAAAUGAAAUGACGAGGCGAUUACAUAAACAAAGCAUACAAAUAAAUAAAUAGAACUAACAUUUAAAAAAAAGCAUAAGUGUACACGAAUAAAUAAACAAACACCAAAUAACAAUGAUGACAAUAAAUACAAUUAUGUAAAAAUGUAUAUACAUGUAUAAUUUUAAGCCAUGAAAUAAGAAACGCAUAUAAAUUAUAGAAUAUGAAAACAUAGAUAAAUAUAUACAUAUGUGUAAAAAAUAAUAUUAUAAAAAGGGUACGUAUAUAUGUAUAAAAAAAUAAAUGUAUUAACAAUGAAUAUAAUAAGGGUAAGAAAACAAGUAUAUACACAAUAUAUAUGUAACGUGGUACUAAGGAUAUAUAUAUACAAUACAGUAUUUAAAAUAAUAUUUACGUAAUAUAAAAUAUAAUAUUAAAAGGUAUAUGUACAUACGUAAUAUAUAAAUACAUAUAUAAUAUAAUGUUAAAAUAUUUACAUAAUACUAAAAUAUUUAGGUAAUAUAUGCGUAUAUUGAAAACUAGUAAUAAUAUUAUCGAGGUAUAUACAAAUAUAUCAAGUAUAUACACGUAUUAUAAAUAUAUAAAUAUAUGACAAAGCAUAAACUAAUAAAAAUAAUAAGAAUAAUAAUAAUGAUAACAUUGGAAUAUAAAAGAAACAAACAUAACAUUAAUAAAAUAUUAAAAUAAAGUGAAAUAAAAAUAUUAAAUAUGAGAAUAUAUAUAGGUAUACACGUACAUAAUAAAAAUAUAUACUAAUACAUAAUAAUAAUAAUGGUAAUACUAAUAAUACUAAUAAUAUAAAAAUAACAAGGAUAUUUAAUAAAGAUAUAAAAAUCAACAAAAAAGGACUAAAAUUGAAUUGAAAGCAAAGUUGUGGGGCCAAUUUGAAAUGAAAACAAAGAAAAAGGACUUAAUUGUAACACGCAUGCAACUUGGAGGGUCAAAAGCGCAAUAAACCCAAGUAUUAAAAACGCUGCGCAGCGUGGGGGACCAGAAUGAAUUCGGGGCAACACCAUGGAGCCAAAUUAAAAAUAAAAAAACCUUGAUUGUAAACUCCCAGAAAGGCGGAAGGGCUAAAAGUGCAAUUAGCCCUUCCAAAGAAAAAAACACGCGGAUCUUCCUUGGUGCAGGUCGGGUCGACCCGACCCGUGUUCAAAACGACGUCGUUUCAUUUAUUUAAACCGGGGGUCCAAAACGGUGCGUUUUGACCCCCUAUAAAAGUCAAAAAAACUUCAAAAAAAAAUCAUUUGUAACGCUGAGGGAAAAAAAAGAAAAGGGAGAGAGGAGAGGGGAGCCCGGAGCGAUUUCCGGCCAAGGGAGGGGUCACCGGACGGCCACCGGAGGCUCGCCGGCGUCAGCGCCGGCCACCGCACGCGGUGGCCGGAAAGGUAAAAUUUUUUAUAUUUUUUUUAUAUUUUUUUUGUUAUUUAUUCUUGGUCUUAGAAUGUAUAGAUUUUAGGUUUAUAUUAAUAAAAAAGGUAUAGAUAUGUAUAUAGAAAUCGAAAGAAAAUGGAUGAAAACAAAAAGGUAACCUUUUCCGUUUGCCUUUCCUUUUUCCCGAAUGCUUGCUAUCUCAGUACUGAGAUCUAUGUAUUUUUUUUAAAAUUUUAGCUUCUGUUUUUUUGUAUUAAAAUGCCAAAAAACAAACAAAAAGAAGAAAGAAAAAAAACCCCCUGAUACAAUUUUUGAUUCGGGUUUUUAUAACCCAUUUUCAUCUAAUUUCCUAUUGUUUCUGUUUUGUCUCUUUGCAUGGGAUGGGCACGAUGGAGGUGACAGAGGCAUGGUGGUACAGAGGAGCAGGUGGCCGACAUGGUGGCAUGGAGAGCUGGGCGUGGCAGACAAGGAGGCCACGCGAGGCAUGCGGCGCUAGGGUUUGGGGGGCAUCUUUCUUCCGAAAAUGUUAAUGUUGUCUGGGCUGGGUUUUUAAUUUUUGUUUCGGGCCAUGGGCUACAUUGGGCUUGUUAUUUUCCUUUGUAAUUGGACUGUUGUUUAUCUUGUUUUAAUAUUCGGGCCUGGGCAUAAAAUUGGGCCUUACAGCUGCCCCUCUUUGCUUGUUAUCGUGUAACGAGAACAGAGCAAAGACUAAAAAAGGCCAAUUUGGCCCGGGCUCACCGAGUUUUGACUUCUUUUGGUGCUUCCUUUCUUCAAGCCUCAUUCUAGUCCACUGCGUCUUAUGAUUCUUCGAUCUGCUCUACUGCAACUUCAGAUACGCCUUAUAGCUUCAAUCUACUCUGCUACGACUCCAUGGGGAUGAGAUUUGUGUUUUUAGUCUGCUUCACUACUACUUAGGGAGAUAAGACUGUGGUUUCGUCUGCUCCGCUACUGCUUAGGGAGAUAAGACUGUAAUCUCCGAUCUAUUCCACUGUCAAAUACAGGGAGAUAGAGUUAUCAGCUUCAAUGUACUCCACUGUAGUCACAGGGAGGUAAAAUCUGCCAUCUUUGAUCUUCAAUCUAUUCCACUGCCAAAUACAGGGAGAUAGAGUUAUCGGCUUCAAUGUACUCCACUGUAGUCAGGGAGGUAAAAUCUGCCAUCUUCGAUCUGUUUCGCUGCCAAAUACAGGAAGGCAAGAUCUGCAAUCUUCGAUCUACUUCACGCCAAUACAUGAAGAUAAGAUCUGCUUUCUUCGAUCUACUUUGCCACCAGUAUGGGAAGACAAGAUCUGCAUCGUCGAUCCACUUCCUACCAAUAUAGGAAGACAGGACCUGCUAUCUUCGAUCUACUUCACGCCAAUACAUGAAGACAAGAUCUGCUUUCUGCGAUCUACUUCGCCACCAAUAUGGGAAGACAAGAUCUGUAUCUUCGAUCCACUUUCUACCAAUAUAGGAAGAUAGGAUCUGCUACCUUCGAUCUACUUCACGCCAAUACAUGAAGACAAGAUCUGCUUUCUGCGAUCUACUUCGCCACCAAUAUAGGAAGACAAGAUCUGCAUCUUCGAUCCACUUCCUACCAAUAUAGGAAGAUAGGAUCUGUUAUCUUUGAUUUACUUCACGCCUAUACAUGAAGACAAGAUCUGCUCUCUGCGAUCUACUUCGCCACCAAUAUGGGAAGACAAGAUCUGCAUCUUUGAUCCACUUCCUACCAAUAUAGGAAGAUAGGACCUAUUUACGCCUAGUGUUUAGGAUGACAUGAUCAGAAUGAAUCAAAUGCUCCUAACUAGAUGCGUAUGUAUUAUAUUUGUAGAAUGUCAUGAGAAUGAUCCAUUUUUAAUGCUUAGGUUGUCAUUCUUCAUUGUUCAUCAAGGUUCUAUCACUGAUGCCUUCUUGUUCAGCCAGUACCUUUGACAGAAAACCUAAAGAAAUAGACGCUAUUUAGACUAUCAUUUCUCAAAUGUUUCCAACCCUUAGGUUUGGUUAGUUCUAAACAAUAGUCCUGUUUCAGGUCAUCGUAUUAUUUAGAAACUUUCAGAGUAAUAUGCAGAACUCCUUCUGCAUGUGUAUUGUCAGUCCAUUAAUCGUUAUUUCAAUGAAAAAUGCUUGAAAAAGAUUAUCAAAAUGGACAAAAUGGAAUUUUGUUGAGAGCAAAGCUCUAAACAAACAAAUCAAGAUAGCAAAUUUGCUGAGAUACGAGAUGAAUAAGAUGAAAAAGAUUAUCACAACGGAUAAGAUGAAAAUUUGCUGAGAGCAAAGCUCUGAAUGAACAAAUUAAUCAAGAUAGCAAAUGUUGCUAGAAUACAAAACGAGAAUAAAUUAAUCAAGAUGAUGUAUUUUGUCAAAAAUACAGAAAAUGAAUAAAAUGGAAAUAAGUGCCCCAGAUAUCGUAGCAUGAGCUUCUCUGCCCCAAACUUCUUAAGGACCCUUUUGAACUUGAUAUGUGUUUAGAAGUCCUAGAAGGCUUUGUUGAUGCCCCAUCUUUGAUCGAAAACUACUUUAUGCCUCAUCCUUGAUCGAAAAUUUGAAUUGCCCGUUCCUGGGUUUUCAAUUCAAAACCCCUUUGGUCUCAAGGUGCCCUUUGCGGGUUUUCGCCUUGGCCUCUCCUCUUUUUUUUUUUUAGGCAAAGUACCUCUUCACUGAAUCCGAAUUCACAGGAUUGGGCAAGCUUUUGCCAUCCAUCCUAGUUAAAAUUAAUGCCCCUCCUGAAAAGGCCUUUUUUACUACAUAAGGUCCCUCCCAGUUUGACAUCCACUUUCCUCUGAAGUCUUUUUGUAUGGGAAGGAUCUUCUUCAGUACCAAGUCCCCUUCAUGGAAGUUUCUAGGACGAACUUUCUUAUUGUAAGCUCGCAUCAUUCGUUUCUGGUAUAUUUGACCAUGACGGAUAGCUCUUAACCUCCUUUCCUCAAUCAAGUUCAGCUGAUCAUAUCGGGAUUAGACCCAUUCUGCUUCGUCUAACUUUAGUUCUGAAAAAACUCAGAGGGAGGGAAUUUCAACCUCAAUUGGUAGCACUGCCUCCAUUCCAUAAACCAAAGAGAAUGGUGUUGCCCCGGUAGAAGUCUUGACGGACGUUCGAUAAGCAUAGAGGGCGAAUGGCAACUUCUCGUGCCAAUCUCUAUAGGUCUCAGUCAUUUUCCCCACAAUCAUUUUGAUAUUUUUAUUGGCUGCCUCCACCGCACCAUUCAUCUUUGGACGGUAUGGCGAUGAGUUGUGGUGCUUGAUAUUGAAUUGACUACAAACUUCUGCUAUCGUGCUAUUAUUCAAAUUUAAUGCGUUGUCAGAUAUAAUCCUUUCGGGCAUUCCAUACCGACAUAUGAUUUCCUUCUUUAAAAACUUGCUGACAGCUGCCUUUGUGACGUUGGUGUAAGAAGUAGCCCCUACCCACUUAGUAAAGUAGUCAAUCACUACAAAAAUGAAACGAUGUUCGUUUGAAGCCUUUGGCGAUAUCGGCCCAAUGACGUCCAUGCCCCACAUGGAGAAAGGCCAUGGGGAAGUCAUGACGUGAAGAGGUGAUAGAGGCAUAUGGAUUUUGUCUCCGUAAAUCUGGCAUUUAUGGCACUUCUUAGCAUAUUUGAUGCAGUCUCCUUCCAUGGUAGACCAAUAAUAUCCAAAUCUCAUGAUUUGUCUGGCCAUUGUGAAACCGUUAGCGUGUGUUCCACAAAUACCAUCAUGGACUUCUUCCAAGAUCUGUUUGGCCUCCAUAGCGUCCACACAUCUUAACAGCACCUGAUCUUUUCCUCUUUUGUACAGGAUCUCUCCAUCUAAGACGUAAUCACUGGCCAGCCUCCUCAACAUUCUCUUGUCAUUCUCAGUUGCUUGGUUUGGGUAUUCACGAUUUUUUACGUAUCGCAAUAUAUCCUGAUACCAAGGGUUUUCGUCCUUUUCUUCUUCUUCGUCAAUGUUACAACAGUGGGCUGGAGCAUCAUAAAUGCUCAUUUGGAUAGGCUUCACAUCCUCUGGUCUAUUUACUUUGAUAAUGGAAGCCAAUGUAGCUAAAGCGUCGGCCAUCUGAUUCUCGUCUCGUGGAAGAUAACAAAAAGUGAUGUCGUCAAACUCCUCAAUCAAUUCUAGGACUAUCCUUCGGUAACUAAUCAACUUAGGUUCUCUUGUUUCCCAUUCGCCUUUGAGCUGAUAAAUUACCAAUGCCGAAUCCCCAUAUACCUCAAGUACCUUGAUUUUGCGUUCUAUAGCCGCGCGGAUUCCCAUGAUACAUGCUUCAUAUUCCGUCAUGUUAUUUGUGCAAUCAAAAUCUAGUUUACUGGUGAAAGGAUAAUGAUCACCGUUUGGAGAUACCAAGACUGCCCCAAUCCCGUUGCCCAUGGCAUUUGAGGCUCCGUCAAAAUUUAAUUUCCAAGUAUUGCCUUCUUGUGUGCUUGCUUCAGUAGUUGCCACAUACAUCAGAUCCUCAUUUGGAAAAUCAAAGUUCAAAGGCUCAUAAUCGUCCAGGGCUCUACUUGCUAGAAAAUCUGCUAUCGCGCUCCCUUUUACAGCCUUUCGAUUCACAUAGGUUAUGUCAAAUUCAGAUAGUAGAAUUUACCAUCGGGCCAUCCUUCCGUUUAGAGCAGUUGACUCCAUCAUGUAUUUCAGAGGGUCUACCUUUGAGAUUAACCAAGUCGUAUGGUACAACAUGUAUUGUCUCAAUCUUCGAGUAGUCCAAACCAAUGCGCAACAUAAUUUUUCAAUUGGCGAAUACCUCGUUUCGCAUUCAGUGAACUUUUUACUGAGAUAAUAGAUCGCUCUUUCCUUUCGUCCUGACUCAUCAUGUUGGCCGAGCACGCACCCCAUGGAAUUCUCAAAUACUGCCAAGUAUAGUAUCAAUGGUUUGUCAGGGCAAGGUGGUAUCAGUACUGGGGCGUUGGACAAGUAAUGUUUAACUCUUUCGAAAGUUUUCUGGCACUCUUCAUCCCAUACACCUGGAUUGUGUUUCCUAAGAAGACGGAAUAUGGGGUCACAUUUCUCGGUUAAUUGUGAAAUGAAUCGAGCGAUGUAAUUUAGUCUUCCUAGGAAACCCCGAACUUCUUUUUGAGUACUUGGCGGAGGUAAUUCUUAUAUGGCCUUAACUUUGUCUGGGUCAAUUUCAAUUCCCUUUUCGCUGACUAAAAAUCCUAGCAAUUUUCCUGAUCUAGCCCCGAAAGUACACUUGGCUGGGUUAAGUUUUAGCUGGAACUUCCUUAACCUCAGAAACAGUUUUCUCAGAACUUGCACGUGUUCCCUUUCUGUUCUGGAUUUUGCGAUCAUGUCAUCAACAUAAACUUCUAUCUCUUUAUGCAUCAUAUCAUGGAAUAAUGCUACCAUGGCUCUCUGAUACGUUGCUCCCGCAUUUUUCAAUCCAAAAGGCAUCACUUUAUAACAAAACGUCCCCCACAUCGUUAUGAAUGUGGUCUUCUCCCUGUCUUCAGAAAGCAUCUUAAUUUGGUUGUACCCGGAGAAACCAUCCAUGAAAGAGAGCAGUGAGUAUCCGGCCGUGUUGUCUACCAAGGUAUCGAUAUGAGGAAGUGGGAAAUUAUCUUUUGGGCUGGCUUUGUUCAAGUCUCUGUAGUCCACACACAUUCGCACCUUCCCAUCUUUCUUAGGAACAGGGACUAUAUUGGCUACCCAUUCUGAGUACUUGACCACCUGUAAGAAACCAGCAUCAAAUUGCUUCUUAACUUCUUACUUUAUUUUUAGCAAGACAUCAGGCCUCAUCCUUCGGAGCUUUUGUUGGACUGGUUUGCAUUCUUCCUUUAUAGGCAAUCGGUGUACCACGAUAUCAGUACUUAACCCUGGCAUAUCUUGGUAGGACCACGCGAAGACAUCUUUAAACUCUUGAAGCAACUCAACAAGGUCUUGCCUUGUUUCCUUGGCAAUGCAAGCGCCAAUUUUUACCUCUCUGCUCUCUUCUAAGGUCACAACUUCUACUGAUUCCUUAUAGGGUAUAAUUUGUUUUUCUUCUUCUUUCAUCAUUCUUAACAAAUUCGGAGAUAAAACGCUGUCUUGGUCACCUUUAAAAUCUUGAGGAUCAUCUAUACUCAUGUCUUGCUCAAAUAGAGACUCUGAAUUAGUAACAGAGUCGCUCAUCUCGUUGAUAUUUGAAGACCUGUUAUUGGAACAAAUGGAGGCCCAAAUAAAAGGAUCUAAGAAUACUUGUAUGCAUAUUAUGAUUAUAAAGGGAAUGAAAAGAAUGAAAGAAUACUUGCUCAAGAUGAAACUGAAUGAUAAGUUUUCACUGAAAUUAGAUUUUGAACAUGUGCAUUUUACAAAAGAUUCUUAUCACCCCCAGGCUUAGGGCAACAAGUGUUCUGAAUAUUACUCUGAAUUAGUUCUAAAUGUUACAGGGAUCUCUUCUGCAGUCCAGUUAUUCGGAACACUUCCAGGUUCGUAAGGACGAAUGCCCGAUAAAUUCCUUUCCACCCUUUCUUCCGCGGAUAUGGCAUUGAUGUCCAACCUCUCAAUCCUUCCUUCUGUAACCUCAUCCUUCUCUUCAGGGUGGACAAUUCCCCCUGAAACAAAAGUCUUAGAUAUAUGAGGAAAGGUUAUCGGUCCCCACUUGGCUUCUAUCCCGCCCAAAUGUGCUCUUCUCCUUUCUUGUCUUUUCUCCAUCUCCUUCCUCCUUUCCCUCGCAAUAGGCUUAUAUCCCAAACCAUAACGGUCCUGUUUGUUAACUAGGAUCGGUACUCCGACCCUUCCCUGGAGGUAUUUUCCAAAUCCUCUUCCAGGCAAUGCUCCCUUUCCCACCGUUAAGUUCAUUGACGUAGCUUUGGAUAUCUUAGGCUCUGGGAUUUUGCUCAUCUCAAUGACAAAUAUGGCAUUUACGAAUUCCAAUGAUCGGAAUGAACAUUCUAUCGCUUCACUAUCAGCCUCUAUGUAUGGCAUAUCAUCGGUGACUGAUGCAAUGAUGUCUUCUUCUGCACCUAUAGUCACCAAUCUACCCUCUACCACCAAUUUUAACUUUUGGUGAAGUGACGAUGGUACAGCCCCUGCAGAAUGGAUCCAAGGCCUCCCUAAUAGGCAAUUGUAAGAUGGUUUAAUAUCCAUUACCAAAAAGUCUACCUCGUAUGUAUUUGGACCAAUCAAUAGAGGUAUCUCGAUUCUUCCCAUCACUUUUCUCUCAGUGCCAUCAAAUGCUCUCACUAUAUUUUGGCAUAAUUUCAUGUGAGAACUAUCCACAGGUAGCCUGUUUAAUGUGGACAGGGGUAAAACAUUCAGGGCCGAUCCAUUGUCAACGAGUACCGCCGGUAGUAUACACCCCUUGCAACGGGCAGUGAUGUGCAAGGCCUUGGUAGAUCCCAUACCGCCUGGCGAGAUCUCAUCAUCGUUGAAGAAGAUGAAGUUAUCGGCAUUUAUAUUGUUAACCAGGCAAUCCAAUUUGUCCACUGAGAUAUCUUUAGCGACAUAAGUUUCAUUUAGCACUUUUACUAACGUAUUACGAUGUAUCUCUGAACUUAGAAGUAACUCGAGCACUGAGAUGCGAGCCGGUUACUUAUGCAGUUGUUCCACCACGCUAUACUCGCUAUGCUUCAAGAAUUUUAAGAAUUCUCUAGCCUCAUUUUCAGUCACCGGUGUAUUAAUAUGCGGUUCAAUUCCGGUCUUCGUUUUAUCUUGUUCAACCGCCAAGGCUUUUCCUUUUAUAGGCCCCCUUUUUGUAUUUCCCGGGUCGCAACGUUUUCCACUACGCGUAUAAAAGCCUGUGUCAUUACCCUCUUCUGAAGCAUUUAUCGGGUUCUCCUCUCCCGUGAUCAUCACAUUGCAGUCAUAAUUCUAAGGAACCUUUUUACUAUCCUUGUAAGGAAAGGCUACAGGUUUUUGGAUUAUGACCCUUGGCGCCAGUUGUAUUCCAGAUCCUGUGCUUGUUGGCCUUGAAAUAAUCACCACCGGGUGAUUUUGGGCCUUUCUCGUAGGCCCCUCCUCUGAGGCAUAAACUUCUCCUUUCUCAAGUCCUUUGAUCUCUUCAUAAAAUUCUAACUCUUUGUUGUUCAUCAGAUUUUGUAACAUGGCCUUGAAAUCAGUGCAAUUUUGAAUGUCAUGGUCUUCUUCAGCAUGAAACUCGCAGUACGUCUUCGUUCCUUCGGGCCUUUCUUUUGAAUCUUGUUUGAUGAGACCUCCUUCUAUCAUUUGUCUCCAAACCCAACUCAAUGGGGUUUUUAUCUCUGCAAUGUCGGUUUUGAUUCUCUUUCUCCCACCUUCGAUUAUUGCGUUUACCCCUUUAUCAGCAUGAUCGGGUAACGGAUUCGCUGCUACAUUUGGUCCUAAUGGGUUGUCAAACUUCACAAUCCCCAUCUUAAUGAACCUUUCCACCGCCUUUUUAAACCCAGUGCAGUUCUCAAUUGAGUGCCCCGGUAUCCCUGCAUGGUAUUCACAUUGGGCAUUCGCGUCAUACCAUUUGGGAUACGGAGGUUGCAUGGGCUCUAGAUAAAAUGGAGAUACUAUGUGUGCAUCAAAUAACUUCUGAUACAGUUCCCCGUAUGUUAUUGGAAUGGGCGUGAAUUAAAGUCUCUCUGUGUUAGUCCUUGUGUUAGGCCUCGUGUUGGGUUCCUGCCUUGAGGGGGCUUGGUGACUAGUGGUUAUCAUUUUUGGAGGGCCAACAGUAAUCAGUUUUGAAUGGCUCUUGCUAUAUGUGCAUACGUUGUUUACUUCGCCCUCUUUUUUUCUUCGGGCUGGUCUUUUGAAGUUUUCCCCAGUGUCAAUUUUACCGCUCCUUACCGCGUUCUCAAUCAUUUCACCAGACAUUACCAUAUCCGAGAAACUCUUGGUAGCACUCCCCAACAUGUGGUUGAUGAACAGGGCUUUCAAAGUGUUGAUAAACAACAUGGUGACCUCUUUUUCCAAAAGGGGUGGCUGGACUUGUGUUGCCACUUCUCUCCAUCGUUGGGCGUAUUGCCUGAAAUUCUCGCUAGGCUUUUUUUCCAUGUUUUGUAACGUAAUUCGAUCGGGUGUUAUAUCCAUUACAUGACUGUAUUGCUUCAUAAAAGCUUGCGCCAAGUCUCUCCAUGAACUAACUUUAGCACGACUCAGUUGGUUGUACCAUUUGGCUGCAGAUCCGAUCAAACUGUCCUGGAAGCAGUGGAUUAACAGCUGAUCAUUGUUGACGUAUCCUGUCAUUCUUCGACAGAACAUAGUUAUAUGAGCUUCAGGACAACUAGUCCCAUUAUAUUUUUCGAAUUCUGACAUUUUGAACUUAGGUGGGAGUACUAAACCAGGGACCAAACUCAGAUCAUUGACGUCAACCCCGCGAUGACAGUCGAUGUUCUCCAUGGCUCUAAAUUUUUCCUCUAACCAUCUACAUCGGUCCUCCAGUUGUUUUGGCAGGUUCAUUCUUGUUUUUUCUGUUUCUGCCACGUCAUCGAGGUCCGGGACCACCAGAUUAGUGGGAUUAUCCCCGGGAUUAAAACCCGAGCCCAUUUGAAAAUGCACUGGUACCGAGGUACCAGCCAGAUAUUGAGGUCCUAUGGUAACUGGUACCCUCUGUGGGUACACCUCUGGUUGUGCUUGGAUGUUAGUUGGGGUGAAACCUGGAGGAUAAACAGGGUCAUCGUGAUCCUCCCCAGCAUCAAUUACGGGGUCUUUUCCUUUGUUAUUCCCUCCAGCCAAUAACUGCUUUAAUUGGUUCAUCACGGUGUUCUGGGAUUCUAACAUGUCCUGCUGGAUUUUUUCCAGUCGUUCAUGCAUCUGAUCUUGCAUCUCUCGUUGCAACUGUUCCAAUCUUUCCAACCUUUGAUCCAUUGCUUUUGUUUGGCGACGAGUACCGUAGUGAUAUUUGAUUAGAUUUUUGUUGGUUUCCAGGGUAACUGUCAUAAUUUAAUUUUAUUAGGGUCAUUUUAUGAGAUGUAAUGCAAAUGUAUGAGAUGAAUGCAAAAAAAAGAGGCAUUGAUUCGAAUUCAAUUUCAUUAGAAAACUCAACUAGAAAGCAAAUUUCUUUACAUAAAAUAAAUUACAUAUACGGCUUCGCCUUUAUACCCAAAGCCUUAACCUUCCUAAGAAGCCAACUAAAUCUCGACCUCGGCUUGAUUCUGACUCAUAUUUUAAACUCAAUACAUCGGCCUGAAUUGCUAAUGUUUGCAGAUGAUCAGCCACUUCCCGCACUUGAGUCACAGCUUCGCCCAUAACGUAAUCUCUAUCUCUAAUCUGACUUUGAGAAUGAUGGAAUUGCUCUUGCCAUUGAUCAUUACUCCUCUCAAGAAGCUCCAUUCGUAGCUCAGAAUUGUGUAAUGCGUCCUCAAGCUCCUCUACCUUUCCUUUCAGUUCUUCGAUCUUAUUUAAGCUUGCUCUUAAUUCGAUCAUGGAGUUGCGACUACGGUACGAGUGAAGUGACUUUUCUAGCUCUGCCACCUUGGCCUUUAAUCCUGCCUUCUCAUUUCGGCACUCUAACAAACUCCUUUCCAAAGCGUUUUCUCGAGCUCAAGCAUCUUGAAAUUUCUUUUCCCACUGAUCGGCCCUAUUCUUUUCCUCAUUGAUCUCUUGUCGCCAUUGCUCUGACGUUUUACCCAGACCGACAGUUCUCAUUGACAAUCGCAGCUUCUUGUAAUCUAUUUUUAGACUAUCCAAAUCCUCUUCAGCCUUGUUCUUUCCCUUCUUUAAUUUCUCGGCUUCUAGCUUGUGGAUAUCGAUGUCUAAUCCCAAAUGCACUCUUUCUUCUUCUAGCUGUUCUAUCCUCUUUCCCAACUCAGAAUUUCUUUUCUCAAAGUCUCGUUUGAUGAUCUCUAAUUCUGACGGAACUACUUGUAGAUGCUCCUCUAUAGACUGAACGCAAUCUUCCCUCGGCUUAGGGAUGUUGUCAUUGACUCUUUUACUCCACCACCCAUAAUAUUCUGAAGUUGUCAUCGCUCCUACGGUAAAUCUUUUCAUUCGGUGAACCUGUUUCCAAGCGUUAGAUAUUUCUCGAGUUUUUCUCUUGUAGUUUUCAUCCUUAUAAGAAAACUCACAUUGAGCCAGCCCUUGUGUUGCUGGUAUGAACUGUCUCGAUCUAUAUUGUCUUAAUACGAGUAAAGGGGCAUAACCGACAGCUCCCCAAAUUUCGAGUAAAGGGACCCAGUCGAAAUCCCCACAUCGAUACAGGAUCUCGUCGGGUACCAUCCAAGGAGCUUUCCAUUCAACGUCAUCCUCCUGAAGAUUUUGGAGAAUCGUCAUCCACUUCUCUUCCGUGAUGUCGUCUCGUCUUGGUGUAGCAACUUGUUCCUUCAAUGGGGAAUAGUCUUCUGAGAAGACUCGAUAGGAGACAUUUUCCACCUUCCAAAAGUGACUAUGGAACCACACUAAUAGUAGCUGUGCGCAUCCGAUGAACCUUCCCUCCCCUGCUCUUCGACAUGCACUUAGAAAUCUGAAGGUUUCUGCUAAGAUUGCCGGGAUGGGCGUGACUCCUUUACUAAGCCGAUCGAACAAAUCAGAGACGGCCUCAUCUACGUGCCCUAAAGCUCUAGGGAAAAUUACCAAUCCAUAGAUACCUAGAGCGAAGACAUCCACUCUUUUCUUCACAUCAGGGUGUGCUAAUACUAAAUCUCGCAAGCUUUUCCAAGGAACGCAUUUACUGUCUCCUUUCUGUUGGAUUCGGGCAGCGACCCACUGUUCGCUCAUCCCUGUAAUGCUCAUCAAUUUUUUUAAUAAUGUCGGGACACUAGCAGCUCUAGAAUAGGCCUUGUCAAUUUGAAUCUUUGGACACCGAAGCAAGGUCGUAUAUUCUUCCAUGGUGGGCACCAAGUCCACUUUUCCAAAAGUGAAACAACUGUAAGCAGGAUUCUAAAACUGGGCUAGGGCUCGGAAUAAAUGCUUGUCCACUUUGACACCAAGUAGGUAAGGCAAGUCCCCGUAGUCACAGUAAAACAUCUGCUUGGUCCCAUCGUCCCAUUGAUCCCAUAUUUCCUUCAUUUCUCGAAGAUCAUUUUGGAUUACGCUGAUACGGGUGAAGUCCCAUAACUCUGAUACGUACCCUUCUGCAAGACUAUCGCCUUUCUCUCUCCACAUCGUCUCAGCCCACACUCGUACAGCUGCAUUGUCUUCUACUUUAUCAAGAAACCUCUUUUCCAUGAUAAGCUUUCUAUCUAUACUGAACGUGAAUCGACACCUUUUGAAAUGAAAAUGCCAUGCAAUCAUAAACAAAGCAAAUCAGAGCUAGGAUUUAAAGUAAACAAUAAUAAAUAAAGCAUCUAUUCGGUAAGCGCUAGGGUUUGGAAUAGCUCUAUCUCGGUGGGUUCUUACGGCUCGCUAUAUGUGGUUUAGUUCUAAAGUAAGGGUACCUGAACCAGCAGAUUCCUCGAUCCUCACCCAUUAUAGGCUCAUGGACCGAGUUCAGUUCAGGGGAAUACAUUUCCCUAUGGCCAUGCGGAGAUGAAAAUCUCACGAAGACAUAGGUACGGAUGUAUCCCGGAAGCGAUUCACUAUCCCAUGCGGAGGUGAAAACCUCACGAAGGCGUAGUUUCUCACUCCCACUUAAAAAGGUAUGACCAGCGAUCAUGCAAUUCAAUGUGCAGAGGUAUAAAAUAAAAUACAGAACACGAUAAAAAAUAUAACUCAAAACAAAAGAGAUGCAAUGAAAGGAUCGUAAAUUUAAAUCAAAUUUUCCACUUUCAACAAAAAGACAAGAAAUAAUCAACACGUGGCUUGACUCUCUUUCGUUCCCCAGUGGAGUCGCCAAGCUGUUGACACCAUUUUUUUGAUGAAAACGGGGUCGACUUGGAUUUUGAAAAAAGAAUGAAAACGGGAGUCGCCACCAAUCCUUUUUGACGAGGUGUGAUCGGGUCACCUCAAAAUGUGGUUGUUUUUAAUAAAUGAUUUAAUUUUAUUAAAACAACGAUUUUGGUCUACGAAAUUCAGAAAAAUGAGUUCGGGAGUCGGUUACGCACGAGGAAGGAUUAGCACCCUCGAUACGCCCAAAAUUGGUACCUAGUUGAUUAAUUAGUGUCUUAGUGUCGAAAAUUGAAAAUUUGAAGAGUUUUAAAAAUACGAUCCUUAAAAGAAAUUCUGAUAACGUGAAUUGAAAUAUAAGAUUCUCUUGUUCCGAAGGAAUAUCACAUCCAGCACGUUAGGACACGAUACUCUAAACCAUCGAAACCAAGAUCAUCUUAUAGUUUAAUGAAACCACACUUUGAAGCUUUAAGAGGAUAUUUGGCUAUUUAGUCGAACGAGAAAUCGAAACCCAGCACGUUAGGGCACGUUUUCUCGAUUUUCCAAACGCGAAAUAUCGCCUUAUUUAGAAAAAUUUUCCUUUUGAUGUUUGGUGUUAAUGCUUGACAAAACAAUAACGAAUACGACAAGGUGAGCAAAGUAAAGUGAGUAACAACAAUACAAUAGGCAAAAUGAAAUGACGAGGCGAUUACAUAAACAAAGCAUACAAAUAAAUAAAUAGAACUAACAUUUAAAAAAAAGCAUAAGUGUACACGAAUAAAUAAACAAACACCAAAUAACAAUGAUGACAAUAAAUACAAUUAUGUAAAAAUGUAUAUACAUGUAUAAUUUUAAGCCAUGAAAUAAGAAACGCAUAUAAAUUAUAGAAUAUGAAAACAUAGAUAAAUAUAUACAUAUGUGUAAAAAAUAAUAUUAUAAAAAGGGUACGUAUAUAUGUAUAAAAAAUAAAUGUAUUAACAAUGAAUAUAAUAAGGGUAAGAAAACAAGUAUAUACACAAUAUAUAUGUAACGUAGGUACUAAGGAUAUAUAUAUACAAUACAGUAUUUAAAAUAAUAUUUACGUAAUAUAAAAUAUAAUAUUAAAAGGUAUAUGUACAUACGUAAUAUAUAAAUACAUAUAUAAUAUAAUGUUAAAAUAUUUACAUAAUACUAAAAUAUUUAGGUAAUAUAUGCGUAUAUUGAAAACUAGUAAUAAUAUUACCGAGGUAUAUACAAAUAUAUCAAGUAUAUACACGUAUUAUAAAUAUAUAAAUAUAUGACAAAGCAUAAACUAAUAAAAAUAAUAAGAAUAAUAAUAAUGAUAACAUUGGAAUAUAAAAGAAACAAACAUAACAUUAAUAAAAUAUUAAAAUAAAGUGAAAUAAAAAUAUUAAAUAUGAGAAUAUAUAUAGGUAUACACGUACAUAAUAAAAAUAUAUACUAAUACAUAAUAAUAAUAAUGGUAAUACUAAUAAUACUAAUAAUAUAAAAAUAACAAGGAUAUUUAAUAAAGAUAUAAAAAUCAACAAAAAAGGACUAAAAUUGAAUUGAAAGCAAAGUUGUGGGGCCAAUUUGAAAUGAAAACAAAGAAAAAGGACUUAAUUGUAACACGCAUGCAACUUGGAGGGUCAAAAGUGCAAUAAACCCAAGUAUUAAAAACGCUGCGCAGCGUGGGGGACCAGAAUGAAUUCGGGGCAACACCAUGGAGCCAAAUUAAAAAUAAAAAAACCUUGAUUGUAAACUCCCAGAAAGGCGGAAGGGCUAAAAGUGCAAUUAGCCCUUCCAAAGAAAAAAACACGCGGAUCUUCCUUGGUGCAGGUCGGGUCGACCCGACCCGUGUUCAAAACGACGUCGUUUCAUUUAUUUAAACCGGGGGUCCAAAACGGUGCGUUUUGACCCCCUAUAAAAGUCAAAAAAACUUCAAAAAAAAAUCAUUUGUAACGCUGAGGGAAAAAAAAGAAAAGGGAGAGAGGAGAGGGGAGCCCGGAGCGAUUUCCGGCCAAGGGAGGGGUCACCGGACGGCCACCGGAGGCUCGCCGGCGUCAGCGCCGGCCACCGCACGCCGUGGCCGGAAAGGUAAAAUUUUUUAUAUUUUUUUUAUAUUUUUUUGUUAUUUAUUCUUGGUCUUAGAAUGUAUAGAUUUUAGGUUUAUAUUAAUAAAAAAGGUAUAGAUAUGUAUAUAGAAAUCGAAAGAAAAUGGAUGAAAACAAAAAGGUAACCUUUUCCGUUUGCCUUUUCUUUUUCCCGAAUGCUUGCUAUCUCAGUACUGAGAUCUAUGUAUUUUUUUUAAAAUUCUAGCUUCUGUUUUUUUGUAUUAAAAUGCCAAAAAACAAACAAAAAGAAGAAAGAAAAAAAACCCCUGACACAAUUUUUUAUUCGGGUUUUUAUAACCCAUUUUCAUCUAAUUUCCUAUUGUUUCUGUUUUGUCUCUUUGCAUGGGAUGGGCACGAUGGAGGUGACAGAGGCAUGGUGGUACAGAGGAGCAGGUGGCCGACAUGGUGGCAUGGAGAGCUGGGCGUGGCAGACGAGGAGGCCACGCGAGGCAUGCAGCGCUAGGGCUUGGGGGGCAUCUUUCUGCCGAAAAUGUUAAUGUUGUCUGGGCUGGGUUUUUGAUUUUUGUUUCGGGCCAUGGGCUACAUUGGGCUUGUUAUUUUCCUUUGUAAUUGGACUGUUGUUUAUCUUGUUUUAAUAUUCGGGCCUGGGCAUAAAAUUGGGCCUUACAAUAGUCUUAAGUGUCUAUCACAAGAACCUAGAUAUUGUAAAUCCAAUAUCUUCCAAACAAUUCAACCAUGAUAUUAAUGAUGAUGGAAGCAAGAUUAUCCACUAUCAAUGACAUAAAAUGAGCUGUAAAUGCUGACGAACAAACAUGCACUGUUUUUCCAACCUGUGGAUUGAAGAGCAUUGACAAGCUAACUUUGCAGACCAUUUGAAUCCAAUACUAUACAUAAAAAUGCCAAAGGAGAAUAAUUCAUCUUGGAAAAAGAAUUACUAAUAUGCAAAAGCUUACCUUGUUUAACAAGAACACAGCAUAUGCUGCUCUUGUCGUGUCUUGACCUUCUAAAAACAGCGGAAAUUCUGCCAGCUUUACAUUUGCUGAAAGUGUUGUAUCCAAUGACAAAUCAGAAGAUGCAGGGUCUAUUGAAGACGCAUGGUCAUUAAUAUAUGAGCGAGAACCACCCAAGCGCAGAGGAUAACGCAAGGGAACUUGUAAAUAGGAUGCAAUUAGUGAAACAGCCUGCAAAUGAUGAAAUAACAGGAAACAAGAAACAAUAAUAGGUAUGAUUAAAAUUAUAGCCUCAGCAUGAGAAACAAGCAAUCAAGAUGCAGCCCACUAUACCAUAUUACCAUCCUAGCAAUUAAAAAUUACUACAGCAUCUUCAAGCAACAAGGGAUUGUAGGUGGUAGGUCAAAAAACUUGAUAUCCACAGCUUGAUAUUAUCAGAAAAAACAAAUUCAGUAAUAAAUGAUAACUUCACAGAAGAAAUAGAACGCACAUGUGCAACAUAUCCCAAGGCAGUUGCAGAUCUCUGAACCUCCUUUUUGUCAGUGAAAAAACUCAUCUUUGUAAAAGGAAGCAAGGUGAGAUUCAGACCUAAAAUUGUCAACGAUCCUUGAUUGACGGGCUUUGAUGCAGAAGGAUUCCCUAGUGAAGACAGGAACAAAGGAACUUCAUAUCAAUACAUCACCAGACACCACCUCUUUGUGAAAGUCAAAACAAAAUUCAAAAAAAUAUAAUCAUGAAAGUAAGAGAUAUGUAAAAAGUUCAUAAUAUUCAAGAGCAAAAAAAAAUUGUUUUGAUAUGAGGAGAAUUGAAUAGUAGAUUGCUAAAAGAGGAAUAACUGAAUACAGCCAUCAUAACCAAAAGAAGAGUCAAGUGAUAGGUAAUGGUACUCCCUAAGCUGUUUAGGAAUCAUAAAAGACUUGUCCAGUUGACAAAAAUAACUCAUUUUAUUCUCCCCUAGUAAAACAUCAUAUUGGACCAACCAUAUUUGAUAUCAAAGGAUAUGGAUAUCCAGGCAUGCCAUUUAUAGAUAUUCCCAGUGUUGCAAGAAGGAAUUGUUCAAGAGAAAGAAGCUGCUAUUGUUGGUAAAGUUUUCCUCAAACCAUUUUGAACAUCCAAAAUCUCAAGAACAAAAAAGAAAACGUAGGAGGAAAUAUAACAAGCAUCACAACGGGUUCUCGAUGAUAUAAGUGAGAGGAUAAAUGUUAAUUAAGAUUAUAAAAAUAAACCACAAACUAAACAGGAAAGACAUGGAUUUCAAAACGAGGAGACUGGCUGCUAAUUAAAACCAUAUGCGGUGUUGUCUAGGGCGCAAGGCGCAUUCUAGGUGCUAACCUUUAUAUUGCCUCAAGCACAAGGCACAAAAGGAAGCGCUAGCCUGAGUGCAGUAAAGCGCAAUACAUAUAUGUGAGAGUUUUUGCAAGUCUGUGUGUCUACAACAUAAAAGUUUUAAGAUAUAUAGUAAACUCUAAAGUGUGGUCUGGUUUAUCCACAAAACUUGCAAAAUUUUUAUAGGUGAAUGCUCAAAUAUUGAGAAUUAUAGAGUUUGAUAUUAUCCCUUUCUUAUUAGUAAAGGUGUAUCAAAUGAAAACAGUAAAAAAUAAAAUAAAAUAUUGAGAAAUUCAACAAGGCAGGCUUUUUCUAAUGCCCAUUGCCUUACAAAAAAAGUGUGCCUAGGUGCACCAGGCAUACGCUUGAUCAAAUGGACCUCACCUGGAAGGGUCCAAGGCGUUUGGUUGUAUAAAACUAAGGCGUAGGCAUGCCUAGGCGCAUGCCUUGACGACACUGACCAUAUGUUGGCUUUAUUGCAAAGCAUUAGCAAUCCAAAACUACUAGCACAUUACCUAAUCUACUACUGCUAGAAUAGGACUCAAGUUCUUGCUCCUGUGCAGGUCCAACCAAGAUCUUUACAGGAUACAAUAAUGAAACUUGUGAUAUCAUAUAUUGUUGCCUUGCUCGAAGCUUCCUUUGCACAUUUUUAAGUUUAACACAACCCCUUUCUUCAGUGAGUAAUCUAUUUGCUUCCUGUGAUAAAAACAACAUAUAAUCAAUCAUGCCACGCAUGCAAGACUACCAACCAACUAUCUAACAAAAGAUACAAAGAAGUAGGAGAGCAAGAAGGGGAUAACCCUUGACUAUGCAAAGGAAUUCAUAGAAUGAGAAUCAUCUCAUCUAAGCCCCUCAACCACCUUCACAGGGGGUGGAGGUGCAAAGAGAGAGGUCUUAUUGAUCCGAGAGGAGAAUAUAUAACAUCUAAAGCUGAAUAAGAAGAAACCUUGAAAUAUAUCAUAAAUUCAGAAUUCAUGAUAAUAUAAAAAUGAAAUUCCAAAGCUAAUUUAAGCUAGAAUAAAAAUGCUUCACCUGUAAUCACUUCCUUGCUACAGAAAGAGAGGUACCAGCAACCAACAAUGAUCUUACUUCAGUACUAAGCAUUUCCUCCUGUUUUUUAGCAUCCUCUGUUGCAACUUUGCAAUGAGUUGACAUGUUUGCCAUAACUACUUUCCUUGCCUCGAGUCUCUCACGCAUUUCCUCAAGCUCGUUCAGUUUAUUCAAAGACUCAUUUUUUACCUGCACAGCAUGUUCCCACCCAUUAAUCAGUGGGCCAAUUAAUUAGGUCACAGAAGACAAAACUAAAUUAUCACUCACCAGGUCCCCUUGAAGUGUCAUAUGGCUUUAACAAUUCAACGUGCAAUAUCUAGUAAAAGUAAAAUAAACAUAGAAGAAUGCAAAUGCAAUUCUUAAACGCCUUUAAAUGGACAACAUGAAACACUUUAAGAGCCCUAUAAAACAGAAAACUGGAAAAAAAAUCUGAAAAGGAAAAAAAAAUGAAUUGAAACAAUAAAUCCAUCUGGUACAAACAGCAACAAAUCUCGAAAUAAGCUUUGGCUUUAGCCCAUUAAAGCCCGGGCAUCCGGCCAAAUAAACAGUGACUGCCAUGUCAACUUUUUGAGACGGUAGAAAAGAGCUCAAAAAUCUCAAUUUCCAAAAAUAAGGACAUAAGAAGGAAAACAAUUUACUUAUUCUUACAGUAGAAGAGCAAAAUGAAACUAAAUGAAGGAUAAGGGAACUGAUGCGAAUUGACAUUGUUAUUUUUGGGACUAAAAAGAAUACGCAGAUUGAAUAUUUAAGAUUUUGUAAGGGAAAAGUUCCAUUCACCGACACAAUUAUCAUCGCCCUUUAUCCCAGUAAAGCUUAAUUGACAAUUUUUCUGUCUCGUGUUCUUGCUAAAGCAUUUGAGCAACCCAACAGAAAUCAUUAUAUUUCAAACUGAAAUGAUUGGCUUUAACAAUUUCACAACCUAUACCGCCCAACCUAGUAAGUAAUUUAGGUGCAGACACCAGAAAUCUAUUUUCUUUGCACUCUACAACUAAAUAGCAUACCACUUAUCAAUCAAACACAGCUGAAAACUUCAGUGAGGGAACAUUAUGUAAAAUGAAAAAACUAUAACUUCAACUUGAUUCAUAGCUCGGCAAGUUCAGGGAAUUGGGACUUCUACCACGAUGAUCCAGUUCAAUGUGAAACAGUGAUCCAUAUCAUGCAUAUCGGUUCCCGGAACAAGAGGUAAAACCAGCAAAUUAGGUAAACAAUAAUCCUACUAUAUUUCAGAAUAGCAACAUUGAGCAUGAAAGCUAAAAUUAUAGCAUAUUACGGGUCCUUGCUCUCUACAACUACAUAUAAAAUUAGUAAACAAUAUUACUACAUUAAGGAUCCAGAAAAACUUUGUUUCAAUUGUUGAUCACUUGAUCCAACUAUUUUAGAAAGUUUAUUCUUCUUUUUCCUUUCCCUUAUUUUCUAAAUCAGGAAAAACAGUAGCAUAUAAAUUGGAUUACUACUCCAAGUUUCUGAAAUUUCAACAAUAUCCCUUUUACCUUUUCACUCAAGUCAUUACCCCCCAAUUAACAAAUAUAUUCCCAGUUUCCCUUUCCCUUCAAACACCCCUUUUUUUUUCCUCUACCCAAAUUCAGCUUAUGUUCAAAAACCCAAAAUUGGUUUGCUAAAAUAACAUAAUUUUCAAACACAAAGAUAACCUAAUUUUAAUCAGAAAAAAAAAGCAUUACCUGAAUUAGUGACUGGAGUUUCUCUUGAAGACUUUGUUUCUUCUCAUUAGCUUCCUUAAGGGCAGAAGUUAAACUCCACAAUCUAGCUAGCUCGUUGUCGAAAUCUUCCCAUUCAAUUAGUUGCACAUUUUCAUGUGCAGCAUUGAUUUUCUUCGGGUCGGUAAUUAGGGUUUUGACUCGGGCUUGUUCUCGAUUUUCCAUGAAAUAAUUGAAGAGGAAAGCUUUCGAUUCUGUAAGUUUAAAAAGGGAUCAUAGAUCGACCUCAUGGUACUGGAUCUCGCCCGGUUAGAGUGUUCUUUUUCACGCCGAUCGAAUCAUUUUCUCGGGAAACUUUGCUAGCUAGGGGUAAUUUUCUCGGGAAAAUGGAGGGAAAAACAGAUUCGGGAGUUUUUAUUUGGGGGAGUCUAAGGUAUAACGGAGAAUGACAGGUGGCGGUUAACGGAGGAAUCUCACGAUUCAUGUCAUUUUCACUUUUUCGAUUUAGAAAUUGCUUAAAUACUUUUAAAAAUAGAUAAUAAGAUAAACUUUCUUUUUGAAUAAGAUAAAACUUUCAUUGAAAAUAAAUAAAUAAAUUAAAAAAUAUUUGAUGAUUUUUAAGUUGGUAAUUUUUUUUUAUAAAAAUUUGGUAACUUCUUUGAAAGUUGAUAUAAAAUGUAUCACGACCCGACUUGAGAUUUAAUUUGUCCUCGUCAGAAGUCCGACCCAAACAAGGGAAUAUGACUUGCCACUCACCAAUUUUUUAACCUUCCAACUUGCCAGCUUUAUGGAGUAACUCGGCACCUUGCGACACUACCUAACAUACCGUGAGAUUUAAGUACAAAUAUCUCUAAGGGUAUGUGUCAAGCUUAAGAGAAAUAACAUAUUAUUAUACAUAUUAUUUAGUUACCCCUAACAUGUCACGUCAAAAAAUCAUACUAUAAAAAAUAGUCCUCACAAGAUAGGAUAGAAAAAAAAAGUCAUCAACAAAAGUAAUUAAGUAACCUUUUUAUAAAACAAAAAGAUUUAUUUUAUUUUGAAAUAAAUUAAUUCUCUAACUUAUAUAAGAAAUUAAGUAAAAUCUUUUUAAAUAAUAAGACAUAAUUUCUCGAAAAAAAAUAAUCAAAUGAGAGCUAAUCAAAAUAAUUUAUUUUUUUAGGCCAAACAAUUUUACUUCAACUAUUUAUAAACACUUUUUAAUCAAUUUUAUUUUAACUCCCAUUAUAAAUUUUAUAAAAAGGAUAAUAUAUUAAAAAUACCCUUAAAUUAUUAGAUUUUGUAUAAAUAAACUCUUAUUUUUUUUAGUUAAAUAAACUCCUAAAUUAUUAAUUUAGUCAUGAAAAUGUUGAUAUAAAAGUAUGAGAAUAAUUUAUUAAAUAAAAAAUUAAUUAUUUUAAAAUAUUUAAAAUAUUUAUAUACAUAAUAAACUUAAUUAAAUUCUCUAGAAAAAAAAUUUAUAUUCUUUUAAAUUUUAUGUUGAUAUAUUAUUUCUAUUUGUCUAAUAAAGUGCAUAACGAGGCAAUAACUAUUUUUUAUGUAUAAAUUAAACAAUACUACAACUUCCGAAGUUAAUAAGAUUAUAUCUAUACUCACCAUCACAAUUAGAGACAGGGGUGAGUAUUCGAUCGAAUUGAGUUAAAAAAUUUUGAAUUAGUCGAGUUAACAAAUCUUAUUUUAGCAAUCGAAAUCAAUUUAAAUUUUUUUAAAUCAAAUCGAAUCGAGUCAAAAAAUUUCAAGUCGAAUUAACGAAUCCUAUUAUUUAUACUCAAUAUUGCGUUUAUAUGGGCUGAUUAUUUAACUGGUAGACGAAGUACAAGAUUAUUUAACUAUAUAAACAAUAUAAUGGUUUUGCAUUGUAACUUAAUAGGUAAACAUUUAUCAAAACGAAAUAAUUUUACCUUUUAAGUUAAUGGUUUUGACUUUUAACUUUUAACUUUAAAAAAUAUAAACAUUUAUCAAUACGACGUAAAUUUACAUUUUCGUAUUCGGAUUUUCGAAUAACUCGAAACGUGUAAUUCAUAUUCGAGUUAAACUAAAAAUUUUAAUUUUUUUAUUUGAGUUAAUCUGAAUAACUUGAUUAAAUCGAAUAACUCGAAUUGUUUAAUUUGAAAUUUGAUUUUUUUAUCGAAUUUUUCAAAUCAAAUCAAAAUUUACUCACCCUUAAUUAGUCAUCAUAACUAAAUUAAAGUUGCCCCAUUAUGCAAUUGCAAGUCUUCAAAGCCUAAAAGUUGUAACAAUUCAAAAUUUCAAUGGAAAUUAAAAUUAAUAUUUUUAUCAUAUAUUAGUCAAAGUUUAUUGCAUCAACAAUAAGUUAAGAUAAAAACCUCAAAUUUUAAAAUAUUUUUACCUCAAUAUAAAAUUUAAGAGCUUUCAUGUAUAAAAACUAAAGGUUAGAGCUUUCAUGUUUAAGGGCUUAUUUAUACUUCAUCUUUAUAAAAAAACACUUAAAUAGUAGUUUAAAUUAUAUAGUUAAUCACUCAAUUUUAGUAAAUUUUCAUUUUAGUCACUCGUUGUUAAUUUGGCUAAUGUAAAUAUUACAUUACACUGAUUUUAGUCACCUAAUUUUCAUAAGAUAGAAUUAAUUUUAUUUUUCGGUAAAAAAGAAAAGAAAAACUCAAAAUUUUACAAGCAAGUACCUAGGUUUUUAUAGAAAAAACUUGGAGUUUUAUAUGAAAAACCUACGUUUUUAUUGGAAUAGUCAUAUUAUCUUUUUUUAUUUCAUUUAUUUUUUUCAUUUAUAAAAUUAAUUUUAGCUUUUUCAAUGAAAAGAAAACCUAAUUUUUUACUAAGAAAAUCAUUUUAUCUUUUUAAUUUCUUUUACUUUCAUAUUUAGAAUUAAUUUUAAUUUUUUUUCCAAUAACAAUGAAAAAAAACUUGGAUUUUUACAAUGAGUUUGUUGGGUUUCCACGAGAAUUGCUUGAGUUUUAUGAAUAACUCAAUUCCUUAAAAAAUUCUAAAAAAAAUUAGAAAAAUAAGAUUAAUUAAAAAAAAUGGAGCAAAAUGAAAAUUUACUAAAAUUAGAUGGCUAAAAUGAAUAUACAAUUGCAUUUUCGUUAGCCAAAUUAACAUGUGAUCAAAAUGAAAUAUUAUUAAAAUUGAGUGAUUAAAAUGAAAAAACUAUUUGAUUUAUUUACACCCUGAUUUUAUGAGCAAAUUCCCCAGCACAAAGCCUAUUUUGACAAUAACAGUUCAAAUGAAAAGUCUUCGCUUACUCUUUGAACGAAACUCUUCUCCCGCUAAAACCACCUCUUCUUCCUCCAAAUUCAAACGCCCAAAGCUUUCUUCCAUCUCUAAUGGCUCUGAUUCAUCACAAUCAUCAUCAUCUCAAGAUCCCCUUAAAACCCAUUUCUCCUCUCUCAUCAAAUCCUCCGAAACCACCCUACAACUCCGGCAAAUCCACGCUCAAAUCCUGCGCCGCCACCUCUCUUCCAGUGCCAAUCUCACCACCCUCUUAAUCUCCGUUUCUUCUUCCUUCAAAUCCAUACCUUACGCGCUCUCUAUUUUCAACUAUUCUCACCACAAAAGCUUAUUCCUUUUCAAUGCUUUGAUUCGUGGCUUGACGGAGAAUUCCCAUUUCCAAUCCUCAGUUUCACAUUUUCUUCUCAUGUUGAGACAUAGAGUUCGCCCUGAUUAACUUACAUACCCUUUCGUGCUCAAGUCUAUUGCGGGAUUGGGUCUUCAUUUCCUUGGUCUGAUCCUUCAUGGGAGAAUCAUAAAAUCUGGGGUUGAGUUCGAUUCGUUCGUUCGGGUUUCGUUAGUGGAAAUGUAUGUGAAGCUCGAGGAAAUGGGUUUUGCGUUGCAAGUGUUUGAUGAAAGUCCUGAGAGAAACAAGAGUGAGAGUAUAUUGUUGUGGAAUGUGUUGAUUAAUGGGUGUUGUAAAGUGGGGGAUUUGGAGAAAGCUAUGGAGUUUUUCGAGGCUAUGCCUGAAAGGAAUAUUGGGUCUUGGAAUAGUUUUAUAAAUGGGCUAAUGAAAAAUGGGGAUUUGAACAAAGCAAUGCAGCUUUUUGAUGAAAUGAAGGAGAAGGAUGUGGUUUCUUGGACUACAAUUGUUAAUGGGCUUUCACAGAAUGGAGAUCAUCAGAAGGCGUUAUCCAUGUUCUUUAAGAUGUUGGAGGUCGGUUUAAGGUCGAAUGAUCUUACUCUUGUUUCAGCUCUUUUCGCUUGCGCUAAAAUUGGUGCACUUGAAGUUGGAGUCCAUAUCCAUAACUAUUUUGUGGAAAAUGGGCUUCGGUUGAAUAAAGCAACUGCUGCUGCUUUGGUUGAUAUGUAUGCAAAGUGUGGGAAUAUCCUAUCUGCUAGUAAGGUUUUUGAAGUAACUGUUGCGCGGAAGCGUGUGAAAGAGUAAAAUUAUUGUACUGAAAAAUCACACUAAGUUCAAUUCCCAGGAAAGAGAGGUGGAUCACGAGGAUCGCUUACAUACCAGAUCUUUCCUAGCCAGAAUAUCCCUCUAUCGUAAUUUAAUAGCACAAUAAAUCACUACAAUGACACUUGCAAAAUAUGCAGAACAAAAAAUAAAGAACACUAGAAUUUUAACGAGGUUCAGCAAAUUUUGCCUACGUCCUCGGGCACUACCAAAUAUAUUUCACUCCAAAAAAUACAAGUGAAAGUUUACAAAUAGGGAGAGAGAACAAUUGCCUUAAGUAGAGAUUGGCAAGUGUGGGAUGAAGAAAGUAAGAAAUGGUUAGGCCUAUUUAUAGUUGAGGUUCAAGGAUCAACUUGCAAUGUCCCUAUACAAUUAGGGACCAAAAUUGCAAUUAUCUCAUGCCAACUUUUAACCCAACUUGCCAACCAAUUUUACUUUCUACUUUCGGUGACCACCCUUUUUGACUUUUCAAACAAUGGGUGGGUUCCAAUAAUCUCCACCUUGAAGAUUUGAUUAGGCUAAUCUUAUCUUCACACAAUUCUUUCUGCCUUUGACAACAAUACUUGAUAGUGCCUUCUUCAACUGUUAAACUUGCAGGAUAUUAAUCAAGUUCAAACAAUGUUCGAACUUGGUUGAUGUUACCACCUUGCUCAUCAUAUCUGCGGGAUUAUCUGCAGUCUUGAUCUUCUGAAGACAAAUUUUCCCCUCUUCAAUAAUUUCCCGCACAAAAUGGAAUCGUACGUCGAUAUGUUUUGUACGUGCAUGAUAGACUUGAUUCUUUGCUAAAUGAAUAGCACUUUGACUAUCACGAUACACGUUAAUAUGCUCCUGAACCAACCCCAAGGUUUUAGCCAUACCUUGUAACCAAAUAGCCUCCUUUACAGCCUCUGUUACAGCCAUGUACUCGGCUUCUGUGGUUGACAAUGCAACUGUAGACUGUAGUGUAGACUUCCAACUUAUUGGUCAUCCAGCAAGUGUAAACACAUAACCAGUGGUUGAUCUUCGAUUGUCCAAAUCACCGGCAUAGUCAGAAUCAACGUACCCAAUAACACCUUUACCAAGUGUAUUAUCCUGCUUGAACAGUAAUCCAACAUCCACGGUCUUCUGAAUAUACCGUAGAAUCCAUUUCACAGCUUGCCAAUGUCCUUUUCCAGGAUUAUGCAUAUACCUGCUCACUAUACUAACUGCCUGUGAAAUGUCAGGUCUUGUACACACCAUUGCAUACAUCAAGCUACCCACUGCAUUAGAAUACGGAACUUGCAACAUGUAUUCUCGUUCCGUAUUCGUCGAAGGAGAUAGUUGUGUAAAAAGCUUGAAAUGAGAAGCCAACGGGGUACUUACAGGUUUUGUCUGCUCGUUCAUGCCAAACUGCUGUAGUACCUUUUUCAAAUACUGCUUCUGAGACAAGCUAACUCUAUCAUGAGCUCUAUCUCUCCAUAUUUCCAUGCCGAGAAUCCUUUUAGCUUCUCCUAGAUCUUUCAUCUCAAACUCGAGAUUGAGUUGAGUCUUCAAUCUUUCAAUUUCAACUUUGCUCUUAGAUGCUAUUAGCAUAUCAUCAACAUAUAAGAGCAAGUAUAUGAAAGUUCCUUCUUGUAGCUUCUGAAAAUACACGCAAUGAUCAAAUUUACUUCUUGUGUACCUUUACCCUUUCAUAAACUGAUCAAAUCGCUUGUACCACUGCCUCGGAGAUUGCUUCAAUCCAUAAAGCGACUUUGUCAGUUUGCAAACCCAAUUUUCUUUUCCAGCAACCUUGAAUCCAUCUGGCUGAGUCAUAUAGAUUUCCUCUUCCAAAUCACCGUGUAAAAACGCGGUCUUCACAUCAAGCUGAACUAGUUCAAGAUCAUAUUGCGCAACCAAGGCUAGCAAAAUCUGAAUAGACGAAUGCUUCACAACUGGAGAAAACACUUCAUUGUAGUCUAUUCCUUCUUUCUGAGCGUAACCCUUUGUUACUAAUCUAGCCUUGUAUCGAAUUUCAUUUUUAUCAGGAAAUCCUUCCUUCUUUGCAUAUACCCAUUUGCAUCCAAUUGCCUUCUUUCCCUUGGGUAGUGUCACCAACUCCCAGGUCUUAUUUUUCUGAAGAGACUGCAUUUCUUCAUUCAUUGCUUGCUUCCACUUUACACCAUCAGGGUUACUUAUUACUUCUGUGUAAGUAGAAGGAACAUCAUCAUCUGUAUUUGGAAAUGCAUAGGCCACUAUAUCAUCAAAGCGAGCAGGCUUACGAAUCUCUCUUCUUGGCCUUCUAUAUGCAAUUGAAUCUUGUUGCUGUAGAGAUUCUUGGGUAGGAACCUCUUCAUCAUUUGUCCCUUCAAUAUUAGCUGGAUCAUCGUUAACCUUUUCAAGCUCCACAUGCUGCAAAGUACUAACGGUUUUGUCAUCCUUUUGUGAAUCCUUGUACUUCAACAUGGUUGAUUCAUCAAAAGUCACAUCUCUACUGAAAACAAUCUUCAUUGUAUCAGAACACCAGAGACGAUAUCCUUUUACUCCAUCAGUUAUACCCAAGAAUAAUGCUUUCUUUGCUCUUGGGUCUAACUUAGAUUCUUUUACAUGAUAAUAUGCAGUGGAACCAAAUACAUGCAAAGAAUCAUAAUCAGUAGCAGAUUUACCAGUCCACAUCUCUAUAGGAGUUUUUCCAUUUAUUGCAGCUGAUGGCAAACGGUUAAUUAGAUGGCACGCAUAUGUAACUGCCUCAGCCCAAAAUUCUUUGCCCAAUCCAGCAUUGGACAACAUACAUCGAACUUUCUCCAGUAUAGUUCGAUUCAUUCGUUCUGCCACCCCAUUUUGCUGUGGUGUAUCCCGAACAGUGAAGUGUCGCACAAUGCCCUCAUCUUGGCAUACUUGUAGAAAUGGAUCGUUUUUGUACUCAGUACCAUUAUCUGAUCGAAGUCGUUUGACCUUUCGACCAGUCUGAGUCUCCACCAUCUUCUUCCAUUUCAGAAAUGCAUCCAAAACUUCACUUUUUCUUUUCAUUAGAUACACCCAUACUUUUCUUGAAUAAUCAUCAACAAAAGUAACAAAAUAGUGCAUACCUCCCAAAGAAGCUACUUUGGUAGGUCCCCACACAUCACUGUGAACGUAGUCCAGAAUUCCUUUCGUAUUGUGAAUUGCUGGACCAAAUUUUACCCUCUUCUGCUUGCCCAGAACACAAUGUUCACAGAAUUCCAUUUUGCAAGAAUUUGCACUUUUCAAUAAGCCUUGCUUCACCAAUGUCUGCAAAGCUUUUUCACCAGCAUGUCCCAAUCGCAUAUGCCAUAAUCUGGUAGCCUCUGAAUCUACAUCUUUUGUAGAAACUGUUGAUGUUGAUCCAAUAACUGUACUUCCAUUUAAAAAAUACAAGUUAUUUCUUCUUGUGCCUUUCAUCACCGUCAGUUGCCCAGCUACUACUUUUAGUAAUCCAUCUCUCAAAGUGAUUGUGAGCCCUUUAGAUUCUAGGGCACCUAAUAAGAUGAGAUUUUUCUUCAGGCUAGGUACGUAGCAAACAUCUGUCAAGACUUGGAUUGAGCCGUCGUGAUUCUUCAAUUGGACUGUACCCACUCCCAUUGUCUUACAAGCACUAUCAUUGCCCAUAAGAACAAUUCCACCUUCUAGCUCUUUAAGACUAGAAAACCAGUCCUUAUUAGGACACAUAUGGUAAGUACAUCCUGAAUCCAAAAUCCACUCAUCCGUUUGACAUGCCAUUGCCAUGCCAACCAAGCUAAAGUCUGACUCCUCAUCAUGCUCCGCUACACAUGCAUUAGAAAUAGCCUUGCCCUUUUGUAGCUUAGGACAAUUCUUUUUCCAAUGCCCUUUUUCACGGCAAAAGGCACAUUUAUCUUUGGCGGGUCUCCCUUUGGACUUUCCUCUUCUACCAGAUUUGCUGCUGUGUGAACGACCUCUUACUGUUAAGACUUCUGCGGUUGUAUCUCUGUGAUCUCUUUUAUCUUUCUUUCGAGUCUCAGAUCUAUACAACGCACUACAGACUGCAUCAAAUGUGAUCGUGUCCUUCCCAUGAAGCAAUGUGGUGGUAAGAUGAUCAUAUUCAUCAGGAAGGGAAUUCAACAACAAUAAUGCAUUGUCUUCAUCUUCAAAUUUCUCAUCCAAAUUUAGCAAGUCUGCUAAAAUUUUAUUGAAUGAGUUCACAUGGUCAUUCAUCGACAUACCGGGUGCAUACGUGAAUCGAUAAAGUUUCUUUUUCAUAUAAAGCCUAUUUUCAAGACUUUUCGUUAGAAACUUUUCUUCCAGUGUAUCCCAUAACUUCUUCGCUGAUGUCUCCCUCAUGACAGAGUACUUCUGCUCUUUGGCCAAACAUAGGCGGAUUGUACCACACGCCUGUCUAUUGAUUUUGGCCCACUCCAUGUCAUCCAUCUUGUCAGGUUUUUCUUCAAAUGCUAUAUCUAGCUCUUGCUGACAUAAGACAUCCAGGAUCUCACAUUGCCACAUACCAAAAUUAUUGGUACCGUCAAAUUUCUCUACUUCAAAUUUUGCAUUUGUCACAGUAGUCCUUGCUGAUGACGAUGCUGCUGCCAUUUUUCUCCUCAAUCCCAACUACUGUAUACGUGAACAGUACUGUAUACGUGAAUAGUACCGUAUACGUGAAUAGUGCCGUAUACGUGAAUAGUACUGUAUAUGUAAAUAGUACCGUAUACGUGAAUAGUGCCGUAUACGUGAAUAGUACUGUAAACGGUCGUAUUCCCCAAGUACGAACCUGGCUCUGAUACCAAUUGUUGCGCGGAAGCGUGUGAAAGAGUAAAAUUAUUGUACUAAAAAAUCACACUAAGUUCAAUUCCCAAGAAAGAGAGGUGGAUCACGAGGAUCGCUUACAUACCAGAUCUUUCCUAGCCAGAAUAUCCCUAUAUCGUAAUUUAAUAGCACAAUAAAUCACUACAAUGACACUUGCAAAAUAUGCAGAACAAAAAAUAAAGAACACUAGAAUUUUAACGAGGUUCAGCAAAUUUUGCCUACGUCCUCGGGCACUACCAAAUAUAUUUCACUCCAAAAAAUACAAGUGAAAGUUUACAAAUAGGGAGAGAGAACAAUUGCCUUAAGUAGAGAAUGGCAAGUGUGGGAUGAAGAAAGUAAGAAAUGGUUAGGCCUAUUUAUAGUUGAGGUUCAAGGAUCAACUUGCAAUGUCCCUAUACAAUUAGGGACCAAAAUUGCAAUUAUCCCAUGCCAACUUUUAACCCAACUUGCCAACCAAUUUUACUUUCUACUUUCGGUGCCCACCCUUUUUGACUUUUCAAACAAUGAGUGGGUUCCAAUAGUAACAAAAGAGAAGGACAUUCGUACCUGGAGUGUCAUGAUAUGGGGUUGGGCAACCCAUGGGUUUUAUGGACAAGCUAUCCGAUGCUUCAAAAAGAUGAUGUUUUCAGGUGUGGACUUAGUAGUUUUCAUUGAGCUCAACCCUUUAUUCUAAUCUUUCUGAAUAAACUCAAGUUUGUCGUAUUUGCAGGAAUAAAACCCGAUGCGGUGGUCUUUCUUACCCUCCUGACUGCAUGCUCACAUUCUGGACAAGUAGAUCUUGGGCUUAACUUCUUUGAUAGCAUGAGGUUUGAUUACUCCAUUGAGCCAACCAUGAAGCAUUAUACGUUGGUCGUUGAUUUGUUAGGCAGGGCAGGCCGACUGGAUGAAGCAAUGAAGUUCAUACAAAGGAUGCCUAUAAGUCCUGAUUUUGUGGCAUGGGGAGCACUUUUUGUGCUUGCAGAGCUCACAAAAAUAUUAAAAUGGCAGAACUAGUGUCAGAAAAGCUCCUUCAGCUUGAACCUAAACAUCCUGGGAGCUAUGUUUUCUUGUCAAAUGUUUAUGCAGCAGUUGGUAGAUGGGAAGAUGUGGAGAGGGUAAGAAUGUUGAUGCAGAAUCAAGCUGUUGGCAAAGAUCCGGAGUGGAGUUAUAUUGAAGUCAAUGGACAAGUGCAUAGUUUUGUAGCUGGUGAUCAUGAUCAUAAGCGUGCAAGAGAAAUAUACUUGAAAUUAGAGGAAAUAGUGUCUGGUGCAAGAGAGCAAGGAUAUAUGCCUGAAACUGGGUGGGUUCUUCAUAAUAUUGAGGAAGAAGAGAAGGAAGAUGCAUUAGGAAGUCACAGUGAGAAAUUGGCGCUUGCCUUUGCCUUAAUGAACACUCCUCCGGGGACAACUAUUAGGAUAGUGAAGAACUUAAGAGUAUGUGGAGAUUGCCAUUCUUUGAUGAAAUGUGCUAGUAAGAUGAGCCAAAGAGAAAUCAUAUUGAGAGAUAUAAAGAGAUUCCACCAUUUCAAGUAUGGGGUCUGCUCAUGUGGAGAUUAUUGGUAAAAUGGUAAGUAACAGCAACAUUAAUUUGCUUUGCUGUUAAUAGCACAUGAUUAGUGCUUCUACUUGGUUUAUUUAGAAUAAUGCUUUUAGUUAAAACAUGGAUGUAGCUACAGCAACACAAGUUUUUUUGUUUGAUAAUUGGUAGCAAGUACAUUAAAUUUCUCCAAUGGACCUUUCUGCACAUAUAUAUUAAACUUGAAACUCAUUAGUUAAGUUUGUACUUUAUUUAGGUAUCUAAUUAACGUUGUUAGAUUUUUUCAAUUUCAACUUAUCAUCUUGUGCCACUUCUUUCUCUUCCCUUUAGUGAAAUUUAGCACUUUAAAAGAUGGGUUGCAUUUUGCUCCCUCUGUCAAAAAAAAUGGACAGAUUAAGCUAUACACGUUAGAUCAAAGAGCAAAUAGGUCUUUUUGUUUAAAAAUCCAUCAAUUUUUGUUGUUAAAAAUCAAUCCAUUUACAUCAACAUAAAAUAUAUAACUGUUUGGGUAUCUCAUCAUCCAUGUUAGUUUUUAGCAAUACAAAUGGAUAGAAUUUUUAACAAAAAAAACCAGUUUAUUGUUUGAUCUAACAUACAAUGACUAAUUUGUCAAUUUUUUAAGUAAAUAAAGCAUAAUGCUAAUUGACUCUUAGUAUAAUAUCUCUAUGGUACUUUUAUCAAUACUAUCUCUAUUUAUGAAAUUAAAAAUACUUAAAUAAUUAGAUUUAUUGUAUAUUGUGAUAAAAAAUUAUGUAAGAAAUGCAUUUAUUAAAAAUCCAUAUAAAAUCUAAAUGAUGAUUGUAAAGUUAAAUGUUCUGGUGCAAGAGAGCAAGGAUAUAUGCCUGAAACUGGGUGGGUUCUUCAUAAUAUUGAGGAAGAAGAGAAGGAAGAUGCAUUAGGAAGUCACAGUGAGAAAUUGGCGCUUGCCUUUGCCUUAAUGAACACUUCUCCGGGGACAACUAUCAGGAUAGUGAAGAACUUAAGAGUAUGUGGAGAUUGCCAUUCUUUGAUGAAAUGUGCUAGUAAGAUGAGCCAAAGGGAGAUCAUAUUGAGAGAUAUAAAGAGAUUCCACCAUUUUAGGUAUGGGGUCUGCUCAUGUGGAGAUUAUUGGUAAAAUGGUAAGUAACAACAACAUUAAUUUGCUUUGCUGUUAAUAACACAUGAUUAGUGUUUCUACUUGGUUUAUUUAGAAUAAUGCUUUUAGUUAAAACAUGGAUGUAGCUACAGCAACACAAGUUUUUUUGUUUGAAAAUUGGUAGCAAGUACAUUAAAUUUCUCCAAUGGACCUUUCUGCACAAAUGAUAUAUGUCCCCAUAAAGAACUUGGUGCUCACGGUAUUGCAUGACAGGUAGCCAUAGGUUAUUCGCUCUCUUGAUUGGUAUCUUACAUUCCUCAAGGUCCAAAAGUUGUUCCUUCUUUUUGUCUGAAGUCCAAACCUAAGAAAAGCAUUGAUGGGCCUUUAAAACUUUGCUCAUUUCACUACAUGAACUAUUGGAUGUUUUGUGUUCAAAUUAGUUUAUGCCAGUAGUGAAAGUACAUCUCUUUCUCCUUAUCCAGUUAUUCUUUUCAGUUGUCAUCAUCUUUCUGUGUCUUGCCUUCUGAAGUGUUUAGAUGACUGCAUUUCUCAAUAUAAUUUUCAUUUGACCUAAAUAGUUGAAAUUAAAGUCCCUUAUCAUGCCAUUCAUUACUUUGCUUCUAUAUGGUAGUUAUUCUUCAAUGUCCAUGAAUUGACAUAUAUCACUGGAAGCAUAAUCUUACUUCUAAGCAUGGGAUUGACCUUCUUUAAUGCAGGUUCUUCUGUAAGACUCAAACCAUAGAUGGGCAAGGCUUGAGAAAAUAAAGUUGUAAGUGUUGAACCAGGAAGGACGAUGUUGGCCAUGUUAUAAACAUUCCUCCAGAAUGACUAAACAUCGAGGAAAAGGUUCAACCAUGAGUGGUCCACUGAAACGUGCUUGGUCGAACACGUGCCAAUUAUCAGCUACGUAUCAAAUCCCACAAUUAUAAAUGUAGAUUGGGUUCCAUGCUCUGGUUAAUCCAUUAGAUGACACGGUCCAUUGAAAAGGUACUAAAUUACUGAUGUUUGGUCCAUAUAUGAAUCUGUUUAUUUAAUGGCCAGCAUUAAUUGUUAAUUCUCUUGUUUGCGGGUGACUUUUCCUCUAGCAUGCCUUAUGGAAAGAAGUGUCAGUGACAACCUUUUAAUCAACAGCAACUUACCCUACUAAUGAGCAUUUGGAGCAUUUCAUAGCUCGUUCAGUUUAUUCAAAGACUCAUUUUUACCUGCACAGCAUGUUCCCGCCCAGUAAUCAGUGGGCCAAUUAAUGAAGGAGAGGAUAGUUUGCUAGACACAUGUUUUUUGUGUGAGCUUUCUGGUCUUUUAUGUAGUUGUGGUGUUGACAAUUUUUGUUGUUCUUUACAUAAAUUCUUAUUGGCUAAGCGCUUGGUUUUCUUUUAUUGGAAAGUGCAUCACAACCUGUCGUUACUCAACAAUGGCCAAUUUUCUUGCAUAUCACAUCUUCAGGCAAUGUGAUUAUGUUGAAAAUUGGCCUACCAUGCUUGCUGUAAUACUUCCGGAUGAAGUACGUGCUAGCAAUUGUUCAUGCUGCAGCACGUAUGCUUGCUGUAACAGCAAGAUUUUUGUUUUAGUUUCACUGUAAUCAGCCUAGUUGGAAAUGAACAAGCUGAUGACAGCUUGAUAUGUUUAGGUGUUGAAUGACUAAUUUAGGUGGCUUGUUUCUGUGUACAAGCAAUGUUUUUAAAGUUAGUAGGCUACUUAGUGGUAGUAGGUAGUAAUAACUGAUGUAGUUGGCUAUAAAUGUAUUGUUUUUUUAUUGAAAAAUUAAGCAUAUCAGUGGUUAAAACAGAUUGCUUCCUUGCUGCACGUUUGUGAGCAAGUAAAUUAUUCUUGCAGCUUGCUUCAUUGUCUUGUUCUGUUCUCUGUUUUCUUCCUCUGCUGUCAAAAAACCCAACAGAUUAGCUAUCGUGAAGAUUUCAACAAAGUCGGUUCGUGUUGAUUCAAGGAAAAAAAGAUAUUACGAUUUGAUUUCCUCACCUAAUUGUUUUACUAUGCGAAGUUGGAUUGUGAGGAAUAUUUUGUUGAUUUCUGCAUUUUGAAUAAAGAGCUCUUAGGUUUGUGUGGCCGACGUUUAUAGUUUUAUCUUUCGAUUUUAUCUUUUUUUUUGUAUGAAAUUUAAAGUUUAAUCAAAACUAAUUGUUAUGUGUAUGUAAUAGCUAUUUGAAUUAAAUUAAAUUGACAAAUCAACGUACACUAGUGCAUACUAAAAAAAAUGUAAUAUAAAAUUAAACCAAAAUUGAAUCUAAAACUUAAAUAUUUUAAAACCUCAAACAUAUGGCAACUCUUCACUCCUCUUUCCCUCUGAAGUUAUUUUAAUUUAAAAUAUAUUUUGUAUAAUGUGUUAUAACAAUUCAACUAAACAAAGUGAUUCUCUUUGCAUAACAUAUUAUAUGCUUAUAUAAACUUUUACACAAUUUGUUAUAGAUACAUUUUUAAUAAUUGAAUGAUGACUCCAUUAAAAAUGCAAUAUCAUAAUAAUUCUACAUUUCUUGCAUUAAUAUAAAAUUUUCCUUUUUUUUUCCUCCAAGCCUUGUUUAUUAUCUUUUGUUUUGCCAAAUGGCAGUGCCAGCUUUCAGGCUAGCUAUCGCCCGCCUUUUUCUCCCUCCCAUUAAUCCUUUUUUUCUUUUUUCUUCUCAUUCACUCCACAUGUCUUCUUUCUUUUCAGUUUGUAGAUCUAUUUUAUGAGAAUCUUUAUUUUCUUCACAAGUUGUGAUAGACAGAUGACGACGCCUAUGUUCGUUAAAACUUCAUCGGCCACCAAUAAUUUUUCAGAAUAAUAAAUAAUUUCAUGAGUCGAUUUGGAUUCUUGUUAUCAUAAGUUUUAUAUAUUUUUUAGUUUGUUUUUCAUUGUUUAAUAGGUUUUUAGUUUUAGAAGUUUUUGUCUACUCUUGUAACACGUUUUUUAGUCUUGCUUAUGCAUGUAACCUUAGUUUUACAAGUGAUUUUAGAGAUGGUUUUGUUACCGUCUUCUCUAGUUUGGUGAAUGCUCAAUUCUUUUGUCCAUUUUUGCUCGUCACUUUGGACCAUUCGAGGCUGAUUUUCUUUAUCGCAUUAAGUGCUUGCGAUCACUCCAAAUAUAUCGUGCUUAAGUUGUGAUAAAGCCUGUACAAGCCCAAUUUUUAUGCCCGGGCCCAAUUGACCCAACAAAACCGAACGGCCCAACAGACUAAGGCCCAAACCCAACAAAGACUAGGGUUUCAGAACCCUAGCCCCUCCAUCAGCGCCGCAUGCUAGGGUCUCUGACUUCUGCCCCGUCGGCGCAAACGGCGCACCUACCCCGUCCGUGUCACGUCUCCUCCAUCGCCCUACACCUGCAAACAAUAAAGAGAGAAGCAGACAACACAAAACAGGGGAAAGAUUGAAUCUUUUUUUUUUGUUCUUUCGGUUAUAAAGCCGAACGUAUCAAAUAAGAAAAAGGGGGGAUUUUUUGCAAAAAAAGAAAAUCACAUCAGAAAUAAGAAAAGGAACAAAGGUUGCUGUGUUCUUCAUUUUAUUCUUUUUUGAUUCGUUUACUUUCAUUUAUUUUUAAACAAAUCCGUUAAAAAAUAUAUCAAUAAAAAGGAAAAGAAAAAAAGGAGCGCACCUGAAUCGCUCUCUGGCUCCGUCGACGGAGGUUCUCUCGCCGUUGUCGGCCCGGAUCUGAAGGAGGGAUUCAGAGCCCUUGUCUCGGCGCUCGUAGGGGUUCAAGGACCCGAUUUUCAAAUCGCCCGAAGGCCAGGCUUUUUAAAAACCCUUUGUUGCGCUUCGUUGGCCGCCGUUUCGGUGGCGGUGCGACGGACAGACGGACGAUGGUGAAAAGCCAAUCGUCGGAGGGCAUGAAGAGAGAGUGGGGGAAAGAGUUCUGAAUUUUUUUUUUUAAAAGAGGGAUGAAAUGAUUUUUUUAGGGGUUUUGAUUUAUAUAAGGAUCCAAAACGGCGCCGUUUUGGAAGGGUCAGAAAGCCCCUAAAACGACGCCGUUUUUGCAUAAGACCCGAGACCCAACCCGUCUGCCUUAGGGGAUCCGCGUGUUUUUUACGGAAGGGCUAAUUUCACGUUUAAUCCUUCCGCUUUUUAAUUAUUUUAAAAUUAGGUUCUUUUGAUCUUUUUAAUUUUACCCGGAAAUUGUUUUCGUUUUCAAUUUGAUCCUUACCCAAACUACGUCGUUUUAAAGAAAGGGCCAUUUCUUUGUUGGUCCCUCCAUGUUUUAUGCUUGUUUAGAGCAGUCCUUCCCUUUUCGUUUAUUUGCGUUUUGAACCCCCCGAAUUUUGUUUUAAUGUUUAAUCUAAUCCUUCUGCUAUUUUGUUUAUUUUCUUAACAAAUUUAUUAUUAUUAUUAUUAUUACAUAUUCAUUUAUAACAUCUAAUUUUAGAUUUAAUCAUAUAUAUAAAUAUACGUCCAUGAUAUAUACCUACUUUUUAUAUAUACUUUAUAAUUUAUAUAUACAUAUACACAUUUUAAUUUAUGUACAUAUCUACACAUAUUUUUCAUACUUUACUCAUAUAUAUAUACAUGUACUUAUACAUAUUCUUUAUAUCUUAAAAUCCAUAUUUUUCUUAUGUAUAUAUUUUAUAUUUUAUAUUUUAUAUAUAUGUGUUUAUAUAUUCUACGAUAUAUAUUUAUAUGCAUAAUAAAUACAUAUCUAUAUACGUUUCGAUUUUUAUAAACACAUAUAUAUGUAUGCAUACCUUUAUAUUUCUUAUAUUAAAUACAUAUAUAUAUAUUUAUAUAUCCCUUUAUACUUCUAAAAUCAUAUAUUUUGUAUAUAUUCUUUAUAUUUUAUGAUUCCUAUAUGUACCCACAUAUAUACUUUUUGUAUUGUAUGAUUGUUAUUUACGUAUAUGUACGUACAUACAUACUUACACCUAUUUUCAUGUAUAAUAGCCUUAUAAUAUGUGUACAUACAUGUAUUUUUCAUAUUUCCAUAUACAUACACAUAUAUCUUUUUAUUUUAUAUAAUCUUACUCAUUUUAUUUAUUUAUUUAUUUACAUGUCUAUUAUUAUUAUGCUCUAGUUUUUAUUUAUUUAUUUAUUAUUUGUUAUUGUGCUUGCUUGAUCCUUUUAUAUAUUAAUCUUAUUUUUUAUUUUUAUUUUGAUCAUGUCAUUUUACUUACAUUAUCAUCAUCAUUCCGUUACACUCAUUUUUUUGUUUAGAUUUCAAAAAAAAAAAGAAGAAAUUUUAAAAAUAAGUAACACUCGGUAUUUUGGAUCUUCGAGAGAAUCGAGUCCUAACGUAUUGGGUUCCGACUUUCUUCGUUGAAUUUAAAUAAUCGAGAUUACUCUUUUAAAAAUGAUAAAAAAGCUCGUUAUCGAGAAUUCAAUACGUUGUGUCCCAACGGAUUGGACGUAACACGGUGUUUUCUCGAGACGAGGAUUUUUCGAAAUAAACGUAAUAUUCAAUGUUUAAUCUUUUGAGAAAUUGUGCCCUAACGUAUUGGGUUGUGAUUUCUUCAUUUGAUUUAAACAAUUGAAUAUCCUUUUAAACUUUAUUACAUGGAUCUUUUCAAACUCAAGUUUUAAACAACCUCGGGAAUUAAAAGAGGAUCGUGUCCUAACUUACUGGUCGUAAUCCCUUUUUUAAUUCGAGAUCGUUAAAUAUCUUUUAAAUAAGCUUUUUUCAUUCGCGUAUUGGGAAUUCGACAUAUUGUGUCUUAACUUGCUAGAUAUGAUAUUCUGUCUCGAAUAACGUGAAAUAUGCCCCUUUUCCUGAAAAUUUUCAACGUUUUAAUACAAGGAUCGUAUUUUUAAAAUUCUUCUAAGUUAUCAAUUUUCGACACUAAGACAUUAACUAAUCAACUAGGUACCAAUUUUGGGCGUAUCGAGGGUGCUAAUCCUUCCUCGUGCGUAACCGACUCCCGAACCCGUUUUUCUGAAUUUCGUAGACCAGACUUGUUGUUUUAAUAAAAUUAAAUUGUUUAUUAAAAACAACCACUUUUCGAGGUGAUCCAAUCACCCCUCAUAAAAAAGGAUUGGUGGCGACUCCCGUUUUUUUAUUUUCGUCAAAACCCAAGUCGACCCCGUUUUUCAUCCAAAAAAAUGGUGUCAACAAAGCCAAUUGUCAACAUGUCAUAACGUUCUAUUUAUGCUAAGGCUAAAGCCUUCGUUGGGUUGUUGGAGCUUGUCAUUUACCAUCUACGACGAGUGCUUAUUUUUUUCCCUGAAUUGUAUGAUUCCAUUCAUUGAAUGAAUUAACGAAUUUACCUUUCAAAAGAAAAAAAAUUCAUAAAUUUUGAAAUACAAAAUGAAUGUGUUUUGAUAUUUUUAGGGCAAUGGUUUAGUGGUUUAAAUUUUUUUAUUUAAUAUGGUGAAUUUAAUUAUAAUUUUUUAUUUAUUAGAUAGUAGAAUAUCUCUUACCAUUUAUAAUUAAGUUUAGGUUAAAAUAUUUUAUUAAAUUUUUGGACUUUUCACAAAUUUUAAAUUUAAUCUGUUUACUUUUAUUCAAGAAUUUAAUCUCUCUGCAUAUAAAGGAGGUAAUUAUGGCAAGGGGAAUUACCAUGGCAGAGGUAGCGGAGGCUGAGGAAGAGAUGCUGGAUAUGCUGAAGAAAGAUAGAUGGCUGAGAAACAGAAAAACUUUAGGAACAAUAUUCAGUGUUAGAAGUAUGGGGAUGUGAAGGCAGAUUGUUGGAAAAGGGGAAAACAAGCAAAUUAUGCGGAAGAUGAUGAAGAGAUUUAAGUUAUUUAUGAGCUGUCUAGAUGACACCAUAGCUUCAACUAACAUUUGGCUUCAAGGGCGUAUAUCUCAUGAUGAAGAGAUUGUCUCUCUUCUUUUUUCUCAUAACAUAUUAUACGCCAUGAUAAUAAAUUUUGAUAUGCCUAUAAAUUUGAGUCUCUAUUAUUUGUAAUAUGACAUGUUUUAAUUAUUUUUUAUAUUAUGCCAUGAUUUGGUUCACUCCAUAAGUUAUAUAAAUUUAUUAUAAUAAUUCAAUUAAUUUAAUUUAGAUUAAUUUUACAUUUUUGUCCUAACUUUAGUUUUUAAUAAUUGAAUCAUCCCACCAUUAUAUUCAAUUACAAGUGUAAUACGAUUUUGCGUCAUCCCGCACCAUUAUUCUCAGUGUAAUUUUUGGUAGUGAGCAUUGAAGGGGAGAGAGAGAGAGAACAAAGAAAGAACUUACUGUAAUUUUUGGUGUAUGUAAUCGAUAACCCUCAAUGCUUAAAAUGAAAAAGAAAAUAGAAAACAAAGGUGGCAAAGUUAGUUACAAUGCCAGCUAAUUCGUUAUUGCUAUCCACAUGAAGAAUUUUAUAACCCCAACUACACGAUUUUAUGUCUACCAGCUCUCACUUUUCAUAUUUUUUGGCCAUUAGUUAUUCUAAGAUUUAACAUCACCGUUAAGCCAUGUUUAAACUCUUUUUCUUAUAUAAUAAUUAUAUUAUAUUUAAAAUUGAAAAAACUAACCAACCAAAUAUAUAUUAAUUAAUUAAUAGAAGUUUUUUGGUCAUCGAUUAAAAUAAAUCAAGAAAGACGUUGGAACCACCAACUUCUCUUUAAGAACAACACGAAUACAAGAAUCUAUGCACAACAAGUUCUAAAAUGUAUUAAGUAAAUUCAUCAUCAUGCCUUAAAAAAAGAAGAUCUCGAUAUAUCUGCUUUUGCCAAAGCAUCCGCCAUACCAUUACUUUGCCAGUGAAUAAUUGUGAACUGAAACUUAGCCAAUUGAGUGAUAUUAAUUAUAGAAAUGAUUCUUCUUGCAACCAUAGAUGAAACACCACUGAGACUAACAAACUUGGAGAAACUUGAUUUGAGUUUUAACAUCUUCAGGAACAACACAAUUUCGUUUCUUGAAGGACUUUCAAACUUAAAUUAGUCCUUGGAUAUGCAUAAUAACACUCUGCAAGGCUCAUUAAUAGAUAUUAAAGGUACUGAAGCUAUAACUUUUUUUUCUUGAUAAUUCUUUUUAAAAUAUUUCAUAAUUAAUUGUUCUGAAUUUGUACAUUCACUUCUCACAUUUCUGGGUUUUUUUUGUCCUCAACUAAAUUAAACUUAUGCAAAUUUCUUGAAUAUUUAAGUUAAGAGUUAACGUCAAAGUCAAGAGUUGAUAAGUAUUUUGUGGUCCAUUCAUAUCUUUAUUACAAAAAAAAAAUAUUCAAGAAAUUUGCAGCUAGUUGGAGUUUUGCAAUAAGGAAUUUCCACCAAGAGUUUUGGAGGAAUCAUAUCUCUAACAAAAGAAAGACCUUCAUUUGACUAAAUUUUUUAGUAUUUAUUUUAACUUCCAUUUUUAUUAAAAAAAAGGUAAAAAAAUAUGCCAAACAGGGUCUUUAGGUUACUUUUUUUAGAACUAUAUUAUGUUAUAGUACCAUAUAAGUUAGAGGAGCACAAGUUUAGAUUCAUCCAAUUUUUGAGGAAUUAAUUAAAUAUAUAUUAUUUUAAUAUUAUAGUGUAUAGGGGCAAAGUUAGAAAAAAAUUUUUGUGGAGUCGAAAUUAAAUUAUAGUUUUUACAAUAGUUAAAAAAAAUAAUUUCACUAUUUUAAAAGCAUAUAUGUUGUAAGCACUAAAUUUUUGUCCGACUAGAGUUUGUGUUUAAUUUUCAAAAUUUCAAAAAAAAAUUUUAAAAAUAAAAAUUGCAUUUUGACCCCUAAAUUUUUCCUAAAUUUCAUUUUGACCCUUAAACUUUCAUUAAAUUUCACUUAGACCCCUAAACUUUCAUUAAAUUUCAUUUUAAUCCUAAAUUUUCUAAAAAUUACAUUUAGCCCCAGAAGUUUUGCUGUAUUUGUGAUUUGGUCCUUCAGACACGUUACGUGAUUUGGGGCACCCACUUCCCAGAUUUUCAGGCCACAAUCACCCACUACCUGCAAACAAUGAGAAAGAGGACAAAAUUUGGAGCUUUUAAAAAGAAAAAAAGAGAAGAGGAAGAAAAAAAGGAGAGAAAAAAACAAGCAGAAUUUUUAGAGAAAAAUAAAAAAAGAAGCUCUCAAUCCGGCCGAUUGCCUCCACCGCCACCACGUCCGUUGCGCCACCACCAUUGUCAUCUCACCAUCGAGUCCUAAACGCAAACAAAACAAAAACAAAGAAAAAAGCAAGCAAAAGAGAAAAGGAGAAAGUGCAAAGAAGAAAAAGAAAAAGGAAAAGGGGAGAGAGCAUACCUCCGUGCACGCCAUUGUCGGCCGUCGCACCAGGCGGAGGGACAUCACCGGCGAGACAAAGGAGGUGCUGCUGAUCGGGGAGAAAGAAAGGAAGAAAAAGAAGAAGGAAAGAAGAAAAGGGGAAGAAGAAAGAAAGAAAAAAGAAAAAAAAACUAAAAAAAAUAGCAGGCCAUUUUGGUGGACCAGAUUCAGCCCAACAAGAAGCAGCCCAAACCAGUCCUUUGGCAGCCAAUAGCAACAGCCCAACAGCAAAAAAAAUAAUAAAAGGGGAGGCCCAAAAUUUAAGCCCAUAACUUUGGGCUUUUGGGUAAUUUUUUUUCUUUUUUUCUUUUUAAUCUAUUUUAUUUUAUUUUAUUUAUUUAAAUGGUGUUUUAUUUAAUUUAAAUUAGUAUGCUUUAAAACAGUUUUCAUAAAUAUUAUUAUGUCAUUUAAUUGCAUAUUUUUUUUAAAAAAUAAUAAUAUUUUAAUGCAUAAGGCAACGAACCGAUUUAGCAUCGAGUCAUCGAAUUCAUCGCUAUGUUGGAUGGAUAUCGAUAGCUCGUGUUAAAUUCGGGACACCCUUUUAAAAAUAAAAAUAUUCAAAAAUCCUCGUAUUUUAAUAAAAAUUCUCGUGUUUUAUUAGAAUCCCGAUUAAAUAUUAAAUUGAAUUGAGUUAACAUUAAUUCGAUGGUUUCAUCGCCAUAUCGGGAUGAAUAUCAUCGAUUCGUGUUAAAUACGGUAUUUUUUAAAGAAAAAUUGUGUUUCAAAAAUUUUCAUGUCUUCAAAAUUUCUCGUGUUUCGUAUUUUAUCAAAAAAUUUAUGUUUUCAAAAACAAAUUUUCUGUUUUAAAAAUUUUCGUGUUUCAAAAAGAAGAUUCGUGUUUUCAAAAAUAAAAAUAAAAAAUCUCGUGUUUUAAAUUCUUCGUGUUUUUUAAAAAAAAAUUUUGUGUUUCUAAAAUUCUUGUAUUUUAAAAUUUUCGUGUUUUCAAAAAAGAAAAAGUUGUUGCGCUUUAAAAUUCUCGUGUUCAAUCGGAUCACGACUAAUAUUAAAUUGAACUCGUAUUUUUGAAAAUGAAGACAAUGCGCGUUUAACGAGAUACCAAUUUUGGGCGUUGCGAGGGUGCUAAUACCUUCCUCGCGCGUAACCGACUCCCGGACCCUAAUUUUCUCUGGAUUUUUACGUGGACCUAAAAUUACCUCUUUUUUAGAAAAGUUUAAAAAUAAAUUUUUCUUCUAAAAAGAGAAUUUUAUAGGUGUCCGAUCACACCUAGAAAAAAUAUCGGUGGCGACUCCUUUUUCAAAUAAAAUCGAGAUUCAGUUUUCAAAUUUACAAUAAUUACUUCGACUAGCGCCCGUGCCGAAAUUUUUAGGUCGCUACAGCUGGCGACUCCGCUGGGGAACCUUUUUGAGAGUCGAGUCGAAUUAAACUCGCGUUGUCAAAAUUUUCAAAGUUUCUUGUUCAAAUUAACAUUUAGUCGUGAUCCUUAAAUUUUUUGUUUUCAAAAAAAUCAUGCAUUUGCAUCGUGUUGUAUAUAUUCUAACUUGUUUUAUCAGGUUGUUUUUCAGCUUUAAAUUUUUGCGGUUUUAGUUUUGGUUUAGUUUUUCUAAAUAAAACGUAAAGGUUUACAAGUUUCUCCCCACACACCGUGCACGUGCAUUUAUGUUGCAUAACAUGAGCUCUAUACCCGGGCUCUGUCCCUGUUAAGAGAAAGUAAAUGCUACGCCUUCGUGAGUUAACUCGUUCCUCCGCACAGGCUAGUGAAUACUUUCGGGUUACAUAUGACUUAUGCUUUCGUGAGUUAACUUGUCCCUCCGCAUAGGCAUAAGUAAAUGUAAUCCCUCGAAUUGAUCUCGUAAGCCUAUGAUGGGCCAUGACCGAGGCUCUGUACUAAUCUUAGUAGAUGACAGUGCAGACGAUUCGAGUACCCACCUAGAACCAAAACCGCAUAUAGUGAACCAUACGAGCUAUCCAAUUAGAGUCAUGCCGAACCUCUGUCCGCUUAUAGUCAUCAAAAUAAGUACACGGGGAAAAUGCCUUUUGCCUUUCAUUUACACUGUUUAUGCAAAAUAAUUGGAUUGGGUAGUUUAAUUUGUUUUUCAAAUUAUAUUUGUUGUGUUUACUAACCAAGUUUGUUUGUUUUUACUUUUAUUUUCAUCAUGCAUCAUAGGCAUCAUAUUAGGAAGGUGUUGAUUAAAAGUUGGUUGCCAAAAAACGGGUUUCUGAUGGAAGAGUCAAUUACACAAAUAACCGAGAAGAAUGCCGUGGUUCGGGACUGGUCUCUAAAAAUUCAGAGAGAAAAGAGGGAUAGUCUAGUGGAAGGGUGUGUCACUAAUUUGCCCGAACAUAUAACUGUAAAUGUUCGCCAAAAUAACUUUGAGGAUUUGGUUCAAAUUUGGAAUCAGUGGGAUUCAGACACUAGAGACAUUUUCACUCAGAGGUAUGGAGAUAUAGCUCACCUGAUCAUCAUCCAUGUAGACGAACAGUUGAUUCAAGCCAUGGUUCGGUUCUGGGACCCAGCUUAUCAGUGUUUCACCUUCAAUCAAGAAGACAUGACUCCAACCAUAGAAGAGUAUGCUGCUUUACUCCGCAUCGACAAUGUACAAUUCGGCAAAAUAUAUGUGAAGGAGCCUAAACCGAUGACCUUCAAGAAAAAGUUAGUGAGACUGACAGACAUGACUGAUGCAUGGGCCGAAAAACAGAUAAAGAAGAAGAAUGAAACCAUUUGCAUUCCAUGGUCCUCCCUACGAGAUUUGGCUCUGAACCAUCCCAACAUGCUGAAAAGGGUAAAUCUAUUCGCUUUGGCCAUUUACGGUUUGGUCAUUUUCCCAAAAGUUCUCGGACAUCUCGAAGUUGCAGUAGUUGAUUUCUUCGAAAGGUUAAAACAAGGAAUCAACCCUGUCCCGACCAUCCUAGCCGAGACCUUCAGGUCCCUGAGUAGUUGUCGAAAAAAAGGGGAGGGACGAUUUAUCAGAUGCGCGCAGUUGCUCAAUGUUUGGAUUUUGAGUCACUUCUGGAAGGUAGAGCGCACUCCGUUCCAUAUGUUUUCUAAAACAUUCUCCCCGCUAGAAGCUUACCUCAAUAAAGAAUGGCCGAAGGAAGUCACCGAGCAACAUUGGGUAUCAGUUUUUCAAAAUCUUCGCACCGAGAAUAUAACAUGGAGAGCACCCUGGAUCCGUCCUUCAGUUCUGCUAUACAAAUGUGGAAGCCAAGAUUGGGUACCUCUACUCGGGUUUUGGGGAGGAGUUGGAUAUGCUCCGCUAUUAGUCCAAAGGCAAUUUUCUUCGCGACAAUUCCUCCCCGCAACUGGAGGAUUAGCACAGUUCGAGUUCGCUUUUGCGGGUGAAGGAUAUAUGAAGAGAGUCCGAGACACUGCAAAGUAUUGGAAGGAAAUUCAUUUCAUGGAAUUAGCUUUGUAUGUUGAUACCCUUACCCAAGAUUACGACAUAUGGAGGAAGCAACGGGUAAAUAGUCAGCAAAUCUCAUCAACAAACUACACCAUCCAGAAUCCUUUCUCGGAGAAAACGCCGUCUGAGCUAGAAAUGGCAAGACAAGAAUUCGAACGAGAAAAGGCCAAGAUGUCUCGGGACCUUAGUGCCCUUCAAGAAGAAAACUAUCAACUGAAGAUUGAAGUUCAGGUUGAAAGGUCCAGGACUGAAAAGUACAAAAAGAAGCCGAGAUUGUGAGAAACGACUUAAGGGACCUUCAUUUGGAAAACAAGAAAUUAAGAAACACUAUAAAGAAUAGCGGGUUGGGUAAGUCGACAGCAGAAUGGAAGGAAGAAAUUAGCAAUAUCAAGGGAGGAAUGGAGUUUUGGAAGGGAAAAGUAAAGAAAGAGGAGGAAAAGGCUGCGCGCGCUGUGAUAGAGUUAAGAAGGAAGAACGACGAGUAUGAAAUAGUGACUGCAAAAUUUGCGAAUAGUCAGUCUGAAUAUCAAGAAUUAAAAAGGAAAGCACGAGAUCUAGAAAAUAUGCUGCAAUCUCGUCAACAACAAUUAGAUAACCUCCUGAAGGCUCUAGAGGAAAAGCAUGAUCAGUACGAUAGGGACAUUCAGGCGUAUGAAGGAACUCUCAAAGAAAAAGAAAUGCAACUCGACUUCUUGAUCAAUGAAAUUCGUAAAGCGGCUAUGCAAGUUGUUCAAUUAUCAGAUGAAGCCGAAGUUAUCAGUUGCCAAUUCCCUCCGAGCCAAAGAUCGAGCAUAUCAGAGUUUUUAGAGCAAGUGAAUAAACAAGGCAAUGUGGCUAGGAAAUUUGUGUAACUGUUGGAAAAAUGAGAACUUUGUGUAAUAGACUAUGUUGAUAAAUGAAAUGCCUAAAUAUGGGGCUAUCUUGAAAUCAACACCAAAUUCUUGCAUGUUUACUCAUAACUAACAUUUAUGCAUCAUUUAUUCUUUGGACAUUCAUCCAUUCAUAUACUCAUUCAUUCAUUCAUCACGAGUACAUAUCACCAUAAUCAUCCACCGAAACUAAAGAACCGUAUAAUCCGCAGUUGCAAGAUUUCAAAUCUGGAACCACGCAAUUCCUAUAAAACGCGCCGACAAGCUAGAGUAAUGGAGGAUGAAUUCAAUGAGAGAAUUGAAAGGAUGGAAAGGGCUCAAAAGGAAUUACAAGAGUAACUGGCCAAAUCGCAGCAAGAGACGAGAGACCUAAUGGUGAGAUCUCGAGAGGAAUCACUCGAGCAAAGAGAUCAGAUGGCUAAAAUGAUGGAGAUGAUGACAACUUUGGUCAAAGGAAAAGGACCCAUGCAGAACUCCGAUGUUAUGGAACCUCGGUCAAGAAUUCACCAUGAUCAGGAUCCACUUUAUCCCCCAGGAUUUACUCCACCUCAUGUCCACGCAAUACAACGAGGAUACCCCCAAAGGGAACCUACAGGCCUAGAACAACAUCUUGCUCCGCCCACUAAUUUGGGGCAAGGAAUGUUAGCGUCGAACCUUGGGGCUAGUCCUGCUAAUCCACUAGUUCCAGAUCUGGAUGACCUAGCAGAGGCAGCCAAGUUGAAAUUGGAUAACCAUGACGCAAAAUAUAGGAGUCUAGAGGAAAGACUCAAAGCAAUAGAAGGCACUGAAGUCUUCUCCGCACUAGGUGCCAAGGAACUCAGUUUGGUACCUGAUCUAAUUUUGCCUCCGAAGUUCAAAGUGCCUGAUUUUGAGAAAUAUGAUGGGACAAGGUGCCCAAAAGCACAUCUCAUUAUGUUCUGUCAAAAAAUAACCGGUUAUGUGAACGAGGAUAAGCUACUCAUACAUUGCUUUCAAGAUAGUCUAACAGGGUCAGCUCUUCGGUGGUACAAUCAACUUAGUAGAGAAAAGAUUCGAUCCUGGAAGGACUUGGCGUCAGCAUUUUGCGAACAGUACAAGCAUGUAUCGGAUAUGGUGCCAGACCGUAUGACCUUGCAAAUGAUGGAGAAAAAGCCAUCAGAGACCUUUAGACAGUAUGCGCAGAGAUGGAGAGACGUCUCAGCUCAAGUGGAACCCCCACUAACAAAAACGGAGAUAACCGUUCUCUUUAUCAAUACUUUAAAGGCACCGUUUUAUGACAAAUUAGUGGGAAGUGCCACGAAAGAUUUCGCGGAUAUUGUAAUAUCCGGUGAACUCAUAGAGAACGCCGUCAAGAGCGGUAGAAUGGAAGGAUCAGAAGGCUCAAGAAAAGCAGCACCCUUAAGGAAGAAAGAGCCAGAAGCCCUCAUGGUGGGAACUGGGAGUCGUUACAUUCCCAAUUCAUAUCCUAAUCAACCCCGACCUCGAGAUUAUCCACCCUCGAGUUUCCAUUAUCCCCCUCAAACCCCUUGCUACCAAGCACCACAUCCGUCCUGCCCCGUAUACGCUACGAACAACCAAAGACCCGUCACCACUUUCCCACAAAACACGGUACCCACCCAAAGCCAACCCAGAAACGAACCAAGACCAUCAAGGCAUAAUCCUGAGAGACCGCAAUUUACCCCCAUCCCUGUGUCGUAUGGGGAAUUGUACCCAAAACUUUUAGAAAAAUAGCUAAUUUCUCCCCAUUACAUGGCACCCCUUAAACCUCCAUACCCAAAGUGGUACGAUCCAAACGCUAGUUGUGCAUACCACGCAGGGAACCAAGGGCACUCUACUGAGAACUGUCUCACUUUCAAAAGGAGAGUUCAAGGACUCAUUGAUGCGGGUAUCCUACGAUUCGAUAGUGCUAGUAAAGCCACGGAGAACCCGUUCCCUAACCAUACCGAAGGGAAUGUGAGCACAGUGGGGAAAGAGGAUGAAUGGAAGGUCAGAAGAUGUGUAUCAGAAAUAAGGACGCCUCUGCAGAAAAUCUGGGAGGUAUUGGUUAAGAAAGGAUUGCUCUGUCACUCUGAUAGAAUUUUUGGAGAAGAAGGUCAAAGUUUUUGCAAUUUUCAUGGGAUUGUUGGGCACGACAUUCAGUCGUGCGAGGACUUUAAAAGGUUACUUCAAGACUGGAUGAAUAAUAAAGAGAUCAAGGUCCUUAACAAGAGUGAAGAUGCCAACGAAAGAGAAGUAUGUGUCUCUGAUAGCCAAUCACCAGGUCCCCCUUAUAGUGCUGAUCGACCGUUGGUAAUUUAUUACGACGCGAUGAGAGAGCCCUUGAAACCACAGAUGGUAAUUGAAGUACCAUCUCCUUUCCCGUAUAAGGACAACAAAACAGUACCGUGGAGAUAUGAUGUUAAUAUCGUUACACCGGAAGUUGAAAAGUCCAAAGCCAUAAUUGAAGAUGUUGGGGAGGUAGGUCAUUUUACUCGAAGUGGACGAUGUUAUUCUAAAGAAGUUGAAUCGGUAAAGAAAAGUAGCGACUCGAAGCAAAAAGGAAAAGCAGUGAUGCACAAGGUCGAAGUCGAGCAAGAAAUUCCACCCGUGCAAGAAACUAAAAAGCUUGUGAAUGAGGAAGAAGCUCAAGAAUUCUUGAAAUUUAUUAAGCACAGUGAAUAUAGUGUGGUGGAACAAUUGAGCAAGCAGCCAGCACGAAUCUCAGUUCUAUCUCUACUGUUAAAUUCAGAGCCACACCAGAACGCUUUAUUGAAGGUGUUAAAUCAAGCUUACGUGGCCAACAACAUAUCUGUCGAAAAGCUUGAUAGGUGGGUAAACAAUCUGAAUGCGGACAACUUCAUCUCUUUUAGUGAUGAUGAGAUACCGCUAAAUGGUAGAGGUUCGGUGAAAGCGCUGCAUAUCACGACCCGCUGCAAGGGCUACAUAAUACCGAACGUACUCAUCGAUAAUGGGUCAGCGUUAAAUGUUAUGCCAUUGGCUACACUUUCCAAAAUACCGAUGGAUUUGUCCUACUUAAAGCCCUGUCAUUCCAUGGUAAGGGCAUUCGACGGGACGAAGUGCAAAGUCAUGGGAAAGAUCGAAAUCCCUUUGGAAGUGGGCCCCUACAUCUAUGAGGUCGAAUUUCAAGUUAUGGACAUUACACCCUCUUAUAACUGCCUUUUGGGAAGACCUUGGAUUCAUUCUGCAGCAGCAGUCCCAUCAUCCCUCCAUCAAAAAGUGAAAUUCAUCAUGGAUGGCUGUUUGGUCACAGUCGAGGGCGAAGAAGACAUUAUCGCAUCUAUCUCUGUUGAUGCGCCAUACCUGGAAGUAAGCAAGGACGUAGUGGAAUGUUCCUUUCGAUCCCUUGAAUUCAUCAAUGCCACUUUCGUCGCUGAGGGAAAUAGAAUUUCGAUGUCAAAACUGUCGAGAAAUACCAGAAUGGGUGUCAAGUUGACCGUAGGAAGGGGAGCUUGUGCGAGAAGAGGUUUAGGGAGACAUAUGCAAGGAAUAGUGAGGGCUUUAAAGCCAGUGCACCACAAGGCCUGAUACGGUUUGGGGUUCCAGCCUGACAUGCGCCAAAGAAGAAGACAGUGGAAGAAGGAUCAAGAAAGAAGAAUUGCAAGAACUUUGGGCCGAGAACCAGAAUGGGAACCAAUAGAGUACCCUCCUUUGUCAAAAACAUUUACAUCUGCGGGAAUGAUGUACCCUGGACAAGAGGAUCCACGAAACAUGCUGGGAUUAAUUGAAAAGGAUUUUCAGAAUGUUAGUAUAAAUGUCAUUGACAAAGAAGCUGGUGCAAGUAAAGAUGUCUCGAGGAUACGCCAUUGCCCUCCUGGUUUCAUGUUGAACAAUUGGAUAGCUGAGGAGCUUCUUGUAGUUUAUAAGCCUUCAGAGUAAUGCUAAACAUCAACCUUCUAUUGUGUCCUUAGAUAUAAUAGAGUUCUUUUGUAAGAGUUUGCAUUCGCUCUUUAUCAUUUAAAUGAAUAUCAAUGAAGAUGCAUUUUGUCACGAUUUUUCGCAUUAUCACUAAUUUCAUAAUCAUUUUCUCAUUUCAUAGCCUAUCCUUACAUUUGCCUCAUUGCCAUGACAUAAAAUUUUGUUUGUUGUUUCCAAUACUUGGAUGUCCCCCGAUAGCUUCCUUUUCCAUUCAACUUUCAGGUGCUCAGAUAUUGACGACAUGAAUAAGCCCGUUACGAAUCUUGAAAUUGAUUUUGAGAAGGCUGUUUGCUUAGGAGAAUUUGAAGCCGAAGAAAAUGCUGAAGAUUAUGUCUCGUCUCUUGAAUUGUUAAGAAUGGUGGAACAAGAGGAUAAACAGGUUCUGCCUCAUGAAGAAUCUGUAGAAACAAUAAAUUUGGGCACUGAAGAGAGGAAACAAGAAGUGAAGAUUGGGACUUCUAUUUCAGAAAGUACCAGACGUAGUUUGAUCACUUUACUCCGCGAAUACAAAGAUGUUUUCGCGUGGUCAUACCAGGACAUGCCAGGGCUAGAUGAAGAUUUAGUGGUCCAUAAGCUCCCAUUAAAGCCAGAAUGCAAGCCCAUCCAGCAAAAAUUAAGACGGAUGAGGCCCGAAAUCCUGUUGAAAAUAAAAGAGGAAGUCAAGAAGCAAUUUGACGCUGGCUUCCUACAAGCCUCCAAAUAUCCAGAAUGGGUGGCUAACAUAGUCCCGGUACCAAAGAAAGAUGGAAAAGUACGAAUGUGCGUGGAUUACCGUGACCUGAAUCGAGCAAGCCCAAAAGAUAAUUUUCCCUUGCCACAUAUUGACACGUUGGUGGACAACACAGCAAAACAUUCAUUGUUUUCUUUCAUGGAUGGAUUCUCGGGGUAUAAUCAGAUCAAGAUGGCUCCUGAGGAUAUGGAGAAAACUACCUUCAUAACAAUGUGGGGAACGUUCUGCUACAAGGUGAUGCCAUUCGGGUUAAAGAAUGCUGGGGCAACAUAUCAGAGGGCUAUGGUGACAUUAUUCCAUGACAUGAUGCAUAAGGAAAUAGAGGUCUACGUCGAUGAUAUGAUUGCUAAAUCUCGAGGAGAAGAAGAGCAUGUAAUGAACCUCAAGAAGUUGUUCGAAAGGCUGAGAAAGUUUCAGCUAAAGCUUAAUCCAGCCAAAUGUACAUUCGGGGCUACCUCGGGAAAGUUGCUAGGCUUCAUUGUCAGUGAAAGAGGUAUCGAAGUUGAUCCAGAUAAAAUAAAAGGCAUCCAAGAAUUACCACAUCCGCCACGCAAAAGGAAGUUAGAGGAUUUUUAGGGAGAUUAAAUUACAUCGCCCGAUUUAUCGCUCAACUUACCAACCAAUGCGACCCAAUCUUUCGGCUUCUUCGAAAACAUAGCCCGGGAGAAUGGAACGAGGAAUGCCAAGUGACCUUUGAUAAGAUAAAACAAUAUUUGUCCAGUCCUCCAGUGCUAGUACCGCCAACUCCGGGAAGACCAUUAAUUUUGUAUCUGACAGUGUUCGAAAGUUCAAUGGGUUACGUACUGGGACAACAUGACGAGUCAGGAAAGAAAGAAAAGGCGAUCUACUACCUCAGCAAAAAGUUCACUGAAUAUGAGGCAAAAUAUUCGUCCGUUGAGAAAUAUUGUUGCGCUCUGGUUUGGGUAGCUCGGAGACUCAAACAAUAUAUGUUGUAUCACACGACAUGGCUAAUUUCAAAGCUGGACCCAAUAAAAUACAUGAUGGAAUCGCCGGCACUAUCAGGAAGAAUGGCACGAUGGUAGCUCCUCCUUUCGAAAUAUGACAUUGCCUAUGUAAGUCAGAAGUCAAUAAAAGGGAGCGCAAUAGCUGACUUCUUAACAACUCGAACGACAGAGGAAUAUGAGCCUUUAAGAUUCGAUUUCCCAGACGAAGACUUAAUGUGCAUCACAGAAAUAGAAUCCGAGUCAUCAAAAGAGAAGUCAUGGAAGAUGUUCUUUGAUGGUGCGUCAAAUGCUUUAGGGCAUGGAAUUGGAGCAAUCCUGGUAUCACCAGACGGGAAUCAUUAUCCGUUCACUGCAAGACUGAACUUCUUCUGUACCAAUAAUAUCGCAGAAUAUGAGGCCUGUAUCAUGGGGUUUCGUGCAGCUAUCGAACGAAACAUCGAGAUCUUAGAGGUGUACGGGGACUCAGCCCUAGUGAUUUACCAAAUCCGUGGAGAAUGGGAAGUGAGGGACUCAAAAUUGAUUAAGUACAGCGAUUUAGUGGCUGGAUUGAUCAAGGAAUUCAAAGAAAUAACUUUUCAUUACUUCCCACGAGAAGAGAACCAACUGGCUGAUGCCCUAGCCACUUUGGCUUCAAUGUUCAAAGCAAGUAGAGAAGCAGAAAUAAUGCCCCUCAAAAUGAGCAUAUACGAGGUCCCUGCACACUGUUGUAGCAUUAAGAAAGAAGUAGACGGACGGCCUUGGUUUCAUGAUAUCUUAGAAUAUAUCAAGAAUCAAAGGUAUCCCGAACAAGUAAAUGAGAACGAUAAAAGAACAAUUAGAAGAAUGGCAGCGGGAUUUGUUCUUGAUGGGGAUAUCCUGUAUAAAAGAGGAAAGGAUCAGAUGCUUUUGAGAUGUGUGGAUGAUGUUGAAGCCAGAAAAAUACUUGAAGAGGUCCAUGAGGGAGUUUGCGGAACGCAUGCCAAUGGUUUCAAUAUGGCCAGAAAGAUCAUGAGACUCGGUUAUUAUUGGCUGACAAUGGAAAGUGACUGCAUCAAUUUUGCCAGAAAAUGCCACAAAUGUCAAAUCUACGGCGAUAAAAUUCAUGUAGCCCCUUCACCCCUUCAUGUCAUGACUUCUCCGUGGCCUUUUUCUAUGUGGGGCAUGGAUGUCAUAGGGCCAAUUUCUCCAAAAGCUUCAAAUGGACAUCGAUUCAUUUUUGUGGUUAUCGAUUACUUCACAAAAUGGAUUGAAGCCGCUUCAUUUGCCAAUGUGACGAAGACUGCAGUGUGCAAGUUUUUGAAAAAGGAAAUCAUUUACCGAUAUGGUUUGCCUGAAAGAAUCAUCUCAGAUAAUGCCACGAAUCUGAACAAUAAGAUGAUGAAAGAAGUGUGUGAGCAGUUUCAAAUAAAGCAUCAUAAUUCCUCGCCCUAUCGCCCAAAGAUGAACGGGGCUGUUGAAGCAGCUAACAAGAACAUUAAGAGGAUCAUUGGGAAAAUGACUGAGACAUAUAAAGAUUGGCACGAGAAACUUCCAUUUGCUUUGUUUGCAUAUCGUACAUCUGUGCGAACAUCUACGGGAGCAACUCCUUUCUCUCUAGUCUAUGGAAUGGAAGCUGUGCUACCUAUCGAGGUUGAGAUCCCCUCUCUGUGAGUAUUGAUGGAAUCAAAGUUAGAAGAAGCAGAAUGGGUUCGAGCUCGAUAUGAUCAGUUGAACCUCAUUGAAGAAAAACGUCUAAGGGCAAUUUGUCAUGGGCAAAUGUACCAAAAGAGAAUGAUCGCAGCCCAUGACAAGAAGGUACGACAAAGAGAGUUCCAUGAAGGAGAACUCGUUCUGAGAAAGAUUCUCCCAAUACAAAAAGACCUGCGAGGAAAAUGGGCACCAAAUUGGGAAGGACCAUACGUUGUAAAAAAGGCAUUCUCGGGAGGAGCUUUAAUCCUUACCAAGAUGGAUGGGAAGGAGUUACCGAAUCUGGUGAAUUCGGAUGCGGUGAAGAAAUAUUAUGCUUAAGAUGAAAACCCGAAAAGGGCAUCUUAAAAAAAAAGGGUGAAAACCCGAAAAAGGUGUCUUGAUUAGUACAAAAAGAUUAGGAUGAAAACCCGAGAGGGCGUCCUAAUGAAACAAACCUGGCGGUCAAACGAUAGGUCAAGUAGUGAGACUACAGUAUUUGAAGCACUUCUGAAAGCUCGAAAUUUUCUACGCAAGAAGCCAUGCUCGAAAAGAUAAUUGAUUGAGGAACGUAGAAGAGUUCAUGUGUUGAAUAUCUAGAGCAUUAGUAUCCGUUGAAUACGACCUUUUCUUUCUUUUUGACAUUUUUACUCUCAUUGGUUAACUUUCUUUGUUUGCCACACUUGAAAUAAAGGAAUAUGAGAUAUCCUUUGUGUCCCUACCUGACCAUUUUCAUGCAUCUCAUUAUGUGUUUAUUUAAUGAUAAAUAGUGAAAUGACAUACUCUAAACAAAAGAAAUGUCAAGCAUUACCCGGAUAAGAAUUUGAUAAGUGCAAGAUCUUCAAAGCAAGAACAAAGUUUAACCAAGGGCAAAAGGGUGAUAUCUGAGAAACGUCGAUUACUCGUAAAGCUCGAAGACAGGUAUGAGGCCUGAAGAGAAGGUCGAGAAUCAAAGCAAUGAACGCAGAUCCUCAAAAAUCAUGGCAAAAAUGACAUACGACCAAUAUGCUUAAGGAGCACUGCAUAAUCAUGUAGGCAUAAAGGCAUUUAAGACAAACAUGUGCAUAUCAUGAUGACUUCAUGCAUGGCAUAUACAGGUAAUCCAGUAAAGCAAGAAAUCUUGAAUCGCACAGAAUCAAAGGAAAAGAUACCCGAGUUCUACCAAAGGACUGGUUUUGGUAUUUUGAUGUUUAAUAUUCAUGCUUUCCAAGGAAAAUCAACUCAUAUUGCGAGAAAUGAGUUGAGCCUCAAGACACGUUGAGCUAUUUUUAAUUUUUUUAAAAAUCAACUCAUAUUGCGAGAAGUGAGUUGAGCCUCGGGGCACGCCGAGGUAUUUUUAGUUUAUGUUUUAAAUUGACUCAUAUUGCGAGAGGUGAGUUAAGCCUUUUAAUUUUUGUUUCUCAAAAUUCAACUCAUAUUGCGAGAAAUGAGUUGAGCCUCAAGACACGUUGAGGUAAUUUCAAUUUUUGUUUUCAAAAUUCAACUCAUAUUGCGAGAAAUGAGUUGAGCCUCAAGACACGUUGAGGUAAUUUCAAUUUUUGUUUUCAAAAUUCAACUCAUAUUGCGAGAAAUGAGUUGAGCCUCAAGACACAUUGAGGUAUUUUCAAUUUUUGCUUUUCAAAAUUCAACUCAUAUUGCGAGAAAUGAGUUGAGCCUUAAGACACGUUGAGGUAAUUUCAAUUUUUGUUUUCAAAAUUCAACUCAUAUUGCGAGAAAUGAGUUGAGCCUCAAGACACGUUGAGGUAAUUUCAAUUUUUGUUUUCAAAAUUCAACUCAUAUUCCGAGAAAUGAGUUGAGCCUCAAGACACGUUGAGGUAAUUUCAAUUUUUGUUUUCAAAAUUCAACUCAUAUUGCGAGAAAUGAGUUGAGCCUCAAGACACAUUGAGGUAUUUUCAAUUUUUGCUUUUCAAAAUUCAACUCAUAUUGCGAGAAAUGAGUUGAGCCUCAAGACACGUUAAGGUAAUUUCAAUUUCUGUUUUUAAAAUUCAACUCAUAUUGCGAGAAAUGAGUUGAGCCUCAAGACACGUUGAGGUAAUUUUCAAUUUCUGCUUCUCAAAAUUCAACUCAUAUUGCGAGAAAUGAGUUGAGCCUCAAGACACGUUGAGGUAAUUUCAAUUUUUGUUUUCAAAAUUCAACUCAUAUUGCGAGAAAUGAGUUGAGCCUCAAGACACGUUGAGGUAAUUUCAAUUUUUGUUUUCAAAAUUCAACUCAUAUUGCGAGAAAUGAGUUGAGCCUCAAGACACGUUGAGGUAAUUUCAAUUUUUGUUUUCAAAAUUCAACUCAUAUUGCGAGAAAUGAGUUGAGCCUCAAGACACAUUGAGGUAUUUCCAAUUUUUGCUUUUCAAAAUUCAACUCAUAUUGCGAGAAAUGAGUUGAGCCUCAAGACACGUUGAGGUAAUUUCAAUUUCUGUUUUCAAAAUUCAACUCAUAUUGCGAGAAAUGAGUUGAGCCUCAAGACACGUUGAGGUAUUUUCAAUUUCUGCUUCUCAAAAUUCAAUUCAUAUUGCGAGAAAUGAGUUGAGCUUCAAGACACGCUGAGGUAAUUUCAAUUUCUGUUGUUAAAAAAAAAUCAACUCAUAUUGCGAGAAAUUAGUUGAGCCUCAGGACAUGCUGAGGUAAUUUCAAUUUCUGUUUUCAAAAUUCAACUCAUAUUGCGAGAAAUGAGUUGAGCCUCAAGACACGUUGAGGUAUUUUCAAUUUCUGCUUUUCAAAAUUCAACUCAUAUUGUGAGAAAUGAGUUGAGCCUCAAGACACGUUGAGGUAUUUUCAAUUUCUGUUUUUCAAAAAUCAACUCAUAUUGCGAGAGGUGAGUUGAGACUUUUAAUUUCUAUUUUUCUAAAACCAACUCAUAUUGCGAGAGGUGAGUUGAGCCUUUUUCUGUUUUUCAAAAAUCAACUCAUAUUGCGAGAGGUGAGUUGAGCCUUUUAAUUUCUGAUUUUCAAAAAUCAACUCAUAUUGCGAGAGGUGAGUUGAGCCUUUUAAUUUCUGUUUUUCAAAAAUUAACUCAUAUUGCGAGAGGUGAGUUGAGCCUUUUAAUUUCUAUUUUUCAAAAACCAACUCAUAUUGCGAGAGGUGAGUUGAGCCUUUUUCUAUUUUUCAAAAAUCAACUCAUAUUGCGAGAGGUAAGUUGUGCCUUUUGCAAAUUCUGUUUUCAAAAAUCAACUCAUAUUGCGAGAAGUGAGUUGAGCCUUGGCUCACGUGCUGAGCUAUUUUCAAUUUCUAUUUUUAAUGUCUAGUUUUAANNNNNNNNNNNNNNNNNNNNNNNNNNNNNNNNNNNNNNNNNNNNNNNNNNNNNNNNNNNNNNNNNNNNNNNNNNNNNNNNNNNNNNNNNNNNNNNNNNNNNNNNNNNNNNNNNNNNNNNNNNNNNNNNNNNNNNNNNNNNNNNNNNNNNNNNNNNNNNNNNNNNNNNNNNNNNNNNNNNNNNNNNNNNNNNNNNNNNNNNNNNNNNNNNNNNNNNNNNNNNNNNNNNNNNNNNNNNNNNNNNNNNNNNNNNNNNNNNNNNNNNNNNNNNNNNNNNNNNNNNNNNNNNNNNNNNNNNNNNNNNNNNNNNNNNNNNNNNNNNNNNNNNNNNNNNNNNNNNNNNNNNNNNNNNNNNNNNNNNNNNNNNNNNNNNNNNNNNNNNNNNNNNNNNNNNNNNNNNNNNNNNNNNNNNNNNNNNNNNNNNNNNNNNNNNNNNNNNNNNNNNNNNNNNNNNNNNNNNNNNNNNNNNNNNNNNNNNNNNNNNNNNNNNNNNNNNNNNNNNUAGAUAAUGUGAAUGUAUUUAGAGGUGCUUAUAUAGUAUUCAAAACUAUCAUAUAAAUUCAAUUUUCAACCAUAUAUAAUUGACAUUAUGGGAGUUGGAAAAUGAUAGGGGGCACUAUAGCAAAUGUUAUAGUUGUAUAAAAUUAGGACUUUGUGAUGGAAUAGUUUAGGGCAUAUUGUUUGAAUAUUCCAUAAACAUUAAAAAAAAAACCAAAUUUGUAAUGGAAUAUAAGAUUGGGUUUUCUUUUAUUAUCAAUUUAAAGCCAUGAGAAUCUUUAUUAUUUAAAAAUUAAUGUAAUUGUUAAAUUGAAAUUGCAGGGGAAUUUCAAAUAGGAGAAAAUAUAAAAGAAAUGGAUCCAAAAACAGUGGGAAGUAGUGUUGUAAAAUAUGGGAGGUGGAGAUUUGGAAUGACAAAGAAAGCAAUGGGGCAUUCAUUAGUUUAUAGCCAACUUUAUCCAUUUAAAGGCCUCCAAAAUUAUACCUCUGGAAUUAUUCACCAUGUUCGCCUCACUGGUAUUUCUCACCAUUUCUUCCCUUAUUUAUCUUCUGCAAAUUUGUUUUCUUACCAUUUCUUUCGCAUUAAUACUAACUUUUUUAAUUUACAAUAUGGUAGCCAAUACUGUUUCGGUAUUAGUAAUAUUAGUCGAUACAUAUCACUUUUAAGGGUGAGUUUAAAGGGAUAGGAACAAUUCCGUGUGUUGACUUAAUAGUCAGGGUGUUCACCGUUCUAGGUAUGGUUUGAGUUCAAGUUAAGUUGUGCUAGUCACGUUACUGUUAGGGUUUUGCCCUUCUCUUGUAAUUCAGCAAAAAGAAAUUAAUAUAUGGUGAAAUUGCACUUUAACUCCUCCAAAAAUGAAAAUAUUUAUAUUUAAUUCCUUCAACAAUAAUGAAAUCGUAAGUUAAUGCAAGAUAAAUGACACUUUAACUUAACAAUCUCCGCUCCCCUUAAAAAAAAAAUCCUAACUUCACCCUUAAUCAUCUUGAUUUUAGAUUGGUACCAAGUAGAUUAAAUUUUGUUCUUAUUAAAACAUUGGUGUGUUUCCUUCUGUUUCAGCUAAUACCAACUUAUACCGAUAUGUACCAAACAAUAUUGGUAGGACUGAGAAAGAAAUCAAAAAAUUGAACUAAUUUUUAUUUAUAAUUUUAUUUAUAAUUUAAAAAUAAAAAUAUAUUUAAACAGUGACAAUAACUCAAAUUUUAUAUAAAAACUAUUUAAAAAUAUUAUCAUAUAAGAGUUAUUAAUUUAUUUGAAAAUUAGUUUCUUUUAAAAAUAUUUAUGAAUAUUUUUAAAAAUUUUACAAAAUAAUAUCCAAAAUUCAUAGAAUAAUUUAUCAAGAUAAGUUCAAACACCCAAAAUUAAUAGAUCUUGAACCAAAUAAAUCCAACUAAAAUAAACCCAAAAUUAAUAGACCGAGAAUCAAAUUAUCAUAGAAGAUAUACCAUACACACUAAUACCCAUAAUUACCCAAUAAUUCUUCUCACACUUUGCAGGUUUAAAACCCAACACCUUCUAUUACUAUCAAUGUGGAGACCCUUCAAUCCCAGCAAUGAGCGAUGUUCAUUAUUCACCAUGUUCGCCUCACUGGUAUUUCUCACCAUUUCUUCUCUUAUUUAUCUUCUGCUAAUUUGUUUUCUUACCAUUUCUUUCGCAUUAAUACUAACUUUUUUAAUUUACAAUAUGCUAGUCAAUACUGUUUCGGUAUUAGUAAUAUUAGUCGAUACAUAUCACUUUUAAGGGUGAAUUUAAAGGGAUAGGAAUAAUUUCGUGCGUUGGCUUGAUAGUUAGGGUGUUCACCGUCCUAGGUGUGGUUUGAGUUCAAGUUGUGCUAUUGUAAUUCACCAAAAAGAAGUUAAUAUAUAGUGAAAUUGCACUUUAACUCCUCCAAAAAUGAAAAUAUGUAUAUUUAGUUUUCUUCAACAAUAAUGAAAUCGUAAGUUAAUGCAAGAUAAAGGACACUUUAACUUAACAAGCUACGCUCCCCUUAAAAAAAAUCCUAACUUCACCCUUAACCAUCUUGAUUUUAGAUUGGUACCAAGUAGAUUAAGUUUUGUUCUUAUUAAAACAUCAGUGUGUUUCCUUCUGUUUCAACUAAUACCAAUUUAUACUGAUAUGUACCGAAUAAUAUUGGUAGGACUGAGAAAGAAAUCAAGAAAUUGAACUAAUUUUUAUUUAUAAUUUUAUUUGUAAUUUAAAAAUAAAAAUAUAUUUAAAUAGUGACAAUAACUCAAAUUUUAUAUAAAAAUUAUUUCAAAAUAUUAUCAUAUAAGAGUUAUUAAUUUAUUUGAAAAUUAGUUUCUUUUAAAAAUAUUUAUGAAUAUUUUUAAAAACUUUACAAAAUAAUAUCCAAAAUUCGUAAAAUAAUUUAUCAAGAUAAGUUCAAAAACCCAAAAUUAAUAGAUCUUGAACCAAAUAAAUCCAACUAAAAUAAACCCAAAAUUAAUAGACCGAGAAUCAAAUUAUCAUAGAAGAUAUUUACCAAACACACUAAUACCCAUAAUUACCCAAUAAUUCUUCUCACACUUUGCAGGUUUAAAACCCAACACCUUCUAUUACUAUCAAUGUGGAGACCCUUCAAUCCCAGCAAUGAGCGAUGUUCAUUAUUUCCGAACAAUGCCGGCCUCCGGUCCAAGGAGUUAUCCGGGAAGAAUUGCAAUCAUCGGAGACUUGGGGCUCACGUAUAACACAACUUCAACAAUUGAUCACCUUAUGAGCAAUCACCCGAACCUGGUGCUGUUAAUCGGCGAUGCAAGCUAUGCCAACUUGUAUCUCACCAAUGGCACCGGUGCCGAUUGCUACUCUUGCGCUUUCUCCGACACUCCUAUUCACGAAACGUAUCAGCCUCGUUGGGAUUAUUGGGGAAGGUAAAUUUUAACGAUGUUUCAUGGAUUUAAAUAGCGGUCACAACAUGACAUUACGAUAGUAUUUGUUAUAAAUGUGCAGGUUUAUGCAGCCUUUGGUGUCCAAGGUUCCCUUGAUGAUGAUAGAAGGGAACCAUGAAAAAGAAGAACAGAUUGAGAAGAAGACAUUUGCGGCUUAUAGUGCUCGAUUUGCAUUUCCAUCGGAGGAGAGCGGAUCAUCGUCGACAUUCUAUUAUUCUUUUAAUGCAGGUGGCAUUCAUUUCGUGAUGCUCGGUGGUUACACCGACUAUAACAAAUCAGGGGAUCAAUACCAGUGGUUGAAGAAGGACCUUGCAAAAGUUGAUAGAAAAGUGACUCCAUGGUUGGUUGCAACAUGGCAUCCUCCAUGGUACAGUACAUAUACUGCACAUUAUAGAGAAGCUGAAUGUAUGAGGGUAGAAAUGGAAGAUUUAUUAUACAAAUACGGAGUUGAUAUAGUCUUCAAUGGACAUGUAAGUCGUGCUUUAUAAUGAAUUAAUUCAAUUACAUUCACUCGAAGAGCUGAUGGUCGUGUUCAUUUGGUGAUAAUCAAUAGGUUCAUGCCUACGAGAGGUCGAACCGAGUGUAUAACUACAACUUGGAUCCUUGCGGUCCUGUUCAUAUUACGAUUGGUGAUGGUGGCAACCGAGAGAAAAUGGCAAUUACACAUGCUGAUGAACCCGGAAAUUGCCCCAAACCAUCGACAACUCUGGAUAAAUUUAUGGGUGGGUUCUGUGCAUUUAACUUCACAUCAGGGCCGGCAAGUGGUAAAUUCUGCUGGGAUAGGCAGCCUGAUUAUAGUGCAUAUAGAGAAAGCAGCUUUGGACAUGGAAUCCUUGAGGUAUAUUAUGCAGAUAUUUCAUUAAGAUUAAUUUCUAUGGACCGUAAAAAGGACACAAAGGGUACUUUAAUUAUACAAAAAAAACAUUAACAGCAAGUGUUUUGCAGGUGAAAAAUGAGACUCAUGCACUGUGGACAUGGUACGGUAAUCAAGAUGCUUAUGGGACUACUGGUGAUGUGGUUUAUAUAGUUAGGCAACCUGAUAGAUGCCCUGUUGAACCCGACGUAAUUAAUUAAGAGUAAACUCCAAAGCUUAAUUAAGUUGAUUCAUCUGCAGUCACCAUUAAAAAGUGAUGCCAAGAAAGUUUAGGUUUGAAUCUCGGCAUCUGUCCUCAGACUAUGAUUUCUUUUGUACCAGUAAAUAUCUUUCAAAGCUAUAAAUACAUAUUAAACAUCAAAAUCAGACAGCUGAUAAAUCACAAAGGGAUUAUGUACGUAUGUAUGCAUGCAUGUAUGUUGGCUUCUAAAGAUUGAAAAGUAAAUAAUUAAGGAUUCAAAAGGAACAUUAUUGUGAUAUGAUUUGCAGGUUCGUAAUUUUAAUUAAAUGAAAUAAGUUUGAUGUAACUAUGCAAGUAGUACUUAGAAUCCUAAAAGUUUGAAAUAAAUAUUUGUAACUUUGUUGAAUGUUUUCAUGAGAGUUCCUUUCUCAUGGAGGUCAAUUUCUUUGUUAUAAGAUACGGUCCCAUGGUUUGACAUACUAAGAUUAAAUAGGCUCUUAUGUAGGCUAACACGUAUCCUACUUUAGGGUCAACACGUGUCUCUUGAGUAUGGGUUUGCCUGCAUGGUGGUGUGAACCCAUUAGGUGCGGACUUAUACAGACGAACUAUAUGGUUUGGUUAACUAUAUCCGAAAUAAAAGGGGUCAGAUCGGUCUUAAUCAGAAAACAAAUAAUUUAUGGCGGACACUACAACAAACUUAAUAAUCACAUUUGUUAAUAACAAAUAAUUAAUUUGUUUUGAUAACGUAAUUACAAGACAUAAUUUGAAAAUAAUAUAUGCUUGCUUAGAUACCAUUAUUCUCAGUACUCCAAGUAACAUAAAUAUUGAAAUGAAUUUGUGAGAGAGCUAAGAUGGUUGUAUUCUAAUAGAGAGAUUUCUAUUGCUGGUAAAGAAGACUUUAGCUCCACUAUCGUGCGGCCGUGACAUUAGCUUAAGCUCCUCAUUAAGCUAAUUAAAUGUGAUCUCUAGAUUAACCAACAAUGUCUUCAUAAAGUAGACAACUAAAUGAUCGAUACCACCAGCAUCCUUCCAUAAAUAGCUGCGAAAUAGGGCUUCAACUUCUAACAAAAACGCCUCUUCCUAUCAUUGGGGUCAUGCAUCAAGGUUUAAAAAGUUCCAUAUUGGAUGCAAAAUAAAUGAUAGAACAAGUAAGAGCAGGAUAGACAUUGAGCUUGUGUUGAGUGUACUAUCAAAUGAAGCUCUAGAGAGAAAUGGAGGGCUGAAUCCAGGGUAAUUGAGCCCCGGACCGCCACCUCCGCCAUUGAUCGGUGUGGUUGUCGUAGUUGGCACAUUCGGAUUGUUCCACGACCCUGUUUUUGGCAUAGCUGUCCCUCCGGAUGUGCUGGAAAUUUCAUAACUUAAGCUUUUAAAAUCAAUAAAAUAACAGUGACAAAAACUACAAAUAAUGAUGGAAUCCAAUUUGGUUGGUAAUUUUCAAAAAAUAGGCGAAAGGAGCUAUUAUUAGCUUUUGCUGGAACCCAAUAGAGGUGCUCAUGGGCCGGGCCGGGCCGGGCCCAGAAAAAAUUUCGGCCAGUGUCCUAGACCCUGGCCUGGCCGAGGCUGAAAUAUGAGCCUAAAAUUUUAUCUAGGCCAGGCCUGAAAAAAAAUUCAUAAGCCCGAGCCCAGCCCGGCCCAUUUUUUAAAUAAACACCAAAAAAAAUUUAAAAAUAAAAAAAUUUAUUUUAAAAAUAUUUUAAAAAAUAAAAAUAAAAAAUAUUUUAAAAAUAAAAAAAUAAAUAGAUUUAUUAUAUUUGGGUCGGGUCGGGCCGGGCCAAAAAAUGUUAUGUGAGGCCCGGUCCAUUUUUUAAAUGGGCCUUUUUUUUUGUCUAAUGUCAUAUUUCGGGCCUAUUUUUUACUUAAACCCUCCCAUAUUUUGGGCAGGCCAUUGGGCCGAGCCGGGCCGCCCGGCCCAUGAAGACCUCUAGAACCCAGCAAUGCGCCCAUGGAUAGAGAUGACAACAAGGUGAGACGGGACGAGUUUUUGCUCGCCUCAAUUUCGACUCGAUUUUUAUAUCCUCUACUUCGAUUUAUUCUGAGCUCGAUUUUAUUUAAAAAUGUAAAAAUAAUUAUAAAAUUAAAAAAAAAGUGUUUUAGUAAGUAAAUCAAGGCAGACAAAUCGAAUUUUCAUCUAAAUCUAAACUCGAAUUGAUCUUGAACUACCCAUGUAUGACUCCAGUAUCCAAAUAUCUAGAGUGUUUUUUGACCGUUGGAUGUCUUUCAAGAAAAGAGUACCCAUCCAACGGUUGAAAAAGUCUCACCUAAACAAGACGGUAGGAAAACAUUACAAGUAAAGAAGUGGCCAACAGACAUAAAUAAGCCUGGAAACGUAAAAGGUGUAAACCUUCACAAAGUGACGACUGCAUGUAGGAUACGAAAAUGGACGGUUAGAGAUCAUGCCGAGAAACACGUGUCAGACAUCUACUCAAUUACAGCAUCACCAUGAAAGGCUCACACCCACUUGAGAAUCAAAGGAUUAUGCAAAGUUGAUUCAUGUUAGUUAAUUAGGAUUUAAACAAUAUCUUAUUUUGCGCCUUUUUGUUUUUCUGUCUUUGAUCCUCUUACAAGCCACAAGGGUUUCAAUAAUAAAUUACACCCAACUUCAAAAAGUUAUUAAAUGAGCAAUAAAUUAUUCAAAUUUUUUUAUUUAAGUCACUAAACUAUUUAAAAGUUUUUAUUUAAUUUACUGGGCUGUUAAAUUUUUUUUUUAAAAAGGAGGUUCAGCUAGUGAACUCCAAGCAACAAUUUAACAAUCGGUAUGGUGGAUAAAUACCCGCUGACGAGUAGAUCCAAGUUGAUCUAACGGUUAGUGUCGGAGAUCGGAGAAUGAAGAGAAAAACUGUUUGGAUUUUAGUUUAUAGAUUUGUGACGUUAAAAGUUAUUUCAUAAAAAAAAAUUAAACUGUAAAAGAGAAGGGAAAUUAAAGCUUUUGAGUGUUGCAAGCAAUGCAGACAAAGAAAGCCGUACAACAGUAAUUUUAACAACCCGAUGACUUAAAUGAAAAUUUUCGAGUAGUUCAAUGAAAGAAAAUACAAAAAAUUCUCUCUGCUGCGUUGUUUUCGUCUUCUUUGCAGGUAAGGAGGCUAGCUGGCGUAAGGAGGUGGUGGAUGUGGCACAGCACACGCGGGGAAGGCCUUGGUGGCUGCGGCGCCGGAAGGAGGGCUGUUGCAGCUAGGGUUUUCUGAUUUUUUUUUUGUUUUGGGCUAGGGUUGUGUUGAUAGUUGUAUUGGGCUAGGUUUUUGGGCUGGGUGUAGUUGGACUAGAUGCAUCUGACUUUGGGUUUGUACCGGGUCACUGUAAAUGGGUUUGGUUUUUAUUGUUAUUGGGCUGUGAACUAUUUGAGUUUUAAUUAAUUUUUAUUUAUUUGGUUUUUUAUUGUGGGCUGGGCAAAUUGGGUAUUACAAUCAGCUAAUUAGGAAAGACUGUGAUGAUAGUCACACCUUACAUCCAAAAGCAAAGCUUUUUACAUGUGUAUGUGAGGUUGCUAAGCAAAUCUGAUGAGCCUUCACUGAUGUUUUAAGGUUAAGUUAAUGUUCCUUUUCGGCAAAGAACAUUAUCGAGAUCACGGUAUUUUGAUCGCCUUUUGCUUGUUAUGUUAUUUGUUCUGAAACGAUUGCAUAAUCUUUACUGUGAUUGCAGGAUAUAGAGCAACUUCUGAAUUUCAUUGGUGUAAAGAGUUGAGGACCACGACAUGUUCUUGCAAAUUUGAAGGAGCUUCUAAGGUCUGUCCGGUCUUCAGAAUAUAUAGAUACCUGAAUUAAUUUUGAUUUUGUAGGAUCAACUAUAAUUAGCUACUUAUUACACUAUGAAUAGACAACCUCACCUUCUUCACACACUACACGUGCGGAUUUUUUACCAAUCCCAUUUCAAAGGAUCACACUUUUUUGUUGUUUACAGAAUCAUAAUUAAUGUUAAUUAAAGUGGAAUAUUUCAGAUUUCUGAUGAUGAGCAUAUUCUUGAGUAUUGCAGUAAAAAAAUGGGUGUGGAACUUAUUUGAACUUUGAAUGUAUGUUCUGUUGGUGAGAAUAUAAAGUUGAUAAAGAUUUGGUAAAUAGAAUAAAAUAUUAUUUUUAUUAGAAAAAUUAUUUGGUAGACUGCCAAUCGAGUUAUAAUUAUCAUGACGUAAAACAUGUCAUAUUACAAAUAAUAAAAUUAUAAUGACUCAAAUAUACGAACAUGUCAAAAUUUACGUAAAACGAAUUAUUAACAUGUCAAUGUAUAAUACGGUACGCAAAAAUAGGAUAAUUGCUUGUUUUUUAAAUUGAAUUGUUAUAACAUAUUAUACAAAAUACAUUGUGAAUUAAAGCAUAAUAUGAACAUGAUAUCAAAAUAUUAAAUAUUUUUUAAAAUUUGAUGAUACGAAUAAUUAUGUAAAAUAUAACAUGAUACAAAAUAACUUGAGAGGAAAAGAGGAAUAAAGAAUUGCAUUGUUUGUGAGGUUUUAAAAUAUUCCAGUUUUAGAUUCAAUUUUCUAGUAUGUUUGGUUUAAUUUUACAUUAGAUUUCCUUUUUAGUAUGCACUAGUGAACGCUUGGCAGUUAAUUUAAUUUAAUUUAAUUUAAAGAGAUAUUGCAUAUACAUAAUAAUGGAUUAUGAUUUUACAUUAAACUUCAUAGAAGAAAAAAGAAAUAGACGGUUGAAAAUGAUAAAACCAUAAGAUAAAAGAGCUUUUAUUUAAAAUGCAAAAAUCAACAAAAUAUGCAUUAUCGCUCAACUUAGCAUAAUUAAACAUUUAGGUGUGGAAAUCAAAUCACAAUUUGAGUAGCUAAACAUAUCGCUUGAAAAUGUGAUAAGUAAGAAAAUUGCCCACAUUUGAGUAGCGACAGGUGGUAAUGCAUUUCCCAACAAGAGAAAACCAAGCUCUUCGCCAGUAUGGAUUUAUGUAGAGGACAACAAAAAUUGUUAACAACACAACUACAUAAGAAACCAAAAAGCUCACACAAAAAUCAUAACUAUCUAUCAAACCAUCUUCUCCUUUAUCUUCUGAUACAGUUGAUAUUGUUGAUGGUGAAUCGGUUUUGGAACAACUUUUAUGCAGUAUAGGUCCACAAAGAAAAGGGUUUCCUUCAUAACUGUUUUCAAUAAAGGUCUCAAAUUGAGCUUUUGGUUCGGGAAUACUACCUGACAAGUUGUUAAAUGCCACGCUGAAAACCUCCAAAGAGUUUAACUCUACCAAUUGAUUGGGGAUUUCACCACUUAAGUUGUUGUAAGAAAGGUCCAAACUCUCAAUUUGAUGUAGUUUUGAGAGUGACGAGGGUAUAACUCCGGUCAACUUAUUGUGUGAAAGGUUUAAAGAAUGGAUUUCACUCAAGUUCCCUAAUUCUGGUGGGAUAUGACCAGUUAAGUUGUUGCAAGAUAAAUCAAUCCCAGUCAUAUAUGAAAGGAUGUCGCCCUUGUAUGAAUAGAACCCACUCUUUGUUGUGAACUCUAUUACUUCUUCUAAGUAGCUACUAGGAUAGUAAGAAUCCAUUCCCAAAUUUAGUAUCAUACUGCGUGUUGUUUCAUCCUCUUCUAUAGAUGGCCCAUAGAACCAAGUUUCUAGAAUCUUCUUCGUUUGCAUUGGAAGAGAUAAAUUUCCCAAACAAGAAGGUAUAGGACCAGAAAACAUAUUUUGAGAAAGAUCUAUGAUGCUUAAAGAAUGCAACUUGCAUAACUCAAUAGGAACUUUACCAUGAAAAUGAUUAUCUUUCAAGAGAAGAACACUCAAAGAAGAAAGCGUGUAAAUCCAUUUUGGAAUACUACCUGUCAAAUUGUUUCCUCUAAGAUCUAAAGUCACUAUUGAAGAGCUAUUAUAAAAAGCAAGUGAUAGUGGGCCUCUCAGUCUAUUCCCGUGGAGGUGGACAUGCUCUAUGUAUGGUGGAUUAAAACAUGACGGUAUAGAGCCAGAUAAAUUAUUUUGAGAAAGAUCCAAAAAUUCCAACCUAUUCAACUUGCAAAAUUCCAUUGGAAUGGAACCUUCAAAACCAUUGUUGGACAUAGCUAAUCUCUGCAAAAACGAUGCAUUCCCUAUCCAUCUUGGGAGCUUUCCAUGCAACUUGUUGUUACUGAGAUCAAUUUCGCUUAGUGAAUUUGGAAACUCAAAAGUAGACACAUCAACAUUUGUCAUCUCUCCUGAAAAAUUAUUUCCAUCCAAAUAUAAAUGCUGCACCCCAUUUGCGCUGAGAAUCACAGGAACUACAUUUCCACUGAGGUUGUUAUUUGAUAGUCUCAAAAUGGUCAGUGAGCCUUUCGUGAUCAACUCUUCUGGUACUUUUCCAUACAAAUGAUUGUCUAAUAGAUCUAAAAAUGAUAAGUCCUUCAUGCCACUUAAACAAAGUGGGAUAUUAUCUUCAAAAGCAUUCUUGGAUAAGAAUAACCGACUCAAAUGUGGAAAAGUUGAACAUAUACCAGUUGGAAUUUGACCUUGUAAUUUGUUUUCAGAUAUGUCAAUUGAAGAUACAUCAGAAAUAAGAGCCGACGAAAGUGAGAGAGGACCUGUAAAUGAAUUACCCUUCAAGAUGAGAUCUUCUAACUUUGUGUUGUUUUCUAGCAACCAAGUUGGUACAGUUCCACUGAGAUUGUUAUGAGAAAGAUCCACAUAUCUCAAGUCAUAUUGGUAGUAAAGGAAGGUAGGAAAUUUACGAUUGAGUUGUUGAGAUGCUAUGCACUUUGGCAAUCUGAUGACUUCCAAUUGGAACUUUGGGAUUGAGGUAUAAAAGGAAGAUUCCAUUACCAUCUUGUUUUCAUUAAUCGAAAGGGCUUUGAGGUUUGAAAGGUUUGCAAAUGGUGCAAAUGACAGCGGAAUUUGAAAAUGGUUUCUUGAAACAUCUAACACACGAAGAGAUGUCAAGUUACUAAAACAACGAGGAAGCAUCCCCUCAAGUGCAUUGUUGCUCACAUCCAAUACUUCAAGGUUCUUUAGAUCACACCAUCCUGAAAAAUUUAUAAAUUCAUGGAAGAAAUUUUAAUUAAAUUUGGUCCUAUUAAAUAGAAUAGGAGAUAUUAUAUUACAAAAGCUAGUAAAGAAAUCAAUUUGAGCCAUAAAAUUAUUUACCUUGAUUAGGUAAGGGACCAAUAAGUCCACAAUGAUAUAAAGACAAUGUUUUAAGAGAAGCGAAUACUCCAAUGCUUUGCAAAAUGUUGGUGUUGAGAGUAGAAUAGUCAAGAUAUAUUUCCUCCAAACUGCUCGACACAUUUGAAUCUAAGCAAUGUCAAGAGGUAUUAGAUAACGGUAUUAUAGAAAGCCUCUACUAAGUAGAAUGCUUUAUUUUCUGUGAAUGAAAUGAAGUAUAUAAAUAUAUAUAUAUAUUUUUUAUGAGUUAGAUUAUUCAUGAUUUAUCUGAGAUAAAUUUUGAUAGAGAGAAGAUGUUGAAACUUUAAUAUAACUCUUCAUCCAUUUUAUUAAUUAUACUAUUUUUUUUCUUUUUAGUAUUUUCUUAUAUUAUUUUUUAAUAUAAGUAAUUAACUGAUAUAGCUAAGUUGUAUAAUUUUCAAACUCCAAUCAACAACACUAUAAAUAAUAUUUAUAAAAUAAAACAUGUCUACACUAAAUGUAUGUUUAAAUUUCAUAAAAUUGAAGAUAUUUUUAAAUUAUUCAAAAUUCACAUGUCUACACUAUAAAUAAUAUUUAUAAAAUAAAACAUGUCUACACUAAAAUUAUUAUAUUACCUUUAAAGAUGCCAAUAGUAUAUAAAAAAAUCAAAUAGGUAUUUUACUCAACAAUAAAUAAAACUCAAAAGAAUUAUAAGUAAACUCAGCGGAUUAAAUGAAAAUUUUAAAGCAUUAAAUCUUGGCCCAAAAAUAGAGUUAAGUUAAAAUUCAAAAUUCAAAAUUAUUUUAUUAAUAUUGUUAAAAUUAUUUUAUUAAAUCCAUGUUCAUUACGUCAUUUUUUUAGUUACAUUACUACUAAGUUUUUUUUUUAUUUCAAAAUGUCACACCAACAAGCUAUUUUAAAAUUUUAACAAUUUUAACAAUUUAACUAGGAUUUUGAUUUUUUUUUAUAAAAAAAACAGGGAUUAAAUUCUUGAAAAUAAAAGUAUAAGAAUUAAAUUACAAAUUAGUAAAGAGUACAUAGACCUAUCAUAUUUUUUAAAACCAAAAAGUUAAAAACAUAUGCACUUUGAAAUUUAUAAAAAGAUUGCAAUGGAAGUUUAAGCACCUCUCAAUGUAUGUUUAAAUUUCACAAAAUUAAAGUUUUUUUUUAAAUUAUUCAAAAUUGACAUUUAUUUAUUUUUGCCAAAAAAUGCCAUUUAUUUAACGCUAAUAUGUAUUUUUAUGUUUUAUACUAUUAAAAAUAUAUGAAAUUAAAAUAUAGUUAUAUUACAUAUUUUCUCAUAAAUAUAUGUUUUUAUUUAUUUAUAAUAUCAUUUUUUAUUGUUAUAAUUAUUUUUUAUCUCAUAAAAAUUCAAUAAAUUAUUUUAAAAAAUAUAUUUAUACAAACAAAAUAAUUAUAAACAUUAAUAUUUUAAAAUGAUGAAAAUUUUAAAGAAUUUUAGUUUCAAACCAAAGUCCAAACACAUUAUAAUGGAUGAUUUAGAAAAUGUUUCACCAAACCCAUAUUUUACUUUCAAGUAUGAUAUGAUAUAACUUUAUUAAUAUUUAUGACAAUAACCGUUAUUAUAAUAUUUGACAUCAAAACUAAAUUUCUAAAUUAAAAAAAAAAAGGAAGUUUAAUUAAAUGAUACCUUGGUGGAUCACCAAAUCUUUCAAUUCAUUAUAGCUCAUAUCUAGUUUCCUUAAGUUGAUAAAUGCUUCCAAAUCUAGGAAAACAAAAACAACAAAUCAACUUCAUUAUAUUCUCUUAAAACAUUAUUAUAUUCUUGUUAAAAAACUAAUACUUUUACCUUUCAUAUCUAUUGAUCCUUUCAAUUCAUUGCCUCUUAUGCUCAAAGAUUUCAAAUUUGAAAGCUUGUUAAGGGAUGCAAAUACACUAGUAUUGAAGUGAUUUCCAUCUAAAUUAAGCUCUUCCAAGUGGGUCAAUUCCAAUUUUCUACCAUCAUCUACAAAAGAUUUAUAUAAUUUCAUCAUCUACCAUCACUAAUUUCAUCUACCAAUUUGUUAAAUUGCUCAAUCCUAUACAUAUCCACGUACAAUUCAAAAAAUCAUUAUGUUAAUAAUUUUAAUUUCUACUUAAUAUUUUAAUGAAAUAAAAAUGAAAAAAAAAAGUAAAUCUAAAACUUGAAUUGAAGAUAAAAAUCCUCAAACGUGAAAUGUGAAUGUUCAAAUUUGAAACAAUUAAUUUUAAAAGGCUCUAGAAAGAAUUAUCAAGAAAAACAAAGUUAUAGCUUUAGUACCUUUAGUAUCUAAUGAGCCUUGCAAACGGUUGUUGAACAAAGUCAAAGACUUUAGGCUUGAAAGCCCUUGAGGAAAGGAAAUUGUGUUGUUCCGAAAGAGAUUACCACUCAAAUAAAGUUCCUCUAAGUUUGUUAGCCUCAAUUGUGUUCCAUCUAUCAUUGGAAGAAAGUAAUUAGUAUAGUUAACAUCAUUCAAGAUAUAAAUAGUUAGGAAAAAUGUUUGUUUGAGAAGGAAGAGCCAAUUUACAAGCUUUCCGAUGAAUUGAUUCAAUAUAUAAAUACUUUGUUUGAGAUACCUUCCUACUUAAAUUACUCAAUUUUGAAAUUUAAUCCCAAAUAUUGAUUACUUAUAUAUAUUCAUGAUAUGAUAAAAUCAAAUGACUUAUUGCAACAACUUUUCCUUCAACAUGAAUUUAUUUUAAAGAAUGCUAUUCUUCAAAUAAUUCCAACUUAUAUCAAUAAUUUCCAAUUUAAUGAGCCAUUGAAAACCUCAUUUAUAUAUUAUAUAAUUAGUUACUACAAAACUUAAAUAAAUAAUAAUACUCCAUUUUUGCAAUAAAAAUUCACUAAAGAAAAUACAUUUGAAGUCUGUCAUUGCCUUUUGGAAUAAGAGUCGGUCAAGAAAGUUACUAUGCAGAAAUACUUAUACCUUUGUUUGAGAUGCUUUCAAUGUCGUUCCAACUUAAAUCCAAGUACUUCAAAUUUGUCAAAUUAUUCAAUCCUGAAAUUCAAUCCCAAAUAUUGAUCAGUUAUAUAUAUAUAUUCAUGAUAUGAUAAAAGCAAAGACAUAUUGCAACAUUAACUGUCCCUUAAACAAAAAUUGGUUUUAAAGUAAAAAAGAAACAUAUAAAACCAGUCUACCUUUAAUAUGAAUUGACAUAUAAAUACUGUACUUAUACCUUUGUUUGAGAUGCUUUCAAUUCUGUUCCAACUUAAAUCCAAGUAUUUCAAGUUUGACAAAUUAUUCAAUCCUGAAAUUCAAUCCCAAAUAUUGAUUAGUUAUAUAUAUUCAUCGUAUGAUAAAAUCAAACUUGAACAUACAUUGAUUUUUAAAUCAAGGAUGAAAGAUUUCUCAUAUGAAACAAAAUGCUAUUCUUCAAAGAAUUCCCACUUAAAUCAAGAGUUUCCAAGUUAUUGAGUCUUGAAAGCAAUUGAAAACCUGAUAUAUAUAUUUACUUGUUAAUUGUUUUUUCUUUCUUAGCCAUAUGAAAAUUUUACUAAAGCAAAAGUGGAAUUACGACGGAUAAAAAGAAUGGAAAACUAGGUACCAAGCCUAGAAGACCAUCCUCAAACUCCACUAUACAAAUAAAAACUAACAGCAGACCAAACUUAAUUUACCUCUUUGAUGACCUGAUCCUUCAAAUUUGUUGAUUGAUAGAUCUAAAUACCGGAGAGAUGAAAGCUCACUCAAAGAUAACAAAAUGCUAUCAUUCAAGUAAUUGAAACUUAAGUCAAGGAUCUCCAAAUUACUCAAUGUGGAUGAUAGUUUUCCAAAGCCUAUAGAAAUAUUCUUUUAAAUAUAUACAAGUUAGUGACUUUUCUUCCAUAAAAUAAAAUAAAAUAUAAGUAAUUGCAAAUUAACGAUGGUAAGAGUAGUGGGAUAAUAAAAGAUGUAAUUAAGGAAAAACUAGAGGCACGACCUUCAUUUUCAAGGUUACCACUUAUGGCAUUCCCCCGCAAAUAAAGACUCUUCAAUUCCUCAAAGGGAAGAAACAUAGAGGUAUUGAGAUACCAGGCAUUGAGAUUCCUAUUAUCCGUUUUGUAUCCCAUACUGUCAAACCAUCUUGUAGAAUUAAGGGAGAGUUGUAUGAGUCUCCUAGUGGUGGUGUUACACUCAACUCUUUCCCAUUUACAACAAUCUGAACCCUUCACCUCAACCCAACUUUGCAAUUGAUUUUGAUAAUUGAAGAAAGGCUUGAGAUGCAAGAGAGCGAUUCUCUCAUGCUCCAAACAAGCAUCAGUAGUACACCAUCUGCAUCCUUCUAACACCAACAACAUUACUGCCAUCCUAAUAAGCCUUAACCAUUUCCACUCCAUCAUCAUCAUCUCUCUGUUUUCACUUCUCUCUCAGUUAUAUGUUACUUUUUGUUAACUUCUAUAUGUAAAUAAUCUAAAGCAGCCUAACCUUCUUAUUUAUAUACAAGCAGAACAUACUGGAUCCCACUAAUUCACUAUAAUGUAAAAAUAAUAUAUAAUUAAUUAAUUCCUCAAAAAUUGGAUCAAAAUCUAGGCUUUUUAUUUACGUAAAUUCCUUAUUGCAAAAACUCCUGGUGGAAAUUCGUUAGGAAAGGAUGAAUGGACCACAAGAAUGUUGAUGUUAAUCUUGAAAAACGAAUGGCCAAAAAAAUAUGAAAAGUGAGAGGUGGACAUAAAAUCUUGUGGUUGGGGUUGCAAAAGUCUUCAUGUGGCUUUCUUGUGAGCUUCAUUUAUACCCUUCUUACACAUAUACAAACUUAGUCUUGACUUGGCUUUAUUAAUGGAAAAUUUAGGUCUUCAUUUUUGGUUUCAUUCAUGGAAAUUUUACUUCUUUGAUUUUGAUUUUGCUUUUAUUCUUGCACAUUUUAGGUUUUGAUUUUGAAAAUUUAGUUUUUUUCAUCUCUAUUAUUAUAAAAUUUCUUGAUUUAAUUAAUAUCAUGAGUUAAUUUAAUAUUUUAAAAAAUAAAAUAUUACAUUCACUAUUUUUAAAAAAAUAGGAGUAACUAUAAAAUUUAAUUAUUUAUAUAAUAUUUUUAUAAAAAAACUAUUUAUUUCUACUAGACCACUACUUUAAAACUAUCAAUUAUCAUAUAACUUCUCUUUAAUAAUUCACUAUUCUUUGAACAUUCAUUAGUUUUUGAAACAUAAAAUUUAUAAAUAAUUAUUUUUAAAAUGACUUGAGUUUUACUUGAAUCAUUUUUGUAAUUAGUUAAUUAAAUUGGGUUAUUUUUAAAAAAAAUCCUCUUAACUAAUAGCAAAAAAAAAAAAAGAAAAAAAAAAGCCAUCAUGUAGAAAAUUCUGGUUUGUUGGAAAGAUAAAGACUUGCACCAUUACUUUAAAUUUUGAAAUGUUCAACUUGAUAUUGACAUCUGAUAAUAUGUACAAAUUUCUCAUUGUUUUGAAUUUUAGUGAUAUUACACAUAUGAUAAUAUGUUUGUCACACCAAAUUUUGAAAUAGUAGAACUUAAUGAAUUUAACAAAUACUUAAUGAAUUUAAGAAAUAUCUAAAAUAUCAAAUUAAAGUCUAGGAAUUAAAUCUACAACUUCAGUAAAGUACAAGAACUAUUGUAGAAUUAAACCUUUAUAUAAUAAUUUCCUUCUAUGAACCACAAUUCAAGUGCACCCCACAAGCAACAUUAAAAAAUUGGCAUGUGUCUAUUUUUUUAAAAAUAUUUAUUUUUUUAAUAUUAUAUACUACACCUCUAUAGGAUACGUGUCAAUCCUUUAACUCUCCUUAUGGAAUUUAAAAACUCCACUAACAAUGUACCAAAUAUUAAUCCUAAUUAUUAUACUAUUCAUGGAUAAAGAUAAAAUAUAAUAUUUGCUUAAAAAUCUCAAUUAUAUAUAUUUGGUCACCCAUUGUGAUGUAAUAUAGCACCGUCUACAAAAUAGUUGGAGGAAAGUGUUAAGAAAAUAUCAUUACAUAUAUCAACAUUCGCAUAAUUCAUUGCAUUAACUUUCAAAUGUUAACUAUUGACUUCUGCGUCAACUUUGAGCUUAUAUAGGUCCCCCUCAUGGAAAUUGAGAAAAACAAAUUAAUAUGUAUAUUCUUGUGGGUGGAAAUUUAGUGGAGAUGCCCAUCAUCUUUCCUAAUUAAUAAAAAUGAAGACUUAGAAAAUGUGCAAUCAUAAUCCUAGUCGUCGUUAUGGCCCCAAGAAUAGUUAUCUUAAUUUGUCUCUCUUCAGGAUUAAAGAUAAAAAAUAAAUUUUAUAAAGUUAGAACUAUAAUUUUAUAAUUAUAUUAACAUAUAAUUUCAUAAAAUUUUAAAAAUGUAUCUUUUAAUUUUUUAAUUAAAUUGAUAAUUCGUUAACUCAUAAUAUUAUUUUAUUUUUCAAAAUAUUUACGAGAACGAGUUCGUAUUCUAUUGUGUGGAAAAUUUUAGUACAGAUUAUUAAGUUAUUGGAGAAGCCAAAUCCAACUUGUUUGACCAAGAAAGUUUUUGUCGCGUGGAAAAUGGACAUUACCAUUUCCUUGAAUGACCUUCAAUUUAAUGUAUUCACACCAAAUUUCAUUAAUGAGUAAAACAAAUAAUGAAUAAUAAUGAAAAUUGGAGGAAAUUGUUAAGAAAUUAUUAUUACAUAUAUCAACAGUCACAUAAUUCAUUGUAUUAACUUUCAAAUGUUGACUAUUGACUUUUACAUCAACCUUGAGCUUAUAUAGGCCCCCCUCACGGAAAUAAUCUCAUAAUUAAUGCCUGAAAAAUUAUUAUACAUCAAUUUACAGUUUUAAUCCCUAGACUUACUCAAUUGAAUUAAAAUUUUAGUUUUUAUUAUUUAAUUUGAACUAUUACUUUAGAUUUUGAAAUGUUCAACUUGAUAUUACAAAUUUCUCAUUCUUUUGAAUUUUAGUGAUAUUACACCUAUGAUAAUAUGUUUGCCACACCAAAUUUAGAAAUAGUAGGACUUAAUGAAUUUAAUAAAUAUCUAAAAUAUCAAAUUAAAGUCUAGAAAUUAAAUCUACAACUUCAGUAAAGUACAAGAACUAUGGUAGAAUUAAACCUUUAUAUAAUAAUUUUCUUCUAUGAACCACAAUUCAAGUGCAUCCCACAAGCAACAUUAAAAAAUUAAAAUGUGUCUAUUUUUUUAAAAUAUAUUUUUUUUAAUAUUAUAUACUACACAUAUAUAGUAUACGUGUCAAUCCUCUAACUCUACUUAUGGGAUUUAAAAAAUCCAGCAACAAUGUACGAAAUAUUAAUCCUAAUUAUUAUACUGUUCAUGGAUAAAGAUAAACUAUAAUAUUUGCUUAAAAACCUCAAUUAUAUACAUUUGGUGACCCAUUGUGACGUAAUAUAGCACCAUCUACAAAGUAGUUGGAGGAAAUUGUUAAGAAAAUAUCAUUACAUAUAUCCAACAGUCACAUAAUUCAUUGCAUUAACUUUCAAAUGUUGACUAUUGACUUCACGUCAACUUUGAGCUUAUAUAGGCCCCCUCCUCAUGGAAAUAAUGUCACAAUUAAUGCUUGAGAAAUUAUUAUACAUCAAUUUAUAGUUUUAAACCCUAUACUUACUCAUUUGAAUUAAAAUUUUAGUUUCAAUUUGAUAUAUUUUGUUCCUCUUAUUAAUAUUAAUGUUAUAGAUUUAUUAAAAUAACUAACAUUAUUAAUUCUCUAACAUUUAAAAAUUAAAAUUAUGUGGUUAUUAAAAUUAUGAUGCUAAAUUGAGAAUUAAAAAUUAUCAAGUUUUAAAUGAUCUCGGGAAUUAAGAAGAGAUCGUGUCCUAACUUAUUGGGCAUGAUCCUUUUUUUUCUCAAGUUUUAAAUGAUCUCAGGAAUUAAGAAAAGAUCGUGUCCUAACUUACUGGGCAUGAUCCUUUUUUUUUUAAAAUCUAAGAUAGCUAAAUAUUUUUUAAAUAAGUAAAUUUUUGGCAUUCAUUCGCGCAUCGGGAAUUCAAGACAUUGUGUCCUAACUUACUGGAUAUAAUUCUCUUUCUCGAUUAAUGUGAAUUAUGGCUUUUUCCCGAAAAUUUUCAACAUUUCAAUAAAGGAUCGUAUUUUAAAUCUCUUUAAAGUUUUCAAUCUUCGAUACUAAGACAUUAAUUAAUCAACUAGGUACCAAUUUUGGGCGUAACGAGGGUGCUAAUCUUUCCUCGUACGUAACCGACUCCCAAACCUGUUUUUCUGAAUUUCGUGGACCAAAAUUAUUAUUUUAUUAAAAUUAAAUUGUUUAUUAAAAAUAACCACUUUUCAAGGUGGCCCGAUCACACCUUAUCAAAAAGGAUUGGUGGCGACUUCCAUAUUCGUUUUCAUUUUUUAAAAUCCAAGUCGACCCCGUUUUCACAAAAAAAAAAAGUGUCAACAAUUAUAUUAAUAUAUAAUUUCAUAAAUUCUUUAAAAAAAAUUGUAUCUUUUAAUUUUUUAAAUUAAUUUAGUAAUUCAUUAACUCAUAAUAUUAAAUUUUUUAUUUUUCAAAAUAUUUACGAGAACGAGUUCGUAUUCUAUUGUGUCGAAACUUUUAGUACAGAUUAUUAAGUUAUUGGUGAAGCCAAAUCCAACUUGUUUGACCAAGAAAGUUUCAGUCGUGUGGAAAAUUUUAGUUUUGUGGAAAAUAUAGAUUAACUUCUAUAUAUGUAUGUAAUCUAAAGAAGCCUAAGCUUCUUAUUUAAUUAUAUACAAGCAGAAGAUAUUGCAUCCCACUAAUUCACUAUAAUAUAAAAAUAAUAUAUGAUUAAUUAAUUCCUCAAAAAUUGGAUCAAUCUAGGCUUCUUAUUUACGUAAAUUCCUUAUUGCAAAAACUCUCGAUGGAAAUUCGUUAAGAAAGGAUGAAUGGACCACAAAAAUGCUUAUCAACUCUUGACUUUGGCGUUCAAUGCUAAGUUCAUUUUAAAAUUCUUUCAUGGAGAGAAGAUGGGAUGACAAGAAUGAUAAGUUUUAAGUCAUUUAAGUUUACACAAAAUUUUAAUCACUCACAAAAAAUCAGUCUUGAUAUUCUAUUAAAAAAUUUAAACAUGGCUUAACGUUGAUUUUAAAUCUAAUGUCGAUGUCAAUCUUGAAAAACGAAUGGCCAAAAAAAUAUGAAAAGUGAGAGGUGGACAUAAAAUCGUGUAGUUGGGGUUAUAAAAUUCUUCAUGUGGACAUAAUAUAUUUUUUAUGCCCUUCUUACACUUAUAUAAAGUUAGUCUUGAUUUCGCUUUAUUAAUGGAAAUUUUAGUUCUUCAUUUUUUGUUUUAUUCAUGGACAUAAUAUUUAUUUUUAUUUUUUAUUUUUGUGUUAUGGUCUAUGUUCGAGGUUUAUGGCUAUCCCCUUUCAACAACGUCGUCUCAACGGUUCAAACAUACACUUGCAGGUAAAAUAAUACUUUUUAAAAUCACAAAUAUUUGAAAUAAUAUAUUGCAGCUAUAUAAAUGCUUUCUUGUUUAAGAUACUAAUAAAGUAAUUAACAAAGUAAUUAUUAUACCUAUAAUAAUUCAAAAUGCCACUUGUUAUCUAAUGAAGUAUAGGGGUGCAAAUGAGACAUCCGUACCCGCAAGCUAUUCGAAUUCGGCUCAAAAAAUUUUGAAUUUGAUUCGGUAAUUAUUGCGCCGAGCUAUAGGUCGAUCCGGAUUCAAGCUUAGUAAUACUUGACUCGAGUAGUUUGGGAGCCUUAUUGAACUUUUCAUAUUUUUAUAUUAUUAGAUUACAUUAUUGCCUUUAAUAUAUAUUGUUAACCCUAAGUUUAAUUAUUGAGGCGAGCUCGAACUCGAGUACAAAAAUUGAUAAACAGAUUUAAUUUCGAGCUUAAAAAUAUAUGUUCAAUCGAGUAUCAAGCUUUGAAUUUCAAAUUAAACUUGAGUUUAACCGUAUUGAGUUCGAAUAGAUUCAAUUACACCCUACAAUAAAAUAUACCAACAAAACCUACAUUCCAUAUUUGCUUAAAAACUUUGCUGUAAAUUUUAUAUAUGUGUGUGUUUAACGUGAGUUCCAUCUAUGUCCAACUUGAUGACGAUGAAAGUUCCUAUGGUGUAAAAAGUUUUAGUUAUGUGGAAAAAUAAGGUCUUCUCUUCACACGUUUAAUAUGCUUACUUGUGACGGUCAUUUCGGGCUUGACAUCAAUUUUCAAAAUGUUCUAAUUGGUGGAAAACUUACGUCUGCUUUUAUGAUUCUUUCAAGUCAAUUGGAGAAUGCCUCUGUUACACUUCAAAAGAAGUAGAUUUUGAACUCAACAUGAACCUGUGAGAUUUGAUGCCUAAAAUAUAGGUAUAAGGUUUCAAUUCAAGGAAAUGUUGGAAGUCCAGGAAAUUUCUUAGUCUCCUCUCUUUGGAUGUUUUUGAACAAAAAUGUUUUAAGUCUCUUCCGAUGCUAAACUUCUGAUUGGUCGUCGGUUCACUGACCCUUUGGUACACAGCAAUAUGAAGCAUUGGCCAUUCAAGGCCAUUGCUGGUCCUGGUGAUAAGCCAAUGAUUGUACUACUAUAGAUUUGAAAUGAUUGUACACAUCUGAUCGGCUCUUUGUAAAUUUAAAUCUUACAAAUUCGGAUAAUAUUCGAAUUUAAAUAUUUCAAUUACUAUCUGCAAUAGAUUAAAAACAAACGUGAUUAUCAAUCCUUGGAUAUCCACAUACAGAUUAUGCAAUACAAUCUCUUAAGGCAUAUAGAAUUUGGGUCUUAACCAAGCUAUGUUGCUUAAAAGCUUGCUAAAAGCACCCCUAACAAAGGGGUAAAUAAAUAAAAUAUCAAGCACCAGUUAUCAAAGCAGAUUGACCACCUUAUAUCUAUGUAUGCUACUACAAAACUUGCACCAUUAAAAUCUCAAGCUGGUAAUUGGAGCUUCAUGUUAUUCUUGCAGCUGCAGGCAUAAUAAUCAAAUAAGUUGCAAUCAUUCACAUAGGUACUAUGAAGUGCUUUCCAGAGCGUGAGAAACCUCUGGAAGUAAUAGUAGAAGAAAUCAGCAUAAAGCAAUGUCUGGACAAGACCGCAAAUCCAAGCUGAUCAAAGGCAUCAAUCAUGUAAACUAGGUGUUAGAAAUAACAAAUAUAGCAUAGAAUAUAACAAAUAAUGAAUAACAAUGAAUAGUACACGUUACCAUUUCCUUGAAUGACCUUCAAUUUCUCCAUUGAGAUAUAGUAAGAGGGAGUGGAAUAGAUGUAAGGUAAUAUUUGAUGUAUUCGGUAAAUGAAUAAUAACACCACAUUCCAUUAAUGAGUAAAACAGAUAAUGAAUAAUAAUGGAAGUUUUAUAAAAUAAAAAUAAAUUAAAUCAUAUACAUAUAAUGUAUUAAAUCUUAUUCGUGAAGUUCACAAUGAACAAAAUACUAAUCCAUAAUGGAGAAAAAUAACCUAAACUUUAAACAUUUGUUCAUUACUAUAAACAUAUGUACAACUUUUUAAAGGUUUUAUAUAAACUAUUAAAAGGUAUAAACACUCUCAUAAAAAUAUAUUAUUAAGUACGUCUUCUUUUACUAGGAAAGUUCCUAUCCUGUAGAAAAAUGUAGUUUUGUGAAAAAAGGUCUUCUAUGCACUAAUUUGUGGCAAUCACAUGGGGUUUGGGAAUUUCAAUUUUGAUAGCCAACCGAGAUUCACUAAAUUUAAAUUUUAUUAUGAUUAAUUACGCUCUUCGUUUUGGAGAAAUAGGUAAUCACAACAACUAAUUUAAUUAAAUGUAAUUUAAUAAUUAAUUUUUUUAUAAUUUAAUUACAUUAACUAUAUUUAAAUUUAAUAUUUAGUAUUUAUAUUUUAAUUUAACAUAAUUUAAUUCACUUACUUUUAUAAUAUUAUUAGUUCGUCUAAAUAGUUGACACCUUUAAUUAAUUCUUAUUAAAAUGUUAAAAAUGUUUAUACUUAUUUUCCAUGUUAAAAUAUAUAUUUUUUUGUGCUUUUAAAAACAAAAUUUCACAAUAUCAUUUCCCGAUAUAAAAAUUAAAUCUCAAAUUAAUUUAUAUUUUUGUAUUUUUUUAUAACUAAUGUUAUCAAGAACUCUUAAUAGUGCAACUGAUUCCACCAUAAUAUUUAUAUUCUUUAAAUAUGAUUUACAAUUUAUGUUUGGAGUUCGUGACUGUCAUUCUUAAUAAUGUCAUUUCUAAUGUUCGAACAUGCAUCUCCCCUUGAGAAUGCAAUAUUCAUUACUAUUGCACCUAAUUAUUUUGAUAAUUUAAUUUUAAAUAUUGACAUAAAAAUAUUUUUAAAUAUAUUAUUAAUAAAUUUAAUUAAGAUUAUAAAACUUGAGGUUUUUUUUAAUUCUUCAAAAAUGUCAUUUAUUUAUUUUUGGCCAAAAAAUGCCAUUUAUUUAACUCUAAUAUGUGCUUUUAUGUUUUAUUUUAAAAAUAUAUGAAAUUCUAAUGAUAGUUAUAUUACAUAUUUUUUAAUUUUAAAUAUCAUUGUUCUUUUAUAAUUUGUUUCAAGUAUGAAAUGAUAUAAUUUUUUUUAGUAUCUAUCACAAUAACCUUUACUAAGAAUUGAAACUAAAUUUCUAAAUUUUGAACAAAAAUGAAAGUUUAAUUAAAUGAUACAUUGGUGGAUUCAUUACCCCUCAUAUCUAGUUCCCUUAAGUUGAUAAAUGUUUCCAAAUCUAGGAAAACAAAAAACAACAAAAUCAACUUCAUUAUAUUCUCUUCCAACAUUAUUAUAUUCUUGUUAAAAAUCUAAUAUUUUUACCUUUCAAUCCAUUGCCCCAUAUGCUCAAAGAUUUCAAAUUUGAAAGCUUCUUAAGGGAUGCAAAUACACUAGUAUUGAACUGAUUUCCAUCUAAAUAAAGCUCUUCCAAGUGGGUCAACUCUAAUUUUCGACCACCAUCAAUAAAAGAUUUAUAUAAUUUCAUCACUAAAAUGAAUUGGCAUAAACUUUUAUUAUAUAUAAGAAUUUAGGUAAUUGGUUAAAUAUAAAUGCAUACCAUUUAAGGAUUGAAAGCUUUCAAUUUCAUUCCAACUUAAAUCGAGUUUCUUCAAAUUUGUUAAAUUGCUCAAUCCUAUACAUAUCCUCAUCCAAUUCAAAAUCUGAAAUUAGUAAAGAUAAAAUUGCACAUUGACCCCCUAAAAUUGAUAAAAAUUUAAUUUAAUUCUUUAAAAAUUAUAAACAUAUGUAGCGACCUAAAAAUUUCGGCACGGGCGCUAGUCGAAGUAAUUAUUGUAAAUUUGAAAACUGAAUCUCGAUUUUAUUUGAAAAAGGAGUCGCCACCGAUAUUUUUUCUAGGUGUGAUCGGACACCUACAAAAUUCUCUUUUUAGAAGAAAAAAUUAUUUUUAAACUUUUCUAAAAAAGAGGUAAUUUUAGGUCCACGUAAAAAUCCAGAGAAAAUUAGGGUCCGGGAGUCGGUUACGCGCGAGGAAGGUAUUAGCACCCUCGCAACGCCCAAAAUUGGUAUCUCGUUAAACGCGUGUUGUCUUCAUUUUCAAAAAUACGAGUUCAAUUUAAUAUUAGUCGUGAUCCGAUUGAACACGAGAAUUUUAAAGCGCAACAACUUUUUCUUUUUUGAAAACACGAAAAUUUUAAAAUACAAGAAUUUUAGAAACACAAAACUUUUUUUUUAAAAAAAACACGAAGAAUUUAAAACACGAGAUUUUUUAUUUUUAUUUUUGAAAACACGAUUCUUCUUUUUGAAACACGAAAAUUUUUAAAACAGAAAAUUUGUUUUUGAAAACAUAAAUUUUUUGAUAAAAUACGAAACACGAGAAAUUUUGAAGACAUGAAAAUUUUUGAAACACAAUUUUUCUUUAAAAAAUACCGUAUUUAACACGAAUCGAUGAUAUUCAUCCCGAUAUGGCGAUGAAACCAUCGAAUUAGUGUUAACUCAAUUCAAUUUAAUAUUUAAUCGGGAUUCUAAUAAAACACGAGAAUUUUUAUUAAAAUACGAGGAUUUUUGAAUAUUUUUAUUUUUAAAAGGGUGUCCCGAAUUUAACACGAGCUAUCGAUAUCCACCCAACAUAGCGAUGAAUUCGAUGACUUGAUGCUAAAUCGGUUCGUUGCCUUAUGCAUUAAAAUAUUAUUAUUUUUAAAAAAAAUAUGCAAUUAAAAUGACAUAAUAAUAUUUAUGAAAACUGUUUUAAAGCAUACUAAUUUAAAUUAAAUAAAACACCAUUUAAAUAAAUAAAAUAAAAUAAAAUAGAUUAAAAAGAAAAAAAGAAAAAAAUUACCCAAAAGCCCAAAGUUAUGGGCUUAAAUUUUGGGCCUCCCCUUUUAUUAUUUUUUUUGCUGUUGGGCUNNNNNNNNNNNNNNNNNNNNNNNNNNNNNNNNNNNNNNNNNNNNNNNNNNNNNNNNNNNNNNNNNNNNNNNNNNNNNNNNNNNNNNNNNNNNNNNNNNNNNNNNNNNNNNNNNNNNNNNNNNNNNNNNNNNNNNNNNNNNNNNNNNNNNNNNNNNNNNNNNNNNNNNNNNNNNNNNNNNNNNNNNNNNNNNNNNNNNNNNNNNNNNNNNNNNNNNNNNNNNNNNNNNNNNNNNNNNNNNNNNNNNNNNNNNNNNNNNNNNNNNNNNNNNNNNNNNNNNNNNNNNNNNNNNNNNNNNNNNNNNNNNNNNNNNNNNNNNNNNNNNNNNNNNNNNNNNNNNNNNNNNNNNNNNNNNNNNNNNNNNNNNNNNNNNNNNNNNNNNNNNNNNNNNNNNNNNNNNNNNNNNNNNNNNNNNNNNNNNNNNNNNNNNNNNNNNNNNNNNNNNNNNNNNNNNNNNNNNNNNNNNNNNNNNNNNNNNNNNNNNNNNNNNNNNNNNNNNNNNCUCUUUUUACUUAAUUAUUUAUCAAUUUACACUAGUUCGAGUUUUUGUAACAGUAUCAUGGAGACUUAUGUACUAGGAGUUAGAUUGUAUUUUGCCUCUUUUACUCAAAAAAUGAGUAAAUUAAUCCUUGUACGUUAAAUCAAUGAGCAAACUAGUCCUUUUAGUUAACAUUUUCAUUCAUUUUUACUAUUAAAAAUUGGAGUGACUAACGAAAUAACCAGAUAGUUACACAUUACAUGCCAAGGGUGAAGCCAGAAAAUUCUUUUAGGGGGCCGAAAUUAAAUUUUAAUUUUUAAUAGCUUAUAUCUUUAUAAUUUUUAAAUGAUUAAAUCAAAUUUUUAUCAUUUUUAGGAGGGGACUAAAGUGUAAUUUUAUCUUUACUAGUUUAAAUUUCUAAAAUUUCUAAAAAGCCUAAAUGGAUAAUUUUCAAUUUUAGAGGGGUCAGGGCCCUUGCCAGCCUCCCUAGAUACGCCACUGUGGCAUGCCACAUGUACCUCAUGUCAGCAUACAUGAACCCGUUUUUAACAGUUAAAAUGGAUGAAUUUUUUAGUAGAAGGAUUAAUUUUCUCAUUUUUUGAGUAGAGGAAAGAAAAUGCAAUCCAAUGCCUAAUACAAGGGCCUCUAUGUCUUUCAUUAUUACUCAAUUAUUUGUCAUCAAAAGUUGUAUAUGUUCAAAUAUAAAUACAAUAAAACACAUAUGUAGUUAUUAAACAUAUCAUGCUAAUGUCAUUGUUUCUUCUUUAUCCAAAAUUAUUGGACUUAUAAAAUUCUUGAGAAUAAGAAAACCCCAUUAAACUUCCUUUUAAGUAAAACGUGUGUUCAAAAUCUUGAACUAGGUUUAUGCAGCAAUAGAAAUUCACAAGCUGUUUUUUUUAUACAUGAGAUGUGAAUCUCAAAAUUUUAGGGUUUCUGAUCUCAUAUAUUUUGGGUCCAGAUUUAAUGCUAAGGAUUUGUUGAGAAAGUUGAAAGGGAAGAAAAUGAUGUUCAUUGGGGAUUCACUAAGCUUGAAUCAAUGGCAGUCUCUAACAUGCAUGUUGCAUGCAUUUUUGCCACAAUCAAACUACACUGUUCACAGAGAAGGGAACCUUUCGACCUUUUAUUUGCCUGUGAGUUGCCAAAUCUAGUAGCUAUUUUAUUUCCUUCUUAUAAUUAAAACUUUUCAAUGUCACCUUUAGAAGGUAGCUGCAUGAAUCAAAUGAGUUAAAUCAAAUAGACUAAUUACUAUUGUUUGGCAAAAAUACCGAGUAGACCUUUUUAAAAAUAGUUAUUAUACUUUUAUUACAACAAAAUAAGCAGGGGUGAACCUAAAAUUUUUUUUAGCAGGAUAGAAAUUUAAUUAUAAUUUUUUCAUAGAUCAAAAUAUAAAUUUAUUAUGAAUUAAUUUAUAAUUUUAUCAUUUUUAAAGGGAUUAAACAGAAAUCAUUUCAUUUUUAUGGGGGUUAAAGUGUAAUUUUACUAUAUAUUAAUUUAUAAUUUCUUUAUUUAUAAGACUAGAAAAAAUUUUCAUGGGGGCCAAAGUACAAUUUUACUAUAUAUUAAUUUAUAAUUUCUCUAGUUAUAAAAGAACUAAAUUAAAAACUUUUCAUUUUUUAGGGGGGCCAAGGCCCUGCCUACCCCUUUCAGAUUAUUCGCCUCUGAUAAUAAGCCAUUAAACUUUAAUUUAUAACCGUUACCAUUAAUUUUUAACUUAUAUCCAAAUAACCCCUUACCAUUUUAUUUAUACUCAAAAUAAAAUUUAACAUAAAUAAAGGUGAGAGAGGGGCCUUGGCCUAUUGGUUAAAAUAGAAAAUUUUCAUUUAGGUCCAAAGGUAAAGCCAAAAAAUCAUUUUAGGGGGUUGGAAAUGAAUAAUAAAUUUUUGGGGAGACUAAUAUUGCAAUUUUAUCAUUAUAUCAACUUAUAAUUUCAUAAAUUUUGAAAAGAUUAAAAGACAAAUUUAUCAAUUUUUGGGGUUGUCUACUCUCCUGAGUUGGUCUCUAUUGAAAAUUAAUAAUUCCAUAAAAUAUAGCUUUCCUAAAUUUAUAAUUUUAGCUCGACCCUAAAUAUAAAAUUCUUUGCUUUACCCCUGAUAUUAAAUCAAAAGAUAGAAACUUAUUAUGUUACUAUAAGAAUAUAGGGAUUUAUUUAGCAAAAGCAAACUAUUUCAAGGACUUUUUUGGUAGUUUGCACUUAUAGUUGGUAUUAGUUAGAAUUAAGUGCCAAGAUUAAGUUUCCUUUGAGAUAUAUAGUUGGUUAAGCAAUUUAAUAUAAGUGGAAAUUUAGACCCCUAAGUUAUACCCUUCAUGCAUUUGGACAACUGUGUUGAGCCAAAAAAAAAAUUGCAGGAGUAUGAAGUUUCGUUGAUGCUAUCACGCAAUGCAUUUCUUGUGGAUAUUGUCCAAGAAAAGAUUGGCACCGUUCUGAAGCUUGAUUACAUUAAAAACGGCGAAUCAUGGAAAGGAUAUGACUUUCUCAUCUUCAAUACCUGGCAUUGGUGGCUCCACACUGGAAGAAAACAACCGUAAGCAAAACAUAAUUUCAGCAAUUAAAACCCGAUUUUUUAAUUGCAUCCCGAGUAGAUUUGUAAACAAAUACAACACUCGAAUUGGGUUGGGUUUGAACCGGAAUAUCAUUCCUAUAGUUUUGAUUAGACCUGUAGUUUAAAAGUUAAUUAUUUAUUUAAGUUUGAAAAUUCGUUUGAAAUUUAGAAGAAUAUUUAGAUAAAAAUAUUAGACUUCAUAAAUGAGCUUGAGUAAAAAAAUUAAACCCGUUUUUAAUAUGGGUUAAGCUUAAGCUCAAAAAAGUUAAGGAUCCAGACAUGUUGAUGAACUUAAAAUGAAUUUGCGAUAACUAUUUACAAAUAUUAGUAUGUUGGAGCAAAAUUUUAAGCCAUUGUUUGGUCCAACUAAAUUUAGGCAAAUAUAAAGUGCGUUAAUAUCAUGCUUAAAAUUGAUUCAAACUGAUCCCAACCCAUAACCACUUCUAAUUCUGAUUAGUUUGACUCAACCUUUUUAUUCUUUUAAAUACUUAUAAAAUCUCUUAUCCAAUUAUAUUUAUAUUUGAGCAAAAAAUGAUGUAUGUAUGUAUGUAUGUAUGUAUGUAACUUGAAAAAUGAAUUGGAUAUUAGAUGGGAUUUCAUUGAAUCAAGAGGAAAGGUGAAGAAAGACAUGGAUCGUAUGGCUGCAUAUAGAGAGGCACUAAGAACAUGGUCAAAAUGGGUGGAUUCCAAUGUUAACACUACAACUACCCAAGUGUUUUUUCAAGGCAUUUCUCCGACUCAUUUCAAGUAAGCUUUAGCUCUUCUCUUCUCUUCUCUUACCAUUUGCAUUAACUUCCUUGUUCUUAUUUUACUUAAAAGAAAUGGAAUUAUGAAAAAAAUUGAAAGCCAUUUUUUUUCCAAUAGAACUUAAUUCAUUUUAAUCCCAUCAGAUUUGGUUCAAAUUAGAGGUGUUUAUAAGUUGGUGAGUCAAUCGGCUUAGUUCGCUUUAGACUGCACUUGAAGUUAAGUUUUCAAGUUUCGAGCCAGAUUAGCCUUACUUGUUUUAUUAGUCGAAGAAAACUAUUUUUAAUUGUUUUAUAAACAAUGAAAAUGGACCAUUUAGGUAAGCUUAAGUUUGGAAAAUUUUUGAAAUUGGGCUUAAACUUGACUUGGAAAAUGAACACUUAUAGUUGAAAGAAACUCAUUUGUCAUAAAGCACAAAUACUUUUAUGAUUAGAGACGUUAAUGGGCUUGAACUUAAAUUUUCUUUUUGGUUUAAGCUUGGUUCGAGUUGAAAACUCGUAUUGUUUAAAAUAUUUCUAAUAUAUUAUUGUUUAAAAUAUUUCAUAAAUAUUUUCAAAAUGAAAUAUGUGUAAGAAUCAUAAAUUCAAGCUGUAGUGUUUCCUCAUAUAAAUUAUGAAUCACUCUAAAUAUCUCAAAGAGAAAAUGACAGUUCAUUGACAUCUAUAUAAAGAUUUUUUUUUUUAAAAUAAAAAUCAACAAGUCUCUUACGUUAUCCAUAUAUAAUAUGUGGAUGUACAAUUAUAAACUUCACCUCAAACAAUUUGGUAUUUUGAUCCACAAUUUUGACAGUGGCAAAGAAUGGAAUGGUACCAAAUCAACAACUUGCACACAUCAAAUCAGACCGGCUACCGAUUUAACGUACGAAAGUGAUCCACCUCCGGAAGUGACGAUCGUAAAGGAAGUGCUAAAAAACAUGUCGACGCCGGUGGUUUUGCUCGACAUAACCAGAUUAUCACAGCUGAGGAAAGAUGGUCACCCAUCAAUUUAUACUGGUCUAAAAGGAAAUGAUUGUAGUCAUUGGUGCCUAGCUGGUGUUCCUGAUACAUGGAAUGAAAUCUUAUAUGCAAUUCUUACAAGUAGGAAAACUUAAUUCAAGAUUAUAAUUUUUUUUUCAAUUUAAUGUAUUUAGUUAAUAAAAAUUAAUUUCCCAUUAAUAGAUGAAGAAUUUUAAAUUUAAUAACAUAGGUGUAGCCAUCAAUUUAAUGUAUUUUUUACCCGAACCCAAAUUAAGUCAAGCUCAAACCAAUGGAAAACCUACAAUAUUAUUCAUAAUAAUAUUGAAACUUUAGAUUUUUUUAUUAGUAUUAUAUAUUUUAAUAAUUAAUUUUAAAUAUUUUUAUUAAUAAAUAGUAUUCAGGUCGCGCCAGCCCAAUUUAAAAGAUAUUUAACUCAAUAUAAAUUCAACAUAUUAAAUGAAUAAUUCAAAUGUCAAAAUGAGCAAAGGAAAAUCUAGAGUUGUAAGCUUUGCAACUUUAAAUUGGACAUGAGAGUUUCUUUUAUUGGAUACAUGCCACAUUAUUUUUUAACAAAAUUCCUUUAUUUUAUCAAUUGAAUUUAAAUUAUUAUAUUAAUAAAAUUAUUUAAUUAUUUAAUUGUGUUUCAACCUUUUACAUAAAAUAAAAUUUUCUCUUUUAACUUUUUCAUCAUUUAAUUUUUCACUUUUUAAAAUCACCCUCAAUUUCAAAUAUAAAUUUACUUGUGUAAAAAAAAAUCUAAAUCUGUUAAUUGCAUCUAGAACUUUUCAGAGUUGGUCUUGUCAAAAUUUUAAGUCUAUUUGCUAGGCCCAAGUUUGGCCUAAAAAAUAGACUUAAAAUUUUGUCUAAAUUUAACCCGGAUAAAAUAUUAAAAUCAGGCUCGACUCAACUCACCUGAAUUAAUUUUUCUAUAAAAAUAUUAAAAAUAAUAGGUCAAAAUACUAAAAAUAUUAAAAUAAAUAUUUUUUAAUAAUUUAAAAAUAAAUUUAAAAAUAUUUAUACUUAGAUAAAAUUAACAAUAAAAUAAUUUUUUAAUGUUUAUUAAAAAAUGGGCCGGACCGGGCUCGGGCUUAUGAUAUUUUUCCCGGGCCGGGCCUGGAAAAAUAUCAGGCCCAUAUUUCGAGCCGGGCCAAAAAAAAUUUCUGGGCCCGACCCGGCCCAUGGACAGGUCUAAUCUUAGACCUUUUCAGUGUUGGUCUUGUCAAAAUUUUAAGUCUGUUUGCUAGGCCCAGGUUUGGCCUAAAAAAUAGACUUAAAAUUUUGUCUAAUUUUGACCCGAAUAAAAUGUUAAAACCAGACUUAGACUCAACCCACUUGAAUUAAUUUUUUAUAUAAAAAUAUUAAAAAUAAUACGUCAAAAUAUUAAAAAUAUUAAAAUAAAUGUUUCCUAAUAAUUUAAAAAUAAAUUUAAAAAUAUUUAUACUUAGAUAAAAUUAACAAUAAAAUAAGAGUUAUAUAAUAUAUAAAUAAUAAUAAAAUAAUAGUAACAACAAGAAAAUAGUAAUUUUUUGUCUUUUUGUUAAUUCAUAUCGGACCGGGCUUAACCCGGUUGAGAACGGUACUUAUAUUUGUACAAAAAAAAAAUCAAAAAAAAAUGUGAACGGUACUUAACCCGGUUGAGUCGGAGCUCCAUGACCCGAACAGCAAUUUAUUUUUCAAUUCUUCUUCGUUACGCAAAAAGGAAAAAAAAAAAAACAGCUCAUGAAAAUGGCAUGGUCAAAUACUCUGCUUCAGAUUCACAUCAAAUCCCCUUCGAUCCCUUCUCUCCAUUUCCCACAUUCCCUCCCAAAAAGCUCCCCAUUCCUUCUUAAUCCUAACCCUAUAAAUCCCAUUCCCAGAUCCCUCAGAAUGCAAUUCCUUCACAGACCCAACGCUGUCCCACUCGUAUCAAGAGCCAUGGACAUCAUCCAAUCGUCUCCUCCCACGUGGCAAUCCGCAGUCCUCAGUAACCUCUUGAUCUUCGUCGUCGGCACCCCACUUUUAGUGGCGGGGCUUUCUCUCUCCGGAAUUUGUGCUGCGUUCUUGCUUGGCACUCUCACUUGGCGCGCUUUUGGCUCCCCUGGGUUUCUCCUCGUUGCUUCGUACUUCGUUAUUGUGAGUUGCUAAUAAUAUAUUAUGAAUUGUAGCUGAAUUAUGGGAAUUAAGUUAAAUUUUGGAAAUUGGGUUUUGAUUUUGUAUCCAUCUGGUAUUAAAAGUUGCUUGCUUUGGAGAAUUAGCUGUCAUUGUUUGGUAGUAUGGCAAGGAAAAUAAACUUAAUUUAUGUCGAAAGGUUACUUUUUAAUUAGUUAGCUAUUCAAGUUUGAUUAGUUGUAUUUAGAGAAAUUGAUUGUACUAGGUGAAAUGAGAUCAAAAGAUUAACAAAAGUUACUUGAUGGUUUCUAGCUUUUUAGCUGAAAUAAAGUCCUGUAUGAAAUGAUAUAAUAUUUUAGUUUUCUAUUAUGGCUUGUUUUCCUUGCAAAGUAUGAAUCUUGAAUUAGUUCCUGCCUCCCUCUUCUAAUUCUCCUUACCCAUUUCUAGUUGAAAGUUAAUUGAAAUUCCAUGUGAUUUUGUGUUAUAAUUCCAGUUCAUAAUCUGAAUGGAGACAAUAAAUUUGGAUGAAGGAGCUUUAAGCAGUGGGAAAAAUCCAUAAUAAUUUGUAAUUCUCUAAAUCUCUAAACAAUCUUACAUCUCUUUGUCAUGCCUUUCAAACAUAGUUGGUAUAACUAUGUUCAAUUGUCUUAGCUAUUGUUUAAUCAUUUUUAAUUUUUCAUUCCCCCUGCUCCCCCAAAAAAAAAUGUUUGUCUGAGCAAUGAGUCUUUCUCAAAAUCAAUUUCCAAGGCCAUUUUAUUUGAUUAUGACUUUGUGAGUAAAACAUGUUUGUAUUUGUUAGGGAACCGCAGUAACAAAAGUGAAAAUGGCUCAAAAGGAGGCCCAAGGGAUUGCUGAGAAGAGGAAAGGAAGAAGAGGACCUGGGAGUGUAAUUGGGUCCAGUGCUGCUGGUUGUGUAUGUGCUGUUCUAACAAUAUAUGGAGUUGGAGGAGAGGCAUUUACACGUCUUUGGCAACUUGGUUUUAUUGCUAGUUUCUGUACUAAGUUGAGUGAUACAGUGUCCAGUGAGAUUGGGAAAGCAUAUGGCAAAACAACGUAAGUAGUGCAUCUCUGUUUGUUAAUGUAUAGGCGCUUUAGAUUAACUGUAUUAAUAAUUCUCCUUAGUUCAUUCUAAAGAAAGGAUAUUUCAAAUCAAGUGGAAUUUAGAUCCCUUAUGGUUCUUGCUAUAUUCGAGCUCUAUUAUUGUCAUAUAUGCUGGUGAUAAAGGUCGCUUUGACAUCCUAUAUAGAAACAAAAUUUGUGAGUGUUAAUAUUGCCUCAAAUCUUUUUUUUUUUCUUCAAAGGUUUAUGUCAAUUGCUACUCUCUUUUUUUUUUACUGUUAAACUACACUUUAGAAUUGCAAAUAUAAAGUGUGUGAUGUGCCAAAAUGAACAGGUACCUGGUGACAAACUUUCAGAUUGUUCCUAGGGGAACAGAAGGAGCUGUCAGUGUUGAAGGAACUGUUGCUGGACUUCUAGCAUCUAUACUGCUUGCCACUAUUGGUUGUCUAUUGGGUGAGGUAGUACUUGCUAUGUACUCAUACUAUGUGAAUAAUUUGUUCUGCCAUUCAUGAUACCAUUUUUUUUUAAUAACAAGCAUUAUUGUGAUCAUUACAAAAUGUUUACACCUUGUAAGAACCUGGAAUUUUUUCUAGUCUCUGCAACAAUAGACUAAUUGGUGGGGUGGUGCCUAGAUGGAAUGAUUUUGCAGAUAUAAUUUGUUGAAGGUGUUUUUCAAAGGGAACUCUUAGCAAAAUAGCAGAUCAUGAUAUAUUUAUAAAUUGAUUUUGACAUCUCAGUUUAGGCGUGUACGACCUUUGUGAGCAUUAUUUUGCUGGGAACUUAAAUUUCAAUUUAAUAUAGUUCAGGUAUUACAAUUUGGUAAAUUGGAUAAUAUUUUCAAGGGGAAGGAGAAUUAAAUUAGUUGAAACCGAUUUUUAUUGUUAGUGGUUUUUUGUAUGUGAGUGGAUGAGGUUGUCUCUCUAGCCUUGCUGCAUCUUUAGCUAGGAUUUUCUCAAAAAUCUUGUAUAUAUCCCUAAGGUUAUGGUGUUGUUCAUAGUAUUGACGCCAUAACCUCUAUACACUUUCAAACUGAAUAUGAUCAACAGCUUCUAGAGAAUGCAUAAAUGAAAUAUGGGUAUUUGAAUUUAUAGAGAUGUUCUAAGCUUCUGUUUUUUGCUUUUUCAUUUAUCUUUGCAAGCAGAUAAAUGUACCUGAGGUAUUGAUAUGUGUAAUAGCAUCCCAGAUUGCUAAUCUUGGUGAGAGCAUAAUUGGUGCUGCAUUCCAAGGGAAAGAAGGAUUUCGUUGGGUAAGGAAUCAUUUGAAUAAUAGGAUGGUUUCUGUCAUCCUGUUUUCUUAACCAUUUUUUCUUAAAUUUAGUGCCUAUGUAUCUUCUAGAUUUUAGUGUUACCGAUGAAUCAGGCUUGAUUCUAUAUGAAUGUAUGGUUUGAUGUGGUAUAUCGAUGAGAUGAUUACAUGUAUAUCAUUUUGUGGACUCUCAUCAUGUUUGGAUCUGGCUGCACUCCUAAAGCUGUAGUGAGGAAGAAUUAUAUACCCACUGUUUUGGGGUAAAGAAGAUCGAAGAGUAAAUUUAGAGAGAUCAGCCUGUUAUAAAACUGCCUGCUAAGGAUUAAUUCUAGUCUUAAUUUUCAUUCGAUGAAAUCACGGUAUUGUGCAUGUAAAAGGCUGUUAUGUUGGUCUGAUUCUUCUUUUUGCUUUGAAGUAUCCAUGUUCAACAUAUAGUCACACAAGAAAUAUGGAGAUAUGACCUUCAAGAUACAUGAUAAACUUUAGCACAAAUCUCUAUCAGACACUUACCUGAAUUUGAGCGAAAUAUCUGGGUUGGCCAUAUAUAAAUCUGCCUAGGAUCUAUCAUCUUAGCAUGUUUAUAUGCUUUUCAUUAUAAGGCUGAAACUUGGAUUCUUUUACCAUAUUGAUUUUGGUUUUCAUCUUGCAGCUGAACAAUGAUGCUGUUAAUGUCAUCAACAUAUCCAUAGGCUGCAUUUUGGCAGUCUUAAUGCAACAACUACUCCAAAACUGGCAAAUGUAAGUUCACCCCAUCAUCUCUUUUGCGAUGUCAGGUAAUUAUUGCAGAGUUCAUCGACACUGCAAUCGACAUAUUGCAAUGUGGGGAAAGAAAAGAAGAAGAAGAAAGAGAAAGUCUUCAAUGUAAUGCAAGAGAUGAGCACAAAGGUGCAACAAUUAUAGCAAUGAUUUUGCUAACCUUGAAAGAUACUCAAAUGAUAUGGAAAAUCAUUAGCAUAACCAUUUGUUCCAUGAGUAUAUUUUAAAAAGGCUUCUCUCUUUUAUAGUCUUGGUAUUCAAAGAUGUAUUCCUUUUAUCAAUCUCCAGUUAGAAAUGAAUUAGAUGCUUUUUAAAUUGCAUUUCUUAACCAAAAUUAUUGGCUUUUUUUUUAUUGUUGUUGAGCCGCACUGGAUUUAUGGGUGUAAUUGAAGCACAAGCUUGACUUGGAACUUUUAUGUUCAAAGUUCGGCCCGGGCCCAAGCUUGAGUUCAAUUAAGCCAUUUGUGAAUAUAUCAACCAAUUGUUCCUUUGUAAAGACAUGUCUAGUUUGGACUAAACCAUCUUGGAUUUUUUUUACAAGGUGAGAGUCAAUCUCUAUAUGUUUCGUUCUCUCGUAGUAUUCAGGGUUGGUUGCAAUCUGAAUUGCUGCUUGACUAUCAUAGAAUAAUAUGAUUGGUUCUACUCGUUUAAAUCCAAGUUCCUUCAGUAGUCCAGUCAACCAAACUAACUCAGCCAUAGUUCUAUACUUUGCCUUUGCUGAAGAUCGUGAUACUGCAUUUUGUUUUGUUUUGUUUUUUCCAAGAGAUGAGACUUAAAACUUCUGGAGGAUGGUCAGGAUGGGUGUUUGGUUUACAAGGUAAAGAAAACGGUGAAGGUGGAGUUUGUGAGGUUUUCUUUUUACCUUUCCCUUUGGAGGAGGAUGAAGGUUGGAUCAUGAAAUUUUCUGGAAGUUUUUCUGGUGGUCUAGAAAGAAUGUCUGCAAGAACAUUGGUUUUCCCUUUUAUGUGGAGGACAUUCUGUCACUAAUCGCUUUGACAUUGGACUUGAAGCCCAAUUCGAAUCACAAUAUGCUACAAGUUAUGGAGAACCAACUACAGCACAGAAUAAACCUUGUCCUGGAUCCUUUUUAAUGUAUCUGACUAUUCUAAGAGCAGCUUUAUAAUGCGACUUCUUGGGUCGUUGCAUAAACUGACUGGAUGUUGUACCACAAACGUCAUAUCUAGCCUUGUAUGAGUCAAGUACAAAAGCCUUCUAAUAAGCCUUUGAUAUAAUGAAACAUCUGUCAAUACCUCAUCAUCAUGAUUCAUUUGCACCAUCUCAUCUUACUGGAGAUGUCAAGUUUUGAUUUUGUUCUAAAGGAGUGACAACUAUCUUUCCUCCCCCUUACCUCGUGUCUGAAAUUAAUUCAAGAGCAUAUUUGCGUUGAUUCAGUACAAUUUCAAACUGUGAUCUUGUGAUUUCAAUGCCAAGAAAAUACUUUGAGAUCACCUAAAUCUUUCAUUUUGAAAUUUUGAUGCACAGUUCCUUUAAGCUCAUUUAUAAGCUUGGUAUCAUUUCCAGAAAUCAACAAAUCGUUAACAUAUAUCAACAUGACAACCAGCUUAUAACCUUUCUUCUUGAUAAAACGAGAAUAAUCGUACUUACUUUGUGAAUAACCAUUUAGAAGAAUAGCUUUAGUAAGCUUUAGAUUCCACUGUCAGACUUAGCAAUUGACAUACUCUAGUCUCUCUUUGAUUGCGAAAAUCGUCUGGAAGAGUCAUAUAAACCUUCUCAUGUAAAUCUCCUUGCAUUAUAGGCAUCCAUUUGAAACAAGGGCCAACCAAACUAUACAGCAAGAGCAAUGACCGUGCAAAUUGUGACUUGCUUCGCAACAGGGGAAAGUGUCAUGAAAAUAAAAAACCUGCCUGCUGAGUAUAACCCUUCCUAACAAGUCUGGCUUUAAAUCUUUCAACCGAGCCAUCAGAGCUGUACUUGACCUUGUAGACCCAUAUGCAACCAAUGGGCGUUUUACUAGGAGGUAAAGGAACUACCUCCCACGUGACAUUUGAUUCCAAUGCUUGAAUUUCUUGAUCCAUGGCCUUUAUCCAAUGUUUAUCCUUAAUUGCUUCACUUUAGGUUUAAGGUUCAAUAAUAUGGGAAAUGGAGGCAGCAAAAAAUUGUGUAUGCAAAGGUAAAUGAGCAUCAGCUAUACAAUUAGAUAUAGGGUACUAACCUUUAUGGAGUGAAGAAGAUAAAGAAGAGCAAUUUAAAUCUUUCAUCCAUGUAGGAUCCUUAAAAGAACGAGUAGUGCGAUGUAAAGACAGCUGGUAAGGUAGUAGACUACGAAGGUAAUAAGGACUGGUUGGGAAAUGGAGCUGAAGAACGACAAGGAGCUAAGGAUGAACAUUUCAAAUGGGAUUUUUCCAAUUCAAAGCUGAAGUAGGUAAUCUGUUAACAAUAUAACAAGCAGCAAGGAUACACUCGCCCCAAAAUUUGGUAGGUACAUUAGACUGAACUUUGAAAGCACAUGCUAUUUCUAACAAAUGUCGAUGCACACAAGAACUUUGAUGUAUUAUGCCUAAGAAGAAAAAAAAGGAGUAUAUUCAGAGUUAAAGAACUCAGUACUUAUGACUUCCAAAAGUUUUAACAACAGUUGAAAAUUGCGUGUGAACCAAGGCUAUAAACUGUUUCAAAAUGACAAUAGUGUCGGUUUUAAGCUUAAACAGAUGAACCAAAGAAAAAGGAGAAUCCGCUCGAGAAUAACUAAUAGGAAAUGGCAAUCGUGUUUGUUUAGUAAGAGGACGAACAUGGCAUGGACUAAUAUAGUCACUGUUCCAAAAUGAAAGAAACAUGGCCAAGUCCGGCAUGCCAAAGGAAAGACUGAUCAUGAGAUGUCAAAAAGGAAGAAAUGGGAGAAGAUACAAAAGAUGGCAAUUGAGGCUGUUGAUGCACCAGAAUGUAAAGAUCAUUCUGUUCUUUACCAAUCCCCUUCACUUGUCCACUGCAAAGUUGCCGUAAAAGGCAAAAAUCGGGAUAAAAGGAUACAAAACAAUGUAAGUCUCGAGUUAACUUGAAAACGAAAAUUAAAUUGAAAUGAAAGUCUGGGACAUGAAGGGCAUUGGUUAACUUGAUAGAGGAGGACAAGACAUAGGAACCCAUGUGAGUAAUAGGGACGGAUUUACCAGUGGGAAAUUGGACAAAUGAAGAAUGAAAAGUAAAAGGAACAAGAGAAUCCAAAUAUUGGCAAUCAGAUAUCAUGUGGUUGGUGGCCCUCGUCUCCAAAAUCCAUUGGAAAGAUGCAGGCCAAGAAACCAUACCUGCCAUGUGAGCAGCUACUCCAACAGUUGAAGUGAACUCAAGACUGAGUAAAUUCAAGAUCAGUAGAUACUGUGCCUGAAUAAACACAGGUGCAAAUACUAUGGUAGCAUUGUUAGUCAUAGUUGACCUUUGUUUUGUAAAUUUAAAAUCAACAGGAUACCCAAUAAGCUUCUAACAAGUUUCCCGUUUGUGACCUUUAAUCUUUCAAUGGUCACACACAUCUUUCAAUGGUCACAGAAUACAAUGUUGUAGGUUCAGAAGGAAAAGAUAUGCCAGAAGAAUGUUGUCUUUGAGCUUCCUCUUGAACAAGCACGGAAUUAGCUUAAUUAACAGAAGGUAAGGGUUCCAUUAACAAAACCUGACUUCCAACAACAGCAUAAGAAUCAUUCAGGCCCAUCAGAAACUGAAAUAACCACUGUUGUUGAAUAAGUUGUUGAUUCAUGCGGGAAUUUUCACAAGAAAAAGAACCAAAGCAUCGUAAUCCCACAAAAGCUUCAAUCGUGUAAACAAAACUGAAACAGAGUAAGUACCUUGAGCAUGGGAAGCAAUCUCACCAUGAAGAACCAUCGACUUUCUCAUAUCGUUCUUGAAGUUCUUUCCAUGUUGACAAAAAUAAACUGUGCGGUAUAAUUAUAUAAUUAACGUCGCUCAAAAUUAACAUAAAAUUUCAAUAUUUGUAAAUUCGAAUAAAGAAGGUGAAAUUCAAUUAUAUUACUUUAUAUACUCAGUGCUUUCUAUGUAAAUUAUUUUCAUUAUUUUAAAUAUAAAAUGUUUAUAUUAACAUGAUAAAAAAUAAAUUAAAUUAUAAAUUAAAUAAAAAAUAAAAUUCAGUUUUAGUUACAUUCAAAUACUCGAUUUUUGGGGUUUUCUGCGCCCUAAUAGUAGGAAAAGAAAAUUCUCAUCAAACCCUAAAGCCCAUAAAAGAAAAAGUGAGAAGUUUAGUUGAUCUAUCAGAAUCUCAAGCACUCACCCUUAAUUUGCAGUAAGUUGCGAGUCUGCAAUUCUUUAGACCCCUUUUCUCAAUUGAUUUUCUUCUUUAACCAAUCGUUUCUCUCGCGCUCUGUUUCUUUUAGGAUGGCCGAUGAACAUAUUUCCACAGUCCUGGAGCAGCUACGACGAAUCAUGGCCGACGAAAGAUUUCGGAACUCGGAGUUUCAGAUAAACUUGCUUGUAUGGAGACUCGAAGCUUUUCAAUCUAUGAUUCUUUAACAUGGGGACGGGCUAUUUUCGGUUCGGCUAUUGGAGCGUGGGAUUACUGUUCAUGCACUCGAUCAAGUGCUAUAUAACAUAGAAGAUGUAAUUAACGACGUCUUACAUUUAGGAGUAUCUACUGAAUUAGCAGCAGCAGGCCUUGAGAAGUUUGCUUCUACUCAAUCAAAAGCAGCAUCAGCAGAAACAGCCACUCUUUACAUCUUGCGCAAGAGGUUGGAAGAAUUGGAGGAGGUAUUGAUUGGUAAUCCGCAUGAAUCGCAUCCCUUGCACUCUAAACGAUCUUUUUUUGUAAAAUUGUCAAAGUUAUAUGGUCUAGAUGUGGUUAAGAAAGAUAUAAUAAAUGUAAUUUUGGGUGAAAGUUUCAGGGAUAGUAGCGACAGCAUUAAAACCAUCAUUAUUGUUGGCAUGGAAGGAACGGGGAAAACAUAUCUUGCGCGGUGCAUUUGUACUGAUUGUCAAGUUCUGGAAAUUUUUGACAACAUAAUUUGGGUGAAUGUUUCGGAUGAUUUUGAUUUAGGUAAAAUUGCAAGAAAAAUUAUUCUGUCUCUUGAAGGUUUGGAGCAUGACUCUUUGCGUCUCCUAACAUUAGUUCCAUUGCAAAGUCUGUUAGAUAGAAUUCAGCGAAAGAUUGUUAACAAGAAAUCACUUCUUGUUUUAGAUGGUGUGGGGAGAUAUGAUUGUGAUGAUUGGGAAGCACUUAGAGCUGUUUUUCAACAUGGCAUGUCGGGGAGUGGGAUUCUAGUGACUACUCAUGAGCACUCGGUUGCAGGAGCAAUGGAAUCAUCUUAUAAAUUUUGUUUGGGAAAGCUGUCUGAUGAGUUGUGUUGGAUGAUACUUCGUGAAGUUGGAUUGAAUGAUGAUACUCUUGAAUAUGCGGUAGAGGAUAUAGGAAGGGAACUUGCAAGGAGGUGUGAAGGACUACCCUUUGCUGCAAAGGUUUUGGGAGAUGCUAUACGACAUUAUGACUUUGGAAUAAGAGGAUGGGAUGUUUUUCUGAGAAAUUGUAUCUGGAAAUCUCCUAGAAUACCCAAAUAUAUGUCUAAAAUUCUAUCACUAUCUUAUUGCAAUCUACCUUUGUCUGUAAGACGGUGCUUAUCGUAUUGGGCUAUCUUCCCCAAAAGCUUUGAGAUUUCAAAAACUCUUUUGGUGCAACACUGGAUGGCACAAGGUUGUCUGUACUCAUCUGAUAAUUUAGAAAUGGAACUAAAAGGUGAAGAGUACUUUAAAUGCUUAGAAGCUCAUUCAUGUUUCCAAUAUUGUACCAGAGAUGGUGGUAUGCUUACUUGUAAGAUGCAUAGCUUAGUACAUGAUUGUGUCCAAUCUUUGUCCCCAUAUGAUUUAAUGAUGAGGUUCGAGUCUGUUAAACAGCUGACCUUGAAUUUAUCUUCUUGGACGGAGGAGGUCAAAGUUGUUGGCACUCAUCAUUUGGUAAUGAUGAUUGCUCAAGGAGCUGGUUUUCCCAUGGACAUUAGUGGUGCAGAGAAAUUGAGGACCCUUGUUGCUGUUACUCAAGGGUGUUUGAUAACUAGUCAAGCAUUAUCUAACUUAUUUAAACAAUCCAAACAUCUGAGGUUAUUGGAUUUGAGCUUGACUAGUGGGUGGCAUAAUUGUUUUGGGCCAUCCGGACAAGGUAAUAUACUAGAUGAAAUUCCGGUGGAAAUCUGCAGAUUGAUUAAUUUGAGGUACCUUAGCUUGGCUGGCAGCAAAGUAUUGAAGAUAUUACCAGAAACAUUGUGUGACUUGCAUAAUUUGCAAUCCUUGGAUCUUACUGGUUGUAGUAGUCUUAGAAAAUUGCCAGAUGGAAUGGGGAAAUUAAUGAACUUGAGGUAUUUUUAUACCUGGUGUUGCUCUAGUAUAACUUCCUAUCCAAAAGGGAUUAGCUGCUUAACUUCUCUUUGAGAAUUAACCAAUGUCAUUGCUAGAGCUGAUCACAAUGAUGCAAAGGAAUUCACUCUUGGAGAUUUUGAAAAGUUGAACAACCUUUGUGGACAUGUUCGUGUGAAACUGGUAGGGAAUGCGAUGGAUGCAGAUGAGGCUAUUAGAGCUAACCUUUGGAACAAGAAGGAUCUUGACCGUAUCAGAAUAAAUCUGGAUGGGGAUAUAGGGAAAGAAAGCCAAGACGUUAUAAAGAAAGCAUUAAACCCGCCUUCCGACUUGAAUAUAGAGUUCGUAGGUUGGUGGUUCUAGUCCAGAAAUGUAAGGAUGCUGCAAAGCAACAGGUAGUCUCUCUGUCUCAUUUUCUCUUUUGUUGUAGCUUUGAUGGUUCAAAUUCAGUAUUUACUCCUAUGAUUCAUUCAAACCCAAAUUUCAGUUGUGUUAUAGUAGUUCUAGUUUCUGUUGUUAUCAUCUGAUUAGAUGGAAUAUUAUGAAAUCUCUUAUAACAUUACAAUGACAAAGAUAUCGGCUUGUCUAUCACAUGAAAUUUCUCUCUUGCUAAAGCAUGCUCUGAAUGAAUCACUUUAAAACGGCAAGAUAACUUAGAUUAUCCUUAUUUUCUUUUGCUGGACAUACAUAUCCCGUGAGAGACAUUGUCGUUAUCGGUGGUACUGUAGUUAAAGUUGGAGUAUAUUUUUAGUAUUUUAGUUUUUAUAUUAGGAUUUAAUCAGUUAUUAAGAUGGAUUUUUUCUGGAAAAAACAUGGAUACUUUUUUCUAAAAUUUUUUAUUAACUCUUUUGAAAUUUGUUAAAUUUUUAAUUAUUUUUAUUAGUUUUUGAAUUUUUAUGAAUUAUAGGUAGGCUACCACACGAAUUGAUCACGUCAAUAUUGUUAAAAUUUUAAUAAUCUUUUUAAUUCAAAAGAAAGUAAUAUAACUAAAUUGUAAAGGUUAAGUGUAAAAGUCAAAAUGACAAAAUAAGUCAACAUUAAAAGAUUAAAUUUAUCACGAUGCCUUUUUUAUAUACUCAUAAUUAAUUAUAAUAAAAAGUUAACUUUAUUCAGAUAUAUUUGUUAUUUUAAAUAAAUAUUCAGAAUACAACUUGAAAAUAAUCUCAUGUUUAUAAUUAUAACACGAAAACUUUACUUACUAUAUAAUGGAAGAGUAUUUGGUAUAUUAACAGUGUGCCUUUUUUUAUUGCACAAGUAUGUGUAAAAGAUUGAUAUAUGUCUUUAUUUUUUAAUAUUUUAUUAUACUUUCUAAGACACUUGUCAAUCUUUUAACUUUGCUUAUAAAAUUUAAAAAUUCCACUAAUAAUCUCACCUAGCAAAAUGGAUUAAAAACAUUUAAAGUAAUUUAGUUGAAUUAUGAUAAAAGGUCAAUGUAUUCUAAAAUGCUAAAUGGCAUAAAUUUGAGUUUGUCAAAUUCUCUAGCAUUGGGAGGUAAGUCAAAUUGCAAACUAAGUUGAAUAUUUUUUGGCUUUUCAGUAAUCAUAUUCAUGCUAAUAUUUUUAGAUUUAAUUCUCACUUUCAAUAUUAAAAGAGGGUUCAAAUGCAACUUGGAGUCAACAUGAACAUGAUACUUUGAAAACCCUAAAGGGCACUUGCACUCUUGUUUUGGAGGUGAGGUUAAGAAGACCUACAACAAGUUUUAAUAGAAUUUGAUAUAGUUGAAAAAGAUUCAGAGGAAAAUGGUACCAAAAUCUACAGUCGUGGAAUACGAUGACUGUAUUAAAAUAUAUGAAAUUGGUUGAUGGUUUUAUUUAUUGUCUCUUAAUAUUUUAACUAAUCAAUUAAGUAGUAAUGAGAAGGACAUGACACUUAAUCAUUAUAGUUUCUAGUUAAAGUUUAGGAAGAUGCAUUGACAUCAAUUCACUAAUUUUUUAUGAAAAAUGUUUUUAACCGGUUCAUAUCCCCAAUACCAUUGAACGUUGAAUCAAAUGGUUUUGUUGAUUAGAGAAAGACACUAAGAAAUGUAGAGGAACAUGUAUGCGUAAGAGAGAAUUUGAGGCACAUUUAAUAAGUUAACUUUGGAAAUUUUAUAUGUGGAUAAUAGCAACGAAGAAAGAGACUGUUGAGAAUGAUCAAACUUGGAGCAUAUGUUUAGAUCCAUGUGGAGGUACCUAUUAGGUAAGUGAAACAAGCAAUUGAAAUGAUGGAGAGUUUAGUACACCGGUAUCGUACUAUGAUAAUUUAUGGUCAUUUUUAAUUAAUACAAGUCAAAAAUAAUAAUAUUUAAUAAACCUAAAAUUAAUGGGCAAAUAGUGAUGAGUUAUCCUAAAAUAGAAUUGAAGAGGAUAAGGUCCUACAAUUAAUAAUAAGAAAAGUGAAGACUCUUUGAAAAGAUUAAGGAUGUACUUUGAUUAAGAGUGGUUAUAAAAAAAAAAAUUGGGGGGAAGGGAUAGAGUGGAGUAAGGAAAGUGGUGUGAUUGCCCAUUAACAUAAGUAAGAAAUAUGCGAAUGAUUGCCCAUUAACAUAUAGAGUAGGUAAAAUUGACUUGUUUUUCUAGAAAGACAAUAGAUAAGCCUAAAAAGUUAUAAAAAGUAAUUGUUAAAAUAGUUAAAAUGAGAGGAAAAAAUAAGAUAUUUUUGUUUAUGAGAAUUAAGUGUCGUGAGUCGGGACGAAAAGAUUAAUCAUUGUUACGACAGUAAAUACCUUGAUUACAACGAAAAAGAUAAAAUACCAUUUUACUUUAUAGAAAAUUCUCAUGAUUUUAUAAAAUAUACCAUGAAUAUAUUAAAUCAUAUAAAAAGCGUAAUUCUAUAACUCAUACCUAAUUUAAAUACAGGAUGGUAUUUAGAAUGAUUAUAAGAAAAUGCUUGUUCAUGAAUGUUGUGAGUUUUCCGAAUCUUGGGGACAAUGUACCCUCUGGCUCCCGUCAGGAUUCACCUGGUAAUUUAUAAAAAGGAAUAAACAAUCACUUGGUAACUCACAACUCACAAGGCAUAAAAUAUAAUCACGUCAAGCAGCAAAACACAAACCUUUUUUAAUAUUCCAAUCUAAUACAAGUGAUAAUAUCAACUCUUAGAGCCCUAACUCUUAAAGUAUCAGCACAUAAUUUUAACCACUUACUUUUAAUAAAUACCACCAUCACUACCAUUAUCACCAUCGACAGAGCCUCUCAAUUCAUAUGUCCUGCAAAAAAUGGUGUCAACACUAACAAAAAAACCAAAAUUAUAUCAUUAAAAUAUAUUUGUAUUUCUUAAAAGGCAGAUCAUUCAGUUUUUCUGGACAAGUUUCCCUAUGCAAUCUAAUACAAGUGAUAAUAUCAACUCUUAGGGUCUGUUUGAUUGACGGAAUUGAUUUUCCGGAAAAUCAUUUCCAACUUUUCCAGCGUUUGAUUGGCGGAAAACAUUUUCCAUUUGGAAAAUGAACUCCAAAACAAGGGAAAAUGAGUUACAUUUUAGGGAAAAUGUCUUACUCUUUCAAUUUCUAUAAUUUUAGGCUUUUCCCACCUACCUCUAAUUACACAAAAUAUUUUCAGAUUUAAUUUACUAAUUUUGGCUUUUACAAGGUCAAGAUUUGACUAUCCCAUCAAAUGUCCCAAAUUUAUAAUUUGGUCCCUCUUCUCUUUUCCAUGCUUCAAUCUAACCCCUUCUUUGCUUGUUUUUGAUUUAAAGUGCCCGAAUUUUGUUCCUGUCAAUAUUUAAACACAAAACGCACCAAUUACCAGGGAUUAAUUUGAGAAUAAGUCGAGUUGAACACGUAAAUUAUGCAAAAUGAACAAGUUAUCAUUGACCAUUAGUGCUACGUCAGCACAAACAAACGGUGUUAGUGCAGAGAUACCAACCUAGGUGACAGAAUAUAAAUUCAGGUACCAAUUAGAUAAAAAAAAAUCAUACACCAAAUAAAUACUUUUGAAUAAGUUCGAAAAUAGACGACAAAUUAUCCUUUCUUUUCUCUUUUUAUCUACCUGUAAUAUUUGAAUAUGAAAAGAAGUUACACAACUUUUCAAUUUCAAUAGUAGUUAUUUAACUUUGCCUAGUUGAGUUUUACAUAAAAUUUCUUUCUUUCGUUGAACAUGCUCUCAAUGAAUCACUUCAAACCCCCAAGAUCCUAAUAUUUUGCAGAACAUAUCAAUUGAGAGGCUCUAUCGAUGGUGGUGGUGGUGUUAGAAUCCGUUUAUGCUGGUGGUAGCAUUUUGUAUUUUUUUUUAUCGUAUUUAUUAAAAAUAAGUGGUUAAAAUUACGUGUUGAAAAUUUAAGAUUUAGAGCAUAUCGCCACUCGUAUUAAAUUGUAAUAUAAGCAUCGAUUGUAAAAAGAAAAGUUUGUGUUUUGCUUGUACUGUCUCAUAAAAGACAUUAAGUAAUUUCGUUGUCGUGUUUAUAUUUUAUGCCUUAUGAGUUACCAAAUGGUUGUUCAUUCCUUUUUAUAAAUUACUAGCCGAAUCCUCUUCAGUGAAGGAGCUUGAAAAUUUUUUGGGAGGGUCGGAAUUAAAUUGUAUAUUUGUAUGAUGGUAAAAAUAGAAUUUUAUAAUUUUAAUAGCUUAUAUCUUUAUAAUUUUUAAAAGGUUAAAUCAAAAUUGUAUCAUUUUAAGAGGUCAAAGUAUAGUUUUACUAUUACUAAUUUAAAAUUUUAUAAAUUAUAAAGGGCCUAAAUUAAAAUUUACUAUUUUAAGGGGGCUAUGGCGCCUUGGGUCUCCACUACAUUAUGCCACUGAUCCUCAUGGAAGACAGAGGCUACCUUGACCCCCAAGAUUUAGAAAAUUGCCAUUUGACCUUUUUAAUUUUAUAAAAUUUUUAAUUUAGUUUAUUAAAAUUCUGUAAAUUUUCAUUAAACAAUUUUUAAAACUUUUAAUUAGAUCUCUCAAAUUCUUUUUGGAAAUUCUUAUUUUCUCAAUUAAUUUUUUAAUUAAACUAUUCAGAAUUUUUGAUAAUUCUCAUUAAACCUUUUUAAAAUUCUCGAAAUUUUAAUUAAAUUGGUAAAAUUUGAAAAAUUUUAGUGAAGGGAAUCCCUCCCACAUAUUGAUCAAGAAAGCUUUGAAAAAAUAUUAAUUAAUUAUAUGUUUGAGAGAUUAAUAAUGUACUAUUUGGCUCCCAACAAUAAUAAUUCACUCUUAAUUUUGCUUCUUUUCCCUUUUUCUUUUACUUGUUUUUGUGAAAGAUAUCAUAAUAUAUGUUUUAAAUAAUUAAUGUAAUAAUAGAAAUAUUAAAAAAUAUAGUUAAUAGUAACAAUAUUUUAUACAAGCACAAUGACUUAUUCAAUUCUCCAAUUUUACAAAAAGAGACCAAUAAGUGAUUAGAUGUAAUGACAGGUCACAUUGCAUUCCCAAAAGAACUGCCUAAGUUCGAACAUCAUAAGUAAUAUAAAAACUUAAACAAAGUCAUGUAACAACCCAUAUAUCAAGUAUCACCAAAUACCAUUUCAUUCUUAUUCCAUUGUUUAGUUUCUAUUUUCAAUCAACUGAAUAUCGUCCGAUGGAACUAUAGCAAAACGGGCUCAAAUACACGGGAAUAAGUUGGUCACACAAGUUGACAGUAUAUUAGGGCUGCUCAGACAAGUUGACAUUACAACAGAAUUGCUCACAUAAACUGAUAUUAUAUCAAGGUUAUUCAUCUGGGCUAAACCUUCAAUAUGUAUAACCCGAGAAUUUGAGACAAGCCCAAGAACUCAUCCUAUGUAAAAGGGGUGCCAAACCCUAGUGCAUAGUAGGGUAUGUUGCCGCCCCUUAGUGUUUUGAAUAAAGGGGAACUGUAGUAUCAUAUUAAAACAAUACUAUUUAAUUACUCAUUAUUCAAGUAAAACUUUUGUACUAUUUUCCUAAAAUAGGAUCUAUGAAAUGAUUUAAUUACACCUAUCGCUGUUAUUUUAUCAUAAAAUAGUGGUAAUUUGUUUAUAAGAAUAAAUUCUAUAUUCUGAAAAGCUCAAAGUUUUCGAUUUCUAUAUAGAGAAUUAACUUUCUCACUAAAAGUUCAUGAAAGAUUGGUUGAACUGGGCAAAAAAAUUGGUCGAAUUAGAUGCGAUUGAACUGGUUGAACUAAAAUAUUUUAAUAUAUUUUUAUUUUUUAUGAAUUUUUUAUGAUUUAUUUAAUUGAAUUAGACUAAUCAAUCAAACCAAUUGAAUCAAUUGGAUCAACAAACUAGUAACCUUAUUGGUUUGAUCAUCGAUUUAGUUUUUAAAACCUUAGAUUUCGUCAUACCGUUUCAAUUAUUAUACCUUAUAAAUAAAAUAUAAAGUAAACCAGUGGUGAAAUUAGGGGGAUUGGCAAGGGCCCUGGCCCUCCCUAAAAUGAUUUUUUUUUUCAUAUGGACCCUCUAAAAAAAUUAAAAUUUUAAAUUAAUAAAAAUAAAAUUAUACUUUGGCUCCCCUAAAAUAUAAAAAUUUGAUUUAAUCUAUUAAAAAUUAUAAAGAUGUAGUCUAUUAAAAUGGUGAAAUUGUAUUUUUCUAUCGUAAAAAUUACAAUUUAAUUUUAGCCCAUAAUUUUUUUUUUCUAAUUUCGCACCUGAAAUAAGCUAUAUUUGAUUAAAUUUAUUAUUUUACCUUACAUACAAAACACAAAAUAAACAUUUAACUAUACAAAAUUAAUUGAUGAAUUGUUUUACUCAGUUGAAAGUAGAACAAAUAAUUGAUCCAAGAGGAAAGUGAAAUUUAUCCUUUUAUACGUCGAACAUUAGCGAAAAGGACAAAAAAGAAAUUUUGGGUUAUUUGGCUUUUGUUUCCUGCUGCUCUCCUCAAUCCAUUGACGCUGUUUCACCCCCUUUCUCUCGAUUUCUCAAUGUUUCUUUUCCUGUAAUUUGUUGUGAUUUGAAGUAUAAAUCAGGGAGAAGUAAAAGCUAUCAUAAAAAUGGCGGAGGCAAUUCUUACGGUAGUCUUGCGACAGAUAACAACAAUCUUGAGUGACCAAGCGGUAAAAGAGAUGACGAUGUGGGGAGACCGCGAGGCUGCUCUCAAAAAUCUUGAAACAUAUCUGAAAUCCAUCCGAUCCGUUCUCAAAGAUGCAGAGGACCUUCAAAUUACAGACGAUGCAAUCAAACUGUUGCUAGAAGAUCUGAAAAUUGUAAUUUAUGAAAUCGAGGAUGUGUUGAAUUUAUGGAGCUGUAAAGUACGGAAGGCAGAAUCUGUUCGUGCCAAGGUAAAUUGUCUACUUGAAUUCAUUGCAUAUCGUCGUAGUUCUGAUAGAAUAAAGAAGAUUUGUGAAAAACUGAGUCCAUUUGAGCUGAAAAACAAGCUGGAUCUGGGCAAGAGUAAAAUUAUAUCUCCUCUGCGGAACAAAGAAAGUACUAGCUAUUGUGAUCUAUCAAAAAUUAUUGGUCGAAGCGGAAUAAAAACUGAGUUAGUGUUCCGUUUAGUUUNNNNNNNNNNNNNNNNNNNNNNNNNNNNNNNNNNNNNNNNNNNNNNNNNNNNNNNNNNNNNNNNNNNNNNNNNNNNNNNNNNNNNNNNNNNNNNNNNNNNNNNNNNNNNNNNNNNNNNNNNNNNNNNNNNNNNNNNNNNNNNNNNNNNNNNNNNNNNNNNNNNNNNNNNNNNNNNNNNNNNNNNNNNNNNNNNNNNNNNNNNNNNNNNNNNNNNNNNNNNNNNNNNNNNNNNNNNNNNNNNNNNNNNNNNNNNNNNNNNNNNNNNNNNNNNNNNNNNNNNNNNNNNNNNNNNNNNNNNNNNNNNNNNNNNNNNNNNNNNNNNNNNNNNNNNNNNNNNNNNNNNNNNNNNNNNNNNNNNNNNNNNNNNNNNNNNNNNNNNNNNNNNNNNNNNNNNNNNNNNNNNNNNNNNNNNNNNNNNNNNNNNNNNNNNNNNNNNNNNNNNNNNNNNNNNNNNNNNNNNNNNNNNNNNNNNNNNNNNNNNNNNNNNNNNNNNNNNNNNNGCAUCUUUCUAACACCAACAACAUUACUGCCAUCCUAAUAAACCAUAAGUACCAUUUCCACUCCAUCAUCAUCAUCAUCUUUCUGUUUUCACUUCUCUCUCAGCUAUAUGUUACUUUUUGUUAACUUCUAUAUGUAUAUAAUCUAAAGAAGCCUAAGCUUCUUAUUUAUAUACAAGCAGAACAUUUUGCAUCCCACUUAUUCAAUAUAAUAUAAAAAUAAUAUAUAAUUAAUUAAUUCCUCAAAAAUUGGAUCAAUCUAGGCUUCUUAUUUACGUAAAUUCCUUAUUGCAAAAACUCUUGGUAGAAAUUCGUUAGGAAAGGAUGAAUGGACCACAAGAAUGCUUAUCAACUCUUGACUUUGGCGUCCAAUGCUAAAUUUAUUUUAAAAUUUCUUCAUGGAGACAAGAUGGGAUGACAAGAAUGAUAAGUUUUAAGUCAUUUAAGUUUACACAAUUUUAAUCACUCAUAAAAACAAGUAUUGACAUUCUAUUAAAGAAUUUAAACAUGGCUUAACGUUGAUUUUAAAUCUAAUGUUGAUGUUAAUCUUGAAAAAAGAAUGGCCAAAAAAAAUAUGAAAAGUGAGAGGUGGACAUAAAAUAGUGUAGUUGGGGUUAUAAAAUUCUUCAUGUAGACAUAAUAUUUUUUUUAUGCCUUUUUUACACUUAUAUAGAGUUAGUCUUGACUUUGCUUUAUUAAUAGAAAUUUUAGGUCUUCAUUUUUUGUUUUAUUCAUGGACAUAAUAUUUUCUUAUUUUUAUUUUAUGGUCUAUGAUCGAGGUUUAUGACUAUCCCCUUUCAACAACGUCGUCUCAACUGUUCAAACAUACACUUGCAGGUAAAAUAAUACUUUUUAAAAUCACAAAUAUUUAAAAUAAUACAUUGCAGCUAUAUAAAUGCUUUCUUGUUUAAGAUACUAAUAAAGUAAUUAACAAAGUAAUUAUUAUACCUAUAAUAAUUCAAAAUGCCACUUGUUAUCUAAUGAAGUAUAGGGGUGUAAAUGAGACAUCCGUACCCGCAAGCUAUUCGAAUUUGGCUCAAAAAAUUUUGAAAUUGAUUCGGUAAUUAUUGAGCCGAGCUAUAGGUCGAUCCGGAUUCGAGCUUAGUAAUACUUGACUCGAGUAGUUUGAGAGCCUUAUUGAACUUUUUAUAUUUUUAUAUUAUUAGAUUACAUUAUUGCUAUUAAUAUAUAUUAUUAACCCUAAGUUUAAUUAUUGAGGCGAGCUCAAACUCGAGUACAAAAAUUGAUAAACAUAUUUAAUUUCGAGCUUAAAAAUAUAUGUUCGAUCGAGCAUCAAGCUUUGAAUUUCAAAUUAAACUUGAGUUUAACAGUAUUGAGUUCAAAUAGAUUCAAUUACACCCUACAAUAAAAUAUACCAACAAAACCUACAUUCCAUCUUUGCUAUAAAUUUUAUGUAUGUGUGUGUUUAACGUGAGUUCCAUCUAUGUCCAACUUGAUGACGAUGAAAGUUCCUAUGGUGUAAAAAGUUUUAGUUAUGUGGAAAAAUAAGGCCUUCUCUUCACACGUUUAAUAUGCUUACUUGUGUCGGUCAUUUCGAUCUUCACAUCAAUUUUCAAAAAGUUGGAAAACUUAUGUCUGCUUUUAUGAUUCUUUUAUGUGUGUGUUUAACGUGACUUCCUUGUGAGUUCCAUCUAUGUCCAACUUGAUGACAAUGAAAGUUCCUAUGGUGUAAAAAGUUUUAGUUAUGUGGAAAAUUGGUGGAAAACUUACGUCUUUUUCACUUGCUUUUAUGAUUCUUUUUACAUGAUAUUACUAUAUAAUUAAAUUGAAAUACUGAUAAAUUUGAACCCAUAUGAUGUAAGUCUAGGCAUCAUCUAAUUUAUUGAUAUUUAAUUAAUUAAUAUAUAUACUUUCAAUUAUAAGAAUUGAAACAUAACUUUCAAGUCAAUUGGAGUAUGCCCCUGUUACACGUCAAAAGAAGUAGAUUUUGAACUCAACAUGAACCUGUGAGAUUUGAUGCCUAAAAUAUAGGUAUAAGGUUUCAAUUCAUGGAAAUGUUGGAAAUCUUGGAAAUUUCUUAGUCUCCUCUCUUUGGAUGUUUUUGAACAAAAAUGUUUUAAGUCUCUUCCGAUGCUAAACUUCUGAUUGGUCGUCGGUUCACUGACCCUUUGGUACACAGCAAUAUGAAGCAUUGGCCAUUCAAGGCCAUUGCUGGUCCUGGUGAUAAGCCAAUGAUUGUACUACUAUAGAUUUGAAUAUUUGUACACAUUUGAUCGGCUCUUCGUAAAUUUAAAUCUUACAAAUUCGGAUAAUAUUUGAACUUUGAAUGUAUGUUUUGUUGGUGAGAAUAUAAAGUUGAUAAAGAUUUGGUAAAUAGAGUAAAAUAUUAUUUUUAUUAGAAAAAUUAUUUGGUACACUGCCAAUCGAGGUAAUUAAAACAUGUCAUUAUAAAUAAUAAAAUUAUGAUGACUCAAAUAUACGAACACGUCAAAAUUUAUGUACAACGAAUUAUUAACAUGUAAAUGUAUAAUACGGUACGCAAAAAUAAGAUAAUUGCUUGUUUUUUUAAUUGAAUUGUUAUAACAUAUUAUACAAAAUACAUUGUGACUUAAAGCAUAAAAUGAACUUGAUAUCAAAAUAUUAAAUUUUUUUUAAAAUUCAAUGAUACGAAUAAUUAUGUAAAAUAUAACAUGAUGCAAAAUAUCUUGAGAGGAAAAGAGGAAUAAAGAAUUGCAUUAUUUGUGAGGUUUUAAAAUAUUCCAGUUUUAGAUUCAAUUUUCUAGUAUGUUUGGUUUAAUUUUACAUUAGAUUUCCUUUUCAGUAUGCACUAGUGAACGCUUAGCAGUCAGUUUAAUUUAAUUCAAAGAGAUAUUGCAUAUACAUAAUAAUGGAUUAUGAUUUUACAUUAAAUUUCAUAGAAGAAAAAGAAAUAGAUGGUUGAAAAUGAUAAAACCAUAAGAUAAAAGAGCUUUUAUUCAAAAUGCAAAAAUCAACAAAAUAUUCAUUAUCGCUCAACUUAGCAUAAUUAAACAUUUAGGUGUGGAAACAAGUCACAAUUUGAGUAGCUAAACACAUUGCUUGAAAAUGUGAUAAGUAAGAAAAUUGCCCACAUUUGAGUAGCGACAUGUGGUGAAGCAUUUCCCAACGAGAGAAAACUAAGCUCUUCACCAGUAUGGAUUUAUGUAGAGGACAACAAAAAUUGUCAACAACACAACUACAUAAGAAACCAAAAAGCUCACAAAAAAAUCAUAAGUAUCUAUCAAACCAUCUUCUCCUUUAUCUUCUGAUACAAUUGAUAUCGCUGAUGGUGAAUCGGUUUUGGAACAACUUUUAUGCAAUAUAUCUCCACAACGAAAAGGAUUUCCCUCAUAACUGUUUUCAAUAAAGGUCCCAAAUUGAGCUUUUGGUUCGGGAAUACUACCUGACAAAUUGUUAUAUGCCACGCUGAAAACCUCCAAAGAGUUCAACUCUACCAAUUGAUUGGGGAUUUCACCACACUCAAGUUGUUGUAAGAAAGGUCCAAACUCUCAAUGUGCUGAAGUUUUGAGAAUGAUGAGGGUAUAACUCUGGUCAACUUAUUGUGUGACAAGUUUAAAGAAUGGAUUUCACUCAAGUUCCCUAAUUUUGGUGGGAUAUGACCAGUUAAGUUUUUGCAAGAUAAAUCAAUCCCAAUAAUAUAUGAAAGGAUGUUGCCCUUGUACGAAUAGAACCCACUCUUUGUUGUGAACUCUAUUACUUCUUCUAAGUAGCUGUCAGGGUUGUAAGGAUUUAUACCCCUUUCCCAUUUUCUCAUCACAAUGGAUGUUGAUUCAUCCUUUUCUAUAAAUGGAAGAUAGAACCCAGUUGCUAGACUCUCUUUCUCUUUCAGUGGAAGAGAUAAAUUUCCCAAACAAGAAGGUAUAGGACUAGAAAACAUAUUUUGAGAAAGAUCUAUGAUGCUUAAAGAAUGCAACUUGCAUAACUCAAUAGGAACUUUAUCAUGAAAAUGAUUAUCUUUCAGGAGAAGAACACUCAAAGAAGAAAGCGUGUAAAUCCAUUUUGGAAUACUACCUGUCAAAUUGUUUCCUCUAAGAUCUAAAGUCACUAUUGAAGAGUUAUUAUAAAAAAGCAAGUGAUAGUGUGCCUCUCAGUCUAUUCCCGUGGAGGUGGACAUGCUCUAUGUAUGGUGGAUUAAAACAUGACGGUAUAGAGCCAGAUAAAUUAUUUUGAGAAAGAUCCAAAAAUUCCAACCUAUUCAACUUUCAAAAUUCCAUUGGAAUAGAACCUUCAAAACCAUUGUUGGACAAAUUUAAUCUCCACAAAAAUGAUGCAUUCCCUAUCCAUCUUGGGAGCUUUCCAUGCAACUUGUUACUGAGAUCAAUUUCGCUUAGUGAAUUUGGAAACUCAAAAAGAAAUGUUCACACAAAGUUUUUUCCAACAUAUGUCUGUCAUUUGUGGGGUCUUGAAUUUAAUAUCAAUGGUUGAAUUUUCAUAGCUAAUAUGUGCGCAAAAGGCCUAGUGGGUGGAAUUUUAUGUCAGGAAAGCGUUUCUACAAUGACAUAAUUAAUUGCAUUACUUUUCAAAGAUUGACUAUUGACUUUGGUGAGCUUAUUAGGUUAAAUUCUGCUGCUGGUCACUGUUCUUUGUGAAAGUUGUAAAUUUAGUCUAUUUACUUCAAUUUGAUCAAUUUUAAUCCCUAUACAUUUUGAUUUUUAAAAUUUUAGUUGUGACCCAAACAAUAGAGUUAAAUCAAUUUAAUUAAAACCAAUUACUAGUCCUAUAUUAUGUGUACAAUUGUUGAUUUAGUCCAUACUCUCCAAUUGGAUCAUUCUAAGUACCUAUAUUUUUCAAAUUUUAAAAUUUCAGUCUUGAUGCAAAUGACAAUCCUUAGUCCGUUAACUAGAUUUUUAGUAACAUAUGAAAAUAAUAAGAUGAUAUGACAUUACAAAUAUGAUAAUAUUUUUGCGUUAAAUAUGUCAACAAUGACAUAAUUAAUUGCAUUAACUUUCAGACGUUGACCAUUGACUUUUGCUUCAACCUUGAGCUUAUAUAGCCCCUACAAUAAUUUAGGUUAUGGAAAUAAUCUUACAAUUAAUGCCUGAGAAAUUAUUAUAGAUCAAUUUAUAGUUUUAAUCCCUAUAAUUACUCAAUUGAAUUGAAGAUUCAGAUUUUCUUAUUUAAUUUGAUAUAUUUUCUUCUCUUAUUAAUGUUAAUGUUAUGGAUUAGUUUUUUUAAGACAACAUUAUUUUAUUCAAUGAAUAAUAUCAUACAAUUCGAGGAGAAAAUAACAAACACUCGUUGUACUCGUUAAAGGACAAGUUCCAUCAACACAACAAAACCUUUAACUUCAACAUUAAUAGAACAUUAUGGCAUGUUGAAAUCGGCUCUGUCACAACUCAAGCACAACAUAUCAGGAGUGAUUACAAGCACUUAAUAUGGUAAGAAAAUUAACCCCGGAUGGUCCAAAGCGGUGGGCAUAAAUCAGCAAAAGAACUGAGCAUCCACCAAACUAGAGGGGAUGCGGCGACAAAACUAACCCUAAAAUUACUCUCAAAAGCAAGACUAAAAAGCGUACUACAAGAGUAGACAAAAACUUCGAAAAGUAAAGACUUAUUAAACAAUGGAAAAAUAAACAAAAAAAACAUAUAAAACUUAAGAUAACAUGAGUCUAAACCGAGUCAUGAAAUUAUUUAUUAUUUUGAAACUCUCAAAACAUAAACAAAUUAAGAAGUCAACGAAGAGGUACCCACUUUCUAAAAGAAAGUGUUGGUGGUCGGUGGUGUUUCAAUGAUGAUAGGCAUUGUCACCUGUUCAUCACAACUUGUAAAGAUAACAAAAAUACCCACAAAAUAAAUCUGUAAAUUGAAAAGAACGAAGACUCAUGGAGUGAAUGAGAAGAAGAAAAAUAAAAAGGGUUAAUAGAGACAAAGCAGGGCGGUAACUAGUUCAGAGGCUAACACCGCUGCUAGGCUAAAAAAAGAAGAAGAAGCAAACAUGUUAUGGAUUAGUUAAAAUAACUAACAUCAUUGAAAAUUUCAUUACUUGGCUGAUUUGGAUUUUUUUUUUUAAAAAAUUGAAACUAGAAACCAUAAAUGAUCUAACAUUUAGAAACCAUAAAUUGGGUUCAAUUGCUUUGCUGUCCAACUCCAUCCAUCUAAAAUCGCAAGGAUGUACCCAUGUUCAAUAUGCAGUACAGACCCAAAAAUUGACCAUAUAAUGUGGCUCAAGAGAAUUUUCGAAUGGUUUUAAAGAAUUAUGAGAACACAAUGAAUAAAGUUAAGGCAUCAUUUAUUCAGCUUGCUAUAAUGCAGGUCAUUCCAAUAAAGAAGCAUUUUUUAACUAUAUUUUCCGUUACCCCAAUAACAAUGGCACAGAAUGUUCUCCGAUGAACAUAGAACUCACCAUUUUUAGGAACACGUGUAGUUGAGGAUGAGAAUUCGGAUCAACUGUAACUUCAAAUGGUGGAAUGAAAACAUUGUCCAGAAUAUUCUGAAAAGAUUUUUCAAUUCCCAUUUGCUUGUACACAUUAUACAAUCGUGGUGACUGCAGAAUUAAGUCAAAAUCAAGUGAAGAAGGUUACCUUUGACUUGAGAAAUAUAUCACAGAGAGAGAGAAAGAGAAAACAGUAAUCUGGAAAGAUGAUGCUUAAUAUGGACAUGAUACCCUAGAAACCGAUCGAUCUUAAAUUUUAAUUUCUAAAAUAUUAUUAGCUUGUGCAUACUUUCAAAUACUUUUCAUUAGAGUUACCAUAAGACUAAUUUUUCCAAUUUUAGAUGAUUCAAGAAACUAUUUGGGGGCAAUUCUUAAAUAAACAUGUCCAAACAGUAGUCAUUAACAAGAAAGCAUCCAAGAAAACCAGCAGUUAAUACUUAAAUUAACAUUAUCAAAUGGAGAUGUAAAGAAGAAAGAAUCCUACUGCAAAGCUAGAUAGCAGGAGAAUCACUAGAAUGAAGAGAAAUACUAUUGGCACUAUACCUGGAUUAACCAAACAGUAGUCUCACUAUAAAUUUCAUUGUUAAUAAACCAACUUGCCAAACUGGUCCCAUUCACUUUGUUUCCUUCCAUAUAUGGACACCCUGUACUCUGCCAUCUAGAAAAUAUAUAUAUUAUUCAGUGUAGUCAGAGGCGCAAGGAGCACUCUAGGUGCUAGAAUCCUUUUAUUGUACAAGGCACAUGGCGCACAAAAAAAAAAAAAAACUUGCUUAUGUUAAGGCACAUGUAUGCGUGUUUUGGUAUGUCCAUGUCUGUAUAUAUAUAAGCCGAAGAUAUAUAAUUAUAAUAAUAAACUAUAAAAGUGCUCCAGUCUGAAGUACAGAACAUGCCAAAUUUUCUUUCUUUUGUCAACCAUAUGCAUAUUUCCAUAUGAUGCCAUGCCUGGUGUUGAAUACUCAAAUAUUGAGAAGUUGAGAGUUCGAUAUUAUCCCUUUGUUACAAUUAAGAAACAAUUAAAGAGAUAGUAAAGAGAACUUCAAUUAGAAGGCCUUUUCCCCCUACAUGCACCAGGCAGGCGCUUAGCCUGAAAAGGUCAAAGGCCCUUUUACUGUCUGGUGAUAAGGCAAAAAACAUUGGACAAAGUUGGUGGGAGGAUAGAAUACUAAAAGAGCCCAAUGUUGUCACUUUUCUAAAGUAAGCUCAUAUGCCUUUUUUGUACCCAAACAAUAUCUUACCCUUUAAUUUGUACCUAAAGAAAUUAUUUCUAAUAGAAAGUUUACUUUUGUUAUGAUCAAUGCUGGAGGCCAAAACUGAUUUGGGCUAAGGAAUUGGUGGUGAGAGUUGGAAGGCAAGAAGAAAGAAAGUUCUUUUGAGUGUUAUAUUUUUCAAAAAAUACAAAUUGUUCAUUUUUUUUACCACAUCAUCAUGCCAGGUCAGCUUCCAUGUGGAUAAAGAAAAUUUUGGCGGCAUUGAAACAGAGGCUUCAUGGGCUUUUAGUAAUUUAGCCCUUGGAAGGAAUAUGACCAUCCAAAAAAAGGCAGUUGAUGCUUUAAGGUCAAUUAGCCGAAACAAUAACAACAAUUCCUAGGCUUCAAUAAAAUAAUUUAGACAACAAAUAAAGCUUGAAGGUUGAGUUUUGCACUGCAGCAGCAUUGGGCUUUACAAGGUGAAAACCCACAUUGCACAAAAAUAUCAAAGUUUCAGAUCUAUCAUAAUUUAAAAUUCUAACUAAACUAAACGCCAAGAAUGCUGAAUGCCUAAUCAAAAAACAUAAGAUUAACCCAAGGACCUAAUUGGGUAUGCUAAAAUUUGUCUUGGAAUGAAAUUAAUAAUAUCCUUACUAUUUCACUUUUUUUUUCUUCAUAUGUUUGGUGUGAGCAUGAUACAGAUUAGACUGAUUUUAAAGUAAAAGUAAAACGAUACCAAACCUAAACAUUUUGGUUUUUUUUUAAUUUUUUAUCAGAGCCCUGUUUGAUGCAUUUUUAGUUUUGUUUUCUAAUAACAAAUGGAAAGUUAAUUAAAAAAAAACCCUAAUCCAAUGAGUUCUUUUAUAGAUAUAAGAUAAGUCCUGCAAAGUUUUUGUUUUUUAGAAAUAAAAUUUUAUUUUUGUUUUUUAAUUCUUCAUACCUAUUUUAAUAUCUAAGUUCCGGAUUCCUAACUGCCCUUUCAAUUAUAUAGUAUUCAAGAUUUGAACUUAUAUUUUUCUAUAAAAAUAUAAUGUAUUUUAUUAUUGUAUCCUACAUUCAUUAAUACUUAGUAGAAAUAACCUAAUAAAAUGAUUUUUUUCAUAUAUUAAUAGAGAUAAGAUUCGUGCAAAAUUGUUGGUUGAAAAUUCAUUAGGAAAGGAUGAUUGUACGAAUGUACCAUCAUUAUAAGUGAGCUCAACGAUAAGCCUCCUAUCAAUCACCAGUGUGCAGAAAACAUUUGAAAUCGAAACACCCGUUCAUACAUCAUACAUCAUCAUAAGUGAGCUCAACGAUAAGCCUCCAAUCAAUCACCAGUCUACAGAAAACAUUUGAAAUCGAAACACCCCGGACAUCUCCAACAAAUCUGCCAUAACGUUAGCAUCUCUUCCAUUUUUUCUAAACAAAACCUCACUAAGCUCAUCAAAUGUGCCAAUAUUUCCAAGGCCUAGAUUUCUCAUUGAUACACCAAGAAAGCUCGACUAUGGAGUCGGAUUCAACCAUAAGCUUUCAGUCUAUAAUCCACUAGGAAUCCAAAAAGAAACACUCUCGAACACCUAAAGAACCUGAAACAUAGCAAUGACAUGACCCUUUGAAUUUCUAAGAACCUCACCUCACCACGUCGAGCUAAGAUUACCUAAUGUCGAACCUUCACGGUUAAACUUUUACCAGCCUUCACCUUACUCUUGAUAUGAUGAUUAUGGAUACUCCCUUCACAAUCCCACAAACACUCCCACCAAAUUGACUCAACAAAAUUUGCACCUAUAGGUUUUCUGUUUAUAUUUGAUUUUGUUCACACAUUGCCUAAAACUACUCAUGAUCCCUCUCCAACCUAUAAAUACGAGGAUAAUGCGCUUCAACGCGCUCAAACCCACGUCCUCCUACAUUAGCAACAAUACUCAUGUCAAUCGAGUUAAAACACAAUCAAUAGAUUUUUUUUAAAAAAAAUCUUUAAAUGUUAUAUUAUUAUAUAAGAAUUUGAAACAUGACUUCCGUAGGUUUUAAAUCUAAUGUUGACACUAAUCUUGAAUAAGUCAUUCCACUCCCAUCUUAACUAAUGGCCAAAGAGAUAUCAAAAGUGGGAGAUGGCCAUAAAAUUGUGUAGUUUGGGUUAUAAAAUUUUUGGGCAAACUACAUAUAUUAUCAUUUAAUUAUAUAUUUUUUUCAAUUUAAACACUUAAAGUAAAAAAUUUAUAAUUUAAGCACCCACAUUAUAUAGUUUAGUUAUUUUGAUCACUCCAGUUAAAAUAAAAAAUGGCAAACUGAAGCGACAAUUAAAAAAAUGUAUAAUAACAAAUUUAACCCUCAAAUUUUAUAUAUUAUAUCAAUUACAUAUUACAACUAAUUUUAUAAUUAUUGAUAUUGAAUAUGUCCCUCACUACGUUAGGGAUUUUUUUUAUAAUUUGUAUUUAAUUAAUAUUUAAAAUUAAUUUCAAAAUAUGUGAAAAUUUUAUAAUUAUUUGGUGUUAGUCCCUUUAUUAUACCCAAAUUUAGGAUUAAGCCCCUAUAUUUUAAUUUUGACAUAAUUUGUUUCUUUCACUUUUAUAAUCUCAUUAAUUAUUUCAAGUAACUAACACUUUUAACAAUAUUGCCAAAUAAAAUAAUGUCAUAUUUUUUUUUCUUAAAGCCAUCACUUCUAACUAAAUCAUGACUUAAUCACUUUCUAAUUAAUCAUACUAACUUAGAUUUUUCUUUUGUUGGAAUCAGUACGUUUAAGGAAAACCCACCUUAACAUUUGUAGAUGUCUUCAACAAUUUCCUAAGCACGAUACAAUAAAGCUUGGUGUGUAUAAUUUUGUUUUAUGGAAGCUCCAAAUUAUGUUGAUUCUUGAAUGAUACGGUCUGCAUGGGUUUGUUUUGGGUGCUAUUAGUGUACUAGCACAGUUUGUAGAGGAUAAAUAUGGGAGAUUAGUAGAAAAUUCUGAUUAUGUUUUACAUGUGCAACAAGAUAAGCUAUUGGCUUCUUGGUUACUUUCAACUGUUAGUGAUGAAAUCCUAGCCUAUCUUACUAGUGCUCGUACUAGUUAUUAUAUGUGGGAAACUAUUGAAAAGAAGGGUUGCGACUAAGUCCACGGUAAAAUUGUCCAGUCAUGUGUUGUAUUCACAGAAAAAGGGUCAUUUGUUUGUUAAAGAAUAUUUGUCUAAGAUCAAGUCCAUGUGUGAUAUGUUGGUUGCAACGGGUUGUUUGAUUUCAAAUCAAGAAAUGGUUAGCAUCAUUCUUGCAAGGUUGCCAGUUGAGUGUGAAUCAGUACGGGUAGUAGCUUCAGCUACUGGUGUGUCACUUGAUCUGUUGAUUGAGAUGCUGCUUGAUUGUGAAGCUCGAAAAUUGAGUUCUUGAAUAGUGUUCUCGUACAACCUAACAUAGCUAGUAAACAAGAUUGUGAUGAGGGUGAUCGGACCAAGGGUUCUGAUUAUAACAGUGGCUAUCAAGGGAACAAACAGACAUAUAUAGGUGGUUUUCAAUGCAAUAGAGGUUCCAUCGAGGUUGAGGCCGUGAGGGUUGUUUUUCUAACAAUCGGCCCCAAUGCCAGUUGUGUGGUAAAAUUGGACACAUUGUCCAAAAGUGUUAUUACCGUUUUGAUGAAAAGUUUUGCAGGUAUUGCUAGGAUGGUAAUAUGGUAUAGUGGGCUGCAUCUUGAUUGUUUGUUUCUCAUGCUGAGGCUAUAAUUUUAAUCAUACCUAUUAUUGUUUCUUGUGUCCUGCAAUUUCAUCAUUUGCAGGCUGUUUCACUAAUUGCAUCCUAUUUACAAGUUCCCUUGUGUUAUCCUCUGCGCUUGGGUGGUUCUCGCUCAUAUAUUAAUGACCAUGCGUCUUCAAUAGACCAUGCAUCUUCUGAUUUGUCAUUGGAUACAACACUUUCAGCAAAUGUAAAGCCGGUAGAAUUUCCGCUGUUUUUAGAAGGUCAAGACACGACAAGAGCAGCAUAUGCUGUGUUCUUGUUAAACAAGGUAAGCUUUUGCAUAUUAGUAAUUUUUUUUUCCAAGAUGAAUUAUUCUCCUUUGGCAUUUUAUAUUAUAUAAUUAGUCACUACAAAACAUAAAUAAAUAAUAAUACUCCAUUUUUACAAUAAAAAUUCACUAAAGAAAAUACAUUUGAAGUCUAUCAUUGCUUUUUCGAAUAAGAGUCGGUCAAGAAAGUUAUGCGCAAAUACUUAUAUCUUUAUUUCAGAUGCUUUCAAUUCUAUUGUCACUUAAAUCCAAGUACUUUAAAUUUGUCAAAUUAUUCAAUUUUGAAAUUCAAUCCCAAAUAUUGAUCAAUUAUAUAUAUUCAUGAUAUGAUAAAAGCAAAGACAUCUUUCAACAUUAACUUUCCCUUAAACAAAAAUUGGUUUUAAAGUAAAAAAGAAACAUAUAAAACCAGUCUAGCUUGAAUAUGAAUCAAUAUAUAAACACUAUACUUAUACCUUGGUUUGAGAUGCUUUCAAUAUUGUUGUCGCUUAAAUACAAGUAUUUCAAGUUUGUCAAAUUAUUCAAUCCCAAAUAUUGGUUAGUUAUAUAUGAUAUGAUAAAAUCAAACUUGAACAUACAUUGAUUUUUAAAGUUGAAAAUUACUUGUUAAUUUUUUUUCUUUCUUACCUAUAUGAAAAUUUUACUAAAGUAAAAGUUGAAUUACAACGGAUAAAAAGAAUGGAAAACUAGGUACCAAGCCUAGAAGACCAUCCUCAAACUCCACUAUACAAAUAAAAACUACUCAAACUCCACUAUACAAAUAAAAACUAACACCGGACCAAACUUAAUUUACCUCUUAGAUGACUUGAUCCUUCAAACUGGUUGUAUGAUAGAUCUAAAUACCGGAGAGAUGAAAGCUCACUCAAAGAUAACAAAAUGCUAUCAUUCAAGUAAUUGUAACUUAAGUCAAGGAUCUCCAAAUUACUCAAUGUGAAUGAUAGCUUUCCAAAGCCUGUAGAAGUGUUCUUUUAAACAUAUACAAGCAGUUAGUGACUUUUCUUCCAUAAAAUAAAAUAUAAGUAAUUGUAAAUUAACAAUGGUGAGAAUAGUGGAAUAGUAAAAGAUAUAAUUAAGGAAAAAAAAUAAAGGCACGACCUUCAUUUUCAAGGUUACCACCUAUGGCAUUUCCCGACAAAUAAAGUCUCUUCAAUUCCUCAAAAGGAAGAAACAUAGAGGCAUUGAGAUACCAGACAAUGAGAUUCCUAUUAUCCAUGCCGUAUUCCCAAUUGUCUUCCCAUUUUGUAGAAAUAAGGGAGAGUUGUAUGAGUCUCCUAGUGGUGGUGUUACACUCAAAUCCUUCCCAUUUACAACAAUCUGAACCCUUCACCUCAACCCAACUUUGCAAUGGAUUACGAUAAACGAAGAAAGGCUUGAGAUGCAAGAGAGCGAUUCUCUCAUGCUCCAAACAAGCAUCAGUAGUACACCAUCUGCAUCCUUCUAACACCAACAACAUUAUUGCCAUCCUAAUAAACUAUAACCAUUUCCACUCCAUCAUCAUCAUCUCUCUGUUUUGUAUACAUAUGGACUACAAUUCAAGUUUCAUGCUUAUAAUUAUACCAAAUCAAAGUUCAUGUAUCAAAUUGCACAUUAAAUCAAAAUUUAUGUAUACAUUUGAUAUUUAUCUCAUUUAUGGGAGAUUAACUUUCUAAUGGUAUUGUUUUGUUUACAUUAAUCCAAAUAAUAGGAAAUGAUGAAUUAGUUUAACGCAAAUUGUAAUUCUAUUAAUGUUUCUUCUCAAACUUUUGGUUGCUCUUAUUUACAUGUUUUAUUAAUUGAUAGAUUUAAAUUCUUGGAAUAUAUUCGGUUAGAAUGAAGUGCCCCGAAUCCUUAUUUAAAUAAAAUACAGUGUUAAAAUAAAAGAAAAGUAAAAUCCCUACAGAAUUAUACUUCUUUUAUUUUAUUUUAGAAUAAGGCUUUUUAAAUCUUAUUAAACUCCAUCUAUUUGAUAUUGAUUAGAAUAAAGAGUUUCACUCCUAUUAGAAUAAAGUUUUACAAGCCUAUAAAUAGACAUAGUCUACUCCUCUUGUAAUUAAUUCAAAUUCGACAUAGUGAAUUUUCUUCUCCUCUGCCCGUGGUUUUUUCCCGAAAGGGUUUCCACGUAAAAUUUGUGUGUUCUUUAUUUUUCUAUUUCUAUUUUCUUUGUGAUAUAUUAUCAUUACCGACAUUUAUUUUCACAAAUUGGUAUCCGAGCUUCUGGGUUGUUCAUCGCAAUCACUGUAAUGACGUCUUUGAAGUAUGAAAUUCUACUGUUGGAUCGCAACACCAGAUUCGCAUUUUGGCAGAUAAAGAUGCAGGCAGUUCUUGCACAGAUGGACUUAGAGAAAGCCCUGCUAAGGUUAGAUAAGAUGCCUUCAACAUUGAUGGAGGAAGAGAAGAAGCACAAGGAUUGAAAGGCGUUAACACAAUUACAUCUGCAUUUGUCUAACGAAAUUUUGCAGGAUGUGAUAAAGGAGAAUACCGCCGCUAGAUUAUGGAAGACGUUGGAACAACUAUGUAUGUCGAAAACUCUAACUAGUAAGCUGCAUAUGAAGCAGCGUCUUUAUGCUCAUUGUUUGGAGGAAGGUGCGUCUAUGCAUGAACACUUGACAGUGUUUAAAGAAAUUCUCUCAAAUUUGGAGGCCAUGGAGGUUCAGUAUGAUAAGGAAGAUUUAGGGUUGAUUCUACUUUGUUCGUUGCCCCCGUCUUAUUUAACCUUUAGAGAUACAAUUUUAUAUAAUCGCGAGUCUUUCACAGUUGAUGAGAUUUAUAAUUCUUUAACCUCGUAUGAUAAGAUGAUGCAUCUUAUGGUUAAAACUGACUCUCAAUGAGAGGGUCUCAUUAUUCGUGAGAGAUAAGAUCAGAAUAUUGAUGAUGAUCAUGGAAGGACACAAGAACGGAAUCCUCGUGGUAAAUCUAAAGGUAGAUCGAAGUUUUCAAACAGAGGUAAAACUUGUAACUUCUGCAAGAAGAAAGGGCACAUUAAAUCUAAGUGCUAUAAGCUACAGAAUAAGAUCAAAAGGGAGACUGUGAAUCAAAAUGGAAAACAACCAGAAAAUUUUGGUAAGGCUAAUGUUGUAGAAUACUACAGUGAUUGUGAACUUCUAGUCGCUUCUGUCAAUAAUUUUAAAGUGAGCGAGGAGUGGAUCCUUGAUUCGGGUUGCACCUUCCACAUGAGUCCCAAUAGUUAUUGGUUUACAACUUACGAAAUAGUGUCUGAAGGUGUUGUUUUAAUGGGAAAUAAUACUUCAUGUAGAAUUGCAGGUGUUGGAACAAUUAAAGUUAAGAUGCUUGAUGGAGUUGUCAGAACACUUAGUGACAUAUGACAUGUUCCAAAAUUGAAGAGAAAUUUAAUUUCAUUGAGUACUCUUGAUUCAAAAGGGUACAAAUACACAGCUAAAAGUGGUGUUUUGAAUAUUUCUAAAGGUUCCCUCAUUGUGAUGAAAGGAUAGAGAAAGACUACCAAGUUUUAUGUUUUGCAAGGUUCUAUUGUUACUGGUGAUGCAGCUGUCGUAUCCUCUUCCUUGUCAGAUGAUGAUAUUACUAAACUUUGGCAUAUGCGCCUAGGGCAUAUGAGUGAGAAUGGCAUGGCAGAAUUGAGCAAAAGUGGACUUCUUGAUAGGCAAUGAAUUUGCAAACUGAAGUUCUGUGAGCACUACAUUUUUGGGAAGCAAAAGAGAGUUUGAUUCACCAGAGGAAUCCAUAACACAAAGGGAACGUUUGAGUAUAUUCAUUCUGAUCUGUGGGGGCCAUCCAGAGUACUUUCGAGAGGUGGAGCUAAUUAUAUGCUAACUUUUAUUUAUGAUUUUUCCAAAAAAGUGUGGGCGUUCUUCCUGAAGCAGAAAAACGAUGUGUUUUUUGUAUUUAAGUCUUGAAAAACCAUGAUUGAAAAACAAACGGGAAAGUAAAUAAAACACCUCCGCACAGACAAUGGCUCAGAGUUCUGUUUUGAUAAGUUUAAUAAAUUGUGCAAGUCAGAAGGGUUCAUGAAACACUUGAUAGUUCAUCAUACUCCACAGGAAAACGGCGUUACAGAAUAAAUGAACAGAACGAUCAUGGAGAAGGUUCGAUGUAUGUUGUCAAAUACCAACUUACCAAAGUCAUUUUGGGCUGAAGCAGCCUCUACUGCAUGAUUUUUAAUCAACCGAUCUCUAUCCAUUGCCAUUGAGAAAAAGACUCCACAAGAGGUAUGGUCUUGUAAUCCUGCUGACUAUUCUGAUUUAAAGAUUUUUGGUUGUCAUGUGUGUGUGCAUGUUGAUAAUGGAAAAUUGGAAUUGAGAUCCAUUAAAUGUGUUUUUCUUGGUUAUAAAGCUGAUGUAAAAGGGUAUAAGUUAUGAUAUCCUAAAAAUAGAAAAGUUGUGAUUAGCAGAUAUGUUAUUUUUUAUGAAACUGCUAUGCUACCUAACUUAUCUCUUAAAGAAUCUCUCAAUAAAGAAAAUCAAAAGUAGGUGGAGCAUCAGAUUAAUACAGAAUCUACAACAGAGUCGACUACUGAAGCCAGUACAAAAAUUCAAAAUAGAGUUGCUCCUUCACCAUAAUACUCUAUCGCCAAAAAUAGAACUAGAAGAGAAAUUAGACCUCCAAAGAAGUAUGUCAAGUCUGAUCUAGUUGCUUAUGCUUUAAAUGUGGCUAAAGAUAUAGAUGUAAAAUAAGAGCCAUCUAAUUAUUCUGAGGCGAUUAGUUGUGAAGACUCAGAAAAGUGGAUGUUUGCUAUGCAAAAGGAGAUGGAAUCACUCCACAAAAAUAAAAUAUGGGAUCUUGUGAAACUUCCUAAAUGUAAAAAGAUUAUUCGUUGUAAAUGGGUGUUUAAAAAGAAAGAAUGGACUCCAAGAGUUGAAGAACCCAGAUAUAAAGCAAAGUUUGUUGCAAAUGGUUACAGUCAAAUUCCAGGAGUGGACUUCACAGAUGUGUUCUCUCCAGUUGUGAAGCAUAGUUUGAUUCAAGCUUUACUUGGUAUUGUGGCCAUACAUGAUUUGGAGCUUGAACAGUUAGAUGUAAAAAAUGCUUUUUUGCAUAGAGAAGUUAAGGAGGAUAUUUACAUGCAACAACCAGAGGGUUUUACAGUCUCAGAAAAAAGGACUAUGUUUGCUUGCUGAAAAAGUCUCUUUACAGUUUGAAACAGUCACCAAGACAGUGGUACAAGAGGUUUGAUUCAUUUAUGACUUCUCAUGAUUUUAAAAGAAGUAGCUUUGACAGUUGUGCUUACUUUAAGAAAAACAAUGAUGGUUCUUUUGUGUAUCCACUCUUUUAUGGUGAUGAAAUGUUGAUAGCAGUGAAAGAUAAAUGAGGGAUAAGAAAGGUCAAAGCCCAACUAAGUGAAGAAUUUGAGAUGAAAGAUUUGGGACCAGCAAAGAAGAUACUUGGUAUGGAGAUUCUCAAAGAUAGAAAAGUAAGUAAAUUGUACCUAAGUCAAAAGGGGUACAUUGAGAAAGUUCUUUGCAGAUUCAAUAUGCAGAAUGCUAAGCCUGUUAGUACUCCUUUAGCAGCCCAUUUUAGACUUUUAUCGGCUUUGUCUCCACAAUCAGAUGAUGAGAUUAAGUACAUGUCACAUGUUCCAUACUCUAGUACAGUGGGAUCUCUCAUGUAUACUAUGGUUUGUUCACGUCCAGAUUUAUCAUAUGUAGUUAGUGAAGUUAGCAGAUACUUGGUGAAUCCCGAUAAAGAACAUUGGAAAGUAGUUCAGUGGAUUUUAAGAUACUUACGAGGUACUACUGAUGUUUCCUUACAGUUUGGAAGAACUAGAGAUGAAGUCAUUGGGUAUGUUGAUGCUAAUUUUGCUGGAGACUUUGAUAGAAGAAGAUCUCUCACAGGUUAUGUCUUUAUAAUCGGAGGUUGUGCAAUCAGUUGGAAAGCCACUUUGCAAACUACAGUUGCUUUGUCCACCACUGAAGAUGAGUACAUGGCGAUUACUGAGGCUUGUAAAGAAGCUAUUUGGUUGAAGGGACUCUUUAGUGAACUCAAUAAAGGCUUUCAAAUCAAUACAGUAUUUUGCGACAGUCAGAGUGCUAUCUUCUUUACAAAAGAUCAAAUGUUUCAUGAGAGAACAAAACACAUUGAUAUUCGGUAUCAUUUUGUUCGUGAUAUUAUUGCUUGUGGUGAUAUUGUUAUGAGCAAAAUUAGUACUCAUGAAAAUCCUGCAGAUAUGAUGACUAAGUCACUUCCUAUAACCAAGUUUGAGCAUUGCUUAGACUUGGUUAGUGUUCAUUGUUGAAGUUAAACCCUUAAGGGGUUUUAUGGAAUAGGUGGAAAACUUGAUCGUUGAGAGUUCGCGAUGAAGAACUUGUUCAUUAAGAAUUCGUGUCAAUGUGGAGAUUGUUAGAAUUAAGUGACCCGAAUCCUUAUUUAAAUAAAAUACAGUGGUAAAAUAAAAUAAAAGUAAAAUCCCUAUAGAAUUAUACUUCUUUUAUUUUAUUUUAGAAUAAUAUUUUUUAAAUCUUAUUAAACUCCAUCUAUUUGAUAUUGAUUAGAAUAAAGAGUUUCACUCCUAUUAGAAUAAGGUUUUACAAGCCUAUAAAUAGACAUAGUCUACUCCUCUUGUAAUUAAUUCGAAUUCGACAUGGUGAAUUAUCUUCUUCUCUGCCCGUGGUUUUUUCCCGAAAGGGUUUCCACGUAAAAUCUGUGUGUUCUUUAUUUUUUCUAUUUUUAUUUUCUUUACGAUAUAUUGCUAUUAUCGACAUUUAUUUUCACAUAUUCUAAUUAAUUAGAUAUUUCCUUCCUUCCAAAAGCCUUUCAAAAUAGGUUUAGUUUGACCAAGAUACUCUUGUAGAAAAUUUUAGUUUUGUGGGAAAACGAAAAACUAGAUUUAUUUUUUAUUCUAAUUGGUUUCAUAUGCAAGGUAUAUAAACUUUUGUGUCGCUGCAAUUUUUUUCCAACAUAUGUAUGUGAUUUGUGGGGUUUCAAUUUUGAAUUUUUUUUAUAAUUUAAUUAAAUUGUGAAAGUAUUUGAAAGUUUUUAAGUUGAUACAAUGUUUAGAACUACCCCAACACCCACCCAACCCUUAAAUAGGAGGAUAAACAUGCUUCAGCACGCUCAAACUCACAUUCUCCUACAUCUAUGAUAAUACUAAUGCCAACCGAGUUAAGACUCAACUAGCCUUGAAUUUUGAAUUUUACUUCUGAUAUAUUUUGAAUUUUGAAAUUUUAAUUUUGACCCAAACAGUAGCAGUUAAUUUAAUUUGAUUAAAUUUAAUUACUAGACCUAUAUUAUGCGUACGAUUAUUGAUUAGUCUAUACUCUCAAAUUGGGCAAUUCUAAGUACCUAUACUUUCUGAAUUUUGAAAUUUCAGUCUUGAUGCAAAUGACAAUUGUUAAUCUAUUAAUUAGAUUUUUAGCGAGUAAUAUGUAAAAAUAACAAACUGGCAUAACAUUACACAUAUGAUAAUAUGUUUAUUGCACCGCAUUUGAAAAUAGCCGAAUUUAACAAAUAUCGUUAGUGAGGAUUGGAAAUUAGAGUCUAGGGAUUAAAUCCACAAGUUCAGUAAAUUACAAGAACUAAUGGUAGAAUUUAACCUUUAUAUAACCUUUAAAUUCUAACCGUGGUUUGCACACUACUCAGCCGACCAUUGGCUGUGGUGGGAACACAAACUGUUUGAAUUUGACAUCAGUGAUUGAAUUUUCAUAGCUAAUAUGUACGUUCCUUCAAUUUCUCCAUAGGAGGGAGUGGAAUACAUUAUAUAAGGUAAUAUUUGAUAUAUUCGGUAAAUGAAUAAUUGCAAGAUAUCUCAUUAUCUAGUAAAAUAAAUAAUGAAAAUUUUAUAAAUAAAUAUUAAUAAAAUAUUAUUACAUAUAUCAACAAUGACAUAGUAAGUUGCAUUAACUUUUAGAUGUUGACUAUUGACUUUUGCAUCAACCUUGAACUUACAUAGGCCCCUACAAUAAUUUAGGUUAUGGAAAUAAUCUUGCAAAUAAUGCUUGAGACAUCAUUAUACAUCAAUUUAUAGUUUUAAUUCUUGUACUUACUCAAUUGGAAUAAAGAUUUAGUUUUUUAUUUUCUUUUGAUACAAUGUCUAGAAUUAUCCAUAGCCCUUUUCCAACCCUUAAAUAAAUGAAUAAUGUGCUUCAGCGUACUCGAACUCACAUCUUCUUACAUUGACAAAUUGCUGAUGCCAAUUAGUUAAUGUUAAUGCUAUACUUUAGUUAAAAAUAACUAACAUUAUUAAAAAAUUCAUUAGUUGGCUCAUGUGGAUUUUUUUUCAAAAAAAUUGAAAUUAAGAACCAUAAAUUCUUUAAGACUUAAAAAUUAAAAUUAUGUGGUUAUUAAAAAAGAUUUAUUUUUUAUUAAAUUAUUAUUUAAAAUAAAUUUAUCUCAUCAUAAUGAUAUGAUUUUUUUCUUUAAAAAAUCCACAUUAACCAACUAAUAGAAUUGUAUAAAGCUGCCACCAAUCUCUUAGCAUGAUGGCAAAAGAUUCAGAGGCAGCCAGAAAAUCUUUUGAGGGGCGUGAAUAAAGUUAUAUAUUUUUAUAAUAGCAAAAGUGAAAUUUUAUUAUUAUAAUAGUUUAUAUCUUUAAUUUUUAAAAUAUUAAAUAAUUUUUUUCUUAUUUUUGAGGGGAUAAAGUAUAAGUUUAUCAUAUACUAAUUUUAAAAUUAUAAAAAGACUAAAUGUGAAAUUUUUCAUUUUAAGGGGUGGGGCCCUGUCAGGUCUCCUUGGCUUCACCUUGAUAAAAGUAUUAUGUAAUACGUAUAAAGUUUGAGUUUAAUCCCAAACAAUCUCAUUUCUUAUCCCUCAUUAUAAAAUAAUAAAAUAAAUAGAGCAAUUGAUAUGAGGAGACAAGUAUAAUAGGGCAAUUUUAACCUGGGCCAGAUUUCAAAACAAAACCCAAACCAAAUAAUAAAAGAGUCCAAAAUAAUUAAAACAAUCCAUCCAUUUUACAAACAAACCCAAAUUAGCAGCCCAAAUACAAAUUAAAACUCAAUAACCCAAAACUAACUAUAGCCCAAUUAGCUAAACACUUAAACGCAACAAAAAAAACCCUAUCCCCCUAAGCCUCCAACGCUGCAUGACCACCUACGCCGCACGUCGUCGCUGCCGCUCGAGGCUCGCCUAUCUUCGACCAUCCACGCAUCUGACACUUGCAAAACCAAGGCAACACGCAACAACAAAGGCCAAAUAGAGGAAACAACAAGGAAACAGACAAAAAAGGAAGAAACAAACAGUUUUGAUUCGGCUAUAAAAGCCCGAAUCUCACCCUUGUAAUUUUUUUGCGAACAUUAGAAAAUAAAAAAACAAAAACAACACUUUCAAGGUGAAUUUCUACUUUUAUUUCUGUUUUAAAUACUUAUUUGAUUCUAUAUUCAUAUUUUUAUUUUAUUUUUUAUAUAUAUACGAAAAUAAUAAAAUAAAAAAAGGAAGAAAGGGCUCACCGGAGACGCCCCGUGAUCGUGCCGUCAGAAGGCUCUUCUCCGUUGUUGCCAUCGGAUCCGAGAGGGGGUCGAGAGUCUUCCUCUUUCGCUUUUUUGGGUCGAGAGGGCUGGGCUUCCAAGGGAGCUGCGAAACGGGGGCUAAAAAUGCCCUUUUGCGCAACACCGACCACCGGCCACGACAGCACUACGACGGCGACCAUGGCCGGCCAAGGGGUGGGCUGAGAGAGAGACCAAGAGAUACUGAGAGAGUUCUCUGUUUUUUUAGAAAAAUGAAAGUUGAACCGUUUUUUUCUUCUUUUUUUUUGCUAUUUAUAUAGGGUAUAAUACGACGCCGUUUUGGACUUAAGCAUCAGUGGCCAAAACAAUGCCGUUUUGCAUCAGACCUGAAAAUCGACUCGAAUGCGGCCAGGAUCUGCGCGUUUUAGCUUUGAGGAGCUAUUUGCAUAUUCAGCCCUUCCGCUUUUGUAGUAUAGUGCAAUCUGGUCCUCGUUGUUUUUAUAUUUUGGCCGCAUAAUUUUUUGAUUGUUUUACUUUGGUCCGAGCUGAAACGCUGCGCAUAGGGGCUAGGAAUAUUGCCCAGUCGGUCCCUCAUUCCUUAAGCGCGCUCUAUUUCAGUCCCUAGCAACCCUUUUUUUUAUUUGUAAUUUAAACCCCAAAUUCUGGGUCGAUUUUAGUAUCAUCCUUAGUCCAUUUAAUUUAUUUGUUCACUAUUUUUUAUUUAAAAAACUCUUUUAUUAUUAUUUGUUUUAAGUUUUUUUAUUUAUCAUUUAUUUUAAAUUGUUUUACAUACUAUUUAUUUAAAUUUUUUAUAUAUUAGUCAUUUUAAACCAUUAUAUGUACAUUAUCUUUUAAAUUUUUAUAUACAUAUAUUUUUUUUAAAAAAAACUGUUGUAUGUUUCUUAUUUAUUUAUUUUAAACUGUUAUUAUUAUUCAUUUUAAGUUUUUAUAUACUGUUUAUUUGAAGCCGGUUAUUAUUUAUUUUUGAAUUGUUCUUAUAAAUUAUUUACUUUAAAUUAUUAUUUACUUUGAAAUUUUUUUGCAUAUUAUUUUGUUUUGUUUUUUUUAUUGUUAAUAUUAGUAUAAAAAUUAUAUACAUUGUGUGAUUAUUACCGCCAUGUGUACUAUAAUUAGUUUCUUCGUGUUUUCAUAUUAUUAUCACUCAUUAACAUAACAUUUUUUUCAUAAAUUGUUAUUUUAUGUUCUAUGUUAUCAUUCCAUUUCACUUCAUCACUUCGAAAGUUGCAUUCAAUUUGUAUUUACCCAUAAUAAACCGUUCUAUUUUGUCACAAAUAAAACAAAUGCACCUCGUUCAAGCAUUGUACUCACAAUUAUUCAAAACGGGGAAAAGUUUUAAAAUAAGACAAUAUUUCGCAUUUUGGAGAUUUGAGAAAUUGUACCCUAACUUACGGGGUUUCAAUUUUCUCGUUGAACCUAAAUAGCAAAAUAUCCUUCUAAUUUUCAAAAUUUACGAAAUUCCAAUAAAGUUAAAGGCUAGCUUAUUCUCAAGGGUUCUAAGUGUCGUGUCCUAACUUACGGGAUGUGACAUUUAUUAUCUCGAGACGAGAGGAUCUUUGACAUUCGUUUCAAUUUAUUCAAGCAAAUUCUUUUAAAUUAAAAUAGCGUUAACAAAAGGGGGAUCGUGUUUUAAAUUCUUUCGAAGUUUUUCAAUUUUUAACAUUUAGACAUUAAUUAAUCAAUUGAAUACCAAUUUUGGGCGUGACGAGGGUGCUAAUCCUUCCUCGCAUGUAACUGACUCCCGAAUCCGUUUUCUCAAAUUUCAUAGACCAAAAUCACUGUUUUGAUAAAUUAAAAUAUUUUAUUAAAACAACUAAAUUAUGAGGUGACCUAAUCACACCUCAUAAAAAAAAGAUUGGUGGCAACUCUCGUUUUAAUUUCCAUUUUCAAACCAACGUCGACCCUUUUAAAAAAAUGGUUUCAAUAUUAAGUUAUAAGUUGAAUGAAUUAAAAAUAUGUGAAAAGUGUAAAUAGAGACUCUUCAAUCUCAUUUCCUCUAAUGCUCUUUUUUUAAAUUUUUUUUUAAAUUUUUUAUGUACCUUUUAAAUAGUUAAUGAAAAUAAAAAUAUUUUGAUAAUUUUCACUUCGAAAUGCAAAAGCCAACAACAGUUUUUGACUACAAAAGCGGUGUGUUCUUCAUCACUUCUCAGUGGAAAAACACUUCUGCAAUGUAACAACACUUUUAACCCAAAACGGCUUUUUCACCACAAUAGAGAAUGCACCCUAAAAUUGUAAAUAGAAAAAAGAAGGAUCAAACAUUGUUUCUACCCUGUUUUUGUCUCCUCUUUGAAAAUACUUUCCAAAAAGUUUUAUCAUUUUUUUUUCUGUUUACAAAUUCCUUAUAGAAGUGCUUUCUUUUGAUCCACUUGCAUCAUUGUAAUAAGUUUGCAUUGCCUUCUAACUUUCUAUGUUGAUUACAGUUUAUUAAGUUUUCUGUUGGAUCUUAUAGUCAAAUUCCUUUACAUCAUGUAUGUUAAUUUGCUUAGCCCUGAUAAAUGUUAGAUAUAGGGUUAUCAGUGUCGAAACCACUUUUUUGGCGAACAAAAAUUAGUUGUUGACUUUAAAAACGAAAGUUGGAGUCGCCAUCGAUCCUUUAUUGGGGUGUGAUCGGCUCACCUUAAAAACGAUUUUGGUCUGCAAAAUUUGAGAAAACAGGUUCGGGAGUCGGUUACGCAUGAGAAAGAGUUAGCACCCUCUUAACGCCCAAAAUUGGUACCGAAUUAAUUAAUUAAGGUCUUAAUGCCGAAUAUCGAAAAUCUGUGAAGAAUUUAAAAAUACGAUCCUCCCUUUUUGUUAAUGUUAAUUUUAUAAAAGAUGCUUGGAUAAAUCGAAGCGAAUGCUAAAGACCUUUUUGUCUUGGAAUAAUAAAAUGUCACACCCAAUACGUUAGGACAUGACAUUUUAGUCCUCGAGAAUAAGCUUGUCUUUUGAUUUUCAAAGCUCGUGCGGUGAAGUUUAAAAAGGAUAUUCAAUUGCUUUAACUCAGAUGAAAAAUCGGAGCCCAAUACGUUAGGGCACAAUUUCUCAAAAUUCCGAGCAUUGAAUAUUGCCCUUAUUAUUAUUAUUUUUAAAAUCUUCAUCUCGAGAAAAUGACAUGUCAUAUCCAAUAUGUUAGGACACGACGUAUCGAAUUUUCGAGAAUGAGCUUUUUAUUUAUGCUUUAAUUAAAAAAGGAUACCCGGUUUCUUAGAUUCAACGAGGAAGAUUGGAAUCCAAUAAGUUAGGACACAAUCUUUUCGAGGAUCCUAAAUUCCGAGUGUCGCGUUAUUUUUGAAAAAAAACUUUUUGAAUAAAAAUGCUCUCGAUACUUGAAUGAUAUUAAACGUAACCUUUUAACAACGAAUAAAAUGCGACGGGACGAUAAUGUAUAACGCGGAAUGACGAUUUGUAAACAAAAUAUACUCUAACGAAUGACAAAUAAUCAAUAAAAACAAAUAAACAUUAUCAUACAUAUAAGAGCAAUAAUCACAUGUAAAUAUUAACAUCAACAUUUGAAAGCUAAUGACCUAAAAGCCUAUCGCAAAUACAACAAAUUUAAAAUAACUAAAAAAAAAGCAUGAGAGAAAAGAAAUUUGAAAUUAUCAACAUAUAUACACAAAAUACACGUAUAUAAAAAUUUAAAAGAAAUAAUUAAUAGGAAGACUUGAAAUAAUUUAAAAAUAGAAUUAAAAAUGAAUAAUAAUAUCUAAAUGAAUUUUAAAAUAAAUAUUAUAAGAAGAAAGUCAAAAUAAAUAAAACCCAAAAUAAUACACAUAUAUUAAUCUAAAUAGGUAAUAGAUAUAAAUUACGUAUUAUAAAAGAAAACUAUUUAAAAAGGGUAAAUUCUAUUGGAUUAACAUAAAAAUAUAAAAUAAUUUAUUAUGAAAUUAAAUAAUAAUAUAUGAUAAUAAUAUAAAAAAACUUAAAAUAAUAGUGCAUAAUAGAAUAAAAUAAUGAAUAUAAAAAGGUUAGAUAAAUUGAUAAAAAAUAAUACUAAUAAUAAUAAUAGUAGCAGUAAUAAUAAUAAUAAUAAUAAUAAUAAUAAUAAUAGUAAUAAUAGUAAUAAUGAUAAAUUAAUAUUAAAGUAAUUAAUUUGAUAGCAAAAAUAACAAAACAGAUUACUAAUUUGGAAUUAAAACAGAAAUUUAGGGGUAAGACGUGCAAUAAAAUGAAAUGAAAAGGACCUAAUUGAAAUUAAUUUAAAAUCAGACUGACUAGCAAAGAAAUUAAACGCACAAGUCUCACCUGGCAAUCAAGUCAGAUCAUCAGAAACGGCGUCGUUUCGAACGUUUGUCUCCUCAACUGACAGAAGGACGAAAUUGAAAGAAAUAUCGAAUUAUGUGGCAAAAUUAAAAAAGACAAAGAAGGAUUAAAAUGAAGUAAAUAAAAAACAGAAGGACCAAACAGGAGAAUAAGCCAUUGAAACAAAACACGCGGAUCCUCCCCGGGUCAAAUCGGAUCAUCGGGUCAACCAACACGGAGACGUUUUGAAGCCAUUAAAUCGGGCUUAAACGGCACCGUUUUAUUAUCGUUAAAAACCUAAAAAAAUAAAACCCUAAUAAUUUGUUUUGCCAUCCUAAAACAGAUCAAGAGCCUAGCCUUCUCCCCACCGGUCUCCACUCACGAACCCAAUCUGACUCCGAUUCAGACGGAGCAAACCAGAUUCCAAUGGCGUCUGCUCUGGUAAGACGCUUCUUCUCUCCCUCUUUUUUUUUCGUUUGGUGCCAAAGAAGAAAACAAAGAAUCAAAGAAAUAAAAGAGAAAAAAAAACGAAGAAAAUCACCUUUCGAAAAAACUUUCUGUUUUGAUUUUUUGUUUGUAUUCAAUAUGCGUAAAAAAGGAUUACAAUGGCCUUCUCCCUCUUUAUAGCCGAAUAUUCGAAAUAAAAUGAAAGAAAAUACAAAAAAUUCUCUCUGCUGCGUUGUUUUCGUCUUCUUUGCAGGUAAGGAGGCUAGCUGGCGUAAGGAGGUGGUGGACGUGGCACAGCACACUCGGGGAAGGCCCUGGUGGCUGCGGCGCUGGAAGGAGGGCUGUUGCAGCUAGGGUUUUCUGAUUUUUUUUUGGGCUAGGGUUGGGUUGAUAGUUGUAUUGGGCUAGGUAUUUGGGCUGGGUGUAGUUGGACUAGAUGUAUCUGACUUUGGGUUUGUACCGGGUCACUGUAAAUGGGUUUGGUUUUUGUUGUUAUUGGGCUGUGAACUAUUUGAGUUUUAAUUAAUUUUUAUUUAUUUGGUUUUUUAUUGUGGGCUGGGCAAAUUGGGUAUUACAAUCAGCUAAUUAGGAAAGACUGUGAUGAUAGUCACACCUUACAUCCAAAAGCAAAGCUUUUUUUACAUGUGUAUGUAAGGUUGCUAAGCAAAUCUGGUGAGCCUUCACUGCUGUUUUAAGGUUAAGUUAAUGUUCCUUUUCGGCAAAGAACAUUAUCGAGAUCACGGUAUUUUGAUCGCCUUUUGCUUCUUGUUAUUCGUUCUGAAACGAUUGCAUAAUCUUUACUGUGAUUGCAGGAUAUAGAGCAACUUUUGAAUUUCAUCGCUGUAAAGUGUUUAGGACCACGACAUGUUCUUGCAAAUUUGAAGAAGCUUCUAAGGUCUGUCCAGUCUUCAGAAUAUAUAGAUACCUGAAUUAAUUUUGAUUUUGUAGGAUCAACUAUAAUUAGCUACUUAUUAGAGUAUGAAUAGACAACCUCACCUUCUUCACACACUGACACGUGCGGAUUUUUUGCCAAUCCCAUUUCAAAGGAUCACACUUUUUUGUUGUUUACAGAAUCAUAAUUAAUGUUAAUUAAAGUGGAAUAUUUCAGAUUUCUGAUGAUGAGCAUAUUCUUGAGUAUUGCAGUAAAAAAAUGGGUGCGGAACUUAUUUGAACUUUGAAUGUAUGUUUUGUUGGUGAGAAUAUAAAGUUGAUAAAGAUUUGGUAAAUAGAAUAAAAUACUAUUUUUUAUUAGAAAAAUUAUUUGGUAGACUGCCAAUCGAUUUAUAAUUAUCAUGACGCAAUAUUAAGGGUAAUUAAAACAUGUCAUAUUACAAAUAAUAAAAUUAUAAUGACUCAAAUAUACGAACAUGUCAAAAUUUAUGUACAACGAAUUAUUAACAUGUCAAUGUAUAGUAUAAUAUGGUACGCAAAAAUAAGAUAAUUGCUUGUCUUUAAUUGAAUUGUUAUAACACAUUAUACAAAAUACAUUGUGAAUUAAAGCAUAAUAUAAUCAUGAUAUCAAUAUAUUAAAUUUUUUAAAAAUUCGAUGAUACGAAUAAUUAUGUAAAAUAUCACAUGAUACAAAAUGACUUGAGAGGAAAAGAGGAACAAAGACUUGCNNNNNNNNNNNNNNNNNNNNNNNNNNNNNNNNNNNNNNNNNNNNNNNNNNNNNNNNNNNNNNNNNNNNNNNNNNNNNNNNNNNNNNNNNNNNNNNNNNNNNNNNNNNNNNNNNNNNNNNNNNNNNNNNNNNNNNNNNNNNNNNNNNNNNNNNNNNNNNNNNNNNNNNNNNNNNNNNNNNNNNNNNNNNNNNNNNNNNNNNNNNNNNNNNNNNNNNNNNNNNNNNNNNNNNNNNNNNNNNNNNNNNNNNNNNNNNNNNNNNNNNNNNNNNNNNNNNNNNNNNNNNNNNNNNNNNNNNNNNNNNNNNNNNNNNNNNNNNNNNNNNNNNNNNNNNNNNNNNNNNNNNNNNNNNNNNNNNNNNNNNNNNNNNNNNNNNNNNNNNNNNNNNNNNNNNNNNNNNNNNNNNNNNNNNNNNNNNNNNNNNNNNNNNNNNNNNNNNNNNNNNNNNNNNNNNNNNNNNNNNNNNNNNNNNNNNNNNNNNNNNNNNNNNNNNNNNNNNNNNAUGGUCUUCUAGGCUUGGUACCUAGUUUUCCAUUCUUUUUAUCCGUUCUAAUUCCACUUUUGCUUUAGUAAAAUUUUCUUAUAGCUAAGAAAGAAAAAAAAAACUAUUAACAAGUAAUUAUAUAUAUAUAUCAGGUUUUCAAUUGCUUUCAAGACUCAAUAACUUGGAAACUCUCGAUUUAAGUCGGAAUUCUUUUAAGAAUAGCAUUUUGUUCCAUAUGAGAAAUCUUUCAUCCUUGAAGACUUUAAGAUUGAGCGGUAAUCAGUUGAAAGGAAGGCUGGAUCAUAUUCAAGGUAGACUAAUUUUACCUGUUUCUUUUUAACUUUAAAAAUCAAUGUAUGCUCAAGUUUGAUUUUAUCAUACGAUGAAUGUAUAUAACUAAUCAAUAUUUGGGAUUGAAUUUCAGGAUUGAAUAAUUUGACAAAUUUGAAGUACUUGGAUUUAAGUUGGAACGACAUUGAAAGCAUCUCAAACAAAGGUAUAAGUAUUUGUGCAAAACUUUCUUGACCGACUCUUAUUCCAAAAGGCAAUGACAGACUUCAAAUGUAUUUUCUUUAGUGAAUUUUUAUUGCAAAAAUGGAGUAUUAUUAUUUAUUUAUGUUUUGUAGUAACUAAUUAUAUAAUAUAUAAAUCAGGUUUUCAACGGCUCAUUAAAUUGGAAAUUAUUGAUAUAAGUUGGAAUUAUUUGAAGAAUAGCAUUCUUUAAAAUAAAUUCAUGUUGAAGGAAAAGUUGUUGCAAUAAGUCAUUUGAUUUUAUCAUAUCAUGAAUAUAUAUAAGUAAUCAAUAUUUGGGAUUGAAUUUCAAAAUUGAGUAAUUUAAGUAGGAAGGUAUCUCAAACAAAGUAUUUAUAUAUUGAAUCAAUUCAUGGGAAAGCUUGUAAAUUGGCUCUUCCUUCUCAAACAAUCAUUUUUCCUAACUUUUUAUAUCUUGAAUGAUAUUAACUAUACUCAUUAUUUUCUUCCAAUGAUAGAUGGAACACAAUGGAGGCUAACAAACUUAGAGGAACUUGAUUUGAGUGGUAAUCUCUUUCGGAACAACACAAUUUCCUUUCCUCAAGGGCUUUCAAGCCUAAAGUCUUUGACUUUGUACAACAACCAUUUGCAAGGCUCAUUAGAUACUAUAGGUACCAAAGCUAUAACUUUGUUUUUCUUGAUAAUUCUUUCUAGAACCUUUUAAAAUUAAUUGUUUCAAAUUUGAACAUUCACAUUUCACUUUUGAGGAUUUUCAUCUUCACUUCCAGUUUUAGAUUUACUUUUUUUUUCAUUUUUAUUUCAUUAAAAUAUUAAGUAGAAAUUAAAAUUAUUAACAUAAUGAUUUUUUAAAUUGUACGUGGAUAUGUAUAGGAUUGAGCAAUUUAACAAAUUUGAAGAAACUCGAUUUAAGUGGGAAUCAAAUUGAAAGCUUUCAAACCUUUAAAGGUAUGCAUUUAUAUUUAACUAAUUACCUAAAUUCUUACAUAUAAUUAAAUUUUAUGCCAAUUCAUUUCAGUGAUGAAAUUAUAUAAAUCUUUUGUAGAUGGUGGUAGAAAAUUGGAGUUGACCCACUUGGAAGAGCUUUAUUUAGAUGGAAAUCACUUCAAUACUAGUGUAUUUGCAUCCCUUAACAAGCUUUCAAAUUUGAAAUCUUUGAGCAUAAGUGAGAAUCAAUUGAAAGGAUCAAUAGAUAUGAAAGGUAAAAAUAUUAGUUUUUUAACAAGAAUAUAAUAAUGUUUGAAGAGAAUAUAAUGAAGUUGAUUUGUUGUUUUUGUUUUCCUAGAUUUGGAAGCAUUUAUCAAAUUAAGGGAACUAGAUAUGAGCUAUAAUGAAUUGAGAGAUUUUGUGAUCCACCAAGGUAUCAUUUAAUUAAUUUUCCUUUUUUUUUAAUUUAGAAAUUUAGUUUUGAUCUAUGAUAUUAUAAUAACAGUUAUUGUCAUAAAUAUUAAUAAAGUUAUAUCAUAUCAUACUUGAAAGUAAAAUAUGGGUUUGGUGAAACAUUUUCUAAACCCUCCAUUAUAAUGUGUUUCGACUUUGGUUUGAAACUAAAAUUCUUUAAAUUUUUCAUAAUUUUUAAAUAUUAAUGUUUAUAAUUAUUUUGUUUGUAUAACUAUGUUUUUAAAAUAAUUUAUUGAAUUUUUAUGAGAUAAAAAAUAAUUAUAACGAUAAAAAAUGAUAUUAUAAGUAAAAAUACAUAUAUUUAUGGGAAAAUAUGUAAUAUAACUAUAUUUUAAUUUCAUAUAUUUUUAAUAGUAUAAAACAUAAAAAUACAUAUUAGAGUUAAAUAAAUGGCAUUUUUUGGCCAAAAAUAAAUAAAUGUCAAUUUUGAAUAAUAUAAAAAAAAACUUCAAUUUUAUGAAAUUUAAACAUACAUUUUGAGGUGUUUAAACUUUUUUUUUUAACUUUUUAUAAAUUUCAAAAUGCACAUGUUGUUAAUUUUUUGGUUUUAAAAAAUGUGAUAGGUCUAUGUACUCUUUACAAAUUUGUAAUUUAAUUCUUGUAUUUUUAUUUUCGGGAAUUUGAUCCCUCUAUUUUUUAAAUUUUAAAAUCCAAGUUCAAUUGUUAACAUUGUUAUUUUUUUAAAAAAUAAUUUAUUGGUGUUGACAUUUUAAAAUAAAAGAACUUGGUAGCGAUGUAACUAAAAGAUGAUGUAAUGAACAUGGAUUUAAUAAAAUAAUUUCAACCGUAUAAAUAGUUAGACUUGAAUUUUGAAAAAAAAAAUUUGUAAAGAGAAAAAUAUGCACAUUAGAUUUAAAUAAAAAUAAUAUUUUUUUUAGUUUAAAAUUUUCUAUUUUAUAAUAGAACCAUUGAUUUAAAUAAAUGAGAUUUUGAAGAAUUUCCAAAAAAAAAAAACUAUGUAGGUGAAAUUUAAAUAGAGAAUUUGAUAAGCUGAAAUUCUCUUUUGGAAUUCAUAAAUUUUAAAAUUCAGAAGCAUGUAUUUUGACAAUUUUGAUUUAAUAUGGUGAAUUUAAUCAAAAAAUUAUUUAUUAGAUUGUAAAAUAUUUCUUAACAUUUAUAAUUGAGUACAAAGUAAAUUAAGUUUAAGGGAAAAUAUUGGGUACUAUUAAUGAAAUUCUUUUCUUUUAUCAAUUUUUUUUUAAAAAAAUCGGGGUGGUACUAUUAAUGAAAUUCUAAACUUCAUAAGUAGGAUUGAGAUAAUAACAAAUUUCUUAUAUGGUAUAGUAAAAUAUUAAAAAAUAAAUAUUUAAAAGAAAUAGGUUAGUGGCCAUUUUUUAACUUCACUUGUAGAGUUAAAAAACUCCAUUACCAGUACCAAAUACUAACAUUAAGGUUAAAUGCUAAUUGAUUUCAAACAUAUUUGAGUUUUUUAAAAGAAUAUUCUCAUAUAUUUAAAAGAAAACAACACAAAGUUAGAAGAUCUCAUCUUGAAGGGUAAUUCAUUUACCGGUCCUCUCACAUUACCGUCAGCUCCUAACUCUAAAGUGUCUUUAAUUGACAUAUCCCAAAACAAAUUGCAAGGUCAGAUUCCAACCAACGUGUGUUCACAUUUUCCACAUUUGAGCCACUUAUUCUUAUCCAAGAAUGCCUUCGAAGGUGAUAUCCCUCCUUGUUUGAGUGGCAUGAAGGAUUUAUCGAUUUUAGAUUUAUCAGACAAUCAAUUGUCUGGAAGAGUACCUGAAGAGUUAAUCACAAAAAACUCGUUGACCAUUUUGAGACUAUCAAACAACAACCUCAGUGGACAUGUGCUUCCUGUGAUUCUCAAUGCAAAUGGGCUGUCAAAAUUAUAUUUGGAUGGAAAUAAUUUUUCUGGGGAGAUGGCAAAUGUUGAUGUCUCUAUUUCUGAGUUUCCAACUUCACUAAGGGAAAUUAAUCUCGGAAAUAACAAGUUUUAUGGAAACCUCCCAAGAUGGAUGGGGAAUGUGUCAUUUUUGGAGAGAUUAGCUUUGUCCCAAAAUGGUUUCGAGGGUUCUAUUCCAAUGGAAUUUUGCAACUUGAAUCGCUUGGAAUUUUUGGAUCUCUCUGAAAACAAUUUAUUUGGCUCUAUACCGUCCUGCUUUAAUACCCUAAACAUAAAGCAUGUCCACCUGCACGGGAGUAGACUAAGUGGCCCACUACCAAUCGCUUUUUAUAAUAUCUCUUCACUGGUUACGUUAGAUCUUAGAGGAAACAAUUUGACUGGUAGUAUUCCAAAAUGGAUUGGCACACUUUCUUCAUUGAGUGUUCUUCUCUUGAAAGAUAAUCAUUUUCAUGGUGAAGUUCCAGUUCAGUUAUGCAAGUUGGAUUCUUUAAACAUCAUAGAUCUUUCUCAAAAUAUGUUUUCUGGUAUUAUACCUUCUUGUUUGGGAAAUUUAACCCUUUCAACGGAAACAAAUAAGAUUCUAACUGAUUCGAAAAUUAGUCCAAGGUUAACAGGGGACGGAUUAGUGAAAACAUUGGGAGCUCUCGGAAAUUAUUACUAUCCUGAAGGCUACUUAGAAGAAGUAAUAGAGUUCACAACAAAGAGUGGGUUCUUAUCGUAUGAGGGAAACAUCCUUACAUAUAUGACCGGGAUUGAUUUAUCUUGCAACAACUUAACUGGUCAUAUCCCACCAGAAUUAGGGAACUUAAGUGAAAUCUAUUCUUUAAACUUGUCGCAUAAUAAGUUGACAGGAGUUAUACCCUCAUCAUUCGCAAAACUUCAUCAAAUUGAGAGUUUGGACCUUUCUUACAACAAUUUGAGUGGUGAAAUCCCCAAUCAGUUGGUAGAGUUGAACUCUUUGGAGGUUUUCAACGUGGCAUACAACAACUUGUCAGGUAGUAUUCCCGAACCAAAAGCUCAAUUUGGGACCUUUAUUGAAAACAGUUAUGAGGGAAAUCUUUUUCUUUGUGGAGCUAUAUUGCAUAAAAGUUGUUCCAAAACCGAUUCACCAUCAACGAUAUCAACUCUAUCAGAAUAUAAAGGAGAAGAUGGUUUGAUAGGUACUUAUGAUUUUUGUGUGAGCUUUUUGGUUUCUUAUGUAGUUGUGUUGUUGACCAUUUUUGUUGUCCUCUACAUAAAUCAAUACUGGCGAAGAGUUUGGUUUUCUCUCAUUGGGAAAUGCAUCACCACCUGUCGCUACUCAAAUGUGGGCAAUUUUCUUACUUAUCACAUUUUCAAGCAAUGAGUUUAGCUACUCAAAUUGUAAUUUGAUUUUCACACCUAAAUGUUUAAUUAUGCUAAGUUGAGCGAUAAUGAAUAUUUUGUUGAUUUUUGCAUUUUAAAUAAAAGCUCUUUGAUCUUAUGAUUUUAUCAUUUUCAACCAUCUAUUUCUUUUUUCUUCUAUGAAAUUUAAUGUAAAAUCAUAAUCCAUUAUUAUGUAUAUGCAAUAUCUCUUUGAAUUAAAUUAAAUUGAAUACCAAGCGUUCACUAGUGCAUACUGAAAAGGAAAUCUAAUGUAAAAUUAAACCAAACAUACUAGAAAAAUGAAUCUGAAACUGAAAUAUUUUAAAACCUCAAAAACAAUGCAAUUCUUUAUUCCUCUUUUCCUUUCAAGUUAUUUUGUAUCAUGUUAUAUUUUACAUAAUCAUUCAUAUCAUCAAAUUUUAAAAAAUAUUUAAUAUUUUGAUAUCAUGUUCAUAUUAUGCUUUAAUUCACAAUGUAUUUUAUACAAUAUGUUAUAACAAUUCAAUUUAAAAAACAAGCAAUGAUCUUAUUUUUGCAUACCGUAUUAUACAUUUACAUGUUAAUAAUUCAUUGUACGUAAAUUUUGACAUGUUUGCAUAUUUGAGUCAUUAUAAUUUUAUUAUUUGUAAUAUGACAUGUUUUAAUUACCCUUAAUAUUGUGUCAUGAUAAUUAUAACUCGAUUGGCACCAAAUAAUUUUUCUAAUAAAAAAUAGUAUUUUAUUCUAUUUACCAAAUCUUUAUCAACUUUAUAUUCUCACCAACAAAACAUACAUUCAAAGUUCAAAUAAGUUCCACACCCAUUUCUUUACUGCAAUACUCAAGAAUAUGCUCAUCAUCAGAAAUCUGAAAUAUUCCACUCUAAUUAACAUUACGAUUCUGUAAAAACCAAAAAUGUGUGAUCCUUUUUUAAAGCUCUUUUUUUUUUCCUUUAAUGAAAUGGGAUUGGUAAAAAAUCCGCACAUGUGUCGUGUGUGAAGAAGGUGAGGUUGUCUAUUCAUUCUCUAAUAAGUAGCUAAUUAUAGUUGAUCCUACAAAAUCAAAAUUAAUUCAGGUAUCUUUAUAUUCUGAAGACUGGACAGACCUUAGAAGCUUCUUCAAAUUUGCAAGAACAUGUCGUGGUCCUAAACUCUUUACACCGAUGAAAUUCAAAAGUUGCUCUAUAUUCUGCAAUCACAGUAAAGAUUAUGCAGUCAUUUCAGAACGAAUAACAUAACAAGCAAAAGGCGAUCAAAAUACCGUGAUCUCGAUAAUGUUCUUUGCCGAAAAGGAACAUUAACUUAACCUUAAAACAUCAGUGAAGGCUCAUCAGAUUUGCUUAGCAACCUCACAUACACAUGUAAAAAGCUUUGCUUUUGGAUGUAAGGUGUGACUAUCAUUACAGUCUUUUCUAAUUAGCUGAUAACCCUGUAUCUAACAUUUAUCAGGGCUAAGCAAAUUAACAUACAUGAUGUAAAGGAAUUUGACUAUAAGAUCCAACAGAAAACUUAAUAAACGAUAAUCAACAUAGAAAGAAGGCAAUGCAAACUUAUUACAAUGAUGCAAGCGGAUCAAAAGAAAGCACUUCUAUAGGGAAUUUGCAUUUAAGGCAUCGUAAACAGAAAAAAAAAUGAUAAAACUUUUUGGAAAGUAUUUUCAAAGAGGAGACAAAAACAGGGUAGAAACAAUGUUUGGUUCUUCCUUUUUCUAUUUACAAUUUUAGGGUGCAUUCUCUACUGUUGUGAAAAAGCCUUUUUGGGUUAAAAGUGUUUUUACACUGCAGAAGUGUUUUUCCACUGCAGAAGUGAUGAACAACACAUAGCUGUUGUAGUCAAAAACUGUUUUUGGCUUUUGCAUUCAAAAGAGAAAAUUAUCAAAAUACUAUUAUUUUCAUUAACUAUUUAAAAGGUAUAUAAAAAUUAGAUUAAUUUAUAUUUUAUAUAUUAUUAUAUUAAAUUGUUUAAAUCUUAUUUAUUAUUAUAUUUAAUUUUUUCAAAAUAUUUUAUAUAUUAUCAAUUUUACAACUAAUUAACAAAAUAUUUUACUAGGGAAUACGUAUAUGUGAAUAUCUAUAAAUGGCAUGCCUGGAUAUGCAUAUCCUUUGAUAUCAAAUAUUUUGAAAAAAAUAUUAUCAAUUCCACUGAUAUAUUAUCAAUUCCACUGAUAUAAAGCUCUUUAUAUUACCAAUAUAAAUAUAAAUAUUUUGAAUAUAAAUAUCCAUUGAUAUAUUAUCAAUUCCACUGAUAUAAAGCUCUUUAUAUUAUAAAUAUUUUAUAUUUUUUUUCAAAAAUAUGGAUAUGCAUAUCCUUUGAUAUCAAAUAUAAAGGUAAUAUUUAUAGGAAUUGUUUUUUAAUUAGAUAUUUUUAUAUAUCAGUGGAAUUGUCAAAAUAUUUUCAUUAACUAUUUAAAAGGUAUAUAAAAAGAGCUUUAUAUUGCCUCAAGCGCAAGGCACAAAAUGAAGCGCUAGCCUGUGUGCAGUAAAGCGCAAUACGUAUAUGUGAGAGUUUUUGCAAGUCUGUGUGUCUAUAACAUAAAAGUUUAAGAUAUAUAGUAAACUCUAAAGUGUGGUCUGGUUUAUCCACAAAACUUGAAAUUUUUUUAUAGGUGAAUGCUCAAAUAUUGAGAAUUAUAGAGUUUGAUAUUAUCCCUUCCUUAUUAGUAAAGGUAUAUCAAAUGAAAACAGUGAAAAAUAAAAUAAAUUAUUGAGAAAUUCAACAAGGCAGGUUUUUCUAAUGCCCAUUGCCUUACAAAAAAAGUGUGCCUAGGUGCACCAGGCAUGCGCUUGAUCAAAUGGACCUCACCUGGAAGGGUCCAAGGCGUUUUGUUGUAUAAAACUAAGGCGUAGGCAUGCCUAGGCGCAUGCCUUGACGACACUGACCAUAUGUUGGCUUUAUUGCAAAGCAUUAGCAAUUCAAAACUACUAGCACAUUACCUAAUCUACUACUGCUAGAAUAGGACUCAAGUUCUUGCUCCUGUGCAGGUCCAACCAAGAUCUUUACAGGAUACAGUAAUGAAACUUGUGAUAUCAUAUAUUGUUGCCUUGCUCGAAGCUUCCUUUGCACAUUUUUAAGUUUAACACAACCCCUUUCUUCAGUGAGUAAUCUAUUUGCUUCCUGUGAUAAAAACAACAUAUAAUCAAUCAUGCCAUGCAUGCAAGACUACCAACCAUCUUAAAAAAGAGACAAAGAAGUAGGACAGCAAGAAGGGGAUAACCCUUGACUAUGCAAAGGAAUUCAUAGAAUGAGAAUCAUCUCAUCUAAGCCCCUCAACCACCUUCACAGGGGGUGGAGCUGCAAAAAGAGAUGUCUUAUUGAUCCAAGAGGAGAAUAAAUAACAUCUAAAGCUGAAUAAGAAGAAACCUUCAAAUGUAUCAUAAAUUCAGCAUUCAUGAUAAUAUCAAAAUGAAAUUCCAAAGCUAAUUUAAGCUAGAAUAAAAAUGCUUCACCUGUAAUCGCUUCCUUGCUACAGAAAGAGAGGUACCAGCAACCAACAAUGAUCUUACUUCAGUACUAAGCAUUUCCUCCUGUUUUUUAGCAUCCUCUGUUGCAACUUUGCAACGAGUUGACAUUUUGCCAUAACUACUUUCCUUGCCUCUAGUCUCUCACGCAUUUCCUCAAGCUCGUUCAGUUUAUUCAAAGACUCAUUUUUUACCUGCACAGCAUGUUCCCGCCCAUUAAUCAGUGGGCCAAUUGAUUAGGUCACAGAAGACAAAACUAAAUUACCACUCACCAGGUCCCCUUGAAGUGUCAUAUGGCUUUAACAAUUCAACGUGCAAUAUCUAGUAAAAGUAAAAUAAACAUAGAAGAAAGCAAAUGCAAUUCUUAAACGCCUUUAAAUGGACAACAUGAAACAGUUUAAGAGCCCUAUAAAACAGUAAAGUGGAAAAAAAAUCUGAAAAGGAAAAAGAAAUGAAUUGAAACAAUAAAUCCAUCAGGUACAAACAGCAACAAAACUUGAAAUAAGCUUUGGCUUUAGCCCAUUAAAGCCCGGGCAUCCAGCCAAAUAAACAGUGACUGCCAUGUCAACUUUUUGAGACGGUAGAAAAGAGAUCGAAAAUCUCAAUUUCCAAAAAUAAGGACAUAAGAAGUAAAAAAAUGCACUUAUUCUUACAGUAGAAGAGCAAAAUGAAACUAAAUGAAGCAUAAGGGAACUGAUGCGAAUUGACAUUGUCAUUUUUGGGACUAAAAAGAAUACGCAGAUUGAAUAUUUAAGAUUUGGAAGGGAAAAGUUCCAUUCACCAACACAAUUAUCGUCGCCCUUCAUCCUAGUAAAGCUUAAUUGACAAUUUUUCUGUCUCGUGUUCUUGCUAAAGCAUUUGAGCAACCCAACAGAAAUCAUUAUAUUUCAAACUGAAAUGAUUGGCUUUAUCAAUUUCACAACCUAUACCGCCCAACCUAGUAAGUAAUUUAGGUGCAGACACCAGAAAUCUAUUUCCUUUGCACUCUACAACUAAAUAGCCUACCACUUAUCAAUCAAACACAGCUGAAAACUUCAGUGAGGAAACAUUAUGAAAACUGAAAAAACUAUAACUUCAACUUGAUUCAUAGCUCGGCAAGUUCAGGGAAUUGGGACUUCUACCACCAUGAUCCAGUUCGAUGUGAAACAGUGAUCUAUAUCACGCAUAUCGGUUCCCGCAACAAGAGGUAAAACAGCAAAUUAGGUAAACGAUGAUCCUACUAUAUUUCAGAAUAGCAACAUUGAGCAUGAAAGCUAAAGUUAUAGCAUAUUAUGGGUCCUUGCUCUCUACAACUACAUAUAAAAUUACUAAACAAUAUUACUACAUUAAGGAUCCAGAAAAACUUUGUUUCAAUUGUUGAUCACUUGAUCCAACUAUUUUAGAAAGUUUAUUCUUCUUUUUCCUUUCCCUUAUUUUCUAAAUCAGGAAAAACAGUAGCACAUAAACUGGAUUACUACUCCAAGUUUCUAAAAUUUCAGCAAUAUCCCUUUAACCUUUUCACUCAAGUCACUACCCCCCCAAUUAACAAAUAUAUUCCCAGUUUCCCUUUCACUUCAAACCCCCUUUUUUUUUUCUCUACCCAAAUUCAGCUUAAGUUCAAAAACCCAAAAUUGGUUUGCUAAAAAUACAUAAUUUUCAAACACAAAGGUAACCUAAUUUUAAUCAGAAAAAAAAAGCAUUACCUGAAUUAGUGAAUGGAGUUUCUCUUGAAGACUUUGUUUUAAAACUAUCUUAUACUAUUUGCUUUAAAUCGAUUUUUAUUAGCUAUUUAAAACUCGUUUUCAUGUAUUAUUUAUUUUUUUAUCACUUAUUUAAAUUGUUUUACAUAUCUAUUUUUUAAACCCUAUUUUAUUAUAUUUUACUUAUUUUAACUUUUUUACAUAUUUCAUUAUAAAUAUUAUUAAUUAUCUAUAUUGAGUUUUUCAUUCCAUAUGUAUUACUUAUUUAGAUAAAUAUAUACUAUUUUGUGUAUUACUUAUUUUGAUUUUCUUCUUAUACAAUAUUACUUUAAAAUUCAUUUAGAUAUUAUUAUUUCACGUAGUAUUUAUUUUUAUCUUCAUUUUUUAUUUAUUUCAAACUCAUAUAUUGUUUAUUUUGAAAUUUUAUGCAUAUGAUUUAUUGUUUAUAUUGAUGAUUUUAAAUUUCCUUUCUUGCAUGUUUUUUUUAUUUAUUUUAAAACUUGUUAUACUUUAUUUGUGUUAAUUUGCUUAGUUUUUCUUUCAAAAUUAACUUAUAAUUCAUUAGCUUUUAAUGUUAGUAUUUGCACAAUAUGUGAUGUAAGAUUAUUGCUUUCCUGUAUUGCUUAUCUGUAUAUAUUGAUUAUUUGUCAUUCAUUAGUAUACAUUUUGGUUUACGAAUUGACUAAUUUACCAAAAAAAGCCAUUUUUUUAUAAAUUACCGAAAUAGGCCGGUUUUUUAAUUAUUUACCGGAAUGGGCCAUUUCCCCCGAAAUCGCGCCACGUCGAAGCGAUGUCAGGGGACGGGGCAGAAGGUCGCGUCCACGUCAGAGCGACCUACUGACGUGGAAGGAAAUCGCUCCCCUGAGGGCGCGAUUUCCUUCCACGUCAGCAGGUCGCGCUGACGUGGACGCGACCUCCUGUCACUUUGCGCGGUACCGGGAAUGCGAUUUUGACCCUGAUUUUUACGCCUAGGUUUUAUGGCUUUUAGGGUUUAGGGUGCAGGCUUUUUAGGAGUUAGGGGUCCGGGAAAAUUAUUUUUCGAGUUGACGUUUCUGGUUAAAUAGUGGGAAAUCGCUUAUACUAGGAUGCUAUUUAAGAAGAAAUUGUGAAAUAGUGGCCUCGUGGACGCGAUUUCGCUACAGUGGUCAUGUGAGAAAUAAUUUUUUUAGACGUUUUCUGAGGAAAUAGUAUAAAAUCGCUGAUACCAGGAUGCUAUAUGAGAAGAAAUUGUGAAAUCGCGCCCUCGUGGACGCGAUUUCGCUACAGUUGGUCAUGUAGGAAAUAAUUUUUUUUGACGUUUCUGAGUAAAUAGUGUCAAAUCGCGCCCUCGUGGACGCGAUUUCGCUACAGUAGCAAGUUUGGGCUGAGGUUAUAAAUUAGGCAGAGAAUUUUCUUAGAAUGCAUAACUCAGAGCAGAAACAUUUUAGGUUAGGGUUAGGGAAUUUAGAGUUUCAAAAUGAGUGAAUGUAUUAGUGCUGUUAUUUACUACGAUGGUGAGGUUUGCCACACCGAGAAUGGUGUUGUUUUUUUGUCGAAGAAUACGAUGCGACUGUCAUUUAGCCAAAACAUAGAUUUGACAGAACUCCGUAAAAGAAUUAGGCGUAAAAUCUUCGGAACCACGCCAAUGAAAGUUCAGUCAAUGACGUAUCGAUUUUGUUCUUCUGUUGAUUCGGUGACAUAUGACUCGUUCGACAUAAAAGGUGCUCGUAGCUUAGAGGCAAUGGUGCAGACUCAUCUUGCUAGCGGAGCAACUUAUAUUGAGUUAUAUGUACAAUUUACGUCACCAAAUGAUGUACUUUCGUCCGGUGUUCGAGAUGUAUACACGACCCCUGGCCGACACUCGGUUAGUGUGUUACAAAAUACGGAACAGCCCAUGUUCGGUAGCGGUGUCGAAUGCACAUCCCCCCAAGACACUCUGUCGGUGGAUGGGACAUGUACGUCGGUGGCUCGACGGUUGACGCUGGAAAUACGAGCUGGUACGUUCAUUCUCUUAUUUUAUUUUAUUUCAUAUUUUGGGAAAUUUAGAACGAUAAGCGAAAAUGAAUAUAUUCAGAUUAGCAGGGGACAUGACCCAUUUGUUUAGUGUUCUUGUUUUGCUUCUUAAGAUCCACACAAUCAAGUCUUGUGCUGGUACGUUCAUUUUCCAAAUAUUUACUUUACUUUUUGUUUCUGGGCUUAUUUCAUUUUAUGUUGUACUUUUUUCCCAGUAAUUUACUGCUUAAUAUAAAAGAAUCGAAUAUUUAGGUUAAAUUGUGGGUGGGUUUUUGCUAGUUUAUUGAAUACUCAAAUUGGAGCCAUGUAAAAUGUGGAAACUUUAGCUUGAUAGAAAAUGUGACCCCCUUUUUUUUUAAUGUAUGGAAUAAAAAUUUUUGUAUUUUGUGAAUUUUUUUUUAGUAAUUUGAAUUUGUAUGUAUGUUCAUUGGAAGUUUAGAAGCAAGGAGUUCUGAUCAUUAGGACUUUAUGUGAUUCAUUCAUUUUGAGUUAUAGUGUAGUUAGUUGUUGGAUUUAGUGUCACUGUUGGCAUCUUAUUUUAGCUGAUUUCCUUUCUAUUUGUACCGAUAAACCUCUAGAGGUUUUGAAAUUAGCAACUGAUUUUUUUUAUGUGUGAGAGUUUUUAUGGAAAUCAAUAAGCUAAUUACAUUUUGCAGGAUCAUACAGUCGGGUUAGUGGUUUUUAUGUCAUGCUGGCCUAUGGUUUUGAGAUGAACAUCAUGAAAUCUGUAUAAGAUGAGGGUAUUAAACUAUAAACAUAGCCGAGGUAGCGAUUUAUUUCGUAUCAUGCUAUUGGAAGUUUUUUUGGGGCGGCAAUGUCAACUAAAUUUAUAUUCUUUUGAUCAAGUCGAUUAUUUCCAGUUGCACAACUAGCUUGUUGGAAAUAUUUUCUUUCUUUGCUCCUGUCCUUUUCACUUUCAUAUUUUAUGGGUGGUGUGAUGAUGGGAAGAUUCAUGGGUGGCUAAAGCCAUCUUACUCACUAGAAGUGAGGCUGUUAUUUUUAGAAGUUAGAGAUGCUAUAUCAAUUGAGGAUGCCGUGAGCAAAAGCUUGCUAAUAAUAAGUGACUGUUCAUAUGCGUGGGUUCUAUCACAUGUUGAUGGAGUAUUUGGUGCUCUUUCUUCACUAAUUUCAUAUGUAUAGAUAUAAUUGUAUAACAUCUCGACGUUGAUUACUGUUACGAGGGGAAAAAAACACAGCAUGUAAUGAAACUCAAAAAGUAGGAAUCCUAGAUCCUUGUAUUCAUUCAUAGGCAUUUUACAACAUUUGAUUUAACUUGAGCAAGAUUCCGUUUUGGGCCUGGUCUUUUCCUGUUCGUUCCCUUGUUUAUAUAUGAUGAAGUUGGUUCAGCAUGCAGGAAACUCGACAGCAUGCAGGCCAUGAAGACCAAGUCGUGCAGGAGCUGCUGGAACGAGCUGAACUUUUCCUAUUUUGUUCAUCUAGUAAUCUUAAGUUAAUGUAAUGUACUUUAGUUCAUUUAGAACUAUGUUAGGUUUAUGAUUGAUGUAAUUUUGAUGACAAUUGAGCUGUUAAGUCAGCUUUGUUUAAGUGUGUAAGCUUAGUUUUUCAAGUUUCAAUGUAUUAGUGGUAGUAGGUGAUGAUUAGGUAUCAUUAUGCAGAUUUUGACAAGCAAAUUGCUUGGUUUAUGUAUUGGCAUUAUGCCAUUGUUCAACAUAUGAAUGAAAUCAACUUUGUUCAUCAAUAUUCUCUCAAAUUUCCUCAGCUUAUUUUCUUUUUUCUUCAACUCGAAAUUGUUUGUUUGCUCAGCAAGAUUCGAGGCUUGCUCGACAAGAAACUUGCUGAGUCUGUUUGAUUCUGCUGUUGCACCAACAAUUGGUAUCAGAGCUUAUUUCUUAAGGGACCUGUUAUACAAAUCCAUGGCUUCAUCAAGUUUUUCACCAGCUGCACCUCAAGUCUUCAAUGGAGAAGGCUAUCACAUAUGGGUGGUCAAAAUGAAGACCUACCUGCAGGCAUUUGAUCUGUGGGAGGUGGUCAACUCUGAUGUUGAACCAGAGCCACUUAGAGCUAAUCCAACAGUGGCUCAGAUCAGGCAGCAUGCUGAUGAAAGGACCAAGAGGCACAAUGCUAUGUCUUGCAUCCAAAACUCAGUGUCUGAUGUGAUUUUCACAAGGAUUAUGGCCUGUGAAUCACCAAAACAGGCCUGGGACAAGUUGCAGGAAGAGUUUCAAGGGACUGAGAGGACAAGGCAACAACAGUUGUUAAACUUGAGGAGAGAUUUCGAGAAUUUGAAGAUGAAGGAAGAAGAAACUGUCAAGCAAUAUUCUGACAGGAUUAUGGCUGUGGUUAACAGCAUCAGGCUCCUUGGAGAGCAGUUCAAUGAAGCUAGGAUAGUGGAGAAGGUUAUAGCAACUCUGCCUGAGAGGUAUGAGGCAAAAAUCUCAUCUCUCGAGGACUCAAGGGACCUGUCCACCAUCUCCCUGACAGAGUUGAUCAAUGCUCUAUAUGCUCAAGAGCAGAGGAGAGCAAGCAGACUGGAGGAGCACCAAGAAGGUGCCUUUCAGGCAAGAACAAAUACUUCCUACAAAGGCAAGAAGGCUUGGAGAGACAAGCCAAAGGAUGAUGCUGCAAGGAGAGAAGGUCAAACUUGCAAGCACUGCAGAAAGGCUGGUCAUUCAGAAGAAAAAUGCUGGUUUAAUCCAGAUGCUGUGUGUCAGCAUUGUAAGAAAAAGGGCCAUGUUGAGAGAGUUUGUAAGAGCAAUGCCAAAACAAGGCGCAAUCAGGCUCAACAGAUGAAAGCUGAGGCUCGAGUAGCUAAGGAGGACAGUGACCAAGAGGAGCAAGUCUUUACUGUGUCAUGCUCAGCUGCUCAGGAAAGGUCCUCAUCUGGUUGGCUCCUAGACAGUGGAUGCACCAACCACAUGACACCUGAUGCUGCAAUCUUCAAGUCUUUAGACAGAAGCUGCAGAACUAAAGUCAAGAUAGGAAAUGGUCAUUUUAUUCAAGCUGAAGGCAAGGGUGAUGUUCUGAUAUGCACUCUUACAGGUACCAAAGUGAUUUCAAAUGUGCUGUUGGUGCCUGAAAUUGACAGAAACCUGCUCAGCAUAGCUCAGUUGCUGGAAAAAGGUUACUUAGUUGUGUUUAAAGACCACCAAUGCCAAAUCAGUGAUCCAAGUGGAUCCAAACUGAUGGCAGUCCCUAUGGCUGAUAAGAGCUUUGUGGUUGACUGGACAAAAAAGUCAGACAUUGCCUACACAGCCACUUCAGAUGAAUCCAAGCUGUGGCAUCAAAGACUGGGACAUGCCAACUUCAGAUCGAUGGCCCGAAUGAUCAGAGAAGACCUGGCUGAAAACUUCAUCAACUCAGUAGACCAUGAUGAUGUAUGUGAAGUAUGUCAGCUAGGAAAGCAGGCCAGACUCCCAUUUCCCUCGAAUCAAGCCUAGAGAGCCUCUGAAAAACUCCAACUGGUGCAUACUGAUGUGUGUGGACCUAUGAAGACUGAGUCAUUAAGUGGAAACAGGUAUUUCAUACUGUUCAUUGAUGAUUUCUCGAGAUAUUGCUGGAUUUACUUCUUAAAACAGAAAUCAGAGGUGGCCACUGUGUUUUGGAAGUUCAAAACUGCUGCUGAGACUGAAACAGGCUGCAAGGUGAAGACCAUAAGGUCUGAUAAUGGGACUGAGUACACCUCAGCUCAGUUCCAAGCCUUCUGUGAUAAGGCAGGCAUCAAACAUCAACUUGCCAACACAUAUACACCUCAGCAGAAUGGGGUAAGUGAAAGGAAGAAUAGGAGUUUGAUGGAUAUGGCCAGGUGCUUGAUGAUUCAGAAGAAUCUGCCUAAAGCACUAUGGGCAGAAGCAGUUAACACUGCAACAUACAUUCAAAAUAGACUUCCAACCAGGGCUUUGGAUCAAAAGACCCCAUUCGAGGCCUGGUUUAGCUUCAAGCCAUCACUGGCUCAUCUGAAGGUCUUUGGAUGCAUCUGUUAUGCACAUGUACCUGCUGUUAAAAGGGACAAAUUGUCUGAAAGGGCUCGACCUGGUGUUUUGGUGGGCUAUAGCACUGUUAAGAAGGGCUAUAGGAUUUUAGAUCCUUCAACAAACAAAGUGUCAGUAAGCAGGGAUGUGGUAUUUGAUGAGAGGUCAUGUUGGAACUAGGAAAGACAUGAACCUGAAGAAGUUUUUGAAGAACUUGCAGCAGACCAAGCUGAGCCAGACCAAGAUGUCCCUGAAAUGGAUAUUGAUGAUGAACCAGUCAGAGGAACAAGGCCAUUGGCUGAAAUUUAUGAAAGGGCUCAUGUAGCCAUAGUUGAACCAAGCAACUUUGAAGAGGCUGAGGCUCAGCAAGGGUGGAAGCAGGCAAUGGCUGAGGAGAUCAGCAUGAUUGAGAAGAACCACACCUGGAAAUUGGUUGAAAGGCCAGUCAAAAGGAAAGUGAUUGGGGUGAAAUGGGUGUACAAAGCCAAGCAGAAUGCUGAUGGUACCUUGAACAAGCUGAAAGCAAGGCUAGUUGUCAAGGGGUUCAGUCAGAGGUAUGGCUUGGACUACCUGGAGACCUUUGCACCAGUGGCCAGGCUCGACACCAUCAGACUGCUGAUUGCCUUAGCAGCACAGCUUGAAUGGAAGAUCCAUCAACUUGAUGUGAAAUCAGCUUUUCUGAAUGGUUUCUUAGAUGAAGACAUCUAUGUUGAACAACCACAAAGGUUUGAAAUAGCUGGCAGAGAGCAUAUGGUCUACAAACUGAAAAAGGCCCUAUAUGGAUUAAAGCAGGCUCCAAGGGCCUGGUAUAGCAGAAUUGAUGGCUACUUGACUGAUCUAGGAUUCGAUCGAAGCAAGAGUGAGCCAACACUGUAUGUCAAGAAACAAGGGACACAAAUACAACUCAUUGUGUCCCUGUAUGUUGAUGAUCUUCUGGUGACAGGAGGAGAUCGAGUAGUGCUGGCUGAUUUUAAGACCAAGAUGCAGGAAGUGUUUGAAAUGUCUGAUCUUGGGGAGAUGUCAUACUUUCUUGGAAUGGAGGUGUCUCAAGUAUAGAAUGAGAUAUUUCUAAGCCAGAGAAGCUUUGCCACAAAGAUUCUGACCAAGUUCUCCAUGCAAAACAGCAAGGCAACUAAAACACCUAUUGCUGUUGGAGAAAAACUAUCGAGCCAAGGUGAUUUUAAGAAAGUUUGUGAAACAACCUACAGGAGUCUAGUUGGUUGCUUGCUAUACUUGACUGCCACUAGACCAGACAUUAUGUAUGCUGUAGGAUUGCUCUCAAGGUUCUUGCAUUGCUGCAAUGAGAAGCAUUUCCAAGCUGCAAAGAGAGUGCUGAGAUAUGUCAAAGGCACUUUAAACUAUGGUUUGAAGUACAGUAAAGAAGGAAAUCUGAAGCUGAUUGGCUACACUGAUAGUGACUGGGCUGGCUCGAUAGAUGACAUGAAAAGCACCUCAGGGUAUGCUUUUAACCUUGGUUCAGCCAUGUUUUGUUGGAGCUCAAAGAAGCAAAGUCUAGUAGCUCAAUCUACUGCUGAAGCAGAGUAUGUGGCAACAGCAAGUGCUAUCAACCAAGCCAUAUGGCUAAGAAAAAUAUUGGCUGACUUGAAUGUGCAUCAAGAGCAAGCUACUGAGAUCUUCUGUGACAACCAAUCUGCAGUAGCAAUUGCUAAAAAUCCAGUGUUCCAUGGAAGAACAAAACAUUUCAGCAUAAAGUUGCAUGUUGUUCGAGAAAUGGAGCAAGCUCAGGAAGUAAAGCUGGUCCACUGUAAUUCAGAAGAUCAACUUGCUGACAUUUUAACCAAAGCUCUUAGUGUCACAAGGUUUGAAUAUCUAAGAAAGAAGCUAGGUGUUUGCUCCAUGCAAACCAAGGAGGAGUGAUGAAGUUGGUUCAGCAUGCAGCAAACUCGACAGCAUGCAGGCCAUGAAGACCAAGUCGUGCAGGAGCUGCUGGAACGAGCUGAACUUUUCCUAUUUUGUUCAUCUAGUAAUCUUAAGUUAAUGUAAUGUACUUUAGUUCAUUUAGAACUAUGUUAGGUUUAUGAUUGAUGUAAUUUUGAUGACAAUUGAGCUGUUAAGUCAGCUUUGUUUAAGUGUGUAAGCUUAGUUUUUCAAGUUUCAAUGUAUUAGUGGUAGUAGGUGAUGAUUAGGUAUCAUUAUGCAGAUUUUGACAAGCAAAUUGCUUGGUUUAUGUAUUGGCAUUAUGCCAUUGUUCAACAUAUGAAUGAAAUCAACUUUGUUCAUCAAUAUUCUCUCAAAUUUCCUCAGCUUAUUUUCUUUUUUCUUCAACUCGAAAUUGUUUGUUUGCUCAGCAAGAUUCGAGGCUUGCUCGACAAGAAACUUGCUGAGUCUGUUUGAUUCUGCUGUUGCACCAACAAUAUACCUCCACUGUGCCAUUGUGUAUUUGUGUUCGAUUUUCAGUUCUGUCUCACAAUCCCUGUCAUGUCUUAUGAGUGAUUUUCUGGCUCUAAAUAUCUAUGAUAUAUUUGUGCAGGCAUUUCACUGAAGACUCAGGAACUCUAUGCUAUUGUCUUUGCUACUCGUUACUUGGACAUAUUCACUAAUCAUAUCUCGCCUUAUAACACAAUCAUGAAGCUAAUAUUCCUGGGCAGCUCUUUCUCAAUUGUAUGGUACAUGCGGUAUCACAAAAUAGUUCGUAGAUCUUAUGAUAAGGACCAGGAUACAUUUCGACAUUACAUCCUUAUACUCCCUUGCCUGAUUCUUGCCCUUCUUAUAAACGAGAAGUUCACCUUCAAAGAGGUAUCGACAUCCUUUUGUUUGUUGGAAUAUGAUAACAGUAUGUUCAUAUUAAUUACUGGUUAACUUAGAAGCUCCCUAAACUGUUUAUCUGUUUUAUAUUAAUUAUUCAUUAUUAUCCUUCUGGUUAUAUUUUUAUAUAUUGAUUAUUGUCUUAAAAAAAAUUGUUGAGCAGGUCAUGUGGACAUUUUCCUUGUAUUUGGAAGCUGUUGCGAUACUUCCUCAGCUUGUAUUGUUGCAAAGGACUAGAAAUAUUGACAACUUGACUGGACAAUAUGUGUUUCUCCUUGGGUAACCACUGUAUUCUUUAAAAAUCCUAAUCAGUUGCAAGUUUUCUAUUUUAUUACCUUGCAAUUUGCAUGAAGGACCCUUAUUUCCUGGCUCAGUUCCCUAAAAUGUUGCCUCCUUCCUGAGGAAACAAAAGAGAGAAAGUCUCUAAAUAGAGUUGCCAUCAUAUUGCCGCUUGGUUGCCACUGAUUUCUUUUUGAUGAAAAGUUGAUAUGAUUAUAUGUUGGACCAAAGUUAUCUAUUUUCAGAUGUGAUUAACUGCAGUUGAAUUUUGCGAGUAUGACUGUUCUUGUGUAACUUUUGUUAUGUGCUUUCAUGUCGUUUUUAGUCUUUUACACUGUGUUCUGUCUAUCUUUGUUUGCUAUUAUCCUAAGUUAGGAGACAAGGUGCCAUUAGGAGCAAUGUGACGUCAAAAUUCAUUUCCCUUUAGCCUUCAGUUCUACCUUUUCUUCCCUUUCUUUAUGUAGUUUUUGGGAGUUGGGGAUCACAGCGAUGAUAGUCGGUACAUGUGACUUGAAAGAUGCCUAAAAACUUCAAGAGCAUAGUGUUGUAUAAAUCUUUUGGAGAAAUUUUUUUGGUACAUUGAUGCCAACUUACAAUAACCCUUGCCACUACAACCGUGGCUUUGUUGGCUUAUGUAUGCACUCUCUUUGUCUUUAUAGGUCACCAAAUUCCUAAUGUCUAAUUCUUGGUUAUGGACUAAUAUAGUUGCUUGUUAUUGCAGUGCAUACAGAGCAUUGUACAUAGUGAACUGGAUUUAUCGGUACUUUACUGAAGACCACUUUGUCCACUGGAUAAGUAUGUACUCUUCUCUGUCUCCCUUCAUCUUUUACUCCAAGUCGGUAGCCAUGGGUGUAUGACGAGUGUGUCAAUAUAUCUACCCCAACACAUUUGUGAUAUACUAUGCUAUAUGUGUUAUUUCUAACACCUUGUUUACAUGAUUGCUGCCUUUCAGCUUGGAUUUGCGGUCUUGUCCAGACAUUGCUUUAUGCUGAUUUCUUCUACUAUUACUUCCAGAGGUAACCCCCUUUCUGACACUCUGGAAAGCACUUCAUACCUAUGUGAAUGAUUGCAACUUAUUUGAUUAUUAUGCCUGCAGCUUGAAGAACAACAUGAAGCUCCAAUUACCAGCUUGAGAUUUUAAUGGUGCAAGUUUUGUAGUAGCAUACAUAAACUUACAUCAUAUGGGUUCAAAUUUAUGAGUAUUUCAAUUAAUUUUAAUUUCACUAUGUUAUAUUGUAAUAUCAUGUAAAAAGUAUCAUAAAAGCAGGCAUAAGUUUUCCACCAAUUAGAACAUUUUGAAAAUUGAUGUCAAGCCCGAAAUGACCGUCACAAGUAAGCAUAUUAAACGUGUGAAGAGAAGACCUUAUUUUUCCACAUAACUAAAACUUUUUACACCAUAGGAACUUUCAUCGUCAUCAAGUUGGACAUGGAUGGAGCUCACGUAAAAAUAAUUUUUCAUAUAAAAACUAAAAACUAGAAAUUGACUUGUAAUAAUUCUCAAGGUUAAGGUUGACGUGGUCAAUAGUAAUGAACUUAUGUUUAAGGUUUGGGUUAUUUUUCUCAAUUAUAGAUUAGUAUUUUGUUCAUUGUAAACUUUGCUAACAAAAUUUAAUAUAUGACACAUAUCUGAUUUAAUUUAUUUUUAUUUUAUAAAACUUUCAUUAUUUGUUUUACUCAUUAAUGAAAUUUGGUGUGAAUACAUUAAAUAUUACCUUUUAUAUAUUUCACUCCCUCUUACUAUAUCUCAAUGGAGAAAUUGAAGGUCAUUCAAGGAAAUGGUAAUGUCCAUUUUCCACAAAACUAAAAUUUUCCACACGACAGAAACUUUCUUGGUCAAACAAGUUGGAUUUGGCUUCACCAAUAACUUAAUAAUCUGUACUAAAAUUUUCCACGCAAUAGAAUACGAACUCGUUCUCGUAAAUAUUUUAAAAAAUAAAAAAUUUAAUAUUAUGAGUUAACGAAUUAUCAAUUUAAUUAAAAAAAGUUGAAAGAUACAUUUUUUAAAAUUUUAUGAAAUUAUAUAUUAAUAUAAUUAUAAAAUUAUAGUUUUAACUUUAUAAAAUUUAUUAUUUAUCUUUGAUCUUGAAGAGAGACAAAGUAAAAUACCUAUUCUUGGAGCCAUAACGACAACUAGGAUUAUGAUUGCACAUUUUCUAAGUCUUCAUUUUUGUUAAUUAGGAAAGCUGAUGGGCAUCUCCACUAAGUUUCCACCCACAAGAAUAUACGUAUUAAUUUGUUUUUCUCAAUUUCCAUGAGGGGGGAUAUAAGCUUAAAGUUGACGUAGAAGUCAAUACUCAACAUUUGAAAGUUAAUGCAGUGAACUAUGUGCUUGUUGAUAUAUGAAAUGAUAUUUUCUUAACAAUUUCCUCCAACUAGUUCGUAGAUGGUGCUAUAUUACAUCACAAUGGGUAACCAAAUGUAUAUAAUUGAGAUUUUUAAGCAAAUAUUAUAUUUUAUCUUUAUCCAUGAAUAGUCUAAUAAUAAGGAUUAAUAUUUGGUACAUUGUCAGUGGAGUUUUUAAAUUCCAUAAGUAGGGUUAGAGGAUUGACACAUGCCAAUUUUUUAAUGUUGCUUGUGGGAUGCACUUGAAUUGUGGUUCAUAGAAGGAAAUUAUUAUAUAAAGGUUUAAUUCUACCAUAGUUCUUGUACUUUACUGAAGUUGUAGAUUUAAUUCCCAGACUUUAAUUUGAUAUUUUAGAUAUUUGUUAAAUUCAUAAAGUCCUACUAUUUCCAAAUUUGGUGUGGCAAACAUAUUAUCAUAGGUGUAAUAUCACUAAAAUUCAAAAGAAUGAGAAAUUUGUACAUAUUAUCAGAUGUCAAUAUCAAGUUGAGCAUUUCAAAAUCUAAAGUAAUAGUUCAAGUAUUUAUUUUUCCAUAAAACCAAAAUUUUCUACAUGAUGGCUUUUUUUUUGGCUAUUAGUUAAGAGGAAUUUUUUUAAUAACCCAAUUUAAUUAACUAAUUUAAAAAAUGGUUCAAGUAAAACUCAAGUCAUAUUAAAAAUAAUUAUUUAUAAAUUUUAUGUUUCAAAAACUAAUGAAUGUUCAAAGAAUAGUGAAUUAUUAAAGAGAAGUUAUAUGAUAAUGGAUUGUUUUAAAGUAGUGGUCUAGUAGAAAUAAAUAGUUUUUUAUAAAAAAAUAUUAUAUAAAUAAUUAAAUUUUAUAGUUACUCCUAUUUUUUUUAAAAAUAGUGAAUGUAAUAUUUUUUAAAAUGUUAAAUUAACUCAUGAUAUUAAUUAAAUCAAGAAAUUUUAUAAUAAUAGAGAUGAAAAAAACUAAAUUUUCAAAAUCAAAACCUAAAACGUGCAAGAAUAAAAGCAAUCUGAAGACUUAAAAUUUCCAUUAAUAAAACCAAAAUCAAAGAAGUAAAAUUUCCAUGAAUAAAACCAAAAAUGAAGACCUAAAUUUUCCAUUAAUAAAGCCAAAUCAAGACUAAGUUUGUAUAAGUGUAAGAAGGGUAUAAAGGAAACUCACAAGAAAGCCACAUGAAGAAUUUUAUAACUCCAACUACACGAUUUUAUGUCCACCUCUCACUUUUCAUAUUUUUUUUUGGCCAUUCAUUUUUCAAGAUUAACAUUAGCAUUCUUGUGGUCCGUUCAUCCUUUCCUAACCAAUUUCCACCAAGAGUUUUUGCAAUAAGGAAUUUACCUAAAUAAGAAACCUAGAUUGAUCCAAUUUUUGAGGAAUUAAUUAAUUAUAUAUUAUUUUUAUAUUAUAAUGAAUUAGUGGGAUGCAGUAUGUUCUGCUUGUAUAUAAAUAAGAAGCUUAGGCUUCUUUAGAUUAUAUACAUAUAGAAGUUAACAAAAAGUAACAUAUAGCUGAGAGAGAAGUGAAAAUAGAGAGAUGAUGAUGAUGGAGUGGAAAUGGUUAAGGUUUAUUAGGAUGGCAGUAAUGUUGUUGGUGUUAGAAGGAUGCAGAUGGUGUACUACUGAUGCUUGUUUGGAGCAUGAGAGAAUCGCUCUCUUGCAUCUCAAGCCUUUCUUCAAUUAUCAAAAUCAAUUGCAAAGUUGGGUUGAGGUGAAGGGUUCAGAUUGUUGUAAAUGGGAAAGAGUUGAGUGUAACACCACCACUAGGAGACUCAUACAACUCUCCCUUAAUUCUACAAGAUGGUUUGACAGUAUGGGAUACAAAACGGAUAAUAGGAAUCUCAAUGCCUGGUAUCUCAAUACCUCUAUGUUUCUUCCCUUUGAGGAAUUGAAGAGUCUUUAUUUGCGGGGGAAUGCCAUAAGUGGUAACCUUGAAAAUGAAGGUCGUGCCUCUAGUUUUUCCUUAAUUACAUCUUUUAUUAUCCCACUACUCUUACCAUCGUUAUUUUGCAAUUACUUAUAUUUUAUUUUAUUUUAUGGAAGAAAAGUCACUAACUUGUAUAUAUUUAAAAGAAUAUUUCUAUAGGCUUUGGAAAACUAUCAUCCACAUUGAGUAAUUUGGAGAUCCUUGACUUAAGUGAAAACUACUUGAAUGACAGCAUUUUGUUAUCUUUGAGUGAGCUUUCAUCUCUCUGGUAUUUAGAUCUAUCAGGCAACAAAUUUGAAGGAUCAAGCCAUCUAAGAGGUAAAUUAAGUUUGGUCUGGUAUUAGUUUUUAUUUGUAAAGUGGAGUUUGAGGAUGGUCUUCUAGUAAUUCCACUUUUGCUUUAGUAAAAUUUUCAUACAGCUAAGAAAGAAAAAACAAUUAACAAGUAAUUUUUAACUUUAAAAAUCAAUGUAUGUUCAUAUUCAAGGUAGACUGGUUUUAUAUGUUUCUUUUUUACUUUAAAACCAUUUUUUUUGUUUAAGGGACAGUUAAUGUUGCAAUAUGUCUUUGCUUUUAUCAUAUCAUGAAUAUAUAUAAUUGAUCAAUAUUUGGGAUUGAAUUUCAGGAUUGAAUAAUUUGACAAACUUGAAGUACUUGGAUUUAAGUUCGAACAGAAUUGAAAGCAUCUCAAACAAAGGUAUAAGUACAGUAUUUAUAUGUCAAUUCAUAUUAAAGGUAGACUGGUUUUAUAUGUUUCUUUUUUACUUUAAAACCAAUUUUUGUUUAAGGGACAGUUAAUGUUGCAAUAUGUCUUUGCUUUUAUCAUAUCAUGAAUAUAUAUAUAUAUAUAACUGAUCAAUAUUUGGGAUUGAAUUUCACGAUUGAAUAAUUUGUCAAACUUGAAAUACUUGGAUUUAAGUCGCAACAACGUUGAAAGCAUCUCAAACCAAGGUAUAAGUAUUUGUGCGUAGUAACUUUCUUGACUGACUAUUAUUCCAAAAGGCAAUGACAGACUUCAAAUGUAUUUUCUUUAGUGAAUUUUUAUUGCAAAAAUGGAGUAUUAUUAUUUAUUUAAGUUUUGUAGUAACUAAUUAUAUAAUAUAUAAAUGAGGUUUUCAAUGGCUCAUUAAAUUGGAAAUUAUUGAUAUAAGUUGGAAUUAUUUGAAGAAUAGCAUUCUUUAAAAUAAAUUCAUGUUGAAGGAAAAGUUGUUGCAAUAUGUUAUAUCAUGAAUAUAUAUAAGUAAUCAAUAUUUGGGAUUGAAUUUCAAAAUUGAGUAAUUUAAGUAGGAAGGUAUCUCAAACAAAGUAUUUAUAUAUUGAAUCAAUUCAUGGGAAAGCUUGUAAAUUGGCUCUUCCUUCUCAAACAAACAUUUUUCCUAACUAUUUAUAUAUUGAAUGAUGUUAACUAUACUAAUUACUUUCUUCCAAUGAUAGAUGGAACACAAUUGAGGCUAACAAAUUUAGAGGAACUUGAUUUGAGUGGUAAUCUCUUUCGGAACAACACAAUUUCCUUUCCUCAAGGGCUUUCAAGCCUAAAGUCUUUGACUUUGUUCAACAACCGUUUGCAAGGCUCAUUAGAUACUAAAGGUACUAAAGCUAUAACUUUGUUUUUCUUGAUAAUUCUUUCUAGAGCCUUUUAAAAUUAAUUGUUUCAAAUUUGAACAUUCACAUUUCACGUUUGAGGAUUUUUAUCUUCAAUUCAAGUUUUAGAUUUACUUUUUUUUUUCAUUUUUAUUUCAUUAAAAUAUUAAGUAGAAAUUAAAAUUAUUAACAUAAUGAUUUUUUGAAUUGGACGUGGAUAUGUAUAGGAUUGAGCAAUUUAACAAAUUUGAAGAAACUCGAUUUAAGAUGGAAUCAAAUUGAAAGCUUUCAAUCCUUUAAAGGUAUGCAUUUAUAUUUAACCAAUUACCUAAAUUCUUACAUAUAAUUAAAUUUUAUGCCAAUUCAUUUCAGUGAUGAAAUUAUAUAAAUCUUUUGUAGAUGGUGGUAGAAAAUUGGAGUUGACCCACUUGGAAGAGCUUAAUUUAGAUGGAAAUCACUUCAAUACUAGUGUAUUUGCAUCCCUUAACAAGCUUUCAAAUUUGAAAUCUUUGAGCAUAAGUGGGAACCAAUUGAAAGGAUCAAUAGAUAUGAAAGGUAAAUAUAUUAGUCUUUUUAACAAGAAUAUAAUAAUGUUUGAAGAGAAUAUAAUGAAGUUGAUUUGUUGUUUUUGUUUUCCUAGAUUUGGAAGCAUUUAUCAACUUAAGGGAACUAGAUAUGAGCGGCAAUGAAUUGAAAGAUUUGGUGAUCCACCAAGGUAUCAUUUAAUUAAACUUCCUUUUUUUUUUAAAUUUAGAAAUUUAGUUUUGAUGUCAAAUAUUAUAAUAACGGUUAUUGUCAUAAAUAUUAAUAAAGUAAUAUCAUAUCAUACUUGAAAGUAAAAUAUGGGUUUGGUGAAACAUUUUCUAAAUCAUCCAUUAUAAUGUGUUUGGACUUUGGUUUGAAACUAAAAUUCUUUAAAAUUUUCAUCAUUUUAAAAUAUUAAUGUUUAUAAUUAUUUUGUUUGUAUAAAUAUAUUUUUUAAAAUAAUUUAUUGAAUUUUUAUGAGAUAAAAAAUAAUUAUAACAAUAAAAAAUGAUAUUAUAAAUAAAUAAAAACAUAUAUUUAUGAGAAAAUAUGUAAUAUAACUAUAUUUUAAUUUCAUAUAUUUUUAAUAGUAUAAAACAUAAAAAUACAUAUUAGCGUUAAAUAAAUGGCAUUUUUUGGCAAAAAUAAAUAAAUGUCAAUUUUGAAUAAUUUAAAAAAAAUCUUUAAUUUUGUGAAAUUUAAGCAUACAUCGAGAGGUGCUUAAACUUCCAUUGCAAUCUUUUUAUAAAUUUCAAAGUGCAUAUGUUUUUAACUUUUUGGUUUAAAAAAAUAUGAUAGGUCUACGUACUCUUUACUAAUUUGUAAUUUAAUUCUUAUACUUUUAUUUUCAAGAAUUUAAUCCCUGUUUUUUUAUAAAAAAAAUCAAAAUCCUAGUUCAAUUGUUAAAAUUGUUAAAAUUUUAAAAUAGUUUGUUGGUGUGACAUUUUGAAAUAAAAAAAAAAACUUAGUAGUAAUGUAACUAAAAAAAUGACGUAAUGAACAUGGAUUUAAUAAAAUAAUUUUAACAAUAUUAAUAAAAUAAUUUUGAAUUUUGAAUUUUAACUUAACUCUAUUUUUGGGCCAAGAUUUAAUGCUUUAAAAUUUUCAUUUAAUCCGCUGAGUUUACUUAUAAUUCUUUUGAGUUUUAUUUAUUGGUGAGUAAAAUACCUAUUUGAUUUUUUUAUAUACUAUUGGCAUCUUUAAAGGUAAUAUAAUAAUUUUAGUGUAGACGUGUUUUAUUUUAUAAAUAUUAUUUAUAGUGUAGACAUGUGAAUUUUGAAUAAUUUAAAAAUAUCUUCAAUUUUAUGAAAUUUAAACAUACAUUUAGUGUAGACAUGUUUUAUUUUAUAAAUAUUAUUUAUAGUGUUGUUGAUUGGAGUUUGAAAAUUAUACAACUUAGCUAUAUCAGUUAAUUACUUAUAUUAAAAAAUAAUAUAAGAAAAUACUAAAAAGAAAAAAAAUAGUAUAAUUAAUAAAAUGGAUGAAGAGUUAUAUUAAAGUUUCAACAUCUUCUCUCUAUCAAAAUUUAUCUCAGAUAAAUCAUGAAUAAUCUAACUCAUAAAAAAUAUAUAUAUAUUUAUAUACUUCAUUUCAUUCACAGAAAAUAAAGCAUUCUACUUAGUAGAGGCUUUCUAUAAUACCGUUAUCUAAUACCUCUUGACAUUGCUUAGAUUCAAAUGUGUCGAGCAGUUUGGAGGAAAUAUAUCUUGACUAUUCUACUCUCAACACCAACAUUUUGCAAAGCAUUGGAGUAUUCGCUUCUCUUAAAACAUUGUCUUUAUAUCAUUGUGGACUUAUUGGUCCCUUACCUAAUCAAGGUAAAUAAUUUUAUGGCUCAAUUUGAUUUCUUUAUGAACUUUCUGUAAUAUAUUAUCUCCUAUUCUGUUUUAUAAAGCAAAAUUUAAUUGAAACUUCUUCCAUGAAUUUAUUUAUAAAAUUUUCAGGAUGGUGUGAUCUAAGGAACCUUGAAGUGUUGGAUGUGAGUGGGAAUGCACUUGAGGGGAUGCUUCCUCAUUGUUUUAGUAACUUGACAUCUCUUCGUGAGUUAUAUAUUUCAAGAAACCAUUUUCAAAUUCCGCUGUCAUUUGCACCAUUUGCAAACCUUUCAAACCUCAAAUCCCUUUGGAUUAAUGAAAACAAGAUGGUAAUGGAACCUUCCUUUUAUACCUCAAUCCCAAAGUUCCAAUUGGAAGUCAUCAGUUUGCUAAAGUGCAUAACAUCUCAACAACUCAGUCGUAAAGUUCCUACCUUCCUUUACUACCAAUAUGACUUGAGAUAUGUGGAUCUUUCGCAUAACAAUUUCAGCGGAACAGUCCCAACUUGGUUGUUAGAAAACAACACAAAAUUAAAAGUUCUUAUCUUGAAGGGUAAUUCUUUUACUGGUCCUCUCUCACUUUCGUCGGCUCUUAUUUCUAAUGUAUCUUCAAUUGACUUAUCUGAAAACAAAUUACAAGGUCAAAUUCCGAUUGGUAUAUGUUCAACUUUUCCACAUUUGAGUCAAUUAUUCUUAUCCAAGAAUGCUUUUGAAGGUAAUAUCCCACUUUGUUUAAGUGGCAUGAAGGACUUAUCAACUUUAGAUCUAUCAAACAAUCUAUUGUAUGGAAAAGUUCCAGAAGAGUUGAUCGCGAAAGGCUCACUGACCAUUUUGAGACUAUCAACUAACAACCUCAGUGGAAAUGUAGUUCCUGUGAUUCUCAGCGCAAAUGGGCUGGAGAAUUUAUAUUUGGAUGGAAAUAAUUUUUCAGGAGAGAUGACAAAUGUUGAUGUGUCUACUUUUGAGUUUCCAAAUUCACUACGGGAAAUUGAUCUCAGUAACAACAAGUUGCAUGGAAAGCUCCCAAGAUGGAUAGGGAAUGCAUCGUUUUUGGGGAGAUUAGCUAUGUCCAACAAUAGUUUUGAGGGUUCUAUUCCAAUGGAAUUUUGCAAGUUGAAUAGCUUGGAAUUUUUGGAUCUUUCUCAAAAUAAUUUAUCUGGCUCUAUACCGUCAUGUUUUAAUCCACCAUACAUAGAGUAUGUCCACCUCCACGGGAAUAGACUGAGAGGCCCACUAUCACUUGCUUUUUAUAAUAGCUCUUCAAUAGUGACUUUAGAUCUUAGAGGAAACAAUUUGACAGGUAGUAUUCCAAAAUGGAUUUACACGCUUUCUUCUUUGAGUGUUCUUCUCUUGAAAGAUAAUCAUUUUCAUGGUAAAGUUCCUAUUGAGUUAUGCAAGUUGCAUUCUUUAAGCAUCAUAGAUCUUUCUCAAAAUAUGUUUUCUGGUCCUAUACCUUCUUGUUUGGGAAAUUUAUCUCUUCCAAUGCAAACGAACAAGACUCUAGAAAUUGAGUUCUAUGGGCCAUCUAUAGAAGAGGAUGAAACAACACGCAGUAUGAUACUAAAUUUGGGAAUGGAUUCUUACUAUCCUGGUAGCUACUUAGAAGAAGUAAUAGAGUUCACAACAAAGAGUGGGUUCUAUUCAUACAAGGGCGACAUCCUUUCAUAUAUGACUGGGAUUGAUUUAUCUUGCAACAACUUAACUGGUCAUAUCCCACCAGAAUUAGGGAACUUGAGUGAAAUCCAUUCUUUAAACCUUUCACACAAUAAGUUGACCGGAGUUAUACCCUCGUCACUCUCGAAACUACAUCAAAUUGAGAGUUUGGACCUUUCUUACAACAACUUAAGUGGUGAAAUCCCCAAUCAAUUGGUAGAGUUAAACUCUUUGGAGGUUUUCAGCGUGGCAUUUAACAACUUGUCAGGUAGUAUUCCCGAACCAAAAGCUCAAUUUGGGACCUUUAUUGAAAAUAGUUAUCAGGGAAAUCCGUUUCUUUGUGGAGUUAUAUUGCAUAAAAGUUGUUCCAAAACCGAUUCACCAUCAACGAUAUCAACUGUAUCAGAAGAUAAAGGAGAAGAUGGUUUGAUAGAUACUUAUGAUUUUUGUGUGAGCUUUUUGGUUUCUUAUGUAGUUGUGUUGUUGACAAUUUUUGUUGUCCUCUACAUAAAUCCACACUGGCGAAGAACUUGGUUUUCUCUUGUUGGGAAAUGCAUUACCACCUGUCGCUACUCAAAUGUGGGCAAUUUUCUUACUUAUCACAUUUUCAAGCAAUGUGUUUAGCUACUCAAAUUGUGAUUUGAUUUCCACACCUAAAUGUUUAAUUAUGCUAAGUUGAGCGAUAAUGAAUAUUUUGUUGAUUUUUGCAUUUUGAAUAAAGGCUCUUUUAUCUUAUGGUUUUAUCAUUUCCAACCAUCUAUUUCUUUUUUCUUCUACGAAAUUUAUUAUGUAUAUGCAAUAUCUCUUUGAAUUAAAUUAAAUUGACUGCCAAGAGUUCACUAAUGCAUACCGAAAAGGAAAUCUAAUGUAAAAUUAAACCAAACAUACUAAAAAAUUGAAUCUAAAAUUGGAAUAUUUUAAAACCUCACAAACAAUGCAAGUCUUUGUUCCUCUUUUCCUCUCAAGUCAUUUUGUAUCAUGUGAUAUUUUACAUAAUUAUUCGUAUCAUCGAAUUUUUAAAAAAUUUAAUAUAUUGAUAUCAUGUUCAUAUUAUGCUUUAAUUCACAAUGUAUUUUGUAUAAUGUGUUAUAACAAUUCAAUUAAAAAACAAGCAAUUAUCUUAUUUUUGCGUACCAUAUUAUACAUUGACAUGUUAAUAAUUCGUUGUACAUAAAUUUUGACAUGUUCGUAUAUUUGAGUCAUUAUAAUUUUAUUAUUUGUAAUAUGACAUGUUUUAAUUACCCUUAAUAUUGCGUCAUGAUAAUUAUAAAUCGAUUGGCAGUCUACCAAAUAAUUUUUCUAAUAAAAAAUAGUAUUUUAUUCUAUUUACCAAAUCUUUAUCAACUUUAUAUUCUCACCAACAAAACAUACAUUCAAAGUUCAAAUAAGUUCCGCACCCAUUUUUUUACUGCAAUACUCAAGAAUAUGCUCAUCAUCAGAAAUCUGAAAUAUUCCACUUUAAUUAACAUUAAUUAUGAUUCUGUAAACAACAAAAAAGUGUGAUCCUUUGAAAUGGGAUUGGCAAAAAAUCCGCACGUGUCGUGUGUGAAGAAGGUGAGGUUGUCUAUUCAUACUCUAAUAAGUAGCUAAUUAUAGUUGAUCCUACAAAAUCAAAAUUAAUUCAGGUAUCUAUAUAUUCUGAAGACUGGACAGACCUUAGAAGCUUCUUCAAAUUUGCAAGAACAUGUCGUGGUCCUAAACACUUUACAGCGAUGAAAUUCAAAAGUUGCUCUAUAUCCUGCAAUCACAGUAAAGAUUAUGCAAUCGUUUCAGAACGAAUAACAAGAAGCAAAAGGCGAUCAAAAUACCGUGAUCUCGAUAAUGUUCUUUGCCGAAAAGGAACAUUAACUUAACCUUAAAACAGCAGUGAAGGCUCACCAGAUUUGCUUAGCAACCUUACAUACACAUGUAAAAAAAGCUUUGCUUUUGGAUGUAAGGUGUGACUAUCAUCACAGUCUUUCCUAAUUAGCUGAUUGUAAUACCCAAUUUGCCCAGCCCACAAUAAAAAACCAAAUAAAUAAAAAUUAAUUAAAACUCAAAUAGUUCACAGCCCAAUAACAACAAAAACCAAACCCAUUUACAGUGACCCGGUACAAACCCAAAGUCAGAUACAUCUAGUCCAACUACACCCAGCCCAAAUACCAAGCCCAAUACAACUAUCAACCCAACCCUAGCCCAAAAAAAAAUCAGAAAACCCUAGCUGCAACAGCCCUCCUUCCAGCGCCGCAGCCACCAGGGCCUUCCCCGAGUGUGCUGUGCCACGUCCACCACCUCCUUACGCCAGCUAGCCUCCUUACCUGCAAAGAAGACGAAAACAACGCAGCAGAGAGAAUUUUUUGUAUUUUCUUUCAUUUUAUUUCGAAUAUUCGGCUAUAAAGAGGGAGAAGGCCAUUGUAAUCCUUUUUUACGCAUAUUGAAUACAAACAAAAAAUCAAAACAGAAAGUUUUUUCGAAAGGUGAUUUUCUUCGUUUUUUUUUCUCUUUUAUUUCUUUGAUUCUUUGUUUUCUUCUUUGGCACCAAACGAAAAUAAAAAGAGGGAGAGAAGAAGCGUCUUACCAGAGCAGACGCCAUUGGAACCUGGUUUGCUCCGUCUGAAUCGGAGUCAGAUUGGGUUCGUGACUGGAGACCGGUGGGGAGAAAGGCUAGGCUCUUGAUCUGUUUUAGGAUGGCAAUACAACUUAUUAGGGUUUUAUUUUUUUAAAUGGCUUCAAAACGUCUCCGUGUUGGUUGACCCGAUGAUCCGACUUGACCCGGGGAGGAUCCGCGUGUUUUGUUUCAAUGGCUUAUUUUAGUGUUUGAUGCUUCUUUUUUUGAUUUACUUCAUUUUAAUCCUUCUUUGUCUUUUUUAAUUUUGCCACAUAAUUCGUUCUUUAUUUCAAUUUCAUCCUUCUGUCAGUUGAGGAGACAAACGUUCGAAACGACGCCGUUUCCGAUGAUCUGACUUGAUUGCCAGGUGAGACUUGUGCGUUUAAUUUCUGUUCUAGUCACUCUAUUUUAAAUUAAUUUCAAUUAGGUCCUUUUCAUUUCAUUUUAUUGCAUGUCUUACCCCUAACUUUCUGUUUUAAUUCCAAAUUAGUAAUCUGUUUUGUUAUUUUUGCUAUCAAAUUAAUUACUUUAAUAUUAAUUUAUCAUUAUUACUAUUAUUACUAUUAUUAUUAUUACUAUUAUUAUUACUACUACUAUUAUUAUUAGUAUUAUUUUUUUAAUCAAUUUAUCUAACCUUUUUAUAUUCAUUAUUUUAUUCUAUUAUGCACUAUUAUUUUAAGUUUUUUUUAUAUUAUUAUCAUAUAUUAUUUAAUUUCAUAAUGAAUUAUUUUAUAUUUUUAUGUUAAUCCAAUAGAAUUUACCUUUUUUAAAUAGUUUUCUUAUAAUACGUAAUUUAUAUCUAUUACCUAUUUAGAUUAAUAUAUGUGUAUUAUUUUGGGUUUUAUUUAUUUUGACUUUCUUCUUAUAAUAUUUAUUUUAAAAUUCAUUUAGAUAUUAUUAUUCAUUUUUAAUUCUAUUUUUAAAUUAUUUCAAGUCUUCCUAUUAAUUACUUCUUUUAAACUUUUAUAUAUGUGUAUUUUGUGUAUAUAUGUUGAUAAUUUCAAAUUUCUUUUCUCUCAUGCUUUUUUUUUAGUUAUUUUAAAUUUGUUAUAUUUGUGAUAGGCUUUUAGGUCAUUAGCUUUCAAAUGUUGAUGUUAAUAUUUACAUGUGAUUAUUGCUCUUAUAUGUAUGAUAAUGUUUAUUUGUUUUUAUUGAUUAUUUGUCAUUCGUUAGAGUAUAUUUUGUUUACAAAUCGUCAUUCCGCGUUAUACAUUAUCGUCCCGUCGCAUUUUAUUCGUUGUUAAAAGGUUACGUUUAAUAUCAUUCAAGUAUCGAGAGCAUUUUUAUUCAAAAAGUUUUUUUCAAAAAUAACGCGACACUCGGAAUUUAGGAUCCUCGAAAAGAUUGUGUCCUAACUUAUUGGAUUCCAAUCUUCCUCGUUGAAUCUAAGAAACCGGGUAUCCUUUUUUAAUUAAAGCAUAAAUAAAAAGCUCAUUCUCGAAAAUUCGAUACGUCGNNNNNNNNNNNNNNNNNNNNNNNNNNNNNNNNNNNNNNNNNNNNNNNNNNNNNNNNNNNNNNNNNNNNNNNNNNNNNNNNNNNNNNNNNNNNNNNNNNNNNNNNNNNNNNNNNNNNNNNNNNNNNNNNNNNNNNNNNNNNNNNNNNNNNNNNNNNNNNNNNNNNNNNNNNNNNNNNNNNNNNNNNNNNNNNNNNNNNNNNNNNNNNNNNNNNNNNNNNNNNNNNNNNNNNNNNNNNNNNNNNNNNNNNNNNNNNNNNNNNNNNNNNNNNNNNNNNNNNNNNNNNNNNNNNNNNNNNNNNNNNNNNNNNNNNNNNNNNNNNNNNNNNNNNNNNNNNNNNNNNNNNNNNNNNNNNNNNNNNNNNNNNNNNNNNNNNNNNNNNNNNNNNNNNNNNNNNNNNNNNNNNNNNNNNNNNNNNNNNNNNNNNNNNNNNNNNNNNNNNNNNNNNNNNNNNNNNNNNNNNNNNNNNNNNNNNNNNNNNNNNNNNNNNNNNNNNNNNNNNAAACUAAAUUUACUUUGUACUCAAUUACAAAUGUUAAGAAAUAUUUUACAAUCUAAUAAAUAAAUUUUUUAAUUAAAUUCACCAUAUUAAAUAAAAAUUUUAAAGCACCUAAAAUUGUCAAAUACAUUCUUUUGAAUUUUAGAAUUUAUGAAUUCCGAAACAGACUUUCAGCAUCUCAAAUUCUCUAUUUAAAUUUCACCUACAUAGUUUUUCUAGAAAUUCUUCAAAACUUCAUUUAUUUAAAUCAAUGGUUCUAUUAUAAAAUAGAGAAUUUAAAACUAAAAAGAUAUUAUUUUUAUUUAAAUCUAAUAUGCAUAUUUUUCUCUUUACAAAAAAUAAAUUUUCAAAAUCCAGGUCUACUAUUAAUACUGUUGAAAUUAUUUUAUUAAAUCCAUAUUCAUUUCGUCAUCUUUUAAUUACAUUGUUAUCAAGUUCUUUUAUUUUAAAAAAAGAUCACACUUUUUAGUUGUUUACAGAAUCAUAAUGUUAAUUAGAGUGGAAUAUUUCAGAUUUCUGAUGAUGAGCAUAUUCUUGAGUAUUGCAGUAAAAAAAUGGGUGUGGAACUUAUUUGAACUUUGAAUAUAAACGAACGUGUCAAAAAUUUAAGUACAACGAAUUAUUAACAUGUAAAUGUAUAAUACGGUAUGCAAAAAUAAGAUAAUUGCUUGUUUUUUUAAUUGAAUUGUUAUAACACUACACAAUACAUUGUGAAUUAAAGCAUAACAUAAAGAAUUGCAUUGUUUGUGAGGUUUUAAAAUAUUCCAGUUUUAGAUUCAAUUUUCUAGUAUGUUUGGUUUAAUUUUACAUUAGAUUUCAUUUUCAGUAUGCACUAGUGAAUACUUGGCAGUCAAUUUAAUUUAAUUUAAAGAGAUAUUGCAUAUACAUAGAAAGAAAUAGAUGGUUGAAAAUGAUUAAACCAUAAGAUAAAAGAGCUUUUAUUCAAAAUGCAAAAAUCAACAAAAUAUUAAUUAUCGCUCAACUUAGCAUAAUUAAACAUUUAGGUGUGAAAAUCAAAUCACAAUUUGAGUAGCUAAACAUAUCGCUUGAAAAUGUGAUAAGUAAGAAACUUGCCCACAUUUGAGUAGCGACAGGUGGUGAUGCAUUUCCCAACGAGAGAAAACCAAGCUCUUUGCCAGUAUGGAUUUAUGUAGAGGACAACAAAAAUUGUCAACAACACAACUACAUAAGAAACCAAAAAGCUCACACAAAAAUCACCUAUCAAACCAUCUUCUCCUUUAUCUUCUGAUACAGUUAAUAUCGUUGAUGGCGAAUCGAUUUUGGAACAACUUUUAUGCAAUAUAGCUCCACAAAGAAAAGGAUUUCCCUCAUAACUGUUUUCAAUAAAGGUCCCAAAUUGAGCUUUUUCGGGAAUACUACCUGACAAGUUGUUGUAUGCCACGCUGAAAACCUCCAAAGAGUUCAACUCUACCAACUGAUUGGGGAUUUCACCACUCAAAUUGUUGUAAGAAAGGUCCAAACUCUCAAUUUGAUGUAGUUUUGCGAAUGACGAGGGUAUAACUCCUGUCAACUUAUUGUGCGACAAGUUUAAAGAAUGGAUUUCACUUAAGUUCCCUAAUUCUGGUGGGAUAUGACCAGUUAAGUUGUUGCAAGAUAAAUCAAUCCCGGUCAUAUAUGAAAGGAUGUUGUCCUCGUACAAAAAGAACCCACUCUUUGUUGUGAACUCUAUUACUUCUUCUAAGUAGCUGUCAGGAUAGUAAGAAUCCAUUCCCAAAUUUAGUAUCAUACUGCGUGUUGUUUCAUCCUCUUCUAUAGGCCCAUAGAACUCAGUGUCUAGAAUCUUCUUCGUUUGCAUUAGAAGAGAUAAAUUUCCCAAGCAAGAAGGUAUAGGACCAGAAAACAUAUUUUGAGAAAGAUCUAUGAUGCUUAAAGAAUGCAACUUGCAUAACUCAACAGGAACUUUACCAUGAAAAUGAUUAUCUUUCAAGAGAAGAACACUCAAAGAAGAAAGCGUGUAAAUCCAUUUUGGAAUACUACCUGUCAAAUUGUUUCCUCUAAGAUCUAAAGUCACUAUUGAAGAGCUAUUAUAAAAAGCAAGCGACAGUGGGCCUCUCAGUCUAUUCCCGUGGAUGUGGACAUGCUCUAUGUAUGGUGGAUUAAAACAUGACGGUAUAGAGCCAGAUAAAUUAUUCUGAGAAAGAUCCAAAAAUUCCAACCUAUUCAACUUGCAAAAUUCCAUUGGAAUAGAACCUUCAAAACCAUUAUUAGACAAAUCUAAUCUCCACAAAAAUGAUGCAUUCCCUAUCCAUCUUGGGAGCUUUCCAUGCAACUUGUUGUUACUGAGAUCAAUUUCCCAUAGUGAAUUUGGAAACUCAAAAGUAGACGCAUUAACAUUUGUCAUCUCUCCUGAAAAAUUGUUUCCAUCCAAAUAUAAAUUCUCCACCCCAUUCACGCUGAGAAUCACAGGAACUACAUUUCCACUGAAAUUGUUAUUUGAUAGUCUCAAAAUGAUCAGUGAGCCUUUCGUGAUCAACUCUUCUGGUACUUUUCCAUACAAUUGAUUGUUUGAUAGAUCUAAAAAUGAUAAGUACUUCAUGCCACUUAAACAAAGUGGGAUAUUACCUUCAAAAGCAUUCUUGGAUAAGAAUAACCGCCUCAAAUGUGGAAAAGUUGAACAUAUACCAGUCGGAAUUUGACCUUGUAAUUUGUUUUCAGAUAUGUCAAUUGAAGAUACAUUAGAAAUAAGAGCUGACGAACGUGAGAGAGGACCUGUAAAUGAAUUACCCUUCAAGAUGAGUUCUUCUAACUUUGUGUUGUUUUCUAGCAACCAAGUUGGUAAAGUUCCACUGAGAUUGUUAUGAGAAAGAUCCACAUAUCUCAAGUCAUAUUGGUAGUAAAGGAAGGUAGGAACUUUUCGACUGAGUUGUUGAGAUGUUAUGCACUUUGACAAACUGAUGACUUCCAAUUGGAACUUUGGGAUUGAGGUAUAAAAGAAAGGUUCCAAUACCAUUUUGUUUUCAUUACUGGAGAGGGCUUUGAGGUUUGAAAGGUUUGCAAAUGGUGCAAAUGACAGUGGAAUUUGAAAAUGGUUUCUUGAAAUAUCUAACACACGAAGAGAUGUCAAGUUACUAAAACAAUGAGGAAGCAUCCCCUCAAGUGCAUUCUCACUCACUUCCAACACUUCAAGGUUCCUUAGAUCACACCAUCCUGAAAAUUUUAUAAAUUCAUGGAAGAAGUUUCAAUUAAAUCUUGUUUUAUAAAACAGAAUAGGAUAUAAUAUAUUACAGAAAGCACAUACAGCAAUCAAUUUGAGCCAUAAAAUUAUUUACCUUGAUUAGGUAAGGGACCAAUAAGUCCACAAUCAGAUAAAGACAAUGUUUUAAGAGAAGCAAAUACUCCAAUGCUUUGCAAAAUGUUGGUGUUGAGAGUAGAAUUGUCAAGAUAUAUUUCCUCCAAAUUGCUCAACACAUUUGAAUCUAAGCAAUGUCAAGAGGUAUUAGAUAACGGUAUUAUAGAAAGCCUCUACUAAGUGAAAUGCUUUAUUUUCUGUGAAUGAAAUGAAAUAUAUAAAUAUAUUUUUUUUAUGAGUUAGACUAUUCAUGAUUAUCUGAGAUAAAUUUUGAUGGAGAGAAGAUGUUGAAACUUUAAUAUAACUCUUCAUCCAUUUUAUUAAUUAUACUAUUUUUUUUCUUUUUAGUAUUUUCUUAUAUUAUUUUUUAAUAUAAGUAAUUAACUGAUAUGGCUAAUUUGUAUAAUUUUCAAACUCCAAUCAACAACACUAUAAAUAAUAUUUAUAAAAUAAAACAUUUCUACACUAAAAUUAUUAUAUUACCUUUAAAGUUACCAAUACUUUUAAAAAAAAAUAAAAAUAGGUAUUUUACUCACCAAUAAAUAAAAUUCAAAAAUAUAUUUAUAUAUGAAAUUAAAAAAUUUAUAUGUAUUUUUACUUUUAAAAAAAUAAAAACAGGUAUUUUACCAAUACUCUAAUAUGUAUUUUUAUGUUUUAUACUAUUAAAAAUAUAUGAAAUUAAAAUAUAGUUAUAUUACAUAUUUUCUCAUAAAUAUAUGUUUUUAUUUAUUUAUAAUAUCAUUUUUUUAUUGUUAUAAUCAUUUUUUAUCUCAUAAAAAUUCAAUAAAUUAUUUUAAAAAAUAUAUUUAUACAAACAAAAUAAUUAUAAACAUUAAUAUUUUAAAAUAAUGAAAAUUUUAAAGAAUUUUAGUUUCAAACCAAAGUCAAAGCACAUUAUAAUGGAGGAUUUAGAAAAUGUUUCACCAAAUCCAUAUUUUACUUUCAAGUAUGAUAUGAUAUAACUUUAUUCAUAUUUAUGACAAUAACCGUUAUUAUAAUAUAUGAGAUAAAAACUAAAUUUCUAAAUUAAAAAAAAAGGGAAGUUUAAUUAAAUGAUACCAAAUCUUUCAAUUCAUUAUAGCUCAUAUAUAGUUCCCUUAAGUUGAUAAAUGCAUCCAAAUCUAGGAAAACAAAAACAACAAAUCAACUUCAUUAUAUUCUCUUAAAACAUUAUUAUAUUCUUGUUAAAAAUCUAAUAUUUUUACCUUUCAUAUCUAUUGAUCCUUUCAAUUGAUUGUCCCCUAUGCUCAAAUAUUUCAAAUUUGAAAGCUUGUUAAGGGACGCAAAUACACUAGUAUUGAAGAGAUUUCCAUCUAAAUUAAGCUCUUCCAAGUGGGUCAACUCCAAUUUUCUACCACCAUCUACAAAAGAUUUAUAUAAUUUCAUCACUGAAAUGAAUUGGCAUAAAAUUAAAUUAUCUGGAAGAAUUUAGGUAAUUGGUUAAAUAUAAAUGCAUACCUUUAAAGGAUUGCAAGCUUUCAAUUUGAUUCCAACUUAAAUCGAGUUUCUUCAAAUUUGUUAAAUUACUCAAUCCUAUACAUAUCCACGUACAAUUCAAAAAAAAUCAUUAUGUUAAUAAUUUUAAUUUCUACUUAAUAUUUUAAUGAAAUAAAAAUGAAAAAAAAAAGUAAAUCUAAAACUUGAAGUGAAGAUGAAAAUCCUCAAACGUGAAAUGUGAAUGUUCAAAAUUGAAACAAUUGAUUUUAAAAGGUUCUAGAAAGAAUUAUCAAGAAAAACAAAGUUAUAGCUUUAGUACCUUUAGUAUCUAAUGAGCCUUGCAAACUGUUCGACCUCAUAUCCAAGGACUUUAGGCUUGAAAGCCAUACAAGAAAGGAAAUUGUGUUGUUCCGAAAGAGAUUAUGACUCAAGUCAAGUUCCUCCAAGUUUGUUAACCUCAGUAGUGUUCCAUCUAUCAUUGGAAGAAAAUAAUGAGUAUAGUUAAUAUCAUCCAAGAUAUAAAUAGUUAGGAAAAAUGAUUGUUUGAGAAGGAAGAGGCAAUUUACAAGCUUUCCCAUGAAUUGAUAACUACAUUUUACAAGUAAAACUUAAUUGAUUCAAUAUAUAAAUACUUUGUUUGAGAUUCCUUCCUACUUUAAUUACUCAAUCCCAAAUAUUGAUUACUUAUAUAUAUUCAUGAUAUGAUAAAAGCAAAUGACUUAUUAAUUGCAACAGCUUUUCCUUCAACAUGAAUUUAAUGCUAUUCUUCAAAUAAUUCCAACUUAUAUCAAUAAUCUCCAAUCUAAUGAGCCAUUGAAAACCUGAUUUAUAUAUUAUAUAAUUAGUUACUACAAAACAUAAAUAAAUAAUAAUACUCCAUUUUUGCAAUAAAAAUUCACUAAAGAAAAUACAUUUGAAGUUUGUCAUUGCCUUUUGGAAUAAGAGUCGGUCAAGAAAGUUAUGCACAAAUACUUAUACCUUUGUUUGAGAUGCUUUCAAUUCUGUUCCAACUUAAAUCCAAGUAUUUCAAGUUUGUCAAAUUAUUCAAUCCUGAAAUUCAAUCCCAAAUAUUGAUUAGUUAUAUAUAUUCAUCGUAUGAUAAAAUUAAACUUGAACAUACAUUGAUUUUUAAACUUGAACUUAUAUCAAUAAUUUCCAAUCUAAUGAGCCAUUGAAAACCUCAUUUAUGAGCCACUGAAAAUAAUUUUUUCUUGAUUCAUAUCAUAUUUUAAUAUAUUAGCAUAUUGUUUUAAAAACUCAAAUAUGUUUAAAAUCAAUUUAGCAUUUAACCUUAAUAUUAGUAUUUAACACCGGUAAUGGAGUUUUUUUAACUCUACAAGUGAAGUUAAAAAAUGACCAAUAACCUACUUUUAAAUAUUUCUUUUUUAAUAUUUUACUAUACCAUAUAAGAUAUUUGUUGUUAUCUCAAUCCUACUUAUGAAGUUUAGAAUUUCUUUAAUAGUACCACCCCGAUUUUUUAAAAAAACCAGAUUUUUUUAAUUUGAUAAAAGAAAAGAAUUUCAUUCAUAGUACCAAAUAUUUAUAUUAUUUUUUUAGUAUUUUCUUAUAUUAUUUUUGAAUAUAAGUAAUUAGCUAAUAUAGCUAAUUUGUAUAAUUUUUAAACUCCAAUCAACAACACUAUAAAUAAUAUUUAUAAAAUAAAACAUGUCAACACUAAAAUUAUUAUAUUACCUUUAAAGUUACCAAUACUUUAUAAAAAAAAUCAAAUAGAUAUUUUACUCAGCAAUAAAUAAAAUUCAAAAGAAUUAUAAGUAAACUUAGCGGAUUAAAUGAAAAUUUUAAAGCACUAAAUAUUGGCCCAAAAACAAAGUUAAGUUAAAAUAUGUCAUAUCUCCCUUUUACUCUUUACAAACGUGAAGUUUUAAAAUUCAAGUCUAAUUAUUAAUACUGUUAAAAUUAUUUUAUUAAAUCCAUGUUCAUUAUGUCAUUUUUUAGUUACAUUGCUACCAAGUUUUUUUUUUAUUUCAAAAUGUUACACCAACAAAUUAUUUUAAAAAAUUAACAAUUUAAAUAAUUAAACUUGGAUUUUGAAAUUUAAAAAAAAUAGAGGGACUAAAUUCCUGAAUAUAAAAGUAUAAGAAUUAAAUUACAAAUUUGUAAAGAGUAUGUAGACCUAUGUUAAUAACAUGUGCAUUUUGAAAUUUAUAAAAAGUUUGCAAUGGAAGUUUAAGCACCUCUAAAUGUAGGUUUAAAUUUCAUAAAAUUGAAGUUUUUUUUUAAAUUAUUCAAAAUUGACAUUUAUUUAUUUUUGGCCAAAAAAUACCAUUUAUUUAACUCUAAUAUGUAUUUUUAUGUUUUAUACUAUUAAAAAUAUAUGAAAUUAAAAUAUAGUUAUAUUACAUAUUUUCCCAUAAAUAUAUGUAUUUUUUAUUUAUAAUAUCAUUUUUUAUUGUUAUAAUUAUUUUUUAUCUCAUAAAAAUUCAAUAAAUUAUUUUAAAAAUAUAGUUAUCAAACAAAAUAAUUAUAAACAUUAAUAUUUAAAAAUUAUGAAAAUUUUAAAGAAUUUUAGUUUCAAACCAAAGUUCAAAAACAUUAUAAUGGAGGGUUUAGAAAAUGUUUCACCAAACCCAUAUUUUACUUUCAAGUAUGAUAUGAUAUAACUUUAUUAAUAUUUAUGACAAUAACCGUCAUUAUAAUAUCUGAGAUCAAAACUAAAUUUCUAAAUUUUUUUUAAAAAAAGGAAGUUUAAUUAAAUGGUACCUUGGUGGAUCACCCAAUCUUUCAAUUCAUUGCCGCUCAUAUAUAGUUCCCUUAAGUUGAUAAAUGCUUCCAAAUCUAGGAAAACAAAAACAACAAAUCAACUUCAUUAUUAUAUUCUUGUUAAAAAUCUAAUAUUUUUACCUUUCAUAUCUAUUGAUCCUUUCAAUUGAUUGAACCUUAUGCUCAACGAUUUCAAAUUUGAAAGCUUGUUAAGGGAUGCAAAUACACUAGUAUUGAAGAGAUUUCCAUCUAAAUUAAGCUCUUCCAAGUGGGUCAACUCCAAUUUUCUACCACCAUCUACAAAAGAUUUAUAUAAUUUCAUCACUGAAAUGAAUUGCCAUAAAAUUUAAUUAUAUGUAAGAAUUUAGGUAAUUGGUUAAAUAUAAAUGCAUACCUUUAAAGGAUUGAAAGCUUUCAAUUUGAUUCCCACUUAAAUCGAGUUUCUUCAAAUUUGUUAAAUUGCUCAAUCCUAUACAUAUCCACGUCCAAUUAAAAAAAUCAUUAUGUUAAUAAUUUUAAUUCCUACUUAAAAUUUUAAAGAAAUAAAAAUGAAAAAAAAGUAAAUCUAAGACUUGAAGUGAAGAUGAAAAUCCUAAAACGUGAAAUGUGAAUGUUCAAAAUUGAAACAAUUAAUUUUAAAAGGCUCUAGAAAGAAUUAUCAAGAAAAACAAAGUUAUAGCUUUUUGUACCUUUAGUAUCUAAUGAGCCUUGUAAACCGUUCCAACUCAUAUCCAAGGACUUUAGGCUUGAAAGCCCUUGAAGAAAGGAAAUUGUGUUGUUCCGAAAGAGAUUAUCACUUAAAUAAAGUUCCUCUAAGUUUGUUAGCCUCAAUUGUGUUCCAUCUAUCAUUGGAAGAAAAUAAUAUCAUUCAAGAUAUAAAUAGUUAGAAAAAUGAUUGUUUGAGAAGGAAGAGCCAAUUUAGAAGCUUUCCCAUGAAUUGAUAACUACAUUUUACAAGUAAAACUUAAUUGAUUCAAUAUAUAAAUACUUUGUUUGAGAUACCUUCCUAUUUUGAAAUACUGCAACAUUAACUGUCCCUUAAACAAAAAUUGGUUUUAAAGUAAAAAAGAAACAUAUAAAACCAGUCUACCUUUAAUAUGAAUUGACAUAUAAAUACUGUACUUAUACCUUGGUUUGAGAUGCUUUCAAAUUUCAAUUCUGUUCCAACUUAAAUCCAAGUAUUUCAAGUUUGUCAAAUUAUUCAAUCAUAAAAUUCAAUCCCAAAUAUUGAUUAGUUAUAUAUUCAUCGUAUGAUGAAAUCAAACUUGAAUAUACAUUGAUUUUUAAAGUUGAAAAGAAACAGGUAAAAUCAGUCUACCUUGAAUAUGAUCCAUCCUUCCUUUCAACUCAUUACCACUCAAUCUUAAAGUCUUCAAGGAUGAAAGAUUUCUCAUAUGGAACAAAAUGCUAUUCUUCAAAGAAUUCCAACUUAAAUCAAGAGUUUCCAAGUUAUUGAGUCUUGAAAGCAAUUGAAAACCUGAUAUAUAUACAUAAUUACUUGUUAAUUGUUUUUUUCUUUCUUUGCUAUAUGAAAAUUUUACUAAAGCAAUAGUGGAAUUACAACGGAUAAAAAGAAUGGAAAACUAGGUACCAAACCCAGAAGACCAUCCUCAAACUCCACUAUACAAAUAAAAACUAACACCAGACCAAACUUAAUUUACCUCUUAGAUGACUUGAUCCUUCUAAUUUGUUGUGUGAUAGAUCUAAAUACCGGAGAGAUGAAAGCUCACUCAAAGAUAACAAAAUGCUGUCAUUCAAGUAGUUUUCACUUAAGUCAAGGAUCUCCAAAUUACUCAACGUGGAUGAUAGUUUUCCAAAGCCUAUAGAAAUAUUCUUUUAAAUAUAUACAAGUUAGUGACUUUUCUUCCAUAAAAUAAAAUAAAAUAUAAGUAAUUGCAAAUUAACGAUGGUGAGAGUAGUGGAAUAAUAAAAGAUGUAAUUAAGGAAAAACUAGAGGCACGACCUUCAUUUUCAAGAUUACCACUUAUGGCAUUCCCCGACAAAUAAAGACUCUUCAAUUCCUCAAAGGGAAGAAACAUAGAGGCAUUGAGAUACCAGGCAUUGAGAUUCCUAUUAUCCAUGUCGUAUUCCCAUUUUGUAGAAUUAAGGGAGAGUUGUAUGAGUCUCCUAGUGGUGGUGUUACACUCAACUCUUUCCCAUUUACAACAAUCUGAACCCUUCACCUCAACCCAACUAUUCAAUUGAUUACCAUCAUUGAAGAAAGGUUUGAGAUGCAAGAGAGCGAUUCUCUCAUGCUCCAAACAAGCAUCAGUAGUACACCAUCUGCAUCCUUCUAACACCAACAACAUUACUGCCAUCCUAAUAAACCUUAACCAUUUCCACUUCAUCAUCAUCAUCAUCUCUCUGUUUUCACUUCUCUCUCAGCUAUAUGUUACUUUUUUUUAACUUCUAUAUGUAUAUAAUCUAAAGAAGCCUAAGCUUCUUAUUUAUAUACAAGCAGAUGCAUCCCACUAACUCACUAUAAUGUAAAAAUAAUAUAUAAUUAAUUAAUUCCUCAAAAAUUGGAUCAAAAUCUAGGCUUCUUAUUUACGUAAAUUAUUUAUUGCAAAAACUCUUAGUGGAAAUUCGUUAGGAAGGGAUGAAGGGGCCACAAGAAUAUUGAUGUUAAUCUUGAAAAACGAAUUGCCAAAAAAAUAUGAAAAGUGAGAGGUGGACAUAAAAUCGUAUAGUUGGGAUUGCAAAAGUCUUCAUGUGGCUUUCUUGUGAGUUUCAUUUAUACCCUUCUUACACUUAUACAAACUUAGUCUUGACUUGGCUUUAUUAAUGGAAAAUUUAGAUCUUCAUUUUUGGUUUUAUUCAUAGAAAUUUUACUUCUUUGAUUUUGGUUUUAUUAAUGGAAAUUUUAAGUCUUCAGUUUGCUUUUAUUCUUGCACAUUUUAGGUUUUGAUUUUGAAAAUUUAGUUUUUUCAUCUCUAUUAUUAUAAAAUUUCUUAAUUUAAUUAAUAUCAUGAGUUAAUUUAAUACUUUAAAAAAUAAAAUAUUACAUUCACUAUUUUUUUAAAAAUAAAAGUAACUAUAAAAUUUUAUUAUUUAUAUAAUAUUUUAAAAAAAACUAUUUAUUUCUACUAGACCACUACUUUAAAACUAUCCAUUAUCAUAUUGUAAUAGGCCCAAUUUGCCCGGGCCCGGUAAAUAAAUAAAACCAAUAAAAUCAAAUAAAAAAUAGUCCCAAAACAGUCCAUUUACAAUGACCCAAUACCAACCCAAUGGCCUAAAUCUCUACCCAAGCCCGAAUCUAAACCUAAACAGGCCCAAACCCCACUAAACCUAAUGGCCCAAUACCCAGCUUGGCUGAGACAAACCCUAGCCUUCAGCAGCUUUCUGCUCUUGCGCUGCAGCCAAGCCGCUCCUCACGUACGAGCCUCAUUCAUGCGCCGCACCGAGCAACGCCAUCGCCAGGGACCACGCCUGUACUGUGCCACGUGAGCCUCCGUACAUGCGCGCCCGUUCACCUCUGUACCAGUACCUGCAAAUACACACAAGAAGCAGCGAAGCAACAAAAAAAAAAAGAAAAUAGCAGUAGAAAAAUAGGGGAUUUUCAGUUUUUAUUUGAUUUUUCUGGCUAUAAAAGCCAAACACGCAGAUUGUAUCAUAGGGGGAACUCACACAUAUUGCAAAAAAAAAGGGGCAGAAAAUCAAUACAAAAAAAAAAAGAAAAGGUUUUCUCUUCCUUCAGGUCUCUUUUCUUCUCCAAUUGUUUCUUUUCUUUUUCGUUUGUUAUUAGCCUCAUAUAAGUAUAGAUAUAUAUAGAGUAAAUAAUAACAAAAAGGGGGGGUUAAAACGUACCUGGUGAUGCCUUUGAAUCCACGCGAAGAAGCCAAAAAGCCUUGAAUGGUGAGGCUCCGACCACCAUUCGCAGUGGAAUCAAGGCGGAGGGGCGGACUGACGGCACUGAAGGGUGAAACCCUAGCAGAGGAAACAAUAAGCAAUUUUUUUUAAAAACGAGUCUGCUAAUGUUUUUUUAGGGUAAAUUUUGUUUAAAUAAUGAUACAAUACGGAGCCGUUUUGGGCUAGGGUUCCUAGCGCCCAAACGACAUCGUUUAGAGGCCUUACCCAAUGACCCGAUCCAGAUGGCGGCUAGAUCCGCGUGUUUGGUAGGAGGAGGGGAAAUUUCGCGAAGAGUCCCUCUUGUUUUGUGCCGUUUCGGUUUGAUUUUCUUCAUUGUUUUUAAUUUGAAUCGCGUAUUUUAUUUUGUUUUCAAUUUGAUCCAUAGUUAAACGGCACCGUUUUCACUAAUCGGAUUUGAGCAUCCGAACAUUUGUGUUUAUUUUCUGUUUUAGUCCUCUCUGUUAUUUUUUAUUAUGAUUUUUACCCUCCUAUUUUAUUUUCACCCUAAUUUAGUCCCGAAACUGUUAGAUUUCACUUUAUUUAUGCAAUGUAUAUAUUUAUUUAUUUUAAACUUUAUAUUAUUUAUUUUAAAUCGUUCUAUUACUAUUUAUUUUAAGCCUUUUUUACAUAUUAUAUGUUUUAAAUUAUGUUAAUCAAUUAUUCAUUUUAAAUAUAUAUUAUUUAUGUUAAACUACAAAUGUAUAUUAUUUAUUUGGAAUUGUUCUUAUGCACAUCAUGCAUUAUCAUUUUAAAAAAAAUAAUAAUAAUAGAAUUUGUUUGCAUAUUGUUCAUUUAGGAUUCCUUCUCACACAUUACUUAUUUUAAACGUUUUACAUAUUAUUUUAAAUUGUUUUAUAUGUUUUUUUUAAAUGCUUUGAAGAUUAUUCAUUUUAACUUGUUUUACACAUUAUUUUAUUAUGUAUGGAAUUGCUUUAAUAUAUAUAUACGUGAAUAAAACGUAUUGUAACUGGUAAUUUCUAAAAUUUUAUUCUACGUUUUAAAAUUUUUAUCAUUUCGAUUAUGUUGAUUGGUUUACUUGGGAUUAAAUUAUUAUUGCAUUGAUUAUUCUUUUUUUUUUUGAUUUUUUUGUUAGAUUGAUUAUUAGUUUAUUUGAUUAUCAAUGUUGAUGUAUUAUAUGUUUGGUUGCUCCAAAUUGUAAAUUUAGCUUGCUAUUCACCAUUUGAUUAGUAUAUUGAUAUUUUAUUAUAUUGUUUGUAAAAAUUGCAUUUCAUUAAAGCAUUACAAUUGUUUUAUUUCAAAAUUCUCAAAAAGCUUGGUAUUUAAAAAUUCUCGAGAGGAUUGUGCCCUAACUUACUGGGCUUCAAUCCUCCCUUUUUGAUUCUAAAUAACCGAAUACCUUUUUUAAUUUGAACAUAGAAGUUUCAAAAUAAAAGCUCAUUCUCGGGAAUUUGACACGUUGUGUCCUAACGCAUUGAAUAUGACUAUUAUUUUCUCGAGAUGAGGAUUUUAAGGCAAUGUUCGAUAUUUAGGAAUUUUGUGAAAUCGAACCCUAACUUACUAGGUCUUGAUUUUCUCAUUUGACCCAGAUAAUCGGAUAUCCUCCUCAAAAUGCAUAGGUUUUAAAAGACGAGAGAUAAACUUAACUUGGAGGACUUAAAAUGUUGCACUCUAACUUACUAAGUGUGACGAUUUAUUUCUUUGAAAUAAGUGAGUCUCGUCGUCCAAUUCAUUUUAUUCAAAAUAAAAGGAUCAAAUUUUAAAAUCUUUUCAAAAUUUUGACAUUAAGACAUUAAACAUUCCAAUCGGUACCAAUUUUGGGCGUCACGAGGGUGCUAACCCUUCCUCGUGCGUAACCGACUCCCGAACCCGUUUUCUCAAAAAUUCGCAGACCUAAAAUUAUUUUCAAGGUGAUCCGCACACCACAAUAAAAGAUCGGUGGCGACUCCAUUUCCAUUUUCAAAAUUGAUCCCCAUUUUUCAAAUUACAAAAAAAUGGCUUCGACAGCUUGGCGACUCCACUGGGAACGAUUUAGAGAGUCAAGCCAUAAAAUUGAUUGUUUUUGUCUUAUUGUCGAAAAUUAAAAUUUGAUUUGAAAAAUUACGCUCUUUUCUUUGCACUUGUUUGCAUGAUUAUUGUAAAUUAAGUUGCAUAUUUUGGCAUCAUUUUGCAUAAGACUGUUUAGUCUUGUCCUUUUAAGUGGGAGUGAGAAACUAGUCCUUCGUGAGGUUUUCACCUUCGUGCAGGAUAGUGGAUCACUUCCGGGAUACAUCCGUACCUAUGUCUUCGUGAGAUUUUCAUCUCCGUGCAGCCAUAGGGAAAUGUAUUCCCCUGAACCGAACUCGGUCUGUAUGAGCCUAUAAUGGGUGAAGAUCGAGGAAUCUACUGGUUCGGGUACCUUGACUUUAGAAACAACCCUCAUAUAGUGGACUUAGGAACCCAUCCUAGGUAGAGCCACUCCGAACCCCUAGUGGUCACCCGACUAGGCACUUUUGUUUUCCUUGUUUGCUUCUGUUUCGCACUAACCUAUCUUGUUUUGUUUUGAUUAUGAUUGCAUUUCAUUUGCAUCUUAGGAAGGAGACAUUGAUUCAAGUUCGAUUACUAAAUUAAAAAGCUUGUCAUGGAAUACGAAUUCCUUGAUAAAGUGGAAAACAAUACGACUUUCCGAAUAUAUUCUGAGAAACAUAAGAAGGGCGAUCGAAGAGUUCGCAACCUCGCUUCGUGGCCUAAGGAUUCAAGGCGAUUGUCUGAGAGCCUUCGACGUUCCACCCCCUUUAAAAGCUGACGAGCCUUAAGAAGAUGGAUAGAUGAUGGAUCGUGACCAAGAUCAAGAAAAGGAGCUAGUAAUGGCAUCUAUUGGUAAGAUUACCUCAAACGUGCGGAUGAAGAAAAAGAUCGAUGUUGGUUCUUGGAAUAUGAGGGCGAGGUCGUACAUGUAUCCGUUUUAUGUAAGGGAAUUUGCUUUCUAGAAAAGUUUUCUAAAUGUAAUUGAAUCAGAAUCAACGUCUCUUUAGGCAUUCAUUUCAUGUAUUUGCAUUACAUUGCAUUACAUGCAUUAAAAUCCAUUGAAAAAGUCUAAACGAGUAAAUUUAUUUCAGCUAACCUGGAAAACCAACCGACCAAACACCCUUACGAUAUCCAAGAAAAGACUAGAGAAAUGGAAUGAAGGUUGGAAAAAUUAGAGCGGAUGCAGAUUCAGAUGCGGGAGAGAUUGACUGAAUUUCAACAGGAGAUGAGAGAUCAGAUGCUAGAAUUACAGAGAACCUUGAUGAACCAGUUCAACUGACUACUAGCUGGAGAGUUAGAAAAAAAGAAGGACCCGGUGGUCCACUUUGGGGUUGAUAAUAAGGAUCUUGCCCAUUCCCUAGAUUAUACUCCGACAAGUGUCCAAGUCCAGCCGGAUGGGCGUCCACAUGGGGCACUCUUUACUAUCAGAUCACAACAGUAUCAAACUGGUACAGCAACACCGGUGGGUUGCUUGACAAACCCAAGGUCCAAUGCGAGGAACAAUUUUCCUGUUGCUCUCGAUGGCCCGGCUGAAACAAAGCAGGCAAGGGUGGAGUACCUAGGUACUACAAAGGCCCUAAGGAAGAAGGGGAAUAAAUGGGAUAAUGUAGGUAGGUAUAACAAGGGCCACUCAAAACCAAUCACUGCGGGCCAACAAAAGAUGGCAACCACCAGCCAUCAGAGCCCUUUAAAGCAAGACCCUUAUGUGAAACAAGGCACUGAGAACCUCCAGUUCACGCCAAUUUCGGUGUCGUAUAAGGAGCUGUAUCAAAGCUUAUUCAAUAUGCACAUUGUUGCCCCUCUCUACACGAAACCUCCACAGCCUCCGUACCCUAGAUGGCAUGACGCAAAUGCACGAUGUGAAUAUCAUGCAGGAAAUAUGGGGCAUUCCAUAGAAAACUGCAUUGCCUUUAAAAAAACUGAUUGAAAGGCUUAUCAGUAUGGGCGUCAUUAAAUUUGAUGAUUCCUCUAGUGUAUAAAAUACGCCGCCUAAUCAUAUUAAUGACGAGGCGAAUGAGGUGUACGAAGUAGUGUUGGGAAAUGUUCACAUCAACGACGUGUCUGAAGACACAAAUGGAAAGGGAUCUUGUUAGAUGUCCGCCCUUAUAAAUUCUGGAGUGUUCUAAAUAAUUAGACUGCGGAAGAAAUCCAUAUAGUCUCUAGAGCUUUUUAAGGUAAUGUUCAGAACAUUUUUGUUGGUUUUAGCCUAGAAAUGAUAGAAAUUCCUUUGUGAAAUAGGCUUAUGUCUGAACGUUGUUAUUUUAAUGAAAUACAUCUUUGCAAUUACUUCUGAGCCAAUAUUUUCAUUCUUUGCGAAUAAGUCCAUAUUCUUUCACUCUUUUGGAUUUUCUUCCAAACCAUCAUUCAUUCAUUCAUAAUUAUGUGAUAUAAAUAAUUAUUCAUAAAUUUAUACAUUCUUUUGUAUAUUCUUCGGUGCUUAUUAUGGGUCCCCAGAUAUCAAUUACUUGAAUGACACUGCUAAAGACUCAGAUUUUCCUUUUGAGCAAGGCAUGUGUUCAGAGGGAUCUCAGGACUUUGGGAAUGACAUAGAUCUAGCUUAUCUCAGACUUGUUGAGGAUGAUAGAACAAGAGAACCGACAGAUCCUACCUCACAAGGAAUCAUUAGGAAUUGUGGGCUUAGUGAAGAUUAGAAUUGACCUGACCUCAAAGAUGAAACAAGACCUUGUUCAGAGAUGUCUUUGUAGGAUCAUGCCAGGAUAUGCCGGGUUAAGCGCAACAACACAAUGACAAAAUUUGCAGUGUGAAUGACGUAAUGGAAAUUCUUUGCCGGGGCAAUGCACUUCUUGUUAACUCAGUAUAGCUUUGCCCAUUUGAAUUCGAGUUUCUAUUUCUUCAAGUUUUGUUGGAUUUUAUCUUGAUUGAAGAGGAGGAUCCAAAAUUUUCUAUCGUAGUUUCGCCCCAGAAGGCUCUAUGAAAGAAACCUAAUACCAAAGAGGGUUUUUCGCAUAUAGGAUGAAAGUGGAAGAUCUUAUCGAAAGGGAUAUCAUAGGCUUGCCCAAUCCUAAGGGUUUAGAUUCAAAAAAAAAAUCAAAAUAAAAAAAAGAAAAAUCAAAGUCAAAAGUAAAAAAAAAAAGAAAUCAAUCAAAGUCAAAACAAAUAUGAAAAGAGAAAAAGAAAGAAAAGGAGAGGCCAAGGCGAAAACCCGCAAAGGGAACUUUGUGACCAAAGGUGGUUUUGAGUUGAAAACCCGAAAAAGGUGACUCAAAUUUUGAGUAAAUUGAGGCAUGGACAUCACAAUUAUCGAAGAUUUCUAAUGGGCAUUGCUUCACUAUUGAGAUCAUUAAUUACUUCAUCAAAUGGAUAGAGGCUACUGCAUACGUUAAUGUCAUCAUAUGCCGAUAUAGAAUUCCAGAUUGGAUGGUAUUGGAAAUUGCAUUGAACUUGAAUGACAGCACGACAGCUGAAGGCUGCAAUCAGUUCAAAAUCAGGCACCACGGUUUGCCACUGUAUUGCAAGAUGAUGAAGUUAAAAAAAAGAAUGAAAAAUGAAAAUGAAAAAUGAAAAAUGGAGAGGCUAAGGGAAAACCCGCAAAGGGCACCUUAGGCCAAGGGGAUUUGAGUUGAAAACCCGAAAAGGGCGGCUCAAAUAUUUGUUCAGAAUGGGGCAUGAGGCGAUCAGAGCGAUUUGAAUUUUGAUAAUAUUGGGGCAUGUGGUGAUCUUGCUAUGCCUGAAUCAACAGGAGAGGAUAGGCGACAUCUUGGGGCAUCGACAAAGCACUGUAGAUCCCCUAAACACAUGUCCAACUCAAAAUAGUCUUCAGAGAGUCUGUACAGAGAAGUUCAAGCUGCGAUAUCUAGGGCACCCAAUUCUCAUAUUAUUUGUUGUUCUUGGAAUACUUUUUUCUUUUCCAAGAUAUACAUUCCCAAUUGUCAUCCUUCUUUACUAUUUUCGAUAAUUUGUUCUUUCGAGCUAUGCUCAGAACCAACUUUAUUCUUAUCCAUUGUUAUAACCCUUUUUGUAAACAUGUUGCAUUGGAAUAAUAAUUAAUGGACUAAUAAAACUUUCACAAGGGAAGUUUUGCAUAUUACUUUGAAAAGUUUCUAAGAAAUAUAGGAACCUGAAACAGGACUAUUGUUUAGAACGCACCAGGUAAAGGUUGGAAAUUUGAGAGGGAAGAGUCUAAAUUUGGGCUUUCUCUUUGGAUUUCAUUGUUAAAUGCAUUGAUUGACAGGAUGCCAUGAUUGGUGACAAAGCUUAAGUAUACAAGCAAGCAAUUAUCACCAGGUAAGAGGAGGAGGUUACCUCGGAGAAGAGAGCCUUCAUCUGCGCAUAAGUCUUUGGUACGACACCUUGGGAAUGGUGUAAGGAACUAGAACGACUCGGAUCCUGUAUCCUUGAAUUAUGAUAAGGAAGGAUUGAGGAAAGGCCAUAUAUUUCUACGCUUGGAUUACAGUGGGAGAAUGAAGGUACAAAAUUUGUGUCCCAGUGGUUUACAGUGGGGGCAAUCUGACUAAGUGAUUCUUCAGAAAAGCCAAUCGAGCAAGAAGGUGUUGUAACAACGUCAGCCUAAAAAAAACUCAGAGUAAUGACAACCUAAGCGGGAUCGUUCUCGAAAAAAAUAAAAUUCCGCAUUCAUGCAAACGCCAUUCACACAUGUCUAGUUAGGAGCAUUUGAUUCAUUCUGAUCAUACCAUCCUAAUCAUUAGGCAUAAUUAGGUUCAUUAUACAGGUCAUGUUCCCCAGAGAACAGAUCAGUGAAUAUUGCGGAUCUUAUCUUCCCCAGGAGUAAGGAAAUAGAUCUAAGCACGAAUCUUAUCUUCCCCAGGAGUAGGGAAGCAGAUCUAAGCGGCGAAUCUUAUCGUCCCCAGGAGUAGGGAAACAAAUUUAAGCCACAAGUCUUAUGUCCCUGACCAACAGCGGAGUAGUUUGGAAAUUACAAGUCUUAUCUCCCUAAGCAGUAGUGGAGCAGACCGAAGAAGCAAAUUUUAUCUCCCUGAGGUUACAGUGGAGCAGAUCGAAAUCGAUAAUCCUAUCUCCCUGAAGUUGUAGUGGAGCGGAUUAAACAACAGAUCUUAUCUCCCUAAGCAGUAGUGGAGCAGAUCGCAUCAAGUUUUAUCUCCCUAAGUAGUAGUGGAGCAGAUGAAAAAAAAACCAAUCCUAUCUCCCUAAAAUUACAGUGGAGCGGAUUAAAACAAUAGAUCUUAUCCCCUUAAGCAGUAGUGGAGCAGAUCGCAUCGGGUCUUAUCUCCCUGAAGUUGCAGCGGAGCAGACUGAGCGAACAAGUCUUAUCUCCCUAAGCAGUAGUGAGCAGACGAAAAAACCAAUCAUAUCUUCCUGAAAUUGCAGUGGAGCGGAUUAAAACAAUAGAUCUUAUCUCCCUAAGCAAUAGUGGAGUAGAUCGCAUCAGGUCUUAUCUCCCUGAAGUUGCAGCGGAGCAGACUGAGAAAACAAGUCUUAUCUCCCUAAGCAGUAGUGGAGCAGACGGAAAAAAAACCAAUCCUAUCUCCCUGAGAUUGCAAUGGAACGGAUUAAAACCACAGAUCUUAUCUCCCUAAGCAAUAGUGGAGCAGAUCGCAACAAGUCUUUUCCCCCUGAAAUCACAGUGGGGCAGACUGAAGAAGCAAAUCUUAUCUCCCUGAGGUUGUAGUGGAGUAGAUUGAAUUCGAUAAUCCUACCUCCCUGAAGUUGUAGUGGAGCGGAUUAAAGUAAUGGAUCUUAUCUUUCUGAAGUUACAGUAGAGUAGAUCGCAUCAGAUUGAAGUCAGAAAUCUUAUCUCCCUGAGAUUACAGCGGAGUAGAUUGAAACUAGUAAUCCUAUCUCCCUUAGUUUACAGUGGAACGGAUUAAAAUAAAGGAUCUUAUCUCUCUGAAGUUACAGUAGAGUAGAUCGCAUCAGGAAUUAUCUCCAUGAGAUCACGGUGGAAUAGACCGAAGAAUUUUAGAUCUUACUUCCUAGAUAAUACAGUGGAACAGAUUAAAGCCACAGCAGCGAAUCUUGCUUCCCUGACAUCACAGUUAUGAGUUACAAAUCUGAUCUCCCCGACGUUGGGGUGGAGUGGAUCAAGGCACCGAUUCCUAUACCUCUAAAGAUGCAGUAGGAUGGAAUGAGGUAACUCGAAGAAGAAGAACACUAGGGUUCAGCACGACCGGGCAAAAUUGGUCCUCUUUAGUCUUUGCUCUAUUCUCGUUACACGACAAUGAGCAAAGAGGGGCAGCUGUAAUAGGCCCAAUUUGCCCGGGCCCGAUAAAUAAAUAAAACCAAUAAAAUCAAAUAAAAAAUAGUCCCAAAACAGUCCAUUUACAAUGACCCAAUACCAACCCAAUAGCCUAAACCUCUACCCAAGCCCGAAUCUAAACCUAAACAGGCCCAAAACCCACUAAACCUAAUGGCCCAAUACCCAGCCUGGCUGAGACAAACCUUAGCCUUCAGCAGCUUUCAGCUCUUGCGCUGCAGCCAAGCCGCUCCUCACGUACGAGCCUCCAUUCAUGCGCCGCGCCGAGCAACGCCAUCGCCAGGGACCACGCCUGUACUGUGCCAUGCGAGCCUCCGUACAUGCGCGCCCGUUCACCUCUGUACCAGUACCUGCAAAUACACACAAGAAGCAGCGAAGCAACAAAAAAAAAGAAAAUAGCAGUAGAAAAUAGGGGAUUUUCAGUUUUUAUUUGAUUUUUCUGGCUAUAAAAGCCAAACACGCAGAUUGUAUCAAAGGGGGGAACUUACGCAUAUUGCAAAAAAUCAAUAUAAAAAAAAAGGUUUUCUCUUCCUUCUGGUCUCUUUUCUUCUCCAAUUGUUUCUUUUCUUUUUCGUUUGUUAUUAGCCUUAUAUAAGCAUAGAUAUAUAUAGAGUAAAUAAUAACAAAAAGGGGGGGUUAAAACGUACCUGGUGAUGCCUUUGAAUCCACGCGAAGAAGCCAAAAAGCCUUGAAUGGUGAGGCUCCGACCACUAUUCGCAGUGGAAUCAAGGCGGAGGGGCGGACUGACGGCACUGAAGACUAGGGUGAAACCCUAGCAGAGGAAACAAUAAGCAAUUUUUUUUAAAAACGAGUCUGCUAAUGUUUUUUUAGGGUAAAUUUUGUUUAAAUAAUGAUACAAUACGGAGCCGUUUUGGGCUAGGGUUCCUAGCGCCCAAACGACAUCGUUUAGAGGCCUUACCCAAUGACCCGAUCCAGAUGGCGGCUAGAUCCGCGUGUUUGGUAGGAGGAGGGGAAAUUUCGCGAAGAGUCCCUCUUGUUUUGUGCCGUUUCGGUUUGAUUUUCUUCAUUGUUUUUAAUUUGAAUCGCGUAUUUUAUUUUGUUUUCAAUUUGAUCCAUAGUUAAACGGCACCGUUUUCACUAAUCGGAUUUGAGCAUCCGAACAUUUGUGUUUAUUUUCUGUUUUAGUCCUCUCUGUUAUUUUUUAUUAUGAUUUUUACCCUCCUAUUUUAUUUUCACCCUAAUUUAGUCCCGAAACUGUUAGAUUUCACUUUAUUUAUGCAAUGUAUAUAUUUAUUUAUUUUAAACUUUAUAUUAUUUAUUUUAAAUCGUUCUAUUACUAUUUAUUUUAAGCCUUUUUUACAUAUUAUAUGUUUUAAAUUAUGUUAAUCAAUUAUUCAUUUUAAAUAUAUAUUAUUUAUGUUAAACUACAAAUGUAUAUUAUUUAUUUGGAAUUGUUCUUAUGCACAUCAUGCAUUAUCAUUUUUAAAAAAAUAAUAAUAAUAGAAUUUGUUUGCAUAUUGUUCAUUUAGGAUUCCUUCUCACACAUUACUUAUUUUAAACGUUUUACAUAUUAUUUUAAAUUGUUUUAUAUGUUUUUUUUUAAAUGCUUUGAAGAUUAUUCAUUUUAACUUGUUUUACACAUUAUUUUAAUAUGUAUGGAAUUGCUUUAAUAUAUAUAUACGUGAAUAAAACGUAUUGUAACUGGUAAUUUCUAAAAUUUUAUUCUACGUUUUAAAAUUUUUAUCAUUUCGAUUAUGUUGAUUGGUUUACUUGGGAUUAAAUUAUUAUUGCAUUGAUUAUUCUUUUUUUUUGAUUUUUUUGUUAGAUUGAUUAUUAGUUUAUUUGAUUAUCAAUGUUGAUGUAUUAUAUGUUUGGUUGCUCCAAAUUGUAAAUUUAGCUUGCUAUUCACCAUUUGAUUAGUAUAUUGAUAUUUUAUUAUAUUGUUUGUAAAAAUUGCAUUUCAUUAAAGCAUUACAAUUGUUUUAUUUCAAAAUUCUCAAAAAGCUUGGUAUUUAAAAAUUCUCGAGAGGAUUGUGCCCUAACUUACUGGGCUUCAAUCCUCCCUUUUUGAUUCUAAAUAACCGAAUACCUUUUUUUAAUUUGAACAUAGAAGUUUCAAAAUAAAAGCUCAUUCUCGGGAAUUUGACACGUUGUGUCCUAACGCAUUGAAUAUGACUAUUAUUUUCUCGAGAUGAGGAUUUUAAGGCAAUGUUCGAUAUUUAGGAAUUUUGUGAAAUCGAACCCUAACUUACUGGGUUUUGAUUUUCUCAUUUGACCCAGAUAAUCGGACAUCCUCCUCAAAAUGCAUAGGUUUUAAAAGACGAGAGAUAAACUUAACUUGGAGGACUUAAAAUGUUGCACUCUAACUUACUAAGUGUGACGAUUUAUUUCUUUGAAAUAAGUGAGUCUCGUCGUCCAAUUCAUUUUAUUCAAAAUAAAAGGAUCAAAUUUUAAAAUCUUUUCAAAAUUUUGACAUUAAGACAUUAAACAUUCCAAUCGGUACCAAUUUUGGGCGUCACGAGGGUGCUAACCCUUCCUCGUGCGUAACCAACUCCCGAACCCGUUUUCUCAAAAAUUCGCAGACCUAAAAUUAUUUUCAAGGUGAUCCGCACACCACAAUAAAAGAUCGGUGGCGACUCCAUUUCCAUUUUCAAAAUUGAUCCCCAUUUUUCAAAUUACAAAAAAAUGGCUUCGACACAUAUAACUUCUCUUUAAUAAUUCACUAUUCUUUGAACAUUCAUUAGUUUUUGAAACAUAAAAUUUAUAAAUAAUUAUUUUUAGGGUAAACUACACCCAUGGUCACUUUUGUUUACCUUAGGUUACAUUUCAGUCACUUAUGUUUGAAAUGUUACGUUUUAGUCACUUAAGUUAUUGUGUUGUAACAUUUUAGUCACUGAGCCGUUAGUUGUCGUUAAUGGCUGACGUGGCACGUUAAAUUAUCAUUUCAAACAAAAACUUUAGGUUAAAUUAUACAAUUGGUUUCCAUAAUUUUUCGUUUUGAGCAAUUUAAUUCUUUUAUGCUCUUUAACUUUCUUUCUUUUUUUUUUUCUUUAUUUUCCAUUCUCUUCUGCUUCUCCCUGUUUUCCUACAUUCUUUAUUUCUUUUAACAUAUCAGGAAGUCGAAUUGGUAGUGAAGAAAGAAGCAUGGUAUGGGUUUAUGGGUUUUGGUUAUGGGCAAAUGAUGACAGUCGACUUCCUACUUCUUUUUUCACUGUCAAUUCGACUUCCUAAUAUGUUAAAAGAAAUGGGAAAAGUAUGAAAACAGAGAGAGAAACAAAAGAGAAUGGAAAAAAAGAGGAAAGUUUAAAGAACAUAAAAGAAAAAAAUUAAAUUACUUAAAACGAAAAAAAUAUGGGGAUCAAUUGUAUAAUUUAACCUAAAAUUUUGUUUGAAAUGAUGAUUUAACGUGCCACGUCAGCUUACCGUUACACCAUUAACGACGAUUAAUCGCUCAGUGACUAAAAUUUUACAACAUGAUAACAUAAAUGACUAAAACGUAACAUUUUAAACAUAAGUGACUAAAACGUAACCUAAGGUAAAUAAAAGUGACCAUGGGUGUAGUUUACCCUUAUUUUUAAUAUGACUUGAUUUUUACUUGAAUCAUUUUUGUAAUUAGUUAAUUAAAUUGGGUUAUUUUAAAAAAAAUCCUCUUAACUAAUAGCCAAAAAAAAGCCAUCAUGUAGAAAAUUCUGGUUUGUUGGAAAAAUAAAGACUUGACCUAUUACUCUAGAUUUUGAAAUGUUCAACUUGAUAUUGACAUAUGAUAAUAUGUACAAAUUUCUCAUUCUUUUAAAUUUUAGUGAUAUUACAUGUAUGAUAAUAUGUUUGCCACACCAAAUUUGAAAAUAGUAGAACUUAAUGAAUUUAACAGAUAUCUAAAAUAUCAAAUUAAAGUCUAGGAAUUAAAUCUACAACAUCAGUAAAGUACAAUAACUAUGGUAGAAUUAAACCUUUAUAUAAUAAUUUCCUUCUAUGAACCACAAUUCAAGUGCACCCGACAAGCUAAUUAAUAAAAAUUUAGUGGUAGAAUAUGUAUAUUCUUGUGGGUGGAAAUUUAGUGGAGAUGCCCAUCAUCUUUCCUAAUUAAUAAAAAUGAAGACUUAGAAAAUGUGCAAUCAUAAUCCUAGUUGUCGUUAUGGCCCCAAGAAUAGGUAUAUUAAUUUGUCUCUCUUCAGGAUCAAAGAUAAAUAAUAAAUUUUAUAAAGUUAAAACCAUAAUUCUAUAAUUAUAUUAAUAUAUAAUUUCAUAAAAUUUUAAAAAAUGUAUCUUUCAACUUUUUUAAGUAAAUUGAUAAUUCGUUAACUCAUAAUAUAUAUUUUUUUCAAAAUAUUUAUGAGAACGAGUUCGUAUUCUAUUGUGUGGAAAAUUUUAGUACAGAUAUUGGUGAAGCCAAAUCCAACUUGUUUGACCAAGAAAGUCUCUGUCGUGUGGAAAAUUUUAGUUUUGUGGAAAAUGGACAUUACCAUUUCCUUGAAUGACCAUCAAUUUCUCCAUUGAGAUAUAGUAAGAGGGAGUGAAAUAUAUAUAAGGUAAUAUUUAAUGUAUUCACACCAAAUUUCAUUAAUGAGUAAAACAAAUAAUGAAUAAUAAUGAAAAUUGGAGGAAAUUGUUAAGAAAAUAUCAUUACAUAUAUCAACACUCACAUAAUUCAUUGUAUUAACUUUCAAAUGUUGACUAUUGACUUCUACAUCAACCUUGAGCUUAUAUAGGCCCCCCUCACGGAAAUAAUCUCACAAUUAAUGCCUAGAGGUGCUUAUGGGCCGGGCCGGGCCCAGAAAAAAUUUUGGCCCGGGCCCGGCUCGGCCCGAAAUAUGGGCCUGAACUUUUGCCCAAGCCCGGCCCGGUAAAAAAUUCAUAAGCCCGAGCCCAGCCCUUUUUUUAAAAAAAUACCAAAAAUUUAUUUUAAAAUUAAAAAAAUUUAAAAAAAAGUAUUUUAAAAAUAUUUUAAAUAAAUACCAAAAAUUCACCCUGCAUCUAAAAGGAGGUCCAGCACUCGAAUCCCAUUCCCCAUAACUAAAAACUAUGUCACUGUGACUUGGUCAUAUCUCCGCUCAAAGUCGGACAUGGGUAGUUAAAGAAAAAUGAAGAGUCGAUGCAUGAUAGACUAAGGACUAGCUCAAAAGUGCUUUUAGAAAAAAUUGCUCUUGAAAAGAGGUGUGGAAAAGUGUGCUUGUUAGUUUUUAGUGUUGUUCAUUGCUGCCAAAAAUCGCAAUUGAAAGUUAAAAUGUUCUUUUUAGACAUGAUAGUAGAAAGUAAAAAAUUAGUCAAGUCAUAUGAUUUUUAAAUAAUUUAAUAUAAUGAUACAUGAAAUAUAACUUUUAAAUACCUUUUAAGUAAUUAAUAUAAAUUAGUUGUAAAAUUGAUAAUAUAUAAAAUAUUUUGAAAAAAAUAAAUAUAAUAAUAAAUAAGAUUUAAACAAUUUAAUAUAAUAAUAUAUAAAAUAUAAAUUAAUCUAAUUUUUAUAUACCUUUUAAAUAGUUAAUGAAAAUAAUAGUAUUUUGAUAAUUUUCCCUUUGAAAUGCAAAAGCCAAAAACAGUUUUUGACUACAAAAGCUAUGUGUUGUUCAUCACUUCUGCAGUGGAAAAACACUUCUCCAUGGUGUAAAAACACUUUUACCCAAAAAGGCUUUUUCACCACAGUAGAGAAUGCACCCUAAAAUUGUAAAUAGAAAAAGGAAGAACCAAACAUUGUUUCUACCCUGUUUUUGUCUCCUCUUUGAAAAUACUUUCCAAAAGUUUUAUCAUUUUUUUUUCUGUUUACGAUGCCUUAAAUGCAAAUUCCUUAUAGAAGUGCUUUCUUUUGAUCCACUUGCAUCAUUGUAAUAAGUUUGCAUUGCCUUCUUUCUAUGUUGAUUAUCGUUUAUUAAGUUUUCUGUUGGAUCUUAUAGUCAAAUUCCUUUACAUCAUGUAUGUUAAUUUGCUUAGCCCUGAUAAAUGUUAGAUAUAGGGUUAUCAGCUAAUUAGGAAAGACUGUAAUGAUAGUCACACCUUACAUCCAAAUUUUUACAUUGAGGUUCCUUAUUAUUUUUUCUUGUUUCACCAAUUGCAUCCUAUUUACAGUUCCUUAGCGUUAUCCACUGUGCUAGGGUGGUUCUUGUUCAUAUAUUAAUCACCAUGCGCCUUCAGCAAAUGCAAAGCCAGCCAGCAUCUUCUGAUUUGUCAUUGGAUACUACACUUUCAGCAAAUGUAAAGCCGCCAGAAUUUCAGCUGUUUUUAGAAGGUCAAGACACAACAAGAGCAACAUAUGUUGUAUUCUUGUCAAACAAGAUAAGUUUUCGCAUAUUAACGAUUCUUUUUCCAAGAUGAAUUAUUCUCCUGUUGCAUUUUUAUUUGGGUUCAAAUGUUCUGUGAAGUUAGCUUGCCAGUGCUUGUUUGUUCAUCAGCAUUUACAGCUCAUUUGUCAUUGGUCAGCAGAAUUUCCGCUGUUUUUAGAAGGUCAAGACACAACAAGAUCAGCAUAUGUUGUAUCUAACAUUUAUAUUCAACAACUGGAAACCAUGUCAUAAAUACAUAUGAGAAAUAUUUAAAAAUCCUUGGUUGAAUACUCGUGCACUAACAUUUUUUAAAAGUUAAUUUUGUGUUUCUUUUUUCAUCUCUUUUAUUAUAAAAUUUCCUGAUUUACUUGAUAUCACCACUUAAUUUAGCAUUAAAAAAAUGAAAUAUUUUUAUAAAAACUAUUUAUUUCUACUAAACCACUACUUUAAAACUAUCCAUUAUCAUACAACUUCUCUUUAAUAAUUCACUAUUCUUUCAACAUUCAUUAGUUUUUCAAACAUAAAAUUUAUAAAUAAUUAUUUUUACCUACAUUUUGAAUGAUGCAAUUUCUAGCUAUACACUAAAAUACUCCAUUUAUCAAUUUAAUUUAAUUCAAAGAAUUAUGAUAAUAAUUGAAAUUUCAAAAAAGAAAAACAACUAAAUAAUUGAAUAUUUAUAUACAAAAAUAAAACAAACAAGACAGACUUAAGCUUUCUUACCCCAAAGACAAGAUCUUUAUUCAAAAUGCAAAACUAGCAAAAUACUCCCUAAAAUUCAUCUAAACACAUCUUCUAAAGAUGUAAUACCCAAGAAGAUUGCCCACAGUUGAGUAACGGCAACUGCUGAUGCACUUCCCGACGAAAGAAAACCAAACUCCUCGCCAAUGUGGAUUUAUGUAAAGGAUAACAACAAUUGUUAACAACAUAACUACAUAAGAAGCCAAAAAGCUCACACAAAAAACAUAUGUGUCUAGAAAACUAUCUUCUCUUUCAUCAUCUGAUAUUGUUGAUGUUGAACCGGUUUUGGAGCAACUUAUAUGAAGCAUAGGUCCACAGAGAAAAGGGUUCCCCUCGUAACUGCUUUCAAUGAAAGUCCCAAAUUGGUUUUGUUCUGGAAUACUACCUGACAAGUUGUUGUGUGCAACACUGAAAACCCCCAGAGAGUUCAACUCUACCAGCUGGUUUGGGAUUUCACCACUCAAGUUGUUGUAAGAAAGAUCCAAACUCUCAAUCUGCUUAAGUUUUGAGAAUGAUGAGGGUAUAACUCCGACCAACUUAUUGUGUGACAAGUUCAAAGAAUGGAUUUCAUGCAAGUUCCCUAAUUCAAGUGGGAUUUGACCGGUUAACUCAUUGCAAGAUAAAUCAAUCCCAGACAUGUACUCAAGGAUGUCGCCUCCAUAUGAGUAGGAUCCACUCUUUGUGGUAAACUCUACCGAUUCUUUCAUGUAGCUAUAGGAAUGCAUCAUGUGCUCGAAAAGUAUACCCGUCUUUAAUAGUUUCAAUUCAUCCAGUUCUGAAAAUGUUGGCGACAUUAAAUCUGGUGUCAUGGUCUUAUCCUUAUUCAUUGGAAGAGUUAAAUUUCCCAAACAAGAAGGUAUAGGACCGGAAAACCUAUUUUGAGAAAGAUCUAUAAUGCUCAAGGAAUACAAGGUGCAUAACUGGACUGGAAUUCUUCCCUGUAAAUGAUUAGCUUUCAAGAGAAGGACACUCAAAGAAGAAAGUGUGUCGAUCCAUUUUGGAAUACCACCAGUAAAAUUGUUUCCUCUAAGAUCUAAUGUCACUAGUGAAGUGCUUUUAUUAAAAGCAAGUGACAAUGGACCACCCAGUCUAUUAUUGUGCAGGUGGACAUACUCUAGGUUUGGAGGAUUAAAACAAGAUGGUAUAGAGCCAGAUAAAUUAUUUUCAGAAAGAUCCAAAAAUUUGAAGUUAUUCAAGUUGCAAAAUUCCACUGGAAUAGAACCCUCGACACCAUUGUUAGACAAGUCUAAUCUCUCCAAAAGUGACAUAUUCCCUAUCCAUCUUGGAAGCUUUCCAUGCAAUCUGUUGUUACUGAGAUCAAUAUCUGUUAGUGAUGUUGGAAACUGAAAAGUAGAGACAUCAAAAUUUGUCAUCUCUCCAGAAAAAUUAUUUCCAUCCAAAUAUAAUUUUUGUAACCCAUUUGCAUUGAGAAUCACAGGAACUACAUUUCCAUUGAGGUUGUUGUUUGACAGUCUCAAAAGAAAUAGUGAGCUUUUCCUGACCAACUCUUGAGGUACUUUUCCAGCCAAUUGAUUGUUUGAUAGAUCUAACAUUGACAAAUUCUUCAUGGCGCUUAAACAAGGAGGGAUAUUGCCUUGAAAGGCAUUCUUGGAUAAGAAUAACUGCUCCAAAUGUGGAAAAGUUGAACAUAUAUUGGUUGGAAGCGGACCUUGUAUUUUGUUGUCAGACAUGUCGAUUGAAGAUACAUUUGAAUUAGGAGUCGACAGUAAUGUGAGAGGACCUGUAAAAGAAUUACCCUUCAAGAUGAGAUCUUCUAACUUUGUGUUGUUUUCUAACAACCAAAAUGGGACAGUUCCACUGAAUUUGUUCUGAGAAAGAUCCACAAAUCUCAAGUCAUUUUGGUAGUAAAGGAAGGUAGGAAGUUCAAGACUGAGUUGUUGAGAUGUUCUGCACUUGGACAAACUAAUGAAUUUCAAUUGGAAUUUCGGGACUAAGGUGUGGAAGGAAGGUUCCAUUUCCAACUUGUUUUCAUCAGCCAAGAGGACCUCAAGGUUUGGAAAGUUUGCAAGUGGUACGAAUGAAAUUGGAAUUUGAAAAUGAUUACUUGAAAGAGAAAUGGCUCUGAGUGAUGUAAGACUUGCUAAAGGAGUUAGAUUUCCGGAAAAUCGAUUGUUGGAGAUAUCUAACUCACGAAGAGAUGUCAAGUUACUGAAACAAUGAGGAAGCAUCCCCUCAAGUGCAUUCCAACUCACAUCCAACACUUCAAGGUUCCUUAGAUCACACCAUCCUGAAAAAUUUAUGAAAUCAUGGAAGAAUUUCUAAUUAAAUUUGGUUUUCUAAAACAGAAUAGGAGAAAUCAGAUAAAGAAAAGGUCGUAUAGAAAAUUUUACCGUGAUCAGGUAAGGAACCAAUAAGUGCACACCUAUAUAGAGACAAAGUUUGAAGAGAAGUGAAUACUCCAAUGCUUUGCAAAAUGUUGAUGUUGAGACGAGAAUAAUCGAGAUUUAUUUCCUCCAAGUUGCUUAAUUCUAAUCAAUGAAAAGAGGUAGUAGGUGUUAAUGAAACGUAAGUUGUUUUGGAAUAGAAGAAGUAUUAGAUGUUAAUCAAGAAAAGGUGUUUACCUGAUGAGAAAGCCUCUACUAAGUUUUCUAGCGGAAUGCUAUCGUCGGUGACAAUACUUUGGAGACGAAGAACUUUUAACUUUUUCAAUCCCUUGUUUUCUGUGAGCCAAAAUAUUUUGAUAAAAAUUGUGAAAACUUCAACAUGAUUGCACUAAUUGUUUUUCUUUUCUUUCUAGCAUUUUAAGAUAAAUAAUGUGUAAAAUAGAAUUUUCCUUUAUUGAGAUCAUUAUAUUACUUUAAAUUUAUCACCACUAAAUAGAAAAUUAUUAUUAAAUCAAAGUUUUAAAUUUAUUAUUACUUAAAUGUUGUUUAUGCUGGGUGAUUUUGAUGAGAAUAAUUUAUUAUAUAAAAAUAAAAGUAUAUUUCUUAAAGUAAAAUAAGAGAAAUAUUUUAAAUUUUUUUGAAAGUGUUUAUAUACAUAUUACACUUAAUCACUCUUUUGAAAAUUCUAAUUACUCUUUUAAAUUUUAUGUUAAUUUUAAAAAGUAUAUAUAAUUUCAACAGAAAUAUUACUUUAAUAUUAAAAUGAAGAGCUUUUGUGGGUAAAAAAAAUUAUAUGAGUUUAUUUAAUUACAAAAAUAAUUUAAGAAUUUAUUUAAAAAAUAUGUAGUAGUUUUAGGCUCGAUCCUAGGGGUUAUUUGAGAGUGCGGUCGCCCAGGGCUGGAAGGGGCCCAAUUUUUUUUUCAGAUUUUAAUAUGGGAAAAUAUUCAGACUAAAAUAAAUAAAUAAAUUGCCUAGAGCUUUCAAAUUUUCACCAUAAAUACUUCAUCUCUUAUGGCUAAAAAAUUUUCAGCUUUUAUUGUAUUACAUUUUAUAAUAUUUUUAAAAAGACUCGUUUAAAGACUUUUUUAAGUAUAUUAACCUAUUUUAAAAUUCCACAUUUUUAAAAUGUCUUAAUUUUCAAAUUAAAGUACAAACACACUAUAAUCCACAAGCCUUAAUUGCCAUGUCAACAUAAACCACCAUUUAGAAGAUUGUUUUCAUUUUUUAAAAAAUAAAAAAAAAUUAUUUAAAUGAUACCUUUGUGGACCACAAAGCCUCUCAAUUGAUUCCCACUCAUAUCUAGUUUCUGUAAGUUAGUAAAUGCAUCCAAAUCUGGGAAAGAAACAGAUAAGCUUCAUUAAAUCAUUCCAAAACAUGAUUAAUAUUUUUGUCUAUAGAGGCAUAAUUUGUCAAAAAAUAAUAAUUUUACCUUUCAUAUCUAUUAAUCCAUUCAAUUGAUUGAAACCUAUGCUCAAAGAUUUCAGAUUUGAAAGCUUGUUUAGAGUUGCAAAUACACUGUUAUUGAAGAGAUUUGCUUCUAAAUUAAGCUCUUCUAAAUGGGUUAACUCCAAUUUCUUACCUUCAUCUACAAAAGAUUUAACGUAAUUUCAUCAAUGAAAAAAAUGAUAUAAAUUUAAUUAUGUGUAAUAAAUUAUUUAACUGAACCCUAAAUUGUGGGUUAAUGGUUCAAGUGUUCGAAUUAUCAUUGUGUAAAAAAAACAAACUUAAUUAACGGACCAAAAUAUAAAUACAUACCUUUGAAGGAUUGAAAGUUUACCAUUUGAUUCCACCUUAAAUCCAACGUCUUCAAAAUUUUCAAAUUAUUCAAUCCUAUAUAUACUCAAGUUGAACAAAUAUUUUAAUAAAUUGGCUGAAGUGAAAAGGGUAAAAGUAAGGAAGUUGAAAAAUCCCCAAAAGUGAAAGUACUAAUUUGAAACAAAUAAUUAUAAAGGGUCCUACAUAAGUAAGGACUUUAUGCUUGAAAGCCUUCAAGGAAGGAAAAUGUGUGGUUUCCAUGGGAUCUAAUUAUAAUCCUUGUUUGCUGGAUUCCAACUUUUUUAUUUGGCCAACAAAAAAUAAAUAAAUAAUAUAAAAAAAUUGUGAUUACUAAGGCUUCAACCUUGAAGUUUAAAUAGAAUUAUUCAAUCCCAAAAAUUGACCAAAAAUUUCCCUCAAACAAAACUUAACUUUAAAGUAGAAACAAAACCAGAGAAAGGCAAUCUACCUUGAAUAUGAGGCCACUUUCCUUCUAAUAGGUUGUAAGCUAGAUUUAAAUAUUGGAGAGAUGAAAAUUGGCUCAAAGAUAAUAUAAAGCUAUCAUUCAGAUGAUUUUGACUUAAGUCAAGGAACUGCAGAUUUCUGAAUGUGGAUGAUAGCUUUUCAAAACCUGCAGAGUUAAUAAUAACAAGUAAUCGCAAAAUUAACAGUAAGUUGUGUUGAAAAUAUGUGUACAUAAUAGAGUAACUAAAGAUGAAAUGAAGGGCAAAUCAAAUAUAGAACCUUCAUUUUCAACACAACCGGCUAUGCCACUCCCUGUCAAAUAAAGCCUCUUUAAUUCCUUGAAGGGAAGAAACAAAGAGGCAUUCAGAUACCAAUAAUCCAAGUAUCCGGACCUCAUAGAAUCAAGAGAGAGUCCAAUGAGUCUCCCAGUGGUGGUGUUGCACUCAAUCCCUUUCCAUUUACAACAAUCUGAACCUUUAACCUCGUCCCAGCUGUCGAACUCAUUAUAGUGAUUGAAGAAAGGUUUGAGUUGCAAGAGAGCAACUCUCUCAUGCUCCACACAAGCAUCAAUAGUGCACCACCUGCAUCCUUCUAACAGUAGCAGCACACUCAUCACUGCCAUCCUCAUAAACCACAACCAUUUGGAGUCCAUCAUCUCUCUGUUUUUGCUUCUCUCUCAAUUGUAUGCUACUUCAAACUUCUAUUGCAUAAGCCUUCAUGAAACUUGUUAUUUAAAGACAAGGACCUAAGGCUGAAGGCAACCCACUAGUCCACGCUGAAAUAGUCCACUGAAUGUGACGAUAUAUAGGCCCUACAAAGUGUGGUUGUGGAAAUAAUCUAAACACCUAUCCUCCAAAUUAAUACUAUUCCUUGAGAAAUUAUUAAAGGUCAAUUUCUGGUUUUAGUCCCUACGCUAAAUUCAUUUUGAAGGUUUAGUUUUUAUAUAAUUUAAGAUCAAAUUUUUAUAAUUAAAUUAUCAUUUACGUCUGCUUUAAAAUUAUGAAAAAAAUAUUUUAAAAAUAUAACGAACUCCAGCUACAGCUUCAAAAUAUGAUGAAGAUGUUUUAGUAGAAUAAAUCGCAGAAUCCGCCAUCUUUGACUUUUGUUUUCUUAUUGUGAGAAUAUCUUAACAUUAUAACUUUUGAAUAUAUUUUGUUAUUUCAGUUAUUAAUUUAGAUCAUAUACAAAUUUCUUUCGUGAUAGUCUCAUUUAGAUUUGAAGUUUGUUGUUGGAUUUGAAGUUACAGGAAAAUAUGUUGAAAAUUUGGGUUUAAUAUUAAAUAAAAUGGGUUGGUAAAAUCUAUUAAUGUUAGUGGCGUUUUCCCACAAAUGCCACUAUAGAACAUGAUCUUUAGCUGCGCUUUUACUACAAACAUUGCUAAAAAACAUGAUUUUUUGUGGUACUUCUAGCUAUAAAUGCCACAACAUGCUUGACUCUUUUAUAGUGUUUUUCCAAAUGAACGCCGCAAAUUUUAGCGGCGCUAUCUAAAGCGACUUUUUACUGGCACUUAUCAAAGCGCCGCAAUCUGUUUUAGCGGCACUUAUAAGCACCGCCAUAGGGCCAAAAAAACACCGCUAAAAACCUAUUUUGCUGUAGUGAUUUACGCAUUUAUAAGCCUACAAAAUAAUCACGGAUUCAAUUUUAGAGUCCGUUAUCAGCCCCUAAUCGGGACAUCAAAUUGACCAAAAAGGGCCCACAUGACCUACCUGUUCAACUUGCGUAAUUGCACACGCCUAAGUGCUCCACACGGCCUGGCACACGGCCAACUACACAUCAAUGUGGUGCACAUGAACUUGUGACGCAGAGUAGCUUUGAAAAUUGUAACCUCCCAAACCCGGCCUAGAUGUUAUGACUAGAUUGAGAAGGCUACAAUAGCCACCGAAAUGGCUAAGCUAACUUACGUUACUUUUGAAGACCUUAAAUAAACUCAUUUUAGAGAAAACCGUAGUUGUACUUUGAGUUAGCUUAAAAGCAUUCAUUCAUUAGGUCGUGUAUACUUAGGAUUCAUUUUAUUGUUGAUAGUGUUGUUUUACAAAAAUAGUUUGCUUAUCGCUCUUCUUUUAAAAAAAACUCGAUGGUAAACUAAUGUGCGGAAAAACCAUUUUUCAAGUCAUUUUGGAAACUUAGUUGCCUUAACGAUUUGUUUUUCAGAAACAAUUCCUUUUUAAUGCAGCGGAAACUAGGGAACAAUAUCAAAUUUUACUUAAGCUCGAUAUCAUGCAUUAUUCAGUUAUUAUGCUUGAGUAAUCCAUGCAUGCAAAAAUCCCAAAAGAAAAGUUACUAAGCCACAAACCACAAGUCAUUAAAAAUUACAAACCAAAACUAAUAGAAUCUGAUUAAUACUUUUUAAAAAUAGUCCGAGGUCCAAGGUGAUUCUUCGAAUGCCAAGUCCGAUCCUAAUUUUGAGGUUUACACAUUCAUUUGACAUACUCAGCACGUCCUCAAUAAUCACAUACUUUUAGUAAAUGAAAACAAUGUUCCAAACUUUCAAAUUACCAUUGUGUUGGUAUUAAUCAAUAUCGUUCAAUUUCGCAUACUUUAUGAAUUUUGAUUAUGCAUAAAUAGCACCCUAUACAACAUAUAUGUAUAUAAUAUAUGCCAAGAAAAUUUAGAAAUACAAUAAAUCAACCUAAAUGAAAUCAUUCAUCAUCAUUUUUCAAGAUUUUAAAUUAUAUUUUCUCAUUCCCAUUGUCAGUGUAUUUCAACUUGUAAACAAAGAUGAUGGCUACUAUAAAUGGAAUCAUUGAUAUAUCAUGAUAUUUGAAUUUGACAACUAUUUUUAUACAUUUUAUUACCAAAAGUAAGGGUAUUAAUUUUUUAAUGUUUAAUUGUGGUUUAGAGUUAAUUUAUUUAAAGUUAAUUGUUAAUAUUAUUAAAUUCAAAUUUUCGUAAUUGUAUUAAUAAAAUAAAUUUAGUGUUAAAAGUGAGUUUAUUCAAUUUUAUAUUUAAUUUGUUAAAUGUAAUCUAAUGAUUUUUUUGUGCUCUAGUGUUGAUUUAAUUAAAGUUAAUUAUUAAUAUUAUUAGGUAACUAUGAGUUCUCAUCAAAUUAAUCCUAAAAUUCAAAUUAAAUGCUAAAAAAUUAACAUUAUUACUUUUAAAUAUCAAAAUGUAUAAAUUUUAUUAAAUAUAGAUACUAAAUCAAACAAAAAUUAUAAAUUUUGAGUCGUUGCAAAUUUUUCCAACAUUUUUGGGGUCUUGAAUUUGAUAUGCAAAAAGUUGGUGGGAAUUUUAAGUCAGCAAAUCCUUUAAAAGGGCAAUGACAUAAUUAAUUGCAUUACUUUAAUGGUUGAAUUUUCAUAGCUAAUAUGUAUGCAAAAAGUUGGUGUGAAUUUUAAGUCAGCAAAUCCUUUAAAAGGACAAUGACAUAAUUAAUUGCAUUACUUUUCAAAGAUCGACUACUGACUUUGGUGAACUUAUUUAUAGAAGGUUAAAUUCUGCUGUUGGUCACUGUACUUUACGAAAGUUGUGAAUUUAGUCUCUAAACUUAAAUUUGAUCAAUUUUAGUCUCUAUACCUUUUGAAUUUUGAAAUUUUAGUUCUAACCCAAACAGUAGCAGUUAUCAAUUUGAUUAAAUUCUAUUACUAUCGAUUUAGUCCAAACUUUCUGAAUUUUGAAAUUUUAGUCUUGAUGCAAAUGACAAUCACUGGUCUAUUAAUUGGAUUUUUAGUAAAUAAUAUGUGAAAAUAACAAGUUUGUUGACACCAUUUUUUUGAUAAAAAUGGGGUCGACUUAGAUUUUGAAAAUAAAAACGAAAAUGGGAGUCGCCACCGAUCCUUUUUGAUAAGGUGUGAUCGGGUCACCUCAAAAAGUGAUUGUUUUUAAUAAGCGAUUUGAUUUUAUUAAAACAACGAUUUUAGUCCACGAAAUUUAAAAAAAUGGGUUCGGGAGUCGGUUACGUUCAAGGAAGGAUUAGCACCCUCGUAACGCCCAAAAUUGGUACCUAGUUGAUUAAUUAAUAUCUUAAUGUCGAGAAUUGAAAACUCGAAAAGAAUUUAAAAUACGAUCAUUCCUUUUUAUUAAUGUUAAAUUUAUAAAUGAUGCUUGGAUAAAUCGAGGUGGAUGCUAAAGACCUUCUUGUCUCAGAGUAAAUAAAAUGUCAAUCCAGUACGUUAGGACACAACAUUUUAAAUCCUCGAGAACAAGCUUAUCUUUUUAUUUUCAAAACUCGUGCAUUUAAAUUUCAAAAGGAUAUUCGAUUAUUUGGAUCAAAGGAGAAAAAUCGAAACCCAGUGAGUUAGGGCACGAUCAUUCAAAUUUCCCAAAUACAGAAUAUCACUUUUAUUAUUUUUUUAGGAAAAUCCUCAUCUCGGGAAAACAACAUGUCAUAUCCAAUGCGUUAGGACACAACGUAUUGAAUUUCCGACAAUAAGCUUUUUAUUUAUGCAUUUUUGGUUAAAGAGAAUUCUCGAUUAUUUAGAUUCAACGAAGAAAAUUAGAACCCAAUACGUUAGGGCUCAAUCUUCUCGAAGAUCCAAAAUACCGAGUAUUACCCUUAUUUUCAAAAUUUUCUCUUUAUUACGAAUUUGAGUAAAAAUUGUAAAUGACAGAAUAACAAUUAUGAUAAUGUAAAUAAAUAAAUAAAUGAAUAGAAUGAAAAAAAGUAAAAAAGACAUAUAUGUAUGUGCAUAUAUAUAUAUAAAUUAUAAAAAAUAUAUAUGAUAUUAUAAAAAUGUAUGCAUGUAUAUAUAUUAAAAGUAUAUGUAUAUGUGUAUUUCGAAAGUAUAAAGUAUAUAAGAUAUAUAUAUGUAUAUGUUUAUAAAUUAUAAAAUAUAAAACAUAUAAGUACGUAUAUAUAUAUAAAUGAAUCAUGAAAUGCACGUGUAUAUAUGUAUAUAUUAGAAAAUGUAUGAAUAUAUAACAAAAUUUGGAAUUAAGGAUGUAAAUGAGUGAAUAAUAAUAACAAUGAAUUAAAAUACAAAAUCAAUGAUGCCAUACAAUAGUAUUAAUAAUAUCAAAAUAAUUAAUUUAAUGAUAAAAUAACUAAAACAACAAAUAGAGGAUUAAAUUAGAAACUAAACUAAAAUUUGGGGUCAAAUAAAAAUAACUUAAAGAGGGUGACUCGGGACUAAAACAAAAUGCGCUGAAGGAGCAAGGGACUUCCAGGGAAAUAUUCCCUAGUCCUGAAACGCAGCACUUCAGCAAGGAUUAAAAUGAAAUCAGAAAAAAAUUUAUGGGCCAAAAUGAAAGAAACAAAAGGGACAAAUUGCACUGAACUAUAAAAGAGGAGGGGCUGAACGCGCAAAUAGCCCCUCCAGGCAUAACACGCGGAUCCUGACCGCAUUCGGGUCGGGUCUCGGAUCGGCUCCUGGUUUUAUGCCAAACGGUGCUGUUUUGGCCAUGGAUGCUAAGGUCCAAAACGACGCCGUUUUUAAACUAUAUAAACACUCAAAAAAUCAACAAAAAAAAAAUUCAUCCCUUAUUUUUUUCAAAAAAACUGAGAGUCUCCCUAACUCUCUCUCAACCCCCAUCCCUCAUAUUCGGCCGACGACCUUCUUAGGCCUCCGUCGCGCCACCUCGUAGCCGGAGGUCGGCGCCGGAAAUGAAAGGCCAUUAAACCCCUUUUGUGGAGUCCUUGAGAGCCAGGCUCUCUCAACCCGCGAGGAGUGAAACAAAAGGGGAACCCUCGACCUUGGCAGACCCGACUCAACGAUGGAGGAGAGAGCCUCUGGCGGCACAGUCACGGCCAACUCCAGUGAGUCACCCUUCCCUUUUUGUCCUUUCUUUUAGUACUAGUUUUAAAAUCAGAUUUUUUAAAAAAAUGAUAAAUAAAAUAAGUAAAUAAUUCAAAAAAAAGAAUCGGAGAAGACAGCAACCUUUGUUUCUAUUUCUGAAAUUCGUAAAAAAAUGACAGACGAAGAAUACAAUGUUAAGAUUUUGGCCUUUAUAGCCGAUUUAAAAACCCCUAAAUUUCUAUUUUUUGUCGUUUUGUUGUUUGGCCUGUUCUGCUGUUGUGUGUGGUUUACUGCCUUGCAGGUGUCAGAGGCUGACGGUCGGUGAUAGGCGAGUAACGGCCUGCGUGAGGAGUGGCAGAGGAGGCAGAACAUGCGGCGCUGGGCAUUGGGCAGAGGCGUGCGGCGCUUUGGGGUUUGCUCUUGGCUGAAAUUGUUUAAAUUGUUUAAGUUUGCUGUAAAUGGACUGGAAUAGUUUUUAUUUUUUAGGCCCGGGCCAAAAUUGGGCCUUACAAAGUCGAUAUGACAUUACACAAAUGAUAAUAUGUUUGUCACACCAAAUUUUGGAGAUAGCAGAACUUAAUGAAUUUAACAAAUAUCGUUUACGGUGAUUGAAAUCUUAAAAUUUGAAAAGUACAAUAACUAAAAUAUCAAAUUAACUUAUAGGGAUUAAAUCCACAACUUCAAUAAAAUACAGGAAUUAAUGGUAGAAUUUAACCUUUAUAUAAUAAUUUCCUUGGUGAAAAAAACGCACAUUAUCAUUUCCUUGAAUGAACUUCAAUUUGUCCAUUGAGAUAUAAUCGGAGGGAGUGGAAUAUAUAUAAGAUAAUAUUUGAUGUAUUCGGUAAAUGGAGAAUAUUAAAUAGAGAGAGCAAGCCAUUCGCCUCACGGAACACAUUAACGAAAGACACAAGCUUAAUACAGUCACUAAAUCCAUCAAUUUCAUUAACAACCUGCUAAUAAUUCAAGACAAUUGUUGGGUCCGGAUGGAUUAUAUUUUAAAAUUUUCUUUCAAAAUACAGAAGUUCCUUUGACAAAAAUGAAAAUAUUAUUUAAUUAUAGGGUUAGUAAUUAGUACACUAAUAAUCUACUUAAUGCUAUUGAUUUUUUUUUAAUAUUAUACAACACCUUUAUAAAACACGUGUCAACCCUCUGACUCUGCUUAUGAAAUUUAAAAACUUCAAUGACAAUGUACCAACUAUUAUUCUUAAUUAUUAUACUAUUCAUGAUUUAAGGACAAAGAUCAAAUACAAUAUUUGCUUAAAAAUCUGUAAUAUAUAUGUAUAUAUAUAUAUACAUUUGCUCACUUAUUGUGAUGUAAUAUAGCACCAUCCAGCUAACCCUAGCUUUCUAGCAAGUAGUCGGAGGAAAUUAUUGAGAAAAUAUCAUUAAAUAUAUCAACAAUAAUUGCACUAACUUUCCGAUGUUAACUACUGACCUUUGCGUCAACCUUGAGCUUAUAUAGGCCCCCUACAAUAAUUUAGGCUAUGGAAAUAAUCUUACAAUUAAUGCCUGAGAAAUAAUUAUAGAUCAAUUUAUAGUUUUAAUCCCUAUAAUUACUCAAUUGAAUUAAAAAUUUUGUUAUUCUUAUUUAAUUUAAUUUGAUAUAUUCUGUUCCUCUUAUUAAUGUUAAUGUUUAGAGUCCCCGCUUGUACAUUGGUGAUUAGGUCUCUCACCAUUAAAUUACUCUCUUAAGAACCUAACCUGCAAAUUCACAACAUAAAAAAUUUACAGUCAAAUGUAAUCACACAAAUGACAUUCCUCACUUAAACAGAUUAAGUCGUUGCAAAUAUCUAAACAUAAUCAAAGUCGUCGUUAUGGCCCCAAGAGAAGGCACGUUAACUUGUCUCUCUCACACAUAGGAUGAAAUUAGUCUAAACCUAACCUUGGUAGAGCCGACCAUGUCGGGCAGACCACCCUACAUAAAUCUGAUUAUUUUAUCAUAGUUUAUUCAUCACUGAAGGAAGUAUGCAAAAUUAGGCAUACCAUUUAUCCUCACCUCUCUCGCUGACAAAAGAUUCAUGUUAAGUAUAUUCACCCUACAUAAAUUAUCAAGAGGAAUCACAGAUUUAAGGACCGUGGAAAAGAAUUCCAGAACCAGUUAUAUACAAGCAGGGCCUAUGACAUCCCCACUAAUUCUCAAUCAUAUAAAAUAAUAUAUAAUUAAUUCGUCUGGAAUGUUUAAGGCAUGGUGGUGAAUAUAUCAUGAGCGAUGUUGCUGAGUUUCUUCUGAAGAAUUGGCUAGCUAUUAGUGUCUAAAGGAUCUUUAGUUAUAUGGGGCUUAUGUUUCGGUUGCUUGAACAAUUGCUUUUCAGAGGGCAGAAUAGUAGAGGGGGGUUUUGGGGGUCUGGUGGUAUGGAGUUAUGAUGUUAUCAAUAUGAGAUUUUGGUGAUUUGUACUUGAUAAAGGGACACUUUUCGUGAGGGAUUGCUACAUUUUGCAGAUUAUAACAUUGUUUACAAGUGCUUAAAAUGUGUAAUAAUUUGAUCGAGAGAAAAAAUGACCAAAACAAAUGUUCUCAGCAUUUUUGCUUCAUUUAGAACUUGUAAUUAAUUUUUUUUAUCAGAGAAGUUGUAAUUAAUUGGAUUUGGAAUGAAUUGAUAAUAUCCUUACUAUUUCACCUUUUUUAUAUGUUUGGCGUGUGAGUAUGAUACAGAUUGAACUGAUUUUUAAAGUAGAAAUAAAACGAUAACAAACCAAAACAUUCUGGUUUUCAAAAUUUUGAAUCCAAAUCAAUCGAAUUAGUUUAAUUAUAAUUGAAUGUUUUAUGUGUUAUGAUGAUGAAGGAAGUUGAUGAGGUGACUUGCUUCAUCUUUCAAAAUAUGAGGUUCGUUAGACACAUCUUUACUAUUGUUUUUUAAUAACAAAUGAAAAGUCAAUUUAAAAAACAAAAAUCCAAACCAAUGAAUUUCUUUUAUACAUAUAAGAUAAGCUUACUGCAAAGCUCUUGUUUUUUCAAAAUAAAAUUUUGUUUUUGUUUUAUUAAUUUUGUAUGAAUCAAAUUAAUAAGUUUAAUUUUUUUAAGGGUAAAUUAAACCAACAGUUACUCAACUUUGAUGCAGCUGACAAAAUAGUUGAUUUGGUUUCAAUUCAGUCACUCAACUUUCAAAAAAUAACAAAUCAGUCACUAACGUUACCAAAAAGUGACAAAUCAAUCACCCAUUAACAUUUUCCGUUACAGACCUAACGGGACAGGUGACAUGGCUAGUUAACUUGCCACGUUGACAUGGCAAUGCAUUUAAAAUUGGUCUAAUUAAGAAUUUGGUCAUUGUACAUUAUGAAAACAUAAAAAUUAUUUCAAUUGAGUAUCAAUAUUAAAUCUUGUCCAUUGACCCAAAAAUCAUCAUUUCAACAAAUUGUAUGUAAGAAAUUAGUGAAAAUCAACAAUUCAGUAAUUUAUAUCAAAAUUGAGGACUAGCUUUUCAUUUUUUUGUAAAUUACAUGGAUGACAUUCACAAUUAGACCUAAAUAGUGACAAAUUACAAAUUUAAACCCUAAAUACCUUUGUUCAGAGGAUCCGUAGCCAACAGAAUCAAUAAAACCGAUGGAGAUGAAACUCAUGCAUUUGGCGUGAAGAUGAAACUGGACAGAGUAGAACUCGCAUUGUUCGUCACCGUUGUAGGUGUCACAGUCACACGAGAAUCGCAUCGACAUGGCGCGUCGGCUAGUGAGAGGGAUUAGAUCAAGUCGAUGGGCAAUGAACUUGUCGUUGACGACGGAAGAGUUAACUUCAAUUUUGACGAGGUCGAUGGCUAUGUUGGGAACCUCGGCUAUCAUGACACGAUGGAGGGCAUUGGCCAUGGAGGCGUUGGUGUCAUGGCAGCAUAGUUGUCUUUGAGUUCUCGGAUUUUGACCCUUGGGAAUCGCUAGUAUGAAGCUCCUUCCAUUUUCUCUUCUUCUCCAUUUCUUCUCUUCUUCUUCUUCUUCUUCUUCUUCUACUGCCCAAGGCUCUUAAAUGGGGUUGUUUAAAUGACAGCUAGCCUACCGUUAAAUGUCAUGUCACUUUUCUGUUACAAACGUAACGGAAAAUGGUUAAAAAGAUUGAUUUGUUAUUUUUCAAAAAUUAAGUGAUUGAAUUGGAACUAGAGUGACUGUUUUGUCAAUUGCAUCAAAGUUGAGUGAUUGUUGUUGCAAUUUACCCCUUUUUUUUUAAUAGAGAUAAGCUUUGUGGUGGAAAUUUGUUAGGAAAGGAUGAUUGUAGGAAUGGUCCACAAAAUUAAUUGCAUUCCCUUUUCUUGAUGAAUUCUUAUCUUUGGGUCAACUCUUAGCUUAAAUACACUGCUAAAUUUAUUUUAGGCUGUACAAUAUAAAUGGAGCAAUUGAUGUCAGGAGAUAAGUUGGAAGUACAAUUAAAUUUUUUCAUAAGAGGAGAUGGGAUGAGAAGAUUUGAACCCAACAAUUAUUGGAAUUUAGAUUAUAAAAUUGGCGUGAAAUCAUGAAUUUAGAUUAUAAAAUUCUUUCCAUUUUAAUAAUCAUUUUAGAACUAGUUUGGUUUCCAAUCUAUAUUUUGUGUUGUGUUUUGUUUAUGUCAAAUUUUAAGGUAAAACUUUGAAAGUUAAAAUACAUUCUAAGUCCCUAUACACUUUGUACUUUUAGAAUUUAGUUCUCCUAGUUUUUAUUUUUAUGAAUUUAGUCUUUCUAUUUUUUGGUUUUCAAAAUUCAAGUCCCCAAUUAUUUUCACUGUUAAAAUUCUUCUAUUAAACUCACUAGUGUCACCUUUUGAAAUUACCAAAAAAAAAAAAAUCAUUUUGUAGUCAUGUAAUAAUAAAGAAUAACGUUAAAAAUAAUGAUGUGGAUUUUUAUUUAAAAUACUCAUCCAAACUGAUCAUGAUAAAAUGACUUUUUUUUUGUUGGAAUAGUGUUUUUAAGAAAAAUUGACGUCAAUAUUUUGAUUGGAAUAGUUUACAAUGUUAAUUAUUUAGACUAACUAAUGACAUUACAAAAAUAAAAUAAUGAAAUUAUGCCAAAAAUUAAGGAAUAUAAAUUAAAUCUCAAGUUUUAACAUAAUAUAGGGGCUAAUACUAAAAUUUGACCAUUAAUUUCCAUGUAAUAUAAAAUAAAAAUAAAAAAGUUGUGUGAAGCAGCCCAAGCUUAUGACAGAAAAAAAAAACACGGCCCAAAGCUAAGGUUACGUGUUAGAAAGGGAAUGUCAUGAUAGGGGUGAGUAUUCGAUCAAGUCGAGUUAAAUUGAGUCAAAAAAGUUUAAGUUAGUCGAGUUUACGAAUCCUAUUUUAGUAACCGAACUCAAUUUGAAUUUUUUUUCUGAAUCAUAUUGAGUCAAAAAGUUUCGAGUCAAGUUGAGUCGAGCUAAAGAAUCCUAUUAUUUAUACUCAAAACUUAUAUUUACAUGGACCGAUUAUUUAACUAGUAGAUGAAGUACAAGAUUAUUUAACUACAUAAACAAUAUAAUGGUUUUGCCUUUUAACUUAAUGAGUAAAUAUUUAUCAAAACGAUAUAGUUUUGUCUUUUAAUUUAAUAGUUUUGACUUUUAACUUUGGAAAAGAUAAAUUCAGAUUUUCAGAUAACUCGAAUUGUGUAAUUCAUAUUCAAGUUGAAUAUAAAAACUUAAUUUUUUUUAUUCGGGUUGAUCCGAAUAACUUGAUUAACUCAAAUAACUCGAACUAUUUAAUUCAAAAUUUAAAAUUUUUAUCAAAAUUUUCAGAUCAAAUCGAAUUUUGCUCACCCCUAGUAUUGGACAUUAUUUUUAUAUACGGGUGUAUAUAUAUGUGUGCGUGUGUGUGUGUUUGAUGUGAUUUCCUUGUGAGUUCCAUCUAUUUUUAGAAGUUUUUCCACGUAAAAUAUGUGUAUUUAAUAUUUUCAAUUCUUUUAUUAUUCUACUUGCUCGUUGCAAAUACGUUUGAUUCACAACAUUUUAACCUAAACUUAAUUGUAAAUGAUAAGAGAUAUUUUACGAUUAAAUAAAAAAAUUUAAACCACUAAACCAUUACCCUAAUAUGUCAAAACACAUGCAUUUUUUAAUUUCAAAAUUUAUGAAUUCCGAAGUAAAGAGCAUACGAUAUUUAUAUUAAUGUAAGAAAUGUAGGCUUGCUAAGUUUCGCAAAAUCAUAUUACACUUUUAAUUGAAUAUAAUGGUGGGAUGAUUCAAUUAUUAAAAACUAAGUUCGGGCAAAAAUGUAAAAAUAAUCUAAAAUUAAUUGAAUUAUUAUAAUAAAUUUAUAUAACUUAUGGAGUGAACCAAAUCAUGACAUAAUAUCAAAAAUAAUUAAGACAUGUCAUAUUACAAAUAAUAAAAACUCAACUUUAUAAGCAUAUCAAAAUUUAUUAUCAUGGCGUAUAAUAUGUUAUGAAAAAAGAAAAAAGAAAAAAGAAAAAGAAGAGAGACAAUCGCUUCAUCAUGAGAUAUAAGCCCUUGAAACCAAAAGUUAGUUGAAGCUGUUAGGAUCGACUCAAUUAAGCAACAAGUAACAAAAAAUAGUGGAGUAAAUUGAGAAAUUGAACACACAAAUUUAACGUGGAAAACCCCUCCAAAGAGGAUAAAAACCACGGGCAAAAAUAAUUUUACUAUAAUGACAAAAGAAUAAAGAGUACAAAAGAUGGAGAUAAAAAGCUAAACUCCAAAAAACCCCAAAAACAAAGAACCCUCAAAACGUAAACACAAUGUAACGCCCCAGAAUUUUUAUUUUUGUUCUUGCAAAGGUAUAACACAAUUGUGUAUCUACUUUAGUGGUUAAGUGUUUUGGGUGUAUGAGAGGUCUCAAGUUCAAGCCAAGACUUGGCGAAAUUUUGGUAUUUUUAUGAAUAAGCUCUAUCUUUGGUCAGUAGGCUUUUAAGUAAGAGUCGACAAAUAAUUAAAAGAAUGGGCUUGUUCGUUUGGUGGAUAAGUGGAGUGUUGGUGUGAAGGAGGUUUUGUGUUCAAUUCUCUAUGGUGGCAUGGAGAUAGUAUUUUUGCUCCAAUUUUGGCUAAGAGUUGUGUUUGGGCAAAAUUCUGAGUAGUUGUGUUUUAGUGGGUUAAUAGGGAGUGAUUUUUGGAAAUAAUGGGGGAGAGGUUAUCAGAAAAUAAUCUGAUUGUCUUUUUAUUGCAUAAAAAAGUAGAGUUUCGGUUUUCUCUCCAAUUACCCAAACUUUUUCUGACGUUUUCUUCUUUUUUUCCCUCCGCUGUCGAUUCUUUCCCCUAGUUGUUGCCAAAAUUUCCAUUAUUUUUUCCCCUUCCAUUUCUUUCUUUUAUUUUCCAAUUGAUUUGGUUGUUUAUCGUUGGUUGCGUGUGUUCGGUAAGUAACGGUUUUGUCUAUUGUUAAUUGUUCUUAGUUAAUCUCUGAAAGGGGGAUUCCUUUUUGGUGUUUCGGAGUUAAUCAAGGGGCUAGUGGUUAUGAAUCGAUGCUGUGAUUGUGUGAAGUCAUGAUUACUCAAGCGAGGUAAGGGUUUUGUUAGGUUUUUAGUUGAGUUCCUUCCAAAAUUGGUUAAUUAAAAAUGAAUUAAGUGAUUAAUCUGGAGAUUUGUUGGUCGAUUUUUAGGUUAUGGAGGCUUAGGAGUGCUUACGCAUUAGAAAUGAUACCAGGUGUGUACCCGAAAAGCAGAAAAUGAGAUUCGGCGAAAAGCAUAAAUUGCUUGCUAUUUGGACAGCAGCAGUGGGCUAACUUUAAAAAAUCAUCAUAAAUUGUGAAAAUCGAAUUAAAGGAUGAAAAAAGUAAGGAAUUAAAUAUUAUUGAGUCUAGUUUCUCAUAGAGAAAUGGUGUAAGUAAUGGAAUUGUAAAUCGUGAGAUAUAAUAAAUUUUGUGAGACAAGGUCAGAAUGAAUUCAGGUUUCCCUUUUUUGACUUUGGAAAAUCAUUAAAAAUUGUAUAAAAAUGAUUAUGGGUUAAAAUUUAUAUGAUUAAAAUUCUUAAUGAGUAUAUUUUCAAGAGAAACAAACCUUAACAUCAUCUGAAUCUCGUACUAAGAGAUAAUUAAUUUUUAGAGAAGAAGGGUCGAAAUUAUCAGACAGCAGAACAGGGACAAUUUUGAAGAAUUAACUGUACUCAUUGGCUAAACCAAAAAUUCUAAAAAUUUUAAGGUAAGAAGAUAUGUGAGUCUGUUUUUCGGGAAAAUCAAGCGGAUCUUAAUUUUGAAUUCUGUAGCUCUAGUUAUAAAUAAUUUAGUGACAAUGACUCAAGUAGACAACUCUGAAUGAUCAUAUUAGUAAAUAGUGGAAACAUAUAUGAAUAUUUAGCUAGCAUGGGUUACAUUAAAAAUGGAUCACACGGCCAAGGCCAAUUUGGGCCGAGUGGGCCACGCGGGCACAUGGGCGUGUGGGUCCAUUUUUACCAAAAUGUUUCUAAGGCUGCACAGGUUGCCCAAGUCGACUGUGAACCUACUGUAAGGUCGGUAAGUGCUACUUAAACCCCUAAAUGUGUGAAAUUGACUGAAUGAUAUUUGUACUGAGCAUGUUAAUAUCUAAACUGAAUAUAUGUACUGAAAUUGCAUAAUAGCAUAUCAUCCAUGGUAUGUUGCAUUGCAUUGGGUUGAGGGUUGUUAUUUGGAGGAAAUGUACUAAAAGGCUUUAAGCCUAAUUUACUGGAAUCUCAGCUACAAACUACUGUUUUGUGCCGCAAUAUUCAAUACUACUUGAAGUGUAGGAAUGGGUGGGUUGAUUAUAUCCCCACAUGGUGUGUAGAGGCUGGUUGGCAAAUGGAGUUUUAGUAAGCACAAGCAUCGUCAUCUGUCCAUCAUAACUUGGAAGACAACAAAGAUACUCAUAAAAUAGAUCUGCAAACUGAAAAGAGAGAAGUCAUGUGGAGUGAAUAAGAAGAAGAAAGAAAAAAAGGUUGGUGGGAGGAAGAAAAAGGGUCGCGAUAGCCAAUUCGAAGGUUGUCAAUGCCAUUGGGCAAAAUAAAACAUAAUAAACAAACGGCUUGGAGAAAAAAAUUAAGAAAGAAGAAAAAAUUUAGGCAAAAUUUAUAUUAAUGUAAGAAAUGUAGACUUAUUAUGAUAUUACAUUUUUAAGUGUGAUCAUUCAAUUAUUAAAAAUGUAUUUAUAACAAAUUAUGUAAAAUUUUAUAUAAGCAUAUAAUAUGUUAUGCAAAGAGAAUCACUUUUCUUAGUUGAAUUGUUAUAACACAUUAUACAAAAUAUAUUUUAAAUUAAAGCAUAAUGUGAAUACGAUACCAACCAACAAAUUAAAUUCGAUGAUUUAUGGAUAAUUACAUUUAUUACUCAAUUUAAUUUAAUUCAAAGAGCUAUUGAAUACACAUAACAAUUAAUUAUGAUUAAACUUUAAAUUUCACAGAAAAUAAAAAGAAAUAGAUUGUUGAAAAUGAUAAAAUGGAAAGAUAAAGCUACAAACUUCCUCCCCACAAACCUAAGAGCUUUUUAUUCAAAAUGCAGAAAUCAACAAAAUAGUCCUCACAAUCCAACUUAGCAUAGUAAAACAAUUAGGUGGGGAAAUCAAAUAGUAAAUUCCUUUUUCCUUGAAUCAACACCAACCGACUUUGUUGAAAUCUUCACUAUAGCUAAUCACAUUGCCUGAAGAUGUGAUAUGUAAGAAAAUUGGCCAUUGUUGAGUAACGACAGGUUGUGAUGCACUUUCCAAUAAAAGAAAACCAAACACUUCGCCAAUAAGGAUUUAUGUAAAGAACAACAAAAAUUGUCAAGACCACAACUAUAUAAGAAACCAGGAAGCUCACACAAAAAUCAUAUGUGUCUAGCAAACUGUCCUCUCCUUCAUCAUCUAACGAAUUUGAUCUAGUUGAUGGUGCAUCUGGUUUGGAGCAACUUUUAUGCAAAAUAGUUCCACAAAGAAAAGGGUUUCCCUCGUAACUACUUUCAAUAAAGGUCCCAAAUUGAGCUUUUGGUUCAGGAAUACUACCUGACAAGUUGUUGUGUGCCACACUAAAAACUUCCAAAGAGUUCAACUCUACCAACUGAUUGGGGAUUUCACCACUCAAGUUGUUGUAAGAAAGGUCCAAACUCUCAAUUUGAUGAAGUUUUCAGAAUGAUGAAGGUAUAACUCCGAUCAACUUAUUGUGUGACAAGUUUAAAGAAUAGAUUUCACUUAAGUUCCCUAAUUCUGGUGGGAUAUGACCAGUUAAGUUGUUGCAAGAUAAAUCAAUCCCGGUCAUAUAUGCAAGGAUGUUGCCCUCGUACGAAUAGAACCCACUCUUUGUUGUGAACUCUAUUACUUCUUCUAAAUUCUAUUACUUCUUCUAAGUAGCUGUCAGGGUAGUAAGGAUUUAUAUCCCUUUCCAAUUUUCUCAUCGCAAUGGAUGUUGAUUCAUCCAUUUCUGUAAAUGGAAGAUAGAACCCAGUUGCUAGACUCUCUUUCUCUUUCAUUGGAAGAGAUAAAUUUCCCAAACAAGAAGGUAUAGGACCAGAAAACAUAUUUUGAGAAAGAUCUAUGAUGCUUAAAGAAUACAACUUGCAUAACUGAAUUGGAACUUUGCCAUGAAAAUGAUUAUCUUUCAAGAGAAGAACACUCAAAGAAGAAAGUGUGUCAAUCCAUUUUGGCAUGCUACCUGUCAAAUUUUUUUCUCUAAGAUCUAAAGUCACUAGUGAAGAGCUAUUAUAAAAAGCAAGUGAUAGUGGACCUCUCAGUCUAUUCCCGUGGAGGUGGACAUGCUUUAUGUUUGGUGGAUUAAAACAUGACGGUAUAGAGCCAGAUAAAUUAUUUUGAGAAAGAUCCAAAAACUCCAACCAAUUCAAGUUGCAAAAUUCCAUUGGAAUAGAACCCUCGAAACCAUUGUUGGACAAAGCCAAUCUCAAUAAAAAUGAUGCAUUCCCUAUCCAUCUUGGGAGCUUUCCAUGCAACUGGUUGUUACUGAGAUCAAUAUCGCUUAGUGAAUUUGGAAACUCAAAAGUAGACACAUCAACAUUUGUCACCUCUCCUGAAAAUUUAUUUCCAUCCAAAUAUAAAUUCUGCAGCCCAUUUGCUUUGAGAAUCGCAGGAACUACAUUUCCACUGAAGUUGUUAUUUGAUAGUCUCAAAAUGGUCAGUGAGCCUUUCGUGAUCAACUCUUCUGGUACUUUUCCAUACAAUUGAUUGUUUGAUAGAUCUAAAAUUGAUAAAUCCUUCAUGCCACUUAAACAAAGUGGGAUAUUACCUUCAAAAGCAUUCUUGGAUAAGAAUAACCGACUCAAAUGUGGAAAAGUUGAACAUAUACUGGUCGGAAUUUGACCUUGUAUUUUGUUUUCAGAGAUGUCAAUUGAAGAUACAUUAGAAAUAAGAGCUGACGAAAAUGAGAGAGGACCUGUAAAAGAAUUGCCCUUCAAGAUGAGAUCUUCUAACUUUGUGUUGUUUUCUAACAACCAAGUUGGGACCGUUCCACUGAAAUUGUUAUGAGAAAGAUCCACAUAUCUCAAGUCAUAUUGGUAGUAAAGGAAGGUAGGAAGCUUACGACUGAGCUGUUGAGAUGUUAUGCACUUUGACAAACUGAUGACUUCCAAUUGGAACUUUGGGAUUGAGGUAUAAAAGGAAGGUUCCGUUACCAUCUUGUUUUCAUUACUCAAGAGGGCUUUGAUAUUUGAAAGGUUUGCAAAUGGUGCGAAUGACAACGGAAUUUGAAAAUGGUUUAUUGAAAUAUCUAACACACGAAGAGCUGUCAAGUUACUAAAACAAUGAGGAAGCAUCCCCUCCAGUGCAUUCCCACUCACAUCCAAUACUUCAAGAUUCCUUAGAUCACACCAUCCUGAAAAAUUGAAAAAAUUGGUGGAAGAAAUUCUAAUUAAAUUUGGUCUUAUUUAAGAGAAUAUGAGAUAUUACACAAAGCUCGUACAAAAUUCAAUUUGAGCCAUAAAUUUAUUUACCUUGAUUAGGUAGGGGACCAAUAAGUCAACAAUCAUAUAAAGAGAAUGUUUUAAGAGAAACAAGUACUCCAAUGCUUUGCAAAAUAUUGGUGUUGAGAGUAGAAUAGUCAAGAUAUAUUUCCUCCACAUUUCUCGACACAUUUGAUUCUAAGCAAUGUCUAGAGAUAUUAGAUAACGAUAUUGUAAAUAGAAAAUUAUAAUUGAUCAUGAGAAAGAAGUUCAUAUUGACGAGAAAUGCCGAGGACAGCAAUCGCCAUCCCAUGUCAAAAAAAUCAUUUGAGAUAAAUAAUGUUUGAUUUUCUCAGUCUUUUAUUUUUUGUGAAUGAAAAGAAAUAUAAUUUACUUGAAGUUUUUUUAAUUAUUCGAAAAUGCCAUUUAUUUAUUUUAGGCCAAAAAAUUCCAUUUAUUUAACUGUAAUAUAUAUUUUUAUGUUUUAUAUUAUUAAAACCAUAUGAAAUUAAAAUGAUAGUUAUAUGACAUAUUUUUCCAUAAAUAUGAGUAUUUUUUAUUUAUAAUAUUAUUUUUUUUAUUUUUAUAAUUAUUUUUUAUCUCAUAAAAAUUUAAUAAAUUAUUUUGAAAUUAUAUUUAUACAAACAAAAUAAUUAUGAACUCUAAUAUUUUAAAAUUAUGCAAAAUUUAAAAUAUUUUACUUUCAAACCGAAGACCAUAGGAUUUAUAAAAUGUUUCACCGAACCCAUAAGCUGAAUUUUUCCAUGUAUGAUAUAAAACAUAAAGACAAAGAUGAGCAACACAAAGACAGAAAAUUAUUAUUUGGUAGUUUGUUGAUUUACUUUAAGGAUUUAGCAGUUUCAAUCAUGUUCCUGUUAUGCUUUGAUUUUAUUUAGGUUCAUCCAUGUAAAACAAAGAAACAAAAACAUUAAUUAGUUGAAAAAUAAUUAAUUGUGUUAUAACAUAAUCCAAACCUUGUAUUAACAAAUAUUCUGUUUUUUAACCUUUUUCAACGAUGAAGUGGGGAGCACCGAUUCAGGGGCCAAGCAACAACUUUGUAUUGGAGGAUCGAUAUAAAAUUAUUUUUUUUGGAGGGACUAAAGUUAAAAUUAUUUGUGUUAAAAUUGUUGAAAUUGAAUUUUUAAUGUUUAAAGUGACUCAAAAUGCAAUUUUUAUGCAUAUAAUUAAAAAGCUACAGAGGAUUAUAUUGAAUAAUUAAAUUUUAAAAGGACUAAAAAGGGUAUUAUACCCUUGAUUAAAAUAUGUCAUAGGUCCUUGUACUUUUCAAAAAUUUGUAAUUUAGUCGAUAUACUUUUAUUUCUAAGGAUUUAGGCCCUCUACAUUUUCAAAUUUUAGAAUUUAAGUUCAAUUGUUAACAUUAGUUUUUUUUCCAAUGUUUUGAAAUAAAGAAAAUAUUCAAUUGGUAGCAAUGUAACUAAAAAAAUAGCAUUAUAAUGAACCUAAAUUUAACAAAAUAAUCUUAAUAGUGUCAACAAUUAAACUUAAAUUUUAAAAUCUAAAAAGUAGAGGGAUUAAAUUCGUAAAAAUAAAAAUAUAGAGACUAAUUUACAAAGAGUAUAAGGAUUUAUGUUAUAUUUUAACCUAUACCCGUUAGCCUAGGGGGGCCAAGACCUCUGUCUACCCCUUUGGCUUUUCCUCUACACCAAUUGAACAUUAGUUUAAUUGACAUUGUUGAUAUUGCAACAACUCUUUUUCUUUAUUUUCUUCGUCUUAUGAAAAAUGUUAAUUUUUAGUUUUGGACAUUUUUAAUAUGCUUAAAUUUGAGAUUUAAUUAUUAUCCUUUAUUUCUAAUUUAAAUUAAGCUUUAUAUUUUUAUAAUUUUACUAGUUAGUUCAAAUAGUUAAUUCAUUAACUUUUCAAUUAAAAUAUUAUGUAGUUAUAUAUUAUUUAAAAGUGGAUUUUUAAAUAGAUUAAAUUCUUAAAAAUAAAAGUUGAAGGAAAAAAAAUAAAAUUUAAACAAAAACGAAAGUUUAGUCAAAUGAUACCUUUAUGGAUCAUAAAAUCUAUCAAUUCAUUUGCCCUCAUAUUCAAAUGCAUCCAAAUCUGGAAAAAAAAGGGUAACAUAUAAACCUCAUUAUAUUAUCUUAAAACAUUAUUAAUGUUUUUGUUAAUUGAGUCAAGAUUUUGGGAAAAGAAAAUGUUUUUACCUUUUGCAUCUAUUGGUCCUUUCAAUUGAUUGCUUAUGGUCAAAGUUUUCAAAUUCAAAAGCUUGUUAAGAGAUGCAAAGACACUAUUAUUGAAGAGAUUGGAAUUUAAAUUAAGCUCUUUUAAGUGCGUCAAUUCCAAUUUUCUACCACCAUCUGCAAAAGAUUUACAUAAGUUCAUCACUGAAAAAAAUUAGCAUAAAAUUUAAUUAUAUAUAAAAACUUAGAUAACUCAUCAAAUAUAAAUACAUACCUUUGGAGGAUUGAAGGCUUUCAAUUUAAUUCUCGCUUAGAUCAAGUUUCUUCAAGUUUAUCAAAUUACUCAAUCCUAUAUAUUUUCACGUCCAAUUCAAAUAAUUAUGUUAAUAAUUUAAUUUUUACCGAAUAUUUGAAUGAGUUUCAUAAAAUAAAAACAAAAAAUUGGUUUGUUAGGCAAUUUUUUUAGGUGUUGUAGAAAUUUUAAGUUCCUCCAAGUUUAUUAUGCUUAAUUGUUUUUCAUCUAUAGUAGGAAGAAGAAUAGUUUCUAAUUAAUAUUAUAGGCUUUGAAUAUUUUAUAAGUUCAUCCCUUUGAAAAUUUAAUUUAUUCAAUAUAUAAAAAUCAUACUUGUACCUUUGUUUGAGAUGCUUUCAAUUCUGUUCCCACUUAAAUCCAAGUAGUUCAAGUCUGUCAAAUUAUUCAAUUCUGAAAUUCAAUCCUAAAUAUUGAUUAGUUAUAUAUAUUCAUGAUAUGAUAAAAUCAAAUAACAUAUUGCAAGUUUGCAACAACUUUUCCUUCAACAUAAAUUGAUUUUAAAGUACAAAAGAAACAAGUAAAAUCAAUCUACCUUGAAUAUGAAGCAGCCUUCCUUCCAACUGAUUACUACUCAAUCUUAAAGUCUUCAAGGAUGAAAGAUUUCUCAUAUCGAAUAGAAUGCUAUUCUUCAAAGAAUUCCCAGUUAAAUUAAGAGUUUCCAAUUUAGUGAGUCUUGAAAGCCACUGAAAACCUGAUUUAUAUACUAUAUAAUUAGUUACUACUAAACAUAAUAAAUAAUAAUACUCUAAUUUUACAAUAAAAAUUCACUAAAAUCUGUCAUUGCCUUUUGGAAUAAUAUUCUAUCAGAAAAGUCAUGCACAAAUACUUAUACCUUGGUUUGAGAUGCUUUCAAUGUUGUUGUAACUUAAAUCCAAGUACUUCAAGUUUGUCAAAUUAUUCCAUUCUGAUGAAAGUCAAUCCCAAUGUUGAUCAGUUAUGUUUUCAUGAUAAGAUAAAAGCAAAUGAAAUAUUGCAAUAGCUUUUUCUUAAACCAAAUUGAUUUUAAAGUAAAAGGAAGCAUGUAAAAUAAGUCUACCUUGAAUAUGAAAUAAUAUAUAAAUACUAUAUUUAUACCUUUGUUUGAGAUGCUUUCAAUUUUGUUCCCACUUAAAUCCAAGGACUUCAAGUUUGUCAAAUUAUUCAAUUCUAAAAUUCAAUCCCAAAUGUUGAUCAGUUAUAUUUUCAGGACAAGAUAAAAGCAAAUGACAUAUUGCAAUAACUUUUCCUUAAACCAAAUUGAUUUUAAAGUAAAAAAGAAACAGGUAAAACCAAUCUACCUUGAGUAUGAAUCAACUUUCCUUCCAAAAGAUUGUAUCUCAAACUUAAAGUCUUCAAGGAUGAAAGAUUUCUCAUAUAGACCAUAAUGCUAUUCUUCAAAGAAUUCCCACUUAAAUAAAGAGUUUCCAAUUUAGUGAGCCUUGAAAGCCACUGAAAACCUGAUUUAUAUACCAUAUAAUAAGUUACUGCAAAACAUAAAUAAAUAAUAAUACUCCAUUUUUUAGUUAAUUUGAGUAAGUUCUUGUUAGUCUUUUUUUCCUCUCAACCAUAUGAAAAAUUAUUGAAGCAAAAACUAAGUUACAGGGGAUAAAAGAAUGGAAAAUCACUGUCAAACGUCACAAUACAAAUAAAAACUAACAAUAGACCAAACUUAAUUUACCUCUUGGAUGACUUGAUCCUUCGAACCGGUUGUGUGAUAAAUCUAAAUAUCGGAGAGACGAAAGCUCACUCAAAGAUAAUAGAAUGCUAUCAUUCAAGUGAUUGUAACUUAAGUAAAGGAUCUCUAAAUUACUUAAUGUGGAUGAUAGCUUUCCAAAACCUGUAGGAGUGUUCUUUUAAUUAUAUACAAGUAAUUAAUGACUUUUCUUCAGUAAAAUAAAAUAAAUUAUAAGUAAUUGCAAACUAACAAUGAAUAGAGAAAUAGAAUAAUAAAAUAUGUAAUUAAGGGAAAAUUAAAGGCACGACCUUCAUUUUCAAGGUUACCACCUAUGGCAUUCUCUGACAAAUAAAGACUCUUCAAUUUCUCAAAAGGAAGAAACAUAGAGGCAUUGAGAUACCAAUAAUCCAUGUUGUAUUCCCAUUUUGUAGAAUUAAGGGAAGUUGUAUGACUCUCCUAGUGAUGGAGUUGCACUUAACUCUUUCCCAUUUACAGCAAUCUGAACCCUUCAGAUCAACCCAACUUUUCAAUGGGUUACCAUAAUUGAAGAAAGGUUUGAGAUGCAAGAGAGCGAUUCUCUCAUGCUCCAAACAAGCAUCAGUAGUACACCACCUACAUCCUUCUAACACCAACAACAGUACUGCCAUCCUAAUAAACCAUAACCAUUUCCACUCCAUCAUCAUCAUCUUUCUGUUUUCCCUUCUCUCUCAGCUAUAUGUUACUUUUUUAACUUCUAUAUGUAUAUAAUCUGCAGAAGCCUAAGCAGGAUCUAUGCAUCCCACUAAUUCACUGUAGUAUUAAAAUAACAUAUAAUUAAUUAGUUCCUCAAAAAUUGAAUGAAUCUAGACUUGUGCUGCUCUAACUUAUACGUUAGGAAAUAAAUGUUGACACAAUUUUUUGUUUUAUUUAGAAGUUGUAGUUAACUAUAUUUGCUAAAAUUUGUCUUGGAAUGAAACUGAAUUCAAAUCAAUCAAAUUAAUUAUAAUAAAAAUAAAAUUUCAAAAAACUGUUCAAAAUAUGAGUUAUGUUGAAGCCCUGUUCGACAUAUUUUAACUUUUAUUCUUUAUAUAAAAAUGAGAGUUACAAUAAAUAGUAAAAAGAAAAUCUAAUCAAAUGCACUUUUCCAUAACAAAAUUAAUUGCAUUCCUUGUGGAAAAUGAACUCUUGACUUGGCCGACCAUCCUCGACUGAAAUAGGCUGCUAAUUUUAAUUUAGACUGUAGAAAAAAUUUUAACCCAAUUAAUGUCAUUUGAAAUUAAAAUUACUUUAUAAACCUUUUGUUAGCCCUUAAAUUAAUAAACUUUUGUAUGUAGCUAAUUGAGUUUUAACUCAAUCGGUAUUGGUAUUGUUGUCAGUACAGGAAGACGUAAGUUUAAGUGUGCAGAAACGUGUGUUUUAUCCAAUUUAAGGAUUAGGGUAGAUUAUGAAUAAUUCUUUGAAUUGUAUUAACUUAGAAGCUUUGAGAUACUCACAAUUGAAUUAAACAUUCAAUAUAUAUAUUUAUCUUAUUUUUUUUUCUAUUUCCGAUAAAUAAGAAAAGAUCAUUCUUUACGCCACCAUACGAUUUUAGUAUCACAAUCAAAUGAGACUUUUAAAAGUCUUAACACUAUACAAGUAGUUAGUCGACAAAACUUGCACUAAUUUACUCUUUACGCCCAAAUUAUUUACAAAGUGCAAACAACAUUACUUUCACACUAAUUUUUUCCUUCUAUUUAUGUGGGAUAAAUAUCAAAAUUAUAUAUGAAUUUUAAUUUAAUGUGUAAUAUUAUAUAUAAAUUUUGAUUUUGUGUAAUUUUAAAAUGAAAUUUUGAUUUGAUUUAAUUUUCACAAAUCAUUAACAACAUCAUCGAAUUAGUACUAUAUUACAUUGAUAUAUUGCAUGCACAAACAGGUAUACUAAACCAAUAUGAAAAUAAAUAUAUGUAUUCAUUUAUUUAAAUGUGUACAAUUGAAUCAAAAUAAAAGUUUCAUGUAUACAUAUGGAUCACAAUUCAAGUUUCAUACAUAUAAUUGUACCAAAUCAAAGUUCAUGUAUCAAAUUGCACAUUAAGCCAAAAUUUAUGUAUAAAUUUAAUAUUUAUCCCAUUUAUGGGAGAUUAGCUUUCCAAUGGUAUUGUUUUAUUUACAUUAAUCCAAAUAAUUGGAAAUGAUGAAUUAGUUUAACGAAGAUUGUAAUUCUAUUAAUGUUUCUUCUCGAAUUUUUGGUUGCUCUUAUUUACAUGUUUUAUUAAUUGAUAGAUUUAAAUUCUUGGAAUAUAUUCUAAUUAAUUAGAUAUUUCCUUCCUUCCAAAAGCCUUUCAAAAUAGGUUUAGUUCGACCAAGAUACUCUUGUAGAAAAUUUUAGUUUUGUGGGAAAAAGAAAACUAGAUUUAUUUUUUACUCUAAUUGGUUUUAUAUGCAAGGUAUAUAAACUUUUGUGUCGCUGCAAUUUUUUUCCAACAUAUGUAUGUGAUUUGUGGGGUUUCAAUUUUGAAUUUUUUUUUACAAUUUAAUUAAAUUGUGAAAGUAUUUGAAAGUUUUUGAGUUGAUACAAUGUUUAGAACUACCCCAACACCCACCUAACCCUUAAAUAGGAGGAUAAACACGCUUCAGCACACUCGAACUCACAUCCUCCUACACCGAUGAUAAUACUAAUGCCAACAGAGUUAAGACUCAACCAGCCUUGAAUUUUGAAUUUUACUUCUUACACAUUUUGAAUUUUGAAAUUUUAGUUUUGACCCAAACAGUAGCAGUUAAAUCAAUUUGAUUAAAUUUAAUUACUAGUCCUAUAUUAUGCGUACGAUUAUUGAUUAGUCUAUACUCUCAAAUUGGGCAAUUCUAAGUACCUAUACUUUCCGAAUUUUGAAAUUUCAGUCUUGAUGCAAAUGACAAUUAUUAAUCCAUUAAUUUGAUUUUUAGCGAGUAAUAUGUGAAAAUAACAAACUGGUAUAACAUUACACAUAUGAUAAUAUGUUUAUUCCACCACAUUUGAAAAUAGCCGAAUUUAACAAAUAUUGUUAGUGAGGAUUGGAAAUUAGAGUCUAGCCCCCUACAAUAAUUUAGGUUAUGGAAAUAAUCUUGCAAAUAAUGCUUGAGACAUCAUUAUACAUCAAUUUAUAGUUUUAAUUCUUAUACUUACUCAAUUGGAAUAAAGAUUUAGUUUUUUAUUUUCUUUUGAUACAUUGUCUAGAAUCUUUAUUCCAAUUGAGUAAGUAUAAGAAUUAAAACUAUAAAUUGAUGUAUAAUGAUGUCUCAAGCAUUAAAAAUAACUAACUUCAUUAAAAAAUUCAUUAGUUGGCUCUCUAAGACUUAAAAAUUAAAAUUAUGUGGUUAUUAAAAAAGAAUUGUUUUUAUUAAAUUAUUAUUUAAAAUAAAUUUAUCUCAUCAUAAUGAUAUGAAUUUUUUUUCUUUAAAAAAUCCACAUUAACCGACUAAUAGAAUUGUAUAAAGCUGCCACCAAUCUCUUGGCAUGAUGGCAAAAGAUUCAGAGGCAAGCCAGAAAGUUUUUUGAGAGGAGUGAAUAAAGUUAUAUCUUUUUAUUAUAGUAAAAAUGAAAUUUUAUUAUUUUAAUAAUUUAUAUCUUUAUAAUUUUUAAAAGAUUAAAUAAAAAUUUUUUAUUUUUGAGGGGAUAAAGUAUAAGUUUAUCAUAUACUAAUUUAAAAAUUUUAAAAUUAUAAAAAGACUAAAGAUGAAAAUUUUCAUUUUAGGGAGAUGGGGCCCUGCCAGGUCCCUUGACUUCGCCUUGAUAAAAGUAUUAUGUUGCAAGUAUAAAGUUUGAGUUUAAUCUCGAACAAUCUCAUUUCUUAUCCCUAAUUAUAAAAUAAUAAAAUAAAUAGAGCAAUUGAUGUGAGGAGGCAAGUGUAAUAGGUCAAUUUUGACCUGGGCCAGAUUUCAAAACAAAACCCAAACUAAAUAAUAAAAGAGUCCAAAAUAGUUAAAACAAUCCAUCCAUUUUACAAACAAACCCAAAUUAGCAGCCCAAAUACAAAUUAAAACUCAAUAACUCAAAACUAACCCUAGCCCAAUUAGCUCAACACUUAAACACAACAAAAAAACCCCUAGCCCCCUAAGCCUCCAACGCCGCAUGACCACCUGUGCCGCACGCCGCCGCCGCUCAAGGCUUGCCUAUCACCGACCAUCCACGCGUCUAACACUUGCAAAACCAAGGCAACAUGCAACAACAAAGGCCAAAUAGAGGAAACAACAAGGAAACAGAUAAAAAAGGAAGAAACAAACAGUUUUGAUUUGGCUACAAAAGCCCGAAUCUCACCCUUGUAAUUUUUUUAAGAACAUUAGAAAAUAAAAAACAAAAACAACACUUUCAAGGUGAAUUUCUACUUUUAUUUCUGUUUUAAAUACCUAUUUGAUUCUAUAUUCAUAUUUUUAUUUGAUUUUAUAUAUAAUAAAAUAAUAAAAUAAAAAAAGGAAGAAAGGGCUCACCGGAGACGCCCCGUGACCGCGCCGUCGGAGGGCUCUUCUCCAUUGUUGCCAUCGAAUCCGAGAGAGGGUCGGGAGUACUCCUCUUUUGUUUUUUUUUUUGGGUCGAGAGGGCUGGGCUUCCAAGGGAGCUGUGAAACGGGGGCUAAAAACGACCUUUUGCGCAACGCCGGCCACCGGCCACAGGCCACAGCGGCGCUGCGGCGGCAACCCUGGCCUGCCAAGGGGUGGGCUGAGAGAGAGACCAAGAGAGACUGAGAGAGUUCUCUAUUUUUUUAGAAAAAUAAAAGUUGAACUGUUUUUUUCUUUUUCUUUUUGCUAUUUAUAUAGGGUAUAAAACUGCGUCGUUUUGGACUUAAGCAUCAGUGGCCAAAAUGACGCUGUUUUGCAUCAGACCAGAAAGCCAACCCGAAUGCAGUUAGGAUCCUAGCGCAUUUUAGCUUUGAGGAGCUAUUUGCAUAUUCAACCCUUCCGCUUUUGCAAUAUAGUGCAAUUUGGUCCUCGUUGUUUUUAUAUUUUGGCCGCAUAAUUUUCUGAUUGUUUUACUUUGGUUCGAGCUAAAACGCUACGCAUGGGGGCUGGGAAUAUUUGCCAGUCGGUCCCUCAUUCCUUAAGCACACUCUAUUUCAGUCCCUAGGCUUUUUUUAUUUAUUUGCAAUUUGAACCCCAAAUUUUGGGUCGAUUUCAGUAUCAUCCUUAGUCCAUUUAAUUUAUUUGUUCAUUAUUAUUUUUUAUUUAAAAAGCUCUUUUAAUAUUAUUUGUUUUAAGUUUUUUAUUUAUCAUUUACUUUAAACUGUUUUACAUACUAUUUAUUUAAAAUUUUUUUAUAUUAUUCAUUUUAAACCAUUAUAUGUACAUUAUCUUUUAAAUUCUUAUAUACAUAUAUAUAUGUCGAAACCGUUUUUUUGAAAACAAAAAUUUUUAGUUUCGACUUAAAAAUAAAAACUGGAGUCGCCACCGAUCCUUGAUUGAGGUGUAACCGGCUCACCUUAAAAACAAUUUUGGUCUACGAGAUUUGAGAAAAUGAGUUCGGGAGUCAGUUACGCACGAGGAAGGAUUAGCACCCUCGUAACGCCCAAAAUCGGUACCAAAUUGAUUCUUUAAUGCCUUGGUGUCGAAAAUUUGAAAAGAUUUUAAAAGGAAACUUUUUAUUUCAUGAAUGAAUCAAAAUAAUAAGACAUUCUUAUUUCAAAGAAAUAAAACACCACACCCAGUGAGUUAGGGCACAAUAUUUUUAAAUCUUCAAAAUACCCGAAUUUUACCUUUUGCUUUUGAAAAUUCUUAUUUCGAGAAGUCAAAAUAUCAGGACCAGUAAGUUAGGACCCAACAUUUUUGAACUCCCAAGAAUAAGCUUUUAUUUAAAAUUUACGAAUUUAUUGCAAAACAAAUACUUGGCUUUCUAAAUUCAUCGAAAAAUAAUCACGAUCCAGUCAGUUAGGACACGAUCUUUCUCGAGAAUCAUGAAUGCCAAAUAUUUUGGAAAUUUGUAAAAUAUGAUGAUUUUAAUGCCUUGACGAAGCCAAUAUAUAUUUUCUUUAAAAGCAUGAUAAAAUGUUAAUGCAUAACAUGAAACCAAUACUUUAAUUUAAAUCAUAUGUAUAUAUGUAUUUGCAAAUCGCGAAAAUAAAAUAAAUAUAAAUGUAUGGAUAUGUCAUGAAAAUAUGUGUGCAUUUAAAUAUAUGUAUAUAUGUACAAUAUGUAUAAAACCAUGAAAUAUAUAAAAUAAUAAAGAAAAAUGUGUACGUAUAUGUAACAGAGAAUGCAUGUAUGCUUUAAAUUAUAAGAUAUAGGAAAUAAAUAUGUUACAACAAUGUAUAUCUAUAUAAAAUAUAAAUGUAUAUAAAAGUAAGUAAAAGUUAUGCAAGUAGAAUAAUAAAAAAUAUAUAUAUGUAAGGUGCAUGGGUUUAUAAAAAUUAUUUUUAAGAAAAAAUGUAUGCAUAUAUUAUUGUAGAGAAUAAGCAUAUGUAUAUAUAUAGUAAUGGUAAUAAUAAUAAUGAUAAUAAUAAUAAAAAUGAUAAUAGUAAUAAUAAUAAUAAUAAUAUAUGACAUAAUUAAUAAUAUAAAAAACAACAAAUUAAGGAUUAAAUUGGAAAUAAGCGAAGUUUUGAAACCAAAUUUAAAGAUGGGAAUUAAAUAAGGACCAAAUUAAGAUGCGCGCAACAGUAGGAGGAUCGAAAAGAUAAUUUGCCCAAACCUCCCAAAUGCUGCGCAGCAACAUGGACCAAAUUGAAACAGUAUUAAAACAUAUGGCCUAAUUUAAAAAAAUAAAAAGACAGAUUUAAACACCCCUCAUAAAACAGAGGACCAAAUGUGAAAUUGUCCCCUUUCACAGAAAUGCGCGGAUCCUUCCCCGGGUCGGGUCACCGCACGGGUCGUAGGGCUGAAAUGGCGUCGUUUUUGUGCUUACCCUUCGGCCCAAAACAGUGCCGUUUUCGGUAAGCUAUAAAUACAAUGUUUUUUUUUUAAAAAAACUCAUUGUUCUUUCUAUUUCAAAAAAAAAAACAAAAAAAAAAUUUCCUUUUCUCUCAAGCAGGCCCAGAAUCUGGCCAAACUCCGGCGAGUGGCCACUGCGCCGGCCGCCAGUUGCCGGCACCGGCGCCGCCGUUCACGGCGGCGGGGAGUAAAAAAUCUCGCCUUUUUUAAACUGUUUUUAGAUCCCGUUCAAUAGUCAAACUGCUUUGGCUCAAAAGGAUGACCCUUGGCCCCUUCUCCUCUCGGAUCCGAUGUUCUUGAAGGAGGAGAGCCCUCCGACGGUGAACCCGCAAGGCAAAUCAGGUAAGCCCGUUCCCCUUUUACUUCUUAUUUAUUAUGCUUAAAAAAAAACAAACAGAAAGAGCAAACAAGGAAAAAAAAAACCGAAUCUAAGGGAAAAAAAAACCUCCGUUUUGUAUUUUAUUUUUUCAAAUCUUUUUUCUUCGUAUUUUCCUCUCUAUUUUUGUAUGUCUUUACACUCAAGACCCCCUUUUCAGAUCUCCCCCCACGGCUUUUAAAUAGUCGAAAAUAACAACAAAAUAAGCAACAAAAUCAUAUCUCCCUUCAAUAUUGGUUGCGAUUUUUGCUACUACUCUGCUAUUGCUGCGCCAUAUGCUUCUUUUUCGCAGGUGUGGUGGCUCUUGAGUGCGUGCGACGCGUGGGAGCGACAAGCGCGAUGUGCGGCGCUUGCGGAGGGGUGGUGCGCAGGGUGAUGCAGCGCUGAAGCAGAAAGGGCUAGGGUUUCUGGACUGGGCUAGGGUUAAUGUAAUUGGGCUAAAUUUUUGGGUUUAGUCUGUAGAUGGGUAAUUGGGUCUGCUAUGUUUUUAUUUUAUAUGGGCCUGGGCAGAAAAAUUGGGUAUUACAAUAUAUAUUAAAAAAAACUGUUGUAUGUUUCUUAUUUAUUUAUUUUAAACUGUUAUUAUUAUUCAUUUUAAGUUUUUAUAUACUGUUUAUUUAAAGCCUUUUAUUAUUUAUUUUUGAAUUGUUCUUAUAAAUUAUUUAAUUUAAAUUAUUAUUCUUUGAAUUUUUUUUUUUUGCAUAUUAUUUUGUUUUGUUUUCUUUGAUUGUUAAUAUUAGUAUAAAAAAUGAUAUACAUUGUGUGACUAUUACCAUCAUGUGUACUAUAAUUAGUUUCUUCGUGUUUUCAUAUUAUUAUCACUCAUUAACAUAUAUAACAUUUUUUUCAUAAAUUGUUAUUUUAUGUUCUAUGUUAUCAUUCCAUUUCACUUCAUCACUUUGAAAUUAAGUUGCCUUCAAUUUGUGUUUACCCAUAAUAAACCGUUCUAUUUUGUCACAAAUAAAACAAAUGCACCUCGUUCAAGCAUUGUACUCGCAAUUAUUCAAAAAAGAGAAAAAUUUUAAAAUAAGGCAAUAUUUCGCAUUUUGGAGAUUCGAGAAAUUGUACCCUAACUUACGAGGUUUCAAUUUUCUCAUUGAACCUAAAUAGCAAAAUAUCUUUCUAAUUUUCAAAAUUUACGAAAUUCCAAUAAAGUUAAAGGCUAGCUUAUUCUCGAGGGUUUCAAGUGUCGUGUCCUAACUUACGGGAUGUGACAUUUAUUAUCUCGAGACGAGAGGAUCUUUGACAUUCGUUUCGAUUUAUUCAAGCAAAUUCUUUUAAAUUAAAAUAGCGUUAACAAAAGGGGGAUUGUGUUUUAAAUUCUUUCAAAGUUUUUCAAUUUUUAAUAUUUAGACAUUAAUUAAUCAAUUGGGUACCAAUUUUGGGCGUGACGAGGGUGCUAAUCCUUCCUCGCAUGUAAUUGACUCCUGAAUCCGUUUUCUCAAAUUUCGUAGACCAAAAUCACUGUUUUGAUAAAUUAAAAUAUUUUAUUAAAACAACUAAAUUAUGAGAUGACCUAAUCACAUCUCAUAAAAAAAUGGAUUGGUAGCGACUCUCGUUUAAAUUUCCGUUUUCAAACCAACAUCGACCCUUUUAAAAAAAAUGGUUUCAAUAUUAAGUUAUAAGUUGAAUGAAUUAAAAAUAUGUGAAAAGUGUAAAUAAAGACUCUUCAAUCUCAUUUCCUCUAAUGCUCUUUUUUUUUUAAUCAGAGAAGUUGUAAUUGAUUGGAAUGAAAUUAAUAAUCGCCUUAUUAUUUCACUUUUUUUCUUCAUAUGUUUGGCGUCAGUAUGAUACAGGUUGGACUGAUCUUAAAGUUGAAGUAAAACGAUAUCAAACAAAAACCAUUCUGGUUUUUAAAAUUAUGAGUCCAAAUCAAUCCAAUUAGUUUAACUAGAUUUUAAUGUCUUAUGUGUUAUGAUGAUGAAGCAAGUUGAUCAAGGGACUUGCUUCAUCUUUCAAAAUAUGAGUUGCUUAAGAGCCCUGUUUGACGCUUUUUUUUUUCUUAAAUUACAAACGAAAAGGUAUUUUUUUAAAAAAAAUUAACUUAAUGAAUUUUUUAUAGAUAUAAAUUUCCUGCAAAGUUAUUCUUUUUUAAAAAAUAUUUUUUUAAUUUUUUAUAUACCUUUUAAAUAGUUAAUGAAAAUAAGAGUUUUCAUUUCGAAAUGCAAAAGCCAAAAAUAGUUUUUGACUACAAAAGCUGUGUGUUCUUCAUCACUUCUGCAGUGGAAAAACACUUCUGCAGUGUAAAAACACUUUUAACCCAAAACGGGUUUUCACCUAAGUAGAGAAUCCACCCUAAAAUUGUAAAUAGAAAAAGGAAGGACCAAACAUUGUUUCUACCCUGUUUUUGUCUCCUCUUUGAAAAUACUUUCCAAAAAGUUUUAUCAUUUUCUUUUUAUUAAGUUUUCUGUUGGAUCUUAUAGUCAAAUUCCUUUACAUCAUGUACGUUAAUUUGCUUCGCUCUGAUAAAUGUUACAUAUAGGGUUAUCAGCUAAUUAGGAAAGACUGAUGAUAGUCACACCUUACAUCCAAAAGCAAAGCUUUUUUCACAUGUGUAUGUAAGGUUGCUAAGCAAAUCUGAUGAGCCUUCACUGAUGUUUUAAGGUUUAAGUUGAUGUUCUGUUGGUGCAACAACAGAAUCAAGCAAACUCAGCAAGUAUCUUGUCGAGCAAGCCUCGAAACUUGCUGAGCAAACAAACAAUUUCGAGUUAAAGAAAGAAGAGAAUAAGCUGGGGAAAUUUGAGAGAAUAAUAUUGAUGAACAAAACUGAUUUCAUUCAUACAUAAAACAAUGGCUUGAAGCCAGUACAUAACUCAAGCAUAAGGCUUGUCAAAAUCAACAAGUAAUUACCUACCUCCACUAAUUACAUAGAAACUUGAAAUCUUAGCUUGUAAACUUAUACAAAACUGUGUUUACAGCUCAUACAUAAGCUAAUUACAUCAAUCAGAAAGCUAACUUAGUUAGAAAUGAACUAACACUCAUUUCAUCAACUAAAUAUAACAAAAUGAACAAAAUGAGCUUGCACCAGCAGCCCUUGCAUCUGUUCCAGCUUUGCUUGGUCUUCAUGGCCUGUAUGGAAUCGAGUGUUGGCUUCAUGCUGACCAACUUCAACACUCCUCCUUGGUUAGCAUGGUGCAAACACCUAAUUUUCUUCUUAAAUGCUCAAACCUUGUGACAUUAAGGGCUUUAGUCAAAAUGUCUGCAAGCUGGUCCUCUGAAUUGCUGUGAAUUAGCUUCACUUCCUGAGCUUGCUCCAUUUCUCGAACAACAUAUAGCUUAAUGCUAAAAUGCUUUGUUCUUCCAUGGAACACAGGAUUUUUGGCAAUUGCAACAGUAGAUUGAUUGUCACAGAAGAUCUCUGUUGCUUCCCUUUGAUCCAUAUUCAAAUCAGCCAGGAUUUUCCUAAGCCAAAUGGCUUGGUUGACAGCACUUGCUACUGCCACAUACUCUGCUUCAGCAGUAGAUUGUGCCACCAGACUUUGCUUCUUCGAGCUCCAGCAGAACAUAGCUGAACCAAGGUUGAAAGCAUACCCUGAGGUGCUUUUCAUGUCAUCUAUCGAUCCAGCCCAGUCACUAUCAGUGUACCCAACUAGAUUUAGAUUUCCUUUCCUGCUGUACCUUAAGCCAUAGUCCAAAGUGCCUUUGACAUAUCUGAGCACUCUCUUGGCAGCCUGGAAAUGCUUCUCAUUGCAACAAUGCAAGAACCUUGAGAGCAAUCCUACAGCAUACAUUAUGUCUGGUCUAGUGGCAGUCAAGUAUAGCAAACAACCAACUAGACUCCUGUAGGUAGUUUCACAUACCUUCUCAAAAUCUCCUUGGCUCGAUAGUUUUUCUCCAACAGCAACAGGUGUUUUAGUUGGUUUGCAGUUUUGCAUGGAGAACUUGGUCAGAAUCUUUGUGGCAAAGCUCUUCUGACUUAAAAAUAUCCCAUUCUGUGCUUGAGUCACCUCCAUUCUAAGAAAAUAGGACAUCUCCCCAAGAUCAGACAUUUCAAACACCUCUUGCAUCUUGGUCUUGAAAUUAACCAGCACUGCUUGAUCUCCUCCUGUCACCAGCAGGUCAUCAACAUAUAGGGACACAAUGAGUUGUGUUUGUGUCCCUUGCUUCUUGACAUACAGUGUUGGCUCACUCUUGCUUCGAUUGAAUCCCAGAUCAGUCAAGUAGCCAUCGAUUCUGCUGUACCAGGCCCUUGGAGCCUGUUUUAAGCCAUAUAGGGCCUUCUUCAAUUUGUAGACCAUAUGCUCUCUGCCAGCUAUUUCAAACCCUUGUGGUUGUUCAACAUAGAUGUCUUCAUCUAAGAAACCAUUCAGAAAGGCUGAUUUCACAUCAAGUUGAUGGAUCUUCCAUUCGAGCUGUGCUGCUAAGGCAAUCAGCAGUCUGAUGGUGUCGAGCCUGGCCACUGGUGCAAAGGUCUCCAAGUAGUCCAAGCCAUACCUCUGACUGAACCCCUUGACCACUAGCCUUGCUUUUAGCUUGUUCAAGGUACCAUCAGCAUUCUGCUUGGCUUUGUACACCCAUUUCACCCCAAUCACCUUCCUUUUGACUGGCCUUUCAACCAAUUUCCAGGUCUGGUUCUUCUCAAUCAUGCUGAUCUCCUCAGCCAUUGCCUGCUUCCACCCUUGUUGAGCCUCAGCCUCUUCAAAGUUGCUUGGUUCAGCUAUGGCUACAUGAGCCCUUUCAUAAACCUCAGCCAAUGACCUUGUUCCUCUGACUGGUUCAUCAUCAAUAUCCAUUUCAGGGACAUUUUGGUCUGGCUCAGCUUGGUCUACUGCAAGUUCUUCAGAAACUUCUUCAGGUUCAUGUCUUUCCCAGUUCCAACAUGACCUCUCAUCAAAUACCACAUCCCUGCUUAUUGACACUUUGUUUGUUGAAGGAUCUAAAAUCCUAUAGCCCUUCUUAACAGUGCUAUACCCCACCAAAACACCAGGUCGAGCCCUUUCAGACAAUUUGUCCCUUUUAACAGCAGGUACAUGUGCAUAACAGAUGCAUCCAAAGACCUUCAGAUGAGCCAAUGAUGGCUUGAAGCUAAACCAGGCCUCGAAUGGGGUCUUUUGAUCCAAAGCCUUGGUUGGAAGUCUAUUUUGAAUGUAUGUUGCAGUGUUAACUGCUUCUGCCCAUAGUGCUUUAGGCAGAUUUUUCUGAAUCAUCAAGCACCUGGCCAUAUCCAUCAAACUCCUAUUCUUCCUUUCACUUACCCCAUUCUGCUGAGGUGUAUAUGUGUUGGUAAGUUGAUGUUUGAUGCCUGCCUUAUCACAGAAGGCUUGGAACUGAGCUGAGGUGUACUCAGUCCCAUUAUCAGACCUUAUGGUCUUCAGUUUGCAGCCUGUUUCAGUCUCAGAAGCAGUCUUGAACUUCCAAAACACUGAGGCCACUUCUGAUUUCUGUUUUAAAAAGUAAAUCCAGCAAUAUCUCGAGAAAUCAUCAAUGAACAGUAUGAAAUACCUGUUUCCACUUAAUGACUCAGUCUUCAUAGGGCCACACACAUCAGUAUGCACCAGUUGGAGUUUUUCAGAGGCUCUUCAGGCUUGAUUCGAGGGAAAAGGGAGUCUGGCCUGCUUUCCUAGCUGACAAACAUCACAUACAUCAUCAUGGUCCACUGAGUUGAUGAAAUUUUCAGCCAGGUCCUCUCUGACCAUUCGAGCCAUCGAUCUGAAGUUGGCAUGUCCCAGUCUUUGAUGCCACAGCUUGGAUUCAUCUGAAGUGGCUGUGUAGGCAAUGUCUGACUUUUUUGUCCAGUCAACCACAAAGCUCUUAUCAGCCAUAGGGACUGCCAUCAGUUUGGAUCCACUUGGAUCACUGAUUUGGCACUGGUGGUCUUUAAACACAACUGAAUAACCUUUUUCCAGCAACUGAGCUAUGCUGAGGAGGUUUCUGUCAAUUUCAGGCACCAACAGCACAUUUGAAAUCACUUUGGUACCUGUAAUGGUGCAUAUCAGCACAUCACCCUUGCCUUCAGCUUGAAUAAAAUGACCAUUUCCUAUUUUGACUUUAGUUCUGCAGCUUCUGUCUAAAGACUUGAAGAUUGCAGCAUCAGGUGUCAUGUGGUUGGUGCAUCCACUGUCUAGGAGCCAACCAGAUGAGAGCCUUUCCUGAGCAGCUGAGCAUGACACAGCAAAGACUUGCUCCUCUUGGUCACUGUCCUCCUUAGCUACUCGAGCCUCAGCUUUCAUCUGUUGAAACUGAUUUUGCCUCGAUUUGGUCUUACUCUUACAGACUCUCUCAACAUGACCCUUCUUCUUACAAUGCUGACACACAGCAUCUGGAUUGAACCAGCAUUUUUCUUCUGAAUGACCAGCCUUUCUGCAGUGCUUGCAAGUCUGACCUUCUCUCCUUGCAGCAUCAUUCUUUGGCUUGUCUCUCCAGGCCUUCUUGCCUUUGUAGGCAGUAUUUGUUCUUGCCUGAAAGGCACCUUCUUGGUGCUCCUCCAGUCUGCUUGCUCUCCUCUGCUCUUGAGCAUAUAGAGCAUUGAUCAACUCUGUCAGGGAGAUGGUGGACAGAUCCCUUGAGUCCUCGAGAGAUGAGAUUUUUGCCUCAUACCUCUCAGGCAGAGUUGCUAUAACCUUCUCCACUAUCCUAGCUUCAUUGAACUGCUCUCCAAGGAGCCUGAUGCUGUUAACCACAGCCAUAAUCCUGUCAGAAUAUUGCUUGACAGUUUCUUCUUCCUUCAUCUUCAAAUUCUUGAAAUCUCUCCUCAAGUUUAACAACUGUUUCUGCCUUGUCCUCUCUGUCCCUUGAAACUCUUCCUGCAACUUGUCCCAGGCCUGUUUUGGUGAUUCACAGGCCAUAAUCCUUGUGAAAAUCACAUCAGACACUGAGUUUUGGAUGCAAGACAUAGCUUUGUGCCUCUUGGUCCUUUCAUCAGCAUGCUGCCUGAUCUGAGCCACUGUUGGAUUAGCUCUAAGUGGCUCUGGUUCAACAUCAAAGUUGACCACCUCCCACAGAUCGAAAGCCUGCAGGUAGGUCUUCAUUUUGACCACCCAUAUGUGAUAGCCUUCUCCAUUGAAGACUUGAGGUGCAGCUGGUGAAAAGCUUGAUGAAGCCAUGGAAUUGAGUAACAGAUCCCUUAAGAAAUAGGCUCUAGAUACCAAUUGUUGGUGCAACAACAGAAUCAAGCAAACUCAGCAAGUAUCUUGUCGAGCAAGCCUCGAAACUUGCUGAGCAAACAAACAAUUUCAAGUUAAAGAAAGAAGAGAAUAAGCUGGGGAAAUUUGAGAGAAUAAUAUUGAUGAACAAAACUGAUUUCAUUCAUACAUAAAACAAUGGCUUGAAGCCAGUACAUAACUCAAGCAUAAGGCUUGUCAAAAUCAACAAGUAAUUACCUACCUCCACUAAUUACAUAGAAACUUGAAAUCUUAGCUUGUAAACUUAUACAAAACUGUGUUUACAGCUCAUACAUAAGCUAAUUACAUCAAUCAGAAAGCUAACUUAGUUAGAAAUGAACUAACACUCAUUUCAUCAACUAAAUAUAACAAAAUGAACAAAAUGAGCUUGCAUCAGCAGCCCUUGCAUCUGUUCCAGCUUUGCUUGGUCUUCAUGGCCUGUAUGGAAUCGAGUGUUGGCUUCAUGCUGACCAACUUCAACAUGUUCCUUUUCGGCAAAGAACAUUAUCGAGAUCACAGAAUUUUGAUCGCCUUUUGCUUGUUAUGUUAUUCGUUCUUAAACGAUUGCAUAAUCUUUACUGUGAUUGCAGGAUAUAGAGGAACUUUUGAAUUUCAUCGGUGUAACGAGUUUAGGACCUUGGCAUGUUCUUGCAAAUUUGAAGGAGCUUCUAAGGUCUGUCCAGUCUUCAGAAUAUAUAGAUACCUGAAUUAAUUUUGAUUUUGUAGGAUCAACUAUAAUUAGCUACUUAUUACAGUAUGAAUAGACAACCUGACCUUCUUCACACACGACACAUGUGCGGAUUUUUUUACCAAUCCCAUUUCAUUAAAGAAAAAAAAGAGCUUUAAAAAAGGAUCACACUUUUUUGUUGUUUACAGAAUCAUAAUGUUAAUUAGAGUGGAAUAUUUCAGAUUUCUGAUAAUGAGUAUAUUAUUGAGUAUUGCAGUAAAAAAAUGGGUGUGCAACUUAUUUGAACUUUGAAUGUAUGUUUUGUUGGUGAGAAUAUAAAGUUGAUAAAGAUUUGGUAAAUAGAAUAAAAUACUAUUUUUUAUUAGAAAAAAUAUUUGGUACACUGCCAAUCGAGUUAUAAUUAUCAUGACACAAUAUUAAGGGUAAUUAAAACAUGUCAUAUUACAAAUAAUAAAAUUAUAAUGACUCAAAUCUGCAAACAUGUCAAAAUUUACGUACAAUGAAUUAUUAACAUGUAAAUGUAUAAUAUGGUAUGCAAAAAUAAGAUCAUUGCUUGUUUUUUAAAUUGAAUUGUUAUAACAUAUUGUACAAAAUACAUUGUGAAUUAAGGCAUUCUAUGAACAUGAUAUCAAAAUAUUAAAUUUUUUUAAAAUUCGAUGAUAUGAAUAAUUAUGUAAAAUAUAACAUGAUACAAAAUAACUUGAAAGGAAAAGAGGAAUAAAGAAUUGCAUUGUUUUUGAGGUUUUAAAAUAUUUCAGUUUUAGAUUCAUUUUUCUAGUAUGUUUGGUUUAAUUUUACAUUAGAUUUCCUUUACAGUAUGCACUAGUGAACGCUUAGUAUUCAAUUUAAUUUAAUUCAAAGAGAUAUUGCAUAUACAUAAUAAUGGAUUAUGAUUUUACAUUAAAUUUCAUAGAAGAAAAAAGAAAUAGAUGGUUGAAAAUGAUAAAAUCAUAAGAUAAAAGAGCUUUUAUUUAAAAUUCAAAAAUCAACAAAAUAUUCAUUAUCGCUCAACUUAGCAUAAUUAAACAUUUAGGUGUGAAAAUCAAAUUACAAUUUGAGUAGCUAAACACAUUGCUUGAAAAUGUGAUAAGUAAGAAAAUUGCCCACAUUUGAGUAGCGACAGGUGGUGAUGCAUUUCCCAAUGAGAGAAAACCAAACUCUUCGCCAGUAUGGAUUUAUGUAGAGGACAACAAAAAUUGUCAACAACACAACUACAUAAGAAACCAAAAAGCUCACACAAAAAUCAUAAGUACCUAUCAAACCAUCUUCUCCUUUAUCUUCUGAUACAGUUGAUAUCGUUGAUGGUGAAUCGGUUUUGGAACAACUUUUAUGCAAUAUAGCUCCACAAAGAAAAAGAUUUCCCUCAUAACUGUUUUCAAUAAAGGUCCCAAAUUGAGCUUUUGGUUCGGGAAUACUACCUGACAAGUUGUUGUAUGCCACGCUGAAAACCUCCAAAGAGUUCAACUCUACCAACUGGUUGGGGAUUUCACCACUCAAAUUGUUGUAAGAAAGGUCCAAACUCUCAAUUUGAUGAAGUUUUGCGAAUGAUGAGGGUAUAACUCCUGUCAACUUAUUAUGCGACAAGUUUAAAGAAUAGAUUUCACUUAAGUUCCCUAAUUCUGGUGGGAUAUGACCAGUUAAGUUGUUGCAAGAUAAAUCAAUCCCGGUCAUAUAUGUAAGGAUGUUUCCCUCGUACGAUAAGAACCCACUCUUUGUUGUGAACUCUAUUACUUCUUCUAAGUAGCCUUCAGGAUAGUAAUAAUUUCCGAGAGCUCCCAAUGUUUUCACUAAUCCGUCCCCUGUUAACCUUGGACUAAUUUUCGAAUCAGUUAGAAUCUUAUUUGUUUCCGUUGAAAGGGUUAAAUUUCCCAAACAAGAAGGUAUAAUACCAGAAAACAUAUUUUGAGAAAGAUCUAUGAUGUUUAAAGAAUCCAACUUGCAUAACUGAACUGGAACUUCACCAUGAAAAUGAUUAUCUUUCAAGAGAAGAACACUCAAUGAAGAAAGUGUGCCAAUCCAUUUUGGAAUACUACCAGUCAAAUUGUUUCCUCUAAGAUCUAACGUAACCAGUGAAGAGAUAUUAUAAAAAGCGAUUGGUAGUGGGCCACUUAGUCUACUCCCGUGCAGGUGGACAUGCUUUAUGUUUAGGGUAUUAAAGCAGGACGGUAUAGAGCCAAAUAAAUUGUUUUCAGAGAGAUCCAAAAAUUCCAAGCGAUUCAAGUUGCAAAAUUCCAUUGGAAUAGAACCCUCGAAACCAUUUUGGGACAAAGCUAAUCUCUUCAAAAAUGACACAUUCCCCGUCCAUCUUGGGAGGUUUCCAUAAAACUUGUUAUUUCCGAGAUUAAUUUCCCUUAGUGAAGUUGGAAACUCAGAAAUAGAGACAUCAACAUUUGCCAUCUCCCCAGAAAAAUUAUUUCCAUCCAAAUAUAAUUUUGACAGCCUAUUUGCAUUGAGAAUCACAGGAAGCACAUGUCCACUGAGGUUGUUGUUUGAUAGUCUCAAAAUGGUCAACGAGUUUUUUGUGAUUAACUCUUCAGGUACUCUUCCAGACAAUUGAUUGUCUGAUAAAUCUAAAAUCGAUAAAUCCUUCAUGCCACUCAAACAAGGAGGGAUAUCACCUUCGAAGGCAUUCUUGGAUAAGAAUAAGUGGCUCAAAUGUGGAAAAUGUGAACACACGUUGGUUGGAAUCUGACCUUGCAAUUUGUUUUGGGAUAUGUCAAUUAAAGACACUUUAGAGUUAGGAGCUGACGGUAAUGUGAGAGGACCGGUAAAUGAAUUACCCUUCAAGAUGAGAUCUUCUAACUUCGUGUUGUUUUCUAACAACCAAGUUGGGACUGUUCCGCUGAAAUUGUUAUGAGAAAGAUCCACAUAUCUCAAGUCAUAUUGGUAGUAAAGGAAGGUAGGAAGCUUACAACUGAGCUGUUGAGAUGUUAUGCACUUUGGCAAACUAAUGACUUCCAAUUGGAACUUUGGGAUUGAGGUAUAAAAGGAAGGUUCCGUUACCAUCUUGUUUUCAUUACUCAAGAGGGCUUUGAGGUUUGAAAGGUUUGCAAAUGGUGCGAAAGACAACGGAAUUUGAAAAUGGUUUCCUGAAAUAUAUAACCCACGAAGAGAUGUCAAGUUACUGAAACAAUGAGGAAGCAUCCCCUCAAGUGCAUUCCCACUCACAUCCAACACUUCAAGGUUCCUUAGAUCACACCAUCCUGAAAAAUUUAUAAAUUCAUUGAAGAAAUUUUAAUUAAAUUUGAUCCUAUUAAACAGAAUAGGAGAUAUUAUAUCCCAAAAGGCUCAUAAAGAAGUCAAUUUGACCCAUAAAUUUAUUUACCAUGAUUAGGUAAGGGACCGAUAAGUCCACAAUCAUAUAACGACAGAGUUUUAAGAGAACUGAGUACUCCAAUGCCUUGCAAAAUGUUGGUGUUGAGAGUAGAAUGGUCAAGAUAUAAUUCCUCCACAUUGCUCGACACAUUUAAUUCUAAAGGAUGAGAAGAGGUAUUAGAUGUUAAUCAAACGUAAUCUGUUUUGGAAAAGAAAAUCAUGUUCAGAUAAUGGUAUUGUAGAUAAAAGGUUUUAACUGAUGAGAAAGCCUCCACUAAAUUUUGUAAUGGAAUGCUUCCAUCGGUGAAAACGGAUGAAGAUAAAGAACUUUCAAAUUUCUCAAUCCCUUAUUUUCUGUAAGUGAAAGAAAUAUAUAAAUAUUUGUUUUCAUGAAUAAGAUAAAAGUUUAAUAGAGAAUGUCCAAAUCUUAACAUAACUAUUCAUUCAUUUUAUUAAUUAAUAAACUAAUCCUUUUUUAGCAUUCUAAGAUAAAAUAUAAUUUCAAAAUAAUUUGAUCUAGAUUUAAAUAGAUGAGCAUAUUCUUUUAAAAUCUCAAAUAUGUUUGAAAUCAAUUUAACAUUUAACCUUAAUGUUAGUAUUUGGUACUGGUAAUGGAGUUUUUUAACUCUACAAGUGAAGUUAAAAAAUGGCCACUAACCUAUUUCUUUUAAAUAUUUAUUUUUUAAUAUUUUACUAUACCAUAUAAGAUAUUUGUUAUUAUCUCAAUCCUACUUAUGAAGUUUAGAAUUGUUACUAUACCAUAUAAGAUAUUUGUUACUAUACCAUAUAACAUUAUUAUAUUCUUGUUAAAAAAACUAAUAUUUUUACCUUUCAUAUCUAUUGAUCCUUUCAAUUCAUUGCCCCAUAGGCUCAAAGAUUUCAAAUUUGAAAGCUUGUUAAGGGAUGCAAAUACACUAGUAUUGAAGAGAUUGUCAUCUAAAUAAAGCUCUUCCAAGUGGGUCAACUCCAAUUUUCUACCACCAUCUACAAAAGAUUUAUAUAAUUUCAUCACUGAAAUGAAUUGGCAUAAAAUUUAAUUAUAUGUAAGAAUUUAGGUAAUUGGUUAAAUAUAAAUGCAUACCUUUAAAGGAUUGAAAGCUUUCAAUUUGAUUCCCACCUAAAUCGAGUUUCUUCAAAUUUGUUAAAUUGUUCAAUCCUAUACAUAUCCACGUACAAUUCAAAAAAUCAUUAUGUUAAUAAUUUUAAUUUCUACUUAAUAUUUUAAUGAAAUAAAAAUGAAAAAGAAAGUAAAUCUAAAACUUGAAGUGAAGAUGAAAAUCCUCAAACGUGAAAUGUGAAUGUUCAAAAUUAAAACAAUUAAUUUUAAAAGGUUCUAGAAAGAAUUAUCAAGAAAAACAAAGUUAUAGCUUUAGUACCUUUAGUAUCUAAUGAGCCUUACAAAUCGUUGCCGUACAAAGUCAAAGACUUUAGGCUUGAAAGCCCUUGCAGAAAGGAAAUUGUGUUGUUCCGAAAGAGAUUACCACUCAAAUCAAGUACCUCUAAGUUUGUUAGCCUCAAUUGUGUUCCAUCUAUCAUUGGAAGAAAAUAAUGAGUAUAGUUAAUAUCAUCCAAGAUAUAAAUAGUUAGGAAAAAUGAUUGUUUGAGAAGGAAGAGGCAAUUUACAAGCUUUCCCAUGAAUUGAUAACUACAUUUUACAAGUAAAACUUAAUUGAUUCAAUAUAUAAAUACUUUGUUUGAGAUACCUUCCUACUUUAAUUACUCAAUCCCAAAUAUUGAUUACUUAUAUAUAUUCAUGAUAUGAUAAAAGCAAAUGACUUAUUAAUUGCAACAGCUUUUCCUUCAACAUGAAUUUAAUGCUAUUCUUCAAAUAAUUCCAACUUAUAUCAAUAAUCUCCAAUCUAAUGAGCCAUUGAAAACCUGAUUUAUAUAUUAUAUAAUUAGUUACUACAAAACAUAAAUAAAUAAUAAUACUCCAUUUUUGCAAUAAAAAUUCACUAAAGAAAAUACAUUUGAAGUCUGUCAUUGCCUUUUGGAAUAAUAGUCAGUCAAGAAAGUUACUACGCACAAAUACUUAUACCUUUGUUUGAGAUGCUUUCAAUGUUAUUGUAACUUAAAUCCAAGUACUUCAAAUUUGUCAAAUUAUUCAAUCCUGAAAUUCAAUCCCAAAUAUUGAUCAGUUAUAUAUAUAUAUUCAUGAUAUGAUAAAAGCAAAGACAUAUUGCAACAUUAACUGUCCCUUAAACAAAAAUUGGUUUUAAAGUAAAAAAGAAACAUAUAAAACCAGUCUACCUUUAAUAUGAAUUGACAUAUAAAUACUGUACUUAUACCUUUGUUUGAGAUGCUUUCAAUUCUGUUCCAACUUAAAUCCAAGUAUUUCAAGUUUGACAAAUUAUUCAAUCCUGAAAUUCAAUCCCAAAUAUUGAUUAGUUAUAUAUAUUCAUCGUAUGAUAAAAUCAAACUUGAACAUACAUUGAUUUUUAAAUCAAGGAUGAAAGAUUUCUCAUAUGGAACAAAAUGCUAUUCUUCAAAGAAUUCCCACUUAAAUCAAGAGUUUCCAAGUUAUUGAGUCUUGAAAGCAAUUGAAAACCUGAUAUAUAUAUAUUUACUUGUUAAUUGUUUUUUCUUUCUUAGCCAUAUGAAAAUUUUACUAAAGCAAAAGUGGAAUUAGAACGGAUAAAAAGAAUGGAAAACUAGGUACCAAGACUAGAAGACCAUCCUCAAACUCCACUAUACAAAUGACUUAUUGCAACAACAUUUCCUUCAACAUGAAUUUAUUUUAAAGAAUGCUAUUCUUCAAACAAAUCCAACUUAUAUCAAUAAUUUCCAAUUUAAUGAGCCACUGAAAACCUGAUUUAUAUAUUAUAUUAUUAGUUACCACAAAACAUAAAUAAAUAAUAAUACUCCAUUUUUGCAAUAAAAAUUCACUAAAGAAACAUAUUGAAUAUAAAUAAUAAUACUCCAUUUUCCAAUUUAACAUAUUGCAACAUUAAUUUUCCCUUAAACAAAAUUUGGUUUUAAAGUAAAAAAGAAACAUAUAAAACCAGUCUACCUUGAAUAUGAAUUGACAUAUAAAUACUAUACUUAUACCUUGGUUUGAGAUGCUUUCAAUGUUGUUCCAACUUAAAUCCAAGUACUUCAAGUUUGUCAAAUUAUUCAAUCCUGAAAUUCAAUCCCAAAUAUUGAUUAGCUAUAUAUAUUCAUCGUAUGAUAAAAUCAAACUUGAACAUACAUUGAUUUUUAAAGUUAAAAAGAAACAGGCAAAAUCAGUCUACCGUGAAUAUGAUCCAGCCUUCCUUUCAACUGAUUAGCGCUCAAUCUUAAAGUCUUCAAGGAUGAAAUAUUUCUCAUAUGGAACAGAAUGGUAUUCUUCAAAGAAUUCCCACUUAAAUCAAGAGUUUCCAAGUUAUUGAGUCUUGAAAGCAAUUGAAAACCUGAUAUAUAUAUAUAUAUAUAUGUAUAUAUAAUUACUUGCUAAUUGUUUUCUUCUUUCUUCGCUAUAUGAAAAUUUUACUAAAGCAAAAGUGGAAUUACAACGAAUAAAAAGAAUGGAAAACUUGGUACCAAGCCUAGAAGACCAUCCUCAAACUCCACUAUACAAAUAAAAACUAACAUCAGACCAAACUUAAUUUACCUCUUAGAUGACUUGAUCCUUCAAAUUUGUUGAUUGAUAGAUCUAAAUACCGGAGAGAUGAAAGCUCACUCAAAGAUAACAAAAUGCUAUCAUUCAAGUAAUUUUCACUUAAGUCAAGGAUCUCCAAAUUACUCAAUGUGGAU